GUGAGACCCCAUAUAGUCAUAUAUAUGAGAUAUAAUAUGGCUAAACUCUUAACCCGGCUUAAGCAUUUUGGGUGGUGGCAAGACCCAAGAGGUUAAGAGAGUUAAGCGUGCUAGGACGGGAGUAGCCCUAGGAUGGGUGACCCCCUGGGAAGUCGGGGCGUCACAGAUGGUAUCAGAGCCAAUUACCAGCCGGAAGUGUGAGAUGAGUCUCGGCUGAGCCAGGGUCUGGAUGACGGGCUAGCGAGACGAGUCUCACAUCGCCUGGUACUUGUGAGUCUGAGCCUGACGAGGACGUCAAGGCUUAAAGGAGGGGAGAUUGUGAGACCCCAUAUAGUCAUAUAUAUGAGAUAUAAUAUGGCUAAACUCUUAACCCGGCUUAAGCAUUUUGGGUGGUGGUAAGACCCAAGAGGUUAAGAGAGUUAAGCGUGCUAGGACGGGAGUAGCCCUAGGAUGGGUGACCCCCUGGGAAGUCGGGGCGUCACAAGAUUUAUCGAAUAUAUUUACUUUAAUAGCCUUUAAUUUUAACUUUGUCACUGAUUUAAGAAAAAAUAAUAAUAAAAUUGAUAAUAAAAAGAGAAAAACGAAAUAACAGGGGGCAAAUUGAUACACUUUAAACCACAGGGCAGGGGAGUUUUUGAAGUUAUCCCAUAAAUCUAUAUCUAAACCAAGGACCUCAAGAACAUUUGAUAUUUUAGUAAUUCCUAAAAUAUUUACCUUCAACACCCCCUUUAAUUAUUUGUCUUGUGCUUCACGAAAAUGACGAUCUCUUUUUUUGACCGGUUUCUCAAUUGAUCAAUCUAACUUGAUAAAUAAUUUUUUCUUUCUAUCAUAUGCAACACCGCAAUCUAAAUACCAGAUAUUUUUUGAAUAAUUAUUUAUGAUGCAACAAGCAAAAAGAACAUCAAAUUUUACAUUACUUAGCAUGGACUGGUGCAUUAUUUUUCUUUUUUAAUUGACAAAAUCUUUUAGUGUGGUCAAAUUUCUUACGAUAAUAACAUUAGAUCUUCUCAUAAGUGUUACUACUCCGUUCGGAUCCAUUUAAUCUGUCACCACUUCGUUGAUUUAUCACCCCAGAUCUGCCUCCAUGUUUGUUGUGACACCCCAAUAGUCCCACAUCGGAUGGGAAAGGGAUUGUCAUUAGGUUUAUAAGAGACUUAGACACUAGUAAUAAUAACUGGGCUUAAGUAUUUUGGGCCGAUUGUUGGGCCCAACGAGUUAUUGUUGUUAGUGGGCUGGGUCGUUACAUUUGUUUCCUCGGCCACGACCAUGACCACAUCCUUUACCACGACCUUAGGCUUUGUAAAAUUUUCUCAACAACAGUUUCAUCAGUAGUAGCAUGACUAUAAAUACGCAACAUUGUAACAACUUCCAUCAUUUCUCAACAAAAUUUUUUUUUUUUUUUUUGCAUAAAUAUAGUUUUACAUUUUUUUUAGGGUUUGAACAAUAGAAGGUGCAUUCGCGUCAUCCUUUGUGCUAUCUGGCCUUGCCUGCGCGUCUUCAUAUUGAAACACCAGAAAUCGUAGUUCAUCCCUUUGAAUAUCGGGGCCGUCAUCUUUAAUUAAUGCGGGAAUCUGAAGCUCUGGUGUCACUUGUUAUGGCGGUAUUUUAGGAAAAAUUCUAGAAUGCAACGGGUAUAUUGGUGACGUGGCGUAACAAACCAAUCAAAUAUAUCCUUUUAGGAAUAUAUAUAUGUCCCAUCAUGAUUUAAAAAAAUAUUUUUAUUGCAAUUUUGUUUGAAAAGAAUUAAUGAAUGUGAUUGGCUUUUUAUUGAUGACGUGGUGCAAGUGUGACAGUAAAGAAAGAUGAAAAGAGAAGAAAAAUGAAAAACUUAAUUAAGGUAGCUAGAGAAUAAUUAACCAAAGCUUCUAGGCACACGGUGCACAUCAUGGUACAGCGUAUUAAUAUAUAUAGUAUAGAUUAUAUAUAUAUAUAGAAUUAGGCCUGGAAUGACUAUUAAUAGUAAACAGUCUUUUUUGCUAUAAUUUUUAACCAUUGGAUGAAAAUUUUAGGGUUGGAUGAUAUUAGUCGGGUAGGUGAGUGAUCCCCCUAUGGGUUGAGGUUGUUCACUGGUUAUAGUUAUUAAUCUAAUGGUUAGAAAUAAUAAAAAGGUUGUCAAAGCAAAAAACGGUGUAAGCAAUAAUGGGAAUUUUGCUACUAAUAGUAGCUCAGGUCACGUCUAUAUAUAUAAUAGUAUAAUAUAGUGUUAUGGUAAGGACGGAGGCGUCCGUGACUUCAUAUUUUUGUUUUUCGCAUGUUCGCGACUUCGAAUCGAGGAUCGGCUCAUUGACGUUGAUUAGAAUAUCUUCUGAGCUAUUCUAAAAAUAAAUUCUUGCGAUCUUUGUCGAUUAUUUUGUAGUGCAUCCGAAGUGCGCGGCAUCAGCAAUCCAACGGCUGGAGAAAUAAGAAAUCUUAGCAAAAUAUUUGAUGACUUGCGAAUUAGAAUUUAGAUUGCAAGUUAUUGAUCUUGUUUUAUAUGGUGAUAAGAAUUUGCUAUCAUUUCAGUGAUUAUUGGAAUAUUUCUCACGUUAACUUGAACUGUACGGUCACAACGGCCAUUAAAUGAUUGUUUGAGCCUUUCGGAUCAUAGAAAUGGAUAGUCGGAAAAAUCAACAAUUUUUUUUUUAGUUACUUCAAGUAGCUCUAGGUCAGCCUCUAACGGAAGCAUCCGUAUGUCUCAAUGUCGAAAGUGCUCCUCCGAACAUCGAAAACGAACUUGAAGCCGGAGGGCGUCGCUGCUUUCAUAGACUCGAUGCUCGUCAUAUUAGCUCUCUCACUUUAAUUUAUAUUAUAUAGGUUAUGUAGUAUACUUAUAUAUAUAUAUAUACUUAUAUAUUUAUGUACCGGCUGCGCGAUACAUCCGAUAGCACAAGGCUUUUAGUGCUAGUCGUUCGAGCUGUGUGGUGGUAACGCGUUUGAUUUUUACCGUGUUGAGGCUCUCGUCAUGGAUUAUUUUCAAUCCAGAUGCCACGCGCAACUCAACACUAGAGCGCCCACAUCAUCUAAUCGCAUUUCUAAUCCAAGGCUAAAAAUCUCAAUAGCAUCAAUAGCUUAUAUAUUUUGCUGAUUAUAGCCUUUUCCCGCCCCCCCUCUCAGCUUGCCUCUGAUGCACUCUUAUACUCCUUGCUAGGCUGCGCGUCUUAGUAUUUAUAGAUAUACUUGCUAUAGGUAUAUUAUAUAUAUAAUAUAUAAUAUCUAUAUUAUCAUUAUAGUAUAUUAGUGUAUUCUGAGCUUAGGAUAAACUUAUAUAAAUAUACCGCCCAACUCUAGAUAAUUAUAUACAAUAGGGGUGGCAAUUAAUCCACCUCCAUGUUCGUGAGUCAGUUUGUGUUCGGCUCAAAAUGAGCUCGAGAUUGAAUCGCUCGUUUAGUAAAUGAGCCGAACUCGAGCUGGGUCAACUCGCUCGUGUUUGGCUCGAUAACAACUUCGAUACAUAUAUUUUACAUUUAUAUAAUUUAUAUAUUUUACAUUCAUAUAUAUAUAAUUAUCUAUGCAAAAUAUAAAUUUGUAUUGUUUGAUUUUUAGUACAACAUAAAUAUAAAGUCCAACUCAAUUAUAAAAUGGCAUAUUUAUAUAUAAAGUUCCAACCAUUAGAUCAAAGCCUAAUAGAUAAGAUUUCAUAAAUUUACUUUCUAUAUAAAUCCUUUCUAAUUCUUUUAACUUAUUGCUUGUGAGCUGAUGAGCUGAAUUUUUCGGCUUGAUAUUUCAACGAGCUAGCUCAUGUUCAGCUUGUUCAUAAAACGAUCGAACAUGCGCCUACCCCAACUCGCUCGAGUUCUGCUAGUUGACACCCCUAAUUAAUAAUAUACACACCCAAGAGAAUAACAAAACAAAUCUAAUAUUAAAUAACAAAUAAACAAAUCAAACUGAAUCUAGAAUUUUCUAGAUUUGGUCUUGUCUUAAACACUCAUCACAAGAGAUAAAGUAAACUUCAGCAACUUCAUCUCAAUAUCUUCAUUAUCUUUCAUCUUCUUUUCUUUCCUCCAAGUUUUGCAAUCAUAUUUCAUAUGCCCCAGCUUUUUACAGUAAUAGCAAAUGGCCUCCUUGAAUCCUUCUCAUUAUGGAAUUUUUUUUUUUUCUUUUUUGUAUGUGUGUCUAGUUGGGUUUCUUUCUUUGAGAAGGGAGCAAAUUUGUAAUAGAUAAAAUCCGCUGGCGGUUGCUAAGGGGCGUGGGCCCCCUUAGACCUAGGGCUGGUAAUUUAGCUUGCUGUUCGCGAGUCACCUCAUGUUUGACUCGAAAUAAACUCAAGACCGAAUCGCUGGAUUAGUAAAUGAGUCGAACGUGAACUGAAUUUUUUAGCUCAUUUAAUAAAUAAGCUGAAUACAAGAUGGGGUCAGCUCACUCGUGUUCGGCUCGAUAACAGCUCGAGUACAUAUAUUUUAUAUUUAUAUAAUUUAUAUAUUUAUAUCUAUAUAUAUAAAUAAAUAAUUAUACAUAUAGAAUACAAAUUUUUUAUUGUUUGAAUUUUAGCCCAAACUAAAUAUAAAGCCCAAUUUAAUCAUAAAAAGACCAAUUUAUAUGUACAAUUUCAAUCAUUAAAUCAAAGCCUACUAGUAAGAUCUCAUAUAUAUAUAUAUAUANAAUCUUUUGGCUUGAUAAUUUAACGAGCCAGCUUAUGUUUAACUCAUUUAUGAAAUGAGUCGAACACGAGCCGGCCCUAUGGAGCCAUUGUCGCGUCGUUAGUGCACUCUGCUUUCUCCUUAUUUUUAUCGGCAAGAGAGAGCGCUAAGAGCAACCGCUGUAAUAUUAGCCUCCUCAGCUACGAGCGCUAAGAGCUCGAUUGAUCUUUUGGAAAUCACUAUCCUAAUGAGCUCUUCAAUUUCAUCUUGUUACGAUCAUACACUUCUUGAAUUGUGAUAAUAUUUUAAACUUUCGCAUUAAAUUCGUAGUUGUGAACUCUCUACAUAAAACUUUAAUUCAAGCAAUUUGUAAUGGAUGUUAGUAAAGCUAUUGAACAUCUUUAAACAGAUUCAUUUUCGUCCAUUGUAAAACUUUGAGGCAUCGUUUGGCUGGGGGAUAAGGGGAGGGAUAACCUCUUAUCCGCCCUUUAUACCCAAACGCAAAUUUUUUAUCCGAGAAUAGUAGUUCUCGAGUAUCUGAAAUAAGCUUGUAUAACUAUUCUCACCAACACCUCCAUUUUCUAUAUAUAACUACCAACUUUUUUUCUUAUUCCAUAUUAUCUAUCCAAACUCUAUUUUUCUUAUCCUCGGGAACAACCCAAUUUUCAUCCAAAUGCUAUUUUUCUUAUCCCCAUACUUGUACCUAUUCAUGUAAUAGCUAGUUUGGCAUUAGCUUGUUAUUCCUAGCUAGCCUAGUAAUUACUUAAUGAACUACUUCAGAUUUUUCCUUAAUUUUCUUUGUAAUAGUCUGAAUGCAAAUUUAGUUAAACUCACUCUUUUUUUUUCUUUUCUUUUUUUUGAGAGAUAAGUAGCACGCUUUCAUUUAGAAAUAAACUUAGUUGGAAAUGUGAAUCAACUAGAAUUCGAACCUAGGUCUUGGGUACCAACCACCAAACCCUUUGCCACUUGCUCUAGGGACGGUCGGUUAAACACUUAAACUCACUCUUAUUAAUAACACAAUGGAAGGCAUUAUUAGUUCAUUCAACAUUCAAGUAGAAAAAAGCAUUAAUUUACUCUACAAUCCCGGCCAUUUGGCUCUAGAUUUGGUUGGAAGCGUAGGAAAAUUAACCACCGUAAAAUAUCAUACUUAUAGUAGUCCUAACGGAAGAACUUGUCCAAUCGUCAUACUCAUUUUAUGGUCUCUUGAAUCCACGACAACCUCCUAGAUCCGCGGAAGGACUUGUCGGAUUGUCGUACUCGUCUUACGGUCUCCUGGAUCUUUGCGAUGGCCUCUUGGAUCAGCGAUCGGACAUCAUGUCAAGAUCUCUAUGUUUGAUCAUCGUGAAAGGCUACGUACUGGAGUCUCCACAAUAGUACACGUAGGUGGAAAUCUCAAAAAGAACAUAGAGAAAUUCCUUUUUUUUUUAGGAAAAACUUCAAAAAACCUCCCUGUGGUUUCGCACUUUUUCAUUUUAGUAUCCUGUGGUUUAAAGUGUAUCAAGUUAGUAUCCUGUAGUUUCGUACUUUCUCACUUUAGUACCCUGUGGUUUAAAGUGUAUCAAAUAAUGCUCUAUAGUUUUAUUUUUGUAUCAAGUUAGUACCAUGUGGUUUUAUUUUUGUAACAAGUUAGUACCCUGUGAUUUUUAAACCACAAGGUAUUAAAGUGAGAAAGUGCGAAACCACAAGUUACUAAAGUGAGAAAAUGCAAAACCACAUGCUACUAACUUGACACACUUUAAACCACAGGGUACUAAAGUGAAAAGGUGCAAAACCACAGGGUACUAAUUUGAUACACUUUAAACAACAAGGUACUAAAGUAAGAAAGAGUGAAAUCAUAAGGGGGGUAUUUGAAGUUUUCCCUUUUUUUAUUUCUCACGUCCAAAUUGAGAAAAAAAUACUCAUAUAUAUACAUAUGGUAGUGUUACUAUACUCUUAUAAAUAUAAAACUCUUUGUCCUCAGAAAUUAUUUUCAAUGAUGAAACUUCUAAAUCGAUGAUCCACACUACUAAAUAUGAUCUAGAAUAUUUGAAACUUUAGAAAAUAAAUUUUGUAAUUUUUUGAAAUCAUAAUAAAGUUCAUCAAACGGGCAUAAAAUGAACGAUCAAAAUUGAAUAAUCUCCUAAAAAUAGAGAAUCAAAAUUUUCAAUUUAAGAUCGGAGUCAUAAAUCUCUAUCUAAACAGUGAAUAAAAUUUUCUAUCAAAGAUUUAGCCGAUUCGAAAUCUUUUACGCCAUUAAACUAGCAAGCAUCCCAUUCCGGCUGUUAAAAAUUAUCAAUUUUUGGAUCUUUUUAUCGUUUGGUAAAUAAUGUCAAAAAAUUAUGAAAUUUGAGUUCUAAAAUUUCAAAUGCUUUAAAUCAUAUUUAACAGUAUAGAUCAUCAAUUCGAAAGCUUUACCAUUGAAGGCGACUUAUGAGUACGAAAUUGAUCGUACUCAUAAAAGUACACUAACUAAAGUCUCUCUCUCUCUAUAUACACACACAUAUGGGGAUCCCUUAAAAUAUCAUGAUUCACAUAGAAAUUAGCUUUAGAAUAUUAUUCAUUAGAAAAUACAUUUUUUAACUAAUAAAAAUAAAAAUGUAUAAUUUAUCCUUUAACUUAUUAGGAUAAAUUUGGAUUCACAUCUCAUAUAGAUCGAGUUAAAUUAGAACCGAGUAAUAUGAACAUACCACAUGGCAAAACGAAAUAUAAUGGCAGCCUAGUGAGGGAAGAAUGAAUGUGAAUUAGGAUUUCAAGAUAAAUUACAUAGCAAUGUUAUCUAGAAUUGAAAAAAAAAAAAAAAAGCUAAAGUGAAGAAAAAGAAAAUAGCAAAUAGUACAGUAUGUUGAUGAAAAUUCAAAAAUUAUAUAUUAUUAUUUUGAUAUAUUAAUUUAUUUUAUUUGAUUUUAUUUAUAAUUUAUUUUUGAGAGAAAUGUAGCACGCUAUCUGCUUCAUUCAGUAAGAAUGUGAAUUAAGCUACAUGGAUGAGACACCAAGGCCUCGACGAGAUUUUUAAUUAUUUUUUAAUCAGCGUUCAUUUAGCAUGAACGUCCGCGAGCAUGCAUGGACGUUGCUCCGUGAACGUUGGGAUUCCCAACGUUCCAUUUCUCUUCCUUUAUGUAUAAAUAUCUUGUGUUUCCUGUUGCAAGACAUGUAUAUAUAUACAAAGGAUAGUGAGAAGAAUUUUUUUUUUUGAGAUAUUUCCAUAGUUCUUUUUUCUUCUACUUGUUUGAUAGUUUAUCACCGGGUGUUGAAAGAUUCUCCGUCAACCUCUUCCGCGUUCGUGUCCGUAGGAGGAGGAAUUCCGGUCGUAUUUUGGGGCGGUGUUUUCGGUGAAUCCCGCACAAAAGACGGAAAUACGCCUUAGGGCAGUGCCUCGCACGCUUUCGAAGCUAAUUAUUUUUGGAUUUCUUUUCACCGAUUUAUUUGGAAUUGAGCGAUCAUCUGUAAGUUACAUUUAUUAAUUUCAUCAUAAAAUUAGUUAGAUUUGUAUCCCAAUCGGAUUUGUUGUUGCGAUUUUCCCCAACACAAUAAAGGUGCAAAGGUCUUCUUUCAAGAUUUCCUCCCCUUUACCGACCGUCCCUAAUGCAAGUGGCAAAAGGACUUGAGGGUUGGUACCCGAGACUCAAGUUCGAAUCCUAGUUGAUUCACAUUUCCAGCUAAAUUUAUUUCUAAAUAAAAAAAACGAAUCGAGUAGCGUGCUACCUAUCUCUCAAAAAAAAAAAAAAAAAAAAAGAUUUCCUCCCCUUUGCUUACAUCCUCGUCAACUCUCCGUUGCCAAGCUGUUAAUUUAACACUAUCAAGACUUUUUCGGCCAAAUUAACACCUUGGUGUUAUACAAACUUCAAAUUGACCUCCUAAAAUCAUUAAUCUCUUGAGUAUAAGAAAAUGAGAAGUUGAGACUACUGCACUGAUGUUAUAUUUACAUCUCCUGUCUAUCUUCAUUUUUAUGUUUUGUUUAAAAAAGCCGAAUGGCUAUAGUAGAUUGGACGGCCCAUUCAAAGGCAACUAACCUGCUGCAGGUUGUAUGGCCUAUUCAUGUGCAACAAUCUGCUACUGUUCAUUCCCCUUGAUUUGCUGUAUUGGGAGUUUCUGCUGCUGUUUUCUUCCCAUCCUGAUAUCACAGCCUUUGAUUCCACUUGGUGCUGCAUUCUCACAUGAUUAAAGAUGCACUUUUUCGAUUCUAGCUACAAUCUGAGCCUCCCUAUUUUCAAAUAAAGAUACUACCUGUUGUAGUUAUAUUUUGUUGCUUUGGUUCAUGAUGCUUUUUACUAUUUGACUUGACAUAUUUUUUAUCCACUCCUUAAUACUAAGGUUCAAUGAUUUAGGUAAUAAGCCCACAACCAACAGCUAGAAACUUCAAGUUUCAAAAAUAAGUCAUGGAUUUAGAUUCAGGUCACUUUGUAGUAACAACAUUUUUUUAAUGUUAGUUUUUGUUGAUGAACGGUUGGCAGGGCAUUGCACCUAUUGUUAAGCUAAUUAAUGAUGAAAAAUAAGAGGUGACGUGUGCUUGCCUAUGAUAUAUCUGAGCCUCAUUACUUUCUUGCUUUCAAUGUUUUCUACUUAUUUUAUUUAUGUGUUGGUCCUCAGUGUUUUUUAUUGGAUUUUGCUUUUCUACACUUGAUCAUACUGUCUUUUCUCCUUUUUUUAACAAUAUGCAUGAACUUUGCUUCAUUUUUUUUUUUCCGAAUUCCAUUGCUGGUUGGGUGUUUUCCUGAGUUUAUCCUUUGCUUUGGUUUUCUUACUUCCUUCUUUACAUCACUUUACAAAAAAAAAAGAAAAGGAUUGACCUCCUUCUCUUGCAAUCUGGGCAAUAGCGACUGUCCACUUUUCUUAUGUUAGGAUGCUUGGCGAGGUUUACGAACAGCUCGGUCGAUCUAGGAGUGCCGCAAGUUGUAGUGGCCACUGAUACGGAAGGCAAAUUUGUUGGAUAUGUGGAUCUCCAGAUUUCCACGAAGCGAAACUGUUGUCCAAACUGUUCGUUGUUCGAGCUCCCAGUUCCCUACUUCUGCCGGUGCCGAGCAGGAUGCUGCAUGCCUUGCUCUUAGGCGGAUUAGAGAUUAAAAGAUAUUAAUUACGAUGACUCUCUCUUCUACAAAAAUUUAUAUGACCAUCAAACAACCAAUUAUGCCAUUUUAUCUGCACAGUAUGGCAACCUUUCUUGGGAAUAUAACUUAUUGAAUGAUGAAUAUGUUGAUGACCGGAUCAAGCUUCGUAAUGCCAUUGUUGAGUGCGUGAACCGUCUUCCUGCUGAAUUGCCUGCUCCUGCUGCGGAUCCCUCUGAUGCUAUGUCUAACCAGCUGGCUUAGUUGCUCGGGCUUCUUAACCGGUCCAUGCUUUUGUUUUCGGCAAAGUCAUUUUGUGCACAGCGUUUUGGUUUGGCAUGAAAUAAUAUGUACUUUGCUUUGUGUUUAGUGUUUUGCAGUUUAUGUGUUCUCUGUUUCACUCCAAAUAUUCUGUGUGGUUUCUUCUAUAUAUAUUUCAGUUUCUCUCUCUUUACCCAAAAAGUGUCUUAAUUUUUAUAACUCUUUUUGUUGACUUUCUACUCUUAUUUGAAGUGUGAGGAAUGCAUCAAUUGUGCUCUUUUUUUUUUAUUAUUGGCUCCCUUAAAGUGUGGGAAUGAGACAACUCUUGAGCAUUUUCUUCUCCAUUUGCCCACUGAACCACCAGCGGAGGUUCAUGCUAGGAGGAAAUUGUUACCCACACAAACUACAUAGUCAAAAACUGCAAUAAUAUUGGACAAUAGUAGACCUGGCAAACGCGCGGGUUAGGUAACCCGCGGGAGGGUCUGUGUACCCGCAGGUUACUUGGGUAUGAGUAAAAUUUAUCCGCAAAUUUUUGGGUAGCCAACAUCAUUACCCAUACCCGCCCGCGGGUGGGCGGGUGGGUAUGCGGGUUACCCGCAAUUUUUUUUCUUUUUUUCUCUUGUAUUUUCUAAAUGCAAAAUACAUAUAGAUAAGUUUUAAAAAUAUAACAUAACUCAUUAUUUAAAAUAUCAUAACAUAUAAUAAAAAUAUUUAAAGUCUAAUAGCUAAAAAAUUUCGUAAUAUAAAAGACGUGAUAAGAAAUUAGAGUUAGAAUUUUUAGAAUGGAUAAAUAAAAAUAUAUAUUUUUUAAUUAAGAAAAUAUAUUUUGUAAUUAAAAAAAAUAUGUGCGGGUAACCGUGGGUACCCGCGGGUUACCCAAUAUGCCCACAGCUUAAUAGGUACCCACCCGUUUUACCCGUAAUUUUUUGGGUUGGGAAAGCUGGUAGCCAUACCCGCAAAUUUGCGGGUAAUCCGCGGGCACCUGCGGGUAUGGGUCGAGAUUGCCAGGUCUAGGCAAUAGUAUAUAUAUACUUUCCUUUGUUUUUAGUGUUUUGCAGGUUACGUAGCUUCUAAUUUACUUCAAUUUUAGUGUGUACUUUCUUCUUUAUUUUAGAUACUCUCUCUUCUCCCAAACUACCUCUUUUUUUUAAAAUAAAAACUCUUUUUAGUACGAGGAAAAUAAUCUUAAGCAUUUUCUUCCUCAUUUUCCUCAUUUCGCCACAAAUAAUCUGAAGAUUUAGAAUUAAUACUGUAUUUAUAUUAUAUGUUUUAUUGUACUGUUAACUAUGGGUUGUAUUCUUUCGCUGAACACGUUGAAGAGUACAAUAUAACUAUGUUUUAUUGUACUGUUCACUACUAUAUAUAUGUUUGUCAAUAUAUUUAUCCGAAGCGAAGCGCAGGGUUUUCACUAGUAAAUAAUGAAACUAGGGGUGAAAACGGAUCGCAUAUGGUAGACCUUUUUUCUAAAUAAUCUUUAAAAAUAUUAUAAUUGGCUAAAUAACCCUAUAAAAAAAUAUUUGAUGAAAUUACCCUCCCUUGCCAAGUCAGCAUGAAGUAGAAUUUUAUUUUAAAAACGGUGAAUCGUUUACCGUCCAAACAAUUCACCGUCUUCAUAAUAUCUUACUAAAGCGGUGAAUCGUUCACCGCCUUCUUAAAAAUUAUUUCUUAGAUUUUUUUUUUUGGUUGCUAGGAUAUAUAUGAAAAAUAGAAAGAAAGAUGAACGUGCAUUAAGAAAAAGACAGUAAAUAAUUCACCAUUUGUAUGAAAAAUUACAAAGCUGCUGAUCGUUCAGUUCAGUGAACAAUCCACUGCCUUUAAGAGAAAAUUUCACCCAGACUCCUAGUUGGCAAACAAGGGUUAGUUCGCCAAAAAAAUUUCAGAAAGUUAUUUACCCAAAUAUGAAUUUUUAUAAAGUUAUUUCGACAAAAAGUCCCAUAUGGCUGGAUAUUUGACGAAACCAUAUCCGCAUUCAUUAUUUUUUUUCAAAUACAGAUUCGGAUAUAGAUAUGUGUCGGAUGCUAAAUUUUUGUUACUAUAUCGGCUAAAAAUGAAUUCCGAUAAGGUCGAAUAUAUAUUAGAAAUACAGAUCGGAUAUGUAUUCGGAUAUUUUUCGAAUAAUAAUAUAUAUUAAUAAUAUGCACAUAUACAAUAAACAAGAAACACAAAAUUUUUUUUAUUUUCCUACCUUAUUUUCUCACUUUAUUUCUUCACAUAUAAAAUAUAUAAUUUUAAUAUAUAAUUCAUUACAAAAUAAAAGAAUAACACAAAAAAAAUCACCUUAUUUUCCCACAUCAUGUAUUAAUCAUUCCUCUUAUAUCUGCACAAAAAAUAUAUAAAAGUCCGAAUAUCCAGACCCAUAUCCUUUUUUUCGGAUAUCCAGAAAAAUUUAACUCUCUAAAAUUAUAUCCGUAUCCGUAUCCGACUGGAUCCGGAUAUUUUCUAUAUGGAUUCAUAUAUUUUCGAAUUAUAUUCGAUCCGUUUUCACCCCUACAUGAAACUGUACCUCAUAUAAAUUAUUUUUCAAUUACUAUAAAAAAAUAUAUUAUAUGAACACUGAUCACUGAUUAUUCACGGCAUGACACAUGAUAUUAAUUCCUCGCAGGUAUUAAGUAGGUAUAUGUUAGGAGAUAUUUAUUCCCGGGUAAAUUGCAUAUUUGGUCCUCAAACUAUCAAAUGCGCCCGACAUUUUGGUGCUCAAACUUUAAUUAUUACAGUUACUUGCUCAAACUUUUAAAGUUAUUGCAAUUAAGUCAGGCAAUCCAAUUUAGUUGACUAAAUAUUGAUUCACCGCUAAUGUAAAAGGUGAUAUAGCAUUUUAAUAAAUAUCACAUCAUUAAUUACGAUACUGUCACAUUACUUUUAUAUUUCUAAUUUGUUAAUAUUUAGUGACAGGUCUAAGCCGCGUUGAGAACGAAGAAGGACAUGAAUGGAAAGAGAGAUACAAGAAGAACAAAUUUCUUCGACAAAUAUUAUUAUUUUUUUUUUUUUGAGAGAGAAAGGUUGCUAGCUAACUGUUUCAUUCAUUAAGUGAUAUGAAUAUUAAAAAAAAAAUUACAUAAAAAAAAUAAAAUAUUAUUAAUCAAAUCUAAAAUAUAAUUACAUUAACUUGACGUCACAUCCGUAUAUAGGGUUGAUAUCCCAAUCUUAUUAUAGUUGAAUAUAAUAAAGUUUUGAAAAUAAUCUAAAAAUGCAAAAACAGAGAAUGCAAAAACAGAGACCUAAACAGUUGAAUUUGGGCUCCCAGCUCAGCCGAUAUUGCUUUGUCGUUUGACCGGUAAAUCUCGAAAAACAUUUUGCGAAUUAAGAUUGAGCGCUAAAAACGGACAUUCGAGCGAAAAAUUGAGGCCGUUUGAAAACUCUUUGUGCCGAUUGUAAAAAUUAUCGAACUUAACUGAAUUUUAGGGCCAGCUUAGUUGUGUCGCAGUUUUCUACAAAUUUUAAUGCCUAAUUAGCCGCAUCAUUUAGCCAACUAAAUUAGAUUAAGAAACUUAAUUAUAAUAAUUCUGAAAGUUUGAUCAAACCAGGAGACUCAUCGAUUGAGCACCACACGCGCAAUUUAACCUUCAUUCUUCAUUGAAAACAUAAUUAUUCACGCCUAUUUCAGGGAGCGAACUAGGACCACCUACUAGAUACUAAAAAUGUUUCAUAAUUUUUUUGGCUAAAUUACAAAAAGAAAAUCUCUUAUGAAUAUUCGCUUCUUAACUUUUUGUCCUUAACUUUUUAAAUUUUAUAUUUUACCCUCUCAACAUUUCAAUUUGUUGUAUUUAGCUCACCUCUGUCAGGGUUCCAUAACUAUUCCGCACAUUUUUAUAAUUUAUACCAAAAAUAUCCUUCAAAGUAAUAGAAAUAUAUUAAAUAAUAUAUUUUUUUUUUUAUAGAAGAAAGGUAAUUUGAUUAUUUUGUUUUUUUUAUUAACGUCGUACCUUCCUAAAAAUAUUUCUGAAAUUUUAAAAGGACAACAUAUAGAGGGCUUUUUUAUAAAAUGACCCUCCAGGAAUUCGAUUUUGGCAAAAUAACCCUACCAAAAUUUUAUUUGUAAAACUAACCCUUCUUUCGCCACGUGGGCGCCACGUAAGGGAUUCCUCAAAAAGACGGUGAAUCGUUCCCCAUCUUUGUAAUUUUUGUUUAAAAGCGGUGAAUGGCUCACCGCCUUUAGAAGACGGUGAAUCAUUCACCGUCUUUAGUGCAAAAUUCUCCUUUCCGCCCUUUCCCCUUUCCGCCCUCUCAAGUCCGCCGUUUCUGUGCCCUCGAGAAGACGGGGAACGAUUCACCGUCUUAUCAAAGACACCAUAUUAUGGAUUUGAAAAAAUUUGCGCAGAGUAGAAAUUUGUACUAAAGACGGUGAAUGAUUCACCGUCUUAUGAAGACGGUGAACCAUUCACCGCCUUCACAACAAAAAUCAAAGACGGUAAACGAUUCACCGUCUUUUUGAGGAAUCCCUGACGUGGUGCUCACGUGGCGAGAGGAGGGUUAGUUUUACAAAUAAAAAUUUUACAGGGUUAGUUUAGUAAAUACGAAAUUUCACAGGAUUAUUUUCGAAAAAAGUCCCAUAUAGAUUUUUGAAAGAAAAAUUGAAUAUUUACGAAAAAGUUUUCAGGAACUCAGCCUAACUUUUUUUUAAAGGAAAAAAAACUUUUUUUAAAGGAAAAAAAAAAAGAGAGGUUGUUUUCUUUUUGAAGUUGCUCCUGUGAGUAUAAAAGAGCAGCACGCACCCACCUCACUUGAGCAAACAGCAACCUCCUGCAGGCGAAGACUGCAACCGGCCAUGGCGUGCAAAGUACAUCUGCUGGCUUUUAUUGCUUUCUCCAUCGCAGCAGCCUUCCUUAUCCCUGCUGCCAUGGCCCGGCAGGUCCCCUCGGUCGCGAGCACGACGGCCAGCAUCGUAUCAACAUUCGGUCGGUAUAACAUCAUGAUUUUCUAUCGACGCGCUUAUUCUACGGGGUUUUGUAAAGCUCACUGGUUUUGUAAAGUUUCUCUGUUGCCGAUCGACUAAGUGGUUUCGCAUUCAUCAGGAGACAAACUCGACGCUUCUGGUGAGAAGGUCUUCUUUCCUCUGCCUAGGCCGUACUUCAAGCCGCCGUGCCUUCCGCCGACGUCGUCGUCGAAGCCUACGACGACUCCAUAAAGCGCUUUUCUUUAUAUCCCCGGGGCCUACUAUAAUAACAGCACAUCCCUGGUGCAUAGGUGGAGUGAAAAAAAAAAAAAAAAAAAAAAAGGAGAACAUAUAAUCUCACAAUUGUAUGUUUAAAAGCUACAACCGCAGAAGACGAAGAAGAAGAACAUCAUCAACACAAUCNUUUAAUUUAGUACCCAAUGGUUUAAUUUUUCUGUUUUUAUUAUCCACUCCGUUAAUUUUUUUUUAUUAAAUCAGUAAUAAAGUUAAAUCUAAAAGGAACUAAAAUAAAUAUUUGAUAAAUCUAGGUGGAGUGUCUGAAGCUUUUUGUAUAUAAUUUAACGAAAUGUUAAUAAAAGAGCUGACGAAAAGAAAAAAAAUAAAACCACAUGAUACUAAAUUGACAAAUUUUAAACCACAUGGUACUAAAAUAAGAAAAUGCCAAACAACAUGAAUGGUAUUUAAAGUUUACCUUUAAAAAAAAAAAAAAAAACAAAAGCCUGCACAAGGAUUUGGAGUACUGAUGCUCAAUAUUGGUUUAGGCUUGUUGGAUGUUGGAAUAAAAAUAUUUAAUGAUAAUUUGCCCUCAUAAGAUUUUCUUUUGUGUGAUUGAAUUCUAAAACUGAGUUAUUUUCUAACUGGGAUAUUUUUUUGAUUAGGGUAAGAUACUUCUGUUAAAUCUAGCUAUUUCCCGGUUAUACCGGAAUAGUUUGGGACAAACUAUUCCACCCUUUUAGUGAAAUAGUGCUACUCCAAUAUUUAAUUCCAAAUUUUAUUAAUAUCAUAAAUAUUAAAGCAAAUUAUAUGGAUAUGAUAUAUUAUAUAUUAUAAUAAAUUAUUUUUAUUAUAAAAUUAUUAAUUAUACUAUAUUAAUACAUAUUAUUUGUACUUAAUAUUAUAAUAAAUUAUACUUAAAUAUUAUCUAAUAAAAGUUUAAUAUUUGUUCCUUAAAAUAUCUUGUUAUGUAUGAUUUGAUGAGAGAGCAUACUUCACAUAAAAGCUGAUUUAUCCUAUUUGGAAGAAUUGAUUGGAUCGCCGAAUAUGAUAUCUGUUCUUUACAUUAAUCACAUCCAUUUGCAAAAUAUUACACGUCUCUUGAGUAAAUCGAAGGAAUAUACUAAAUAAGAUAUUUAUGAAUCCAAACAGGAUCUUAAGCGCGUGAUAAAGCUUUAAGAUACGGAGAAUCGAUUUCAUCAACAUUGUAAGAACCAAAAGCUUAAAUCAACAAAGAAUUAUCAAUACUGAAUUAAAUUUUCAGCUAAGUGCUUUUUGAUUUACAUUUCAGCUGCAAAUGCAUGCCAAAUUACAGUCAGAAUUCACUGACUAAAGAAGUAAACAAAGUGAAAUAACUAAGUUUGUGCCAGCAGAUCUGAGUUUAGCUUAUUGAAAAUUCAUGAAGGGAGGCUGGUCAGGUUAAUUAGCUGUCUCUGUUCCACUAAUUUUUGUAUGCAAUAAAUGGCAAUAACUAACAUUGAGCAAAAGUUCCAACAGCAAUAAGAAGUUGCUACUUUGAUACUGCAAUAAAAAUCUGUUGGAGUAAACAAACCAGAGUAAACAGUGGACUCUGACAUCAAGCUGUCAGGCCGCAAAACAAACAUGUAGUGCCAUCAUCUUGGAGGCAGCUAAGUGUAACAAAGACAUGAAGCUUAAUUCAGCAGCAACCAAGUCUGGCAUAAAUUGCAUAAAGCUGAUUUUUGCACGCAAGAAACAACACUGUCAGGCUAUGGUAAUCUGACAUCAACCUUUAAACUGCUUUAUAAUUGACCAUCAAUCUGUAACAUCCUCUGUAACAUCCCAAUAGUCACAUAUCAGAUUAGAAAAUGAUUCUGAUUAGAAUAUAUGAGACCUCUACGCUAGUAAUAAUAAUCGAACUUAAACAUUUCGGGCUAGUGGUGUGGGUCCAAUGAUUUAUUAUUACUAGCAGAUCGGGUCGUUACAAUUAGUAUCAAAGCCGAAUACCAGUCGGAAGUGUGAGAACUAUAAGUGUUAUGCGCAUUUGGACCUGACGAGGAUGUCAUGGUCUAAAUAAAGGGAGUUUGUAACGCCCUAAUAGUCCCACAUUGGAUGGAAAAAUAAUUUUGAUUAAAAAAUAUGAGGCCUCCAUGCUAGUAAUAAUAAUUGAACUUAAACAUUUUGGAUCGAUGGUUUGGGCCCAACGAGUUAUUACUGUUAGCGAGUCGGGUCGUUACAAAUCUUAGAAGAAAAGGAUAAAUAAUGACGAAACAAGCAGAAAGAGCAUGUCUGAUAUUACUGAAAUCAGUGUUAGAUUAGAUUGCCAAUCUAUCAACAAUUCAAUCCUAUGGAGAUCCGGUAAAAAUGUAACACUCCAUUUGUUUCGCGAAUAAAGCAGGUAUAAUGAAACUUUUGUUAAUUUUGAAUACUUUGAUCACUUGGUAAAUAAUAUCGAAAAAUCACAAAAAUUAUUUUCUAAAAACUUCAAAUACACUAGAUCAACUCCAAUAGAGCCGAUCGUCAUUCGAAAAUUCUAUUAUCGAAACCGGCUCAGGAGUACGGAAACCUCAGUGCUACUUAGAGUACAACAAUCCUCUCUCUCUCUCUCUCUCUCUCUCUCUAUAUAUAUGGCAAUUUCUUAUAUAUCCUUGAAAAUUUUUUGGCUUCUAAUAUACCCCUCUUAGAAGAUUAAUAUUAAAAAUACCUUUUUAACAUUCCAAGUUAUCUCAAAUAUACCUCUGAAGCUUAAGCUAAUAGAGAAUAGUGUCUAAAUAUCUUUAUAUUUAACACUCGCUCUCAUGUCUUAGCUCAAGACCUUUGUUCGCUAAAAACUUAAGCUAAUAGAAAACGGUUAACAUUCUACUAAUGUCUAGGCUCAAGACUUUUUGGUAGGCUCAUGAUGUGGACUUGAAUUAAAUAGAAAAAAUUUAGUAAUGCUAGGAGUCUGGCGUUAUUCGAACUAAGAAUCUCCUACUCUGAUACCAUUUUAAAUAAUGUGAAACAACAGUUAGUCUCAAAAAGCUUAAACUAAUAGAAAUUAAUAUUUAAAUUUAUCCUUAUUAAAUUGCAAAUCGCGGUAAACCAUUAAAGCUAUUCUUUAGUCUCUUCAAAAGUUGUCAUUAUGGGUGGAAACGAGCCGAACUCGAGCGAGCUUAUCUCAGCUCAAGUUUGGCUUGAAAUUAUUUUCGAGCCUAAAUUUAUAUAUAGAAUUAGGCUACUAUACUAUUAAUAGUACAAACCGCUUGCUAUUAGGUUUUUGGCCUUUAAUUUGAUGAAGGGAUGUGCGGUCAGGAUGAUAGUACCUAUCUAGGGUUGAGUGAGUGGCUAGUUGAAUAGUAUGAUCUAACGGAUGAAAAUGGCUAAAGGAAUAGAUUUAACAGCAAAAAACUAGAUAACACCAAAUGCUUGGUACUAUCAAUAAUGUAGUAGUCGAAAUCUAUAUAUAUAUAGGUAGAUUUAACGGCAGAAAACUCAACAGUACAAAUUAAGCGCUUAGUACUAUCGAUAGUAUAGAUAAUAUAGUAGCCGAACUAUAUGUAUAGAGAGAGAAAGAGAGUCCGGCUACUAUAUUAUUGACAGUACCAAAUGCUUAGUGCUAUCGAAUUUUGUGUCGUUAGAUCUACCUUUUUUUAUCAUUUUCAUCUGUAAGAUCGUAUUAUUCAACUAACCACCCACUCAACCCUGGGAGGCCCAUAUCAUUCUAACCGCACAUUUCUCAAUCCAAGGGCUAAAAAACUAAUAGCAUCAAUAGCUUAGUGCUAUUAAUAGUAUUCCAGCUUAGUUUGAUAUAUUAUAAUAUGAGUAUAUAUAUACAUAUAUAUAAGUAUAGUUAUUAUUAUAUAUUAUAGAGCAGGGGCUGAUGUGCUCAUCUAGGGCACGGAGGGGUCGGGACUGUGUUUCGAUGAGUUCCGAAUCGCAUCUGCUUCUGAUUAAAUUGAUCUAGGAUUUUGAAAGUUUCUAUAACAUAAUUUUACGAUUUUGAUAUCAUUUACCUAGCAUCGAUAAUUUGAUUCAAAAUGUAAUUUUUAACGGCUGAAAAUAAAAUCUAUAAAAGUUAGGUGAGGUGAUAAGUACUAUGCACUAAAAAUUUGCUUCGAUCAGGACUAUUAUUUAUUGUGAUAUAUAAAGAUUUUGUGUAUCAAGAAUUUUAUCUUUGAUUUGAAUACUUCAACUGUUUUAACUGAAAACGAGAUAUCAACCAUUAAAAAUUAUGGUUGAAUGCUUUCCGAUCACUAAGUAAAUAUACCAAAAAAAUCGCAAAUUAUUUUAAACUUCAAAAUGCGAGAUAAGUCUAACAGGACCGAUCUCAAUUUGAAAAAAUUCCUAUAGCGAAAACGCUAAGAGCACGGAGGCUCCAUGCUCGUCUGAGAGCACAGCAGCCUGCUCUAAUAAUUAUAUUAUUAUAUAUUAUAUAUAAUAUAUAUAUAUUAUAUAGUGAAUGUACGUGCAAAUGAGUAAUAAUUAUUUAAUUUAUUUCAAAUCAAUAUCAAUUUGUAUAAUAUAUAUCCAAAAUUUUACAAUAAAAAUCUAUAUUUAUAAAUUCAUAUGUUAUAUUUAUGGGUAGAAAUAUUCUAGAAGAAUAUUCCUUAUAGUGUUCUUUUUUUUAUAUAAAUCGAAUAUUUUUAUAUACUUUGCAUUUUUGAUGAAUCAAAUUUAAAUAUAUAUUUUAAACUAAAAGCAUCAAAAUUUAAUUCACAUUUACUUUACAAUUUAAAAUUUAAUUUUGAUUCACUGUAACAAAAAAAUUAAUUGUUAAUUCAAAUUUGAUAUCAAAAAUUAAAUUUAAUUCAUAAUUUAAACUCAAAUUUUAAUUUUAAUGUAAAAUAGAUAAAUAGGAAUGUUAUUUUUAGCAAAUUGAUCGUAACUGUUUGUUUUUAUUUGAACCGUUUGUUUUUAUUUGAGAUAUUUUUUAACAAAUUGAUUAUAAUCGUUCAUAAGAUUGAAUUUAUAAAUGGAUAGGAAUGCUAUUUUUUAAUAGAUUGAUCAUAACCGUUCGUUUUUAUUUGAGAUAUUUUUAAUAAAUUAAUUAUAACCAUUCGUCGGGAAUAUUAUUUUAUUCCUUUUUGGAUUUCAUCUGUUAUUGUCGGAAUUUCUAUACGCUUUUAUAUAUAGUAUAGAUAUAUAUAUAUAUUUCGAGCUUUCCGAGUUUAAUUCGAGCGAGCUGAGUAAUACUGAAACUCAGCUUGAAAUUAAUUUCAAGUCUAAAUUUAGGCUCAAGCUUGCUUGAAAUAAAUUCUCGGCUCGAGCGAGCUGAAUAUCGAGCCAAACACGACUCAAACACGAGCCGGCUUGCUCAUUUGCGUGCCCUAGUUGUCAUGUGUACAAGAGUUCCUUUUAUUGUCAUUCAAUGCUUGUGGAGCUAAAAAUAGACCACUUUUAGUUUCUUGCUUAUUGGCAAAGUGCCAUUGGAUACAGUGAAUCAGUGACAUCAUUUAUGGAGCUCAAGGCAUGGCGGUAGGCGGAGGGCGGGGUGCUCGGAAGAAUGGAGGGAGAUAUAACCACAGCUUUUCUUCUGUUACAUUGGGAGUGCUGUCUUCCUCUCCUGUUGAAGAAGGAAUAAUAUUGGGAGUGCUGUCUUCCUCUCCUAUUGAAAGAAAGAAUUCAAGGAUACAGACCAUCAAUAAUUCAGUUCAGAUGAAUGGUUUUCUAACUAUAAAAAAAUAAAAUAAAAUCAAUCUCGGAUGUCAAUGUUUUGUUGCAUUUGCAUUGUUAUUGUUAUUAUCAUGAAUCUGGUCACAAUAUAUGAAGGGAAAAUUUCAUAGGUACCCCUGUGGGAGACUGAAAUUUCAUCAAUAACCCUCUAAAGUUGAAAAUGUCAUGAAUGCCCUUCUAAAUUCAAAAAAUACUCAUGAAUGCCCCUACUGUUAACCGGCCGUCAAAAUCUAACCGAAUAAAUUAUAAAUGCCAUUUUUACCCCUGUAUAGUUCAUUUAAGUAUAGAAAGCCUAAUUAGUAUAUUAACACCAUUCAUAAAUGCCCUCUUACCUUAGCAUUAAUUAGUUAUUUCCCGCCAAAUAUAUCAUUCUAACUUUUGGGGAGAAAUUUGUCAUUCUAUAUUUUAACUCUUAUUUAACUAUAUUUUAAUCCGGAUAGAGUGACAUGUCCUUAACGGCAAGGAUAGUUAUGAUAAUUUUAUGUGUUUGAAGAGGUAUUUAUGAUAUUUUAAAGUUUAGAGGAGUAUUCACAAAAUUUAUAAGUUUGAUAAGAUUACUAAUGAAACUGUCCUUUUUCUUUAUAAUAAUAAUUUCAUAUAAUUUAGGGUAGACUUCAAAUACCAACCCUGUGAUUUUGCACUUUUUCACUUUAGUAUCAUAUAGUUUAAAAAGUAUCACUUUAUUACCCUAUGGUUUCGUUUUUCUCUUUUCAUUAGCACCUUCAUUAACUCUUCAUUAAAUUAUAUAUAAAAAACUUCAAAUACUCCACCUAAGCUUUAUUGAAUAUUCACUUUUGUAUCCUGUAGUUUACCAAAUUUUUAUAUUAGUACUUUAUGGUUUUAACUUUAUCACUGAUAUAAUUGAAAAAUUAAUGGAGGGGAUAAUAGAAAGAGAAAUUUAUUAAAUAUAUUAACUUUAUUAAAAUUAAUAAUGAAAUAAAUAUAAAAACUCAAGUAAAAAAGUAGAGGUUAAAGGGGUGUCAACAAAAAAAAUUUAAAGUUGAUGGGCCUAUAUCAAAAUCUCUAUAGUUGAGGGGUCUAGAGAUCCCUCAACUAUAUGCUAUUUUGAAAUAAUUCCUUUAAUAAAUUUUCUUUUUUUUUUACACUAAAUCUCUUAAUUUUAAAAAACUAAAAGUUAAAGGGUCUUAACAAAAGACUGCAUACUUAAAGGAAUUAUUUCAAAAUAGCAUAUAGUUGAGGGAUCUCUAGUACAUUUCUCAAGUAGUAUGAAGUUAGGGGUAAAUUCGUCAUUUCAUGACUUAACACAUUAUUGAUCAGGAUAAACUGACGGUUUUUUAACAGAGGGGUAUUUAUGAUAAUUUUUUAUAUUUCAAGGGGUAUGCAUGAUAUUUUAACUUUUGUAGGGUUAUCUACGAUAUUUGUAAAUUUUAGAGGGGUAUGGAUGAAAUUACCCCAUAUAUGAAUUGUAAUAAUCCAGCCCAUUCGAAUUAAUAACUCGUUGAACUUUAUUUAUUAAUUCUAGUGCACCAAUCAUAUAUGUAGUGUUGGCUUAAAUGGACCAGUAUUCUGUCCUGUACUAGAAUCAUUUGUCUCUAUAUUUCCCAUGCAUAAAUAUUAUGUUAUACCUUUGUUUAUUCAAGAAUGAUGGAUUGUCCAAAUCAAUUUAUUGAGUUCAUCCAAGCCACACUAAUUCUCAAUAAAUGGGCUAGUCAAAUAGAUUUUUGAACUUACGUAUCUUUAUCAACAUCUUCAUAGUUUUUACCCAUUUUGAUUUAACUCAUUCACCGGUAGCAUAACUGAUUUUGAUAAUAGUCGGUAGGCUUCGUCCCAACUCCGCUGGCAGAAGUAUCUCAAAUCAAAAUGAGUAAACACUAACGACGCAUCAAGGAAAAAAAAAAAAAAAAAGGAGUGAGAGAGGGAAAUGCUUUGGAUCUACUAUAAUAAAUGGUUUUUGCAGGUUUCUGAUGUUGGCUUAAAUAUGCUAGCAUUCUACCCUACGGCAAGAGGCUGGAUUGAGCCAAAUCAUAUUCGAAAUAGCGUGAGGUUGGAUUAGACUGAGUCAUAUUCUAAGUGACGCGAGGCCGAUUAGGCCGAGUCACAAUCGAGAUCCAUAAGCAUUGUAUCUAUACGUCUUAAGUGAAUGGAUUGCAUAUUUCUAACGGCUCGAAUUUUUGAAAUUAAUGGUUAGCGCCAACGAUCCAACAAUUGAUGUGUUGGUAUUAUAAUGUGGACUAGAUACGUGCAUAAACCAAUCAAUGCCUCUUGAUUCCAUGAGUAUCAACACAUCAAAUAAAGAGCAACAUUUUGGGGGAUAAGGAGCAAUACUCAAAAAAGAGAAAAGUUAAGAAGAUAUACACACAAUUUAGAGAGUCUCUAUGAAUUUCUCUAUUUGCAAAAGUUAAGAGAGUCACUGACCUAUCAUGCUGGUUUCUAUUGGAGGUGUGGAUGAAGAAACAUCUCGGCCUACAACAGGAGAUAUGAGCUUGCCAAAGAAGAGCAAGAGAAUUGUGAAUGCAAGGAAUACAUGGGGAGUCUUCAUAGUUAUCUUUCUUUGUCCAGGGCACUUUGUGGGGAUGGAUUCAUUCUCACACAAAUAUUUGCACCAUAUAUAAACACCAAUAUGUGAAGAUAUAAGGUGCAAUUAAUGAUCCUUGUGAGACCUAGAGGUGUUAACAAGCCAAAUACGAACGAGCCGGGACCGGUUCAUUUUACAGACGAGUUGAACAUGAGCUCCCUAACUAAAGUAUCGAGUCAAAAAAUUCAACUUGUUUAGUAAUGAGCUGAACACGAACUAGCUCACGAACAUCAAGUUAAGAGGAUUUGAAAAGAUAUAUGUAGAAAAUAAAUUUAAUCUAACGACUGAAACUUUACAUAUAAAUAAGUCUUUUCAUAAUUGACUUAUGCUUUAUAUUUACAUUGGGUUAAAAAUUAAAUAAUAAAAAUAUGUAUUUAUAUAUAUAAUUGUUUAUUUAUAUAUAAAUAUAAAAUAUAUGUAUUCAAGUUGUUAUUUAGCCGAACACGAGUGAGCUGACCCCAUCUCGUGUUCGGAGCUGACCCCAUCUAGUGUUCGGCUUGUUUACCAAACGAGCUAUUUGAUCUCACACGAGCUGGCUCGUGAAAUAGGGAGGUGAAUUGCCACCCUAGUGAGACCAUAAACUCAAAAGUAGAAUUGUUUGUGAGUGGUGAAAUCAUUUUUAUGUUUCAAUAGGUGGUCCUUUUUGCUUAAAAUGGUGAAAAGUGGAAAGCAUUGUUUUGUAGCCACAAAUCAGGAUUAAGAAUCAGUAUCUCUUAAUUGCAAGGAAUUAAUAUCUUGGAAGGCAUCCAAACCUACUUUCCUAGCGAAAUUAAAUAUAUCUCACGUAGGGUAUUAUACCAUUAUUUUGUUCCAUGUAAGAUCGAAAAAUAUACUUCUCCAGAAAUACUAUGCAAGCUGAUCAACUAGCUAAUUAGAAUGUGUUUAGCAAAACAUGUACUGUAUGGUCCUCUUUUGAGGACUUUUUCAAUUCUAUAUCGUCUUGUUUUGUUUAAAUAAAUUUUCGCUCUCAGAUGAUUUCCCUCAAAAUAAAAAGAACGAAGAUGAGGUUUCUUUUGUAGCUAUAACUAAUUUUUGAGAGUACAACUCUUUUUGGCCCUAUUUCUGUGCAUACUUUCAGUUCCAACAAUUUGAAAUAGAAUAUAUGGAAAUCAAAAAAGAAAAAAAAAAAAAAGAAAAAGAAUUUGGAGAAAAACAAAACUAUAUUAUGCGUAAGACCUAUCUCACACUUUUGAUUAGCUGAUACCAAAUGUAGCGACUAAGUCCACAGACAUUAGUAAAUAAUUGGGCCUAAAACUAAUGAUUAAAAUACCUAAGUCUCGUUAUUAUUACUCGAGCCUCUAAGCCUUGCAUUUUCGUGUGUAAUUCUUUUUGUCAUUUGAUGUGGGACUAUUGUCGUCCCACAACUUACCUCUAAAGCACAAAUACGUACGGGUGCGUUUGGGCAAAAUAUUGCGAACAUUAGCCUUUUAAAUGGUAGUUAGUGGGUUUAGUUUACUUUAGCUCUUCUAACGAACAUCUAUGUAAAUUUGGUUAUGUAAAUUUGGUUAUAUCACGAAUCAUAAAGACUUCUUGAAAAGCAUUUAACAUGAUGAUGGCCUUCAAAACAAACGAGAUUUCACAAUUACUCUCACUUUCAAAUCUUCUACAUCACAAUGAUUCAUGUAGAUAAAAGCACUAACGUACGGUUAAUCCAGCCAUGGAUAUUCCAUAAAUUUUUUUUCAACUAAUAGCCUUUGAUGUCAUGCAUUGGAUGACUUUCUCCAUAUACUAACAAUAGUUCAAAUAGGAUUUUUUUUCCAAAAUGACCCUAUAAAAUUUUUUAAUUGGAUAAAUAGCCCUAUGAAAAAAAAUUUAGCAAACUAACUCUCUUAAUUUGCCAUGUAGAAGGCACAAUGAAUUUUUUUUUUUUAAAGGCAGUGAAAUUCACCGCCUUCAUGGCACUACAAUAAAAUAUAUUUUAGACAACGCUUUUUAGAAGAUACUCUAUUCUAGCGUCUCCAAUAUUUGGCAUGUGUCGACACCAUGAUUAAGUAUCGCCAAUAAACAUAUUUUUAUUAAAUACUAAUAAAAAUUUUCCGCCGUAAUAUUAAAGUUUCGGUAUAUUUAUCCCUACAUAUUUAUUUAACGACUUUUUGCUCGAUGUUUUUACAAGCAUCGGAAUUAUUCUUGCCAACACUUUAAAGCAUCACUAGUUAUUAUUUAAAGUGUCCUUAAGUGCAAGAUUUGUUGUGGAGAUGGUUAACGAUUCACAUCCUUCUAAAAUUUUCUAUAAAAGCGUGGCAUUAUUCACCAUCUUUCUCUUAAUAUACAAAACAGUGAAUAAUUUACUCUUUCUUUUUAUUUUUCAUAUAUAAUACUAACAACUACAUAAAAAUUUUAAUAAAUUACAUAUAAUCUUAACAACCUAAAAAAUCUUAAUAAUCUAUUCAUACAAUCCUAAUAAUGAAACCAAAAUUCUAAUAAUCUACAUACAACCCUAACAACCUCACUUUUUUCUAUUUUUCAUAUAUAAUUCUAUCAAUUAUAUAAAAAUUUCAACAAAUUACAUACAAUCUUAACAACCAAAAAAAUUGUAACAAACAAUCUUAAAGAAAGCGGUGAAUAAUUCAUCGCUUCAGUAGAAAAUUAUGAAAAGAUGAAUCAUUCACCGUCUUCUUAAAGAUCAUGAAUGAUUUACUGCUUUUAAAAGAAAAUUAUACCCCAUACUGACUUGACAAAAGGAAGAUUAUUUCUCCAAAUAUUUUUUUAGUAAGAUCAUUUAACUAAUUAUAAUAUUUUUUAGGGUUAUUUGGAAAAAAAAAAGUUUGCUCAAAUUGUGAUGCCCCAACUUUACAGGGGAUCACCCAUUCUAGGACUACUACCGUCCUAGCACGCUAAAUUCCCUUAAUCUCUUGGGCCUAGCCACCACCCAAAAUGUUUAACCCGAGUUAAGAGUUCUAGUCCUAUUAUAUCUUAUAUAUAGAACUAUAUAGGGGUCUCACAAUCUCCACCCUUUAAGCCCUGACGUUCUCGUCAGGCUCAGACUCACAAGUACCAGGCGAUGUGAAACUCGCCUCGCUAUUCUUGUCAUUCCGACCCUAGCUCAACUGAAACUCAUCUCACACUUUCGGCUGGUAAUUGGCUCUGAUACCAACUGUGACGCCCCAACUUCCCAGGGGGUCACCCAUCCUAGGACUACUCCCGUCCUAACACGUUUAACUCUCUUAACCUUUUGGACCUAGCCACCACCCAAAAUACUUAAGCCAGGUUAAGAGUUCUAGCCCUAUUAUAUCUUAUAUAUAUGACUAUAUGAGAUCUCACACAAAUAGCUUAGUAGUGUUUAAAAAACGCCAUUUCUUUUGGAUGAUUCUAAAUAACAAAUUGUUUAAGCUCAUUUUCUUUGAGUUAGUGAUACAGGUCAAAUCAAAAGGACCAAAAUUUGUUUUGCAACUGACAGGUCCAAAAAUAGUUUAAAAUUAGAGAGAUUCUGGCUAACUACAAGAUUUUGCAAAUUUAGAGAGCACUUAUAAAUUUGAAGGAAUUUGCAAAACAAUAACGAGGGUACGUGGCAAUCUUAACCCAAACCAAUUGGUUCAAUAUUUUUUUUUUGAGUAAACAGGGAUGUACCUUAUUUGUAAUACAGUUUUAAAGAUUUACAAAAGCAACUGAGUCGUUGAUAGAGUUCAAACACAAAAGGAUACAAAUAGAAACACAUAUGUAUGCGCGAAAGUACCGAAAGGACCACAGGGAAGUUCGUCCCUUCACACAAUCACACUCCAAGCGCAAAUUGCCAAAGAUUAAUUGUGUUAAUCACUCUCCUUCCUGUUUCGUCGCUUCGAGUGAGGUGUCCGUUGAAGAUACGACUGUUACUCUCCUUCCACAGUUCCCAGCAUGCUGUUGUAAGACAUAGAUCGAACAAUUUUUUCCGGCGGCCCCUCACAGAAGUCCGAGCACGAUUCCAUCGCUCAGUUAAAUCCCCUGGGUGAAUCAGCAACAAGCGUCGAGUUGUUGGAGUAGAUCGCAGCAGAUGGUGCCAGACAGCCAUGGCAUAGUUGCAAGAGAAUAGGAUGUGUUCUAAAUUCUCUCCGUUUAUCGAACAGAGAACACAAAUCGAAGGGCCAUGCCAGCCUCUUUGAGAUAGUGUGUCAGCUGUGAAGAUUUUGUUUCUCGCGGCGAGCCAUAUAAAGACCUUGACUCUUAGAGGAAUCUUGAGUUUCCAUAGGCAAGGGAUACCGCAAGCAUUUAUGCCAUCAAAGAUAAACAAAUUGUAAGCCCUACGUACCUCAAACCGACCAUCGUCGUUCCAACGCCAAACGGUCGAGUCGGUAGCAUUCGAUAGGAAGGUGCUCUGGAUCAAAGCUGUGAGCCAUGGGAGCUCUUCCAAAUGUUCUCACGGAAGUUCUGCAGGUCGGAAGCCCAGUGUGACGUUUUGGGUAAAACGUCGAAUCCAACUAGCGACCGAGAGAUGUUUAUGGCUUGAAAUUGCAUAGAGAUUAGGGAAUUGAGUCCGUAGCGAGAACUCACCGGACCAUCUCGCAUUCCAGAAAGACGUUGUCUGCCCAUUACCCAGUGACACACAAGUGGACACGUGAAAAGGUUGAGCGGUGUUAAGAAUUCCUUUCUAGAUUUGGCAGCACCUAAUAGUCGAAUUGCCUCCAACCAACGGUUGUCGAUGCUUAUAAUGUUUUUGCUUAAGGAGUCCGACCCAAGGAAGGUGUGGGGAGUUGUAAAAAUUUCAUAAUCCCUUCAUCAGCAAAGCCGAGUUCAUCGCGUAGAGGUUUCGGACUCCCAAUCCGCCUGAUUGUUUUGGACGGCAUACUUGUUCCCACUUAACUAGGCAAUGAAAACCAUUAUGCAGUUUUUGCCCCCUCCAGAAAAAAUGGCAUCUGAUUUUGUCAAUGGACUUGAUCACCCAUGCUGGCAUUUGAAACAGCGUACAAAAAUAUAAAGGGGUGCUCGAAAGAACCGAAUUUAGAAGUACUAGCCGACCUCCCCUUGAGAGUGUGAGCCCCUUCCAUCCCGCCAAGUAAUUAUCAAUCCUCUCAAUAAGCGGCAUGUAAUCAGAUUUGCAUAGUCUUUUAGGUGAGAGAGGUAAACCCAAGUAUGUCAGCGAAAAUUCUUUCACCAAGCAGCCAAUAGAGUUGGCUAAGGAUGUAGCUUGGGAAGCAGGUAGGUUGAUUAGGGUGAUAGAGCUUUUAUUGAAAUUGAUCGAGAGGCCCGAGCAUGCCGCAAACUAAUCAAGAAUAAACUUAGUAGUUGCAACUGACCUUGUGGAGCCAUCCAAGAAGAUAAUCAGAUCAUCCGCAAAUUGGAGUGUGUGCAGCCUAGCAUUUCCGAUCCCAAGGUCCGGUAGUAGGCGGGUUGUCGUUGCCAGCUGGAGCAACCUAAACAGAACAUCUACACAUAAAAUAAAAAGUAGAGGAGAUAGCGGGUCGCCCUUGUUGGAACAGAUUGUGAUAAAGGUAUGAAAUAGAAAGAUUAAAAAGGCUUCAAGGCGUGUAGCAAUGCCACUUUCCUUAAGGCUUAAUCCGUCCCCACCGUUCUAACAAUUUGGUGUGCACCGGGUCAACGAACAACCUCCCAGGAUACAAUGAAGCGUAAACCUCAACUGCGUUUGCACACACGAAGUCGAGCCUUUGAGCACUCACUCGAUUAAGUUGUCAAAAGAAAUAGAAUAUAAAACAAGAAUGGAAUUAUUAUGAAUGAUGACUUCAACUCUUCAACUGUUUUAUGUCUGUAUCCUUCUGCAACCAAUGCUAUGGACUUAUAUAGGCCACGAACGGGUGCUUCAUGAAGUGACUAUUCACGAAAGGGUGUUUCGUGAAGUGACUAUUCAUGAAUAGGUGUUUCGUGAAGUGACCUUUCGAUUGUGACUUUUCAUUUGAUCAUAACUACCAAAUAGUUAUAUGAAUCAAGUUCAAUGAAUAUAACCAUUGAUUCCAACGGGCAUAUGUACGAAGAGACACACUAUAAAGAUGUGUCUUUUCAUAUCAUAUUCUUUCACUAAAAGUCACAUCCUUUCACUCUAAGAGUCAUACCCUUUGAUUAGAGUUGUAUCCACUCACUAAGGGUUGCAUCCAUUCACUAAGAGUUGCAUCCAUUCACUAAGGAUUGCAUCCUUUCACGAAGAAUCACAUCCAUUCACUAAAAACAAUAAACAAAAUAUAUUAUUUUAAAAUUUUCCUUACAGCCCUGCCUAAGCCCCCUCUUACAAGUGAACCUUUUACCCGGAGUACCAUUAAGAAUCACGGACGCACUAGCCGUCUGAAGCAGGGCUUGAAUCCAAGCGAUCCAGCACGGAGUAAAGCCCCAAGCAUGUAGUAGGUCGAUCAGGAAACGCCAACUUAUUCGGUCGAAGGCCCGCUCGAAGUCUAUCUUCAAUAGUGCUGCCCGGUCUUUGGCUGUAUGUAGAUGGUGGAUGAGUAUAUGGGCACAACUGAAGUUGUCAAAAAUAUGUCGACCCUUGAUGAAGGUAGCUUGGUAGGGGUUGAUUAAAUAAUGUAAGAAGAAUUGUAGUCUUGAAGCUAGGACCUUCGAAAUCAGUUUCGCCAUACUGUGUACCAGGCCUAUAGGGCGGAAGUCGUUGGCGAUUAGUGCCUCCUUCUUCUUCGGGAUAAGACACAACCAGCUUGUGUUGAUCAAAUCGAUCUCGGCCGUGUUGUUGUAGAAGCUGUUGAAAACACUCAUAAUAUCAUCUUUAAGGAGAUUCCAGAACCGCUGAUAGAAUAGCAUCGGAAGCCCGUCAAGGCCUAGGGCCUUCUCGGGAGCACUAGAGAAAACGGCUCUCUUAACCUCGGCUAAAGUGAACGGGGUCUGAAGGCUUGAGAGGUCGAAAGUCUCAUCACCAUAGACAGCAUGAAGGUCAAUUUUGGCAGAGGGAUCGUGUGCCACCCCAAGUUGGUUGUAGAAAAAGAAGAAUAGGUGCUCAGCGAUCGGCUCAGGCGAGGAGAGCGUGACAGAUCCAUUAGAGAGUUUUGAGAUGAAAUUUUUGUUCUGACGAGCAUUGGCCUUGAGAUGAAAAAAUUUUGUGUUCGCGUCUCCUACCUUGAGCCAAUGAACUCUAGAUCAUUGCUUCCACUUGAUCUCCUCUUGUAAGCAGAGGUCUUCAUAUCUGGCCUUAAGCUUCGGCCUCAAGUUGCGCUCCAUGUUCGAUAAGAGUCUUUCUUCUUCUGCUUUGUCGAGCCAUUCGAUCCAAAGAAGACAAAGUUUGGUAUGUUCCCUUGAUGCUGAGGAGAGACCUGCACUCCAAGAGCUGAGAGCUGAUUGUACGGAAUUAAUUUUCAGCGAGAAGAGGCUCACUGGGUCGGAAUCCGUCAACCUCGAGUUCGAGUUCCACGCCGUGGAGACCACAUCGAAUACAGCAGGGUGGCGCAACCAGUAGCUCUCAAAUCUGAACAAAUUGGCAUGAGAAAUGAAGGUGUAGACAGAAAGCACCAGGGGCGUGUGGUCUGAUCGGGGUCGCGGAAGUGCUCGGAGGGUGGAUCGGGGAAAAGCAAGUAGCUAGGUACUGGAUAUAAAAGCGCGAUCCAGGCGCUCCAAAGUCGGGGCACCCCUACCAUUAGACCAAGUAAAGGAUUUAUUAAGUAAAGGGAGAUUGACCAAGCUUAGCUCAUGUACGACUUCCCUGAAGUUCAAAAUGUCGGUCACAUUUGCAGUGGGUCCAUUCUUGUCCUGAACAGAGAGUAGGACAUUGAAGUCACCAAGCACAGUCCACGCGCCCGUUGACAACACCCCAAUGGCACGAAUCUCAUGAAAGAAGUCAGCUCUUAAAAUAGCAGCAGUAGGCCCAUAGACAUUCGUGAUCGUGAACAAAUUCCCAUCAACAAUCCUCUUUAACACGACCAUCAGCGAGAAUCUGCCAGCCCAUUCAUGAGUACAUUCGAAUAAAGACGGAUUCCAGGCUGUUAGGAGACCGCCUCUAGUCCCCUUAGCGUUUAGAGUCCGAAAAUCAUGCAGAUUGGUUCAAUAUGAUUUGCUUGAUUUGAAUUGGCUUUGAAUCAUCCAUUUUGAGCUAUAAACUUUCUUUGAAUCUAUGGAGAAUGUUGAUUGGCAAAUAAAGUUGCAAAACAUUACUAGAAAGAAAUAGGAGGCGCGAGGCAGUCAAAAUGAAGAGUCAGGUUAGGGAUGAUGCUCAUGCUUCAAUUAGAACUACAAAGGGAAGAGUCCAUGUUGGAUCGAUGGAGUUAAAGCAAUGUUGUAAGUCGAUAUCACGAUUAAGCAUUCGAAGAAAAUAGGUUAUCGGAGGUAUGUUCCAAAACCUAAUUUGUAGUUUUCGAAACUUCAUCUUGUUCUGAUCUACAAUAAAUUGAGUUUUAGUGGCGAUUAUUUUUAAAUUUUCAGCAAUUAUAAUUGCCGCUAAAUAGUUUCGUAGCAAUUAUGACAAUUGCCACUAUUGGUAGGGUCGGUAAAAAUUAUAGUAAUAUUUGUUCCGAUCAUUGGUAAAGUCCAAAUAAAUGCUGCUAAAUACUAUAUAAUAGUAGCUAUUAUAAAUGUCACUACAAUUAAUUAUAAUUGGCACAAAAACAUACUAAAUCAUUGAUAAAUAAAGGUUAUAGCGAUAAUUACAACUAAUAUUAAAAUACUUGAUCCACAACUAAAUACUCCAAUAAAUUGAAAUAUUGAAAAAUAGUAAUAACCAAAGAACAUUAAUAAUUUGUAUAACAAAUAAUCUUUACUCUCAAAUUACAAUCUCAACAUCCAAAUUAAAUAUUGGAUAUGAGUUCUAACAACAAAAUAUUUUUUCAAAAUUUAGCUAAAAAAUAACAAAUUCUAAAUGACACUAAAUACCUAUAAUACGGGAAAAGCCCCAAAUUAUAAAUGCUUAAAACUCUUUGUUCUACUCUGAAAGCUUGCUCAGAUUGAUGACAAAGCCUCAAAGAAUCUGUUUCCGAAAUAAUAUUUUUGCAAUCAAUGGUAUGAAUAAGCAUAUGUUUAUUUUCAGGAUUGAAUAGGUGUAGGAAAAGUUGUAAUAAAUCACAUUAUAUUUAUAGGAGAUGAUAACACUAUUGAUAAGAAUUACCAAUUUGAAGUCAAAAAUAAGAUUGAUAGCUAGUAGAAAAAUUGAAAAAUUGAAAUGACAACAUAUUAAACUUAUUUACCAAAAAGAUAAACAGAAUCAUAAGAAAAAAUUAUUCUAUUAAAACUAAAGACAUUUUGAAGCAUUCUAUUUAUCUGGCAUCCAGAAUAAAGACAGUUGUGAUAUUCAUCUCUCAGCUUGGUCAAUAUCUCGUGCAAAUCCUACAAGGCAACAAUAUAAUAUUAAUUGAAGUUCGAAGGAUGAAAUGUCUAGAGCUACUGGUUGAAGUUCAAAUGCGAUAUCUAACUCAAAAACAUCACCAAAGAACCCAGAAAUUGAGAUUAAACUAACUCUAAGAUCAACAUCCUCAUCAAAACUAUAUUUGAGAAGCUGAAAUAGAGAGUGAUCAAAUUAAAAAAAAAAUCUAUAUAGAAGUUGUUAAAAAAAUUACCUUAAUAGGCAGAUCAAGAUGUAUUAAAAGAACUAAAACAAUGAGUAAUUUGUAUAUCCAUAUCAUGUUAAUAGUUGGGACUUUUGGAGGGACAUAUUUAUGAUGGCAAAAUGUCAUUUUACUUAUAAAAUAAAUAAUAUUUUAACGGAAACAAACCGGAGGUACAUAUUUGAAAACAUUAGGAUUUUUACACGAAUAAUAUAUAAAAAUUAAAUUUUGUAAGAAUAUAUUUGUAAUUCAAUAUAUUUACAGGAACAUGUAUGAAAUUAAUUCUAAAAAAAAUAUAAGUCAAAAAUCAUAUAUCAAAUUAAAUUUUAAUGACCAAAAUAUCAUGGUAAGUGUGAGCGCCCAUGGUGUAAUCUACCAUAGAAAGCGAUCGAUGUGCUAACUAGGGAUGUCAAUGGGUAUGGAUAUCCGAAAUUUUAUCCGAACCCGAACCCGAAUGAAACGGAUAUAUCCAAUGCUAAAUGGAUAUAGAUUUGGAUAUGGAUAUCAAAAAUAGAAAUCCGACGGAUAUGGAUUCGAAUAUGGAUUUUGACUGUACCCAAGCCGAACCCGAACCCGAAUUUAUUUUGUAUUAUAUAUAUAUAUAUAUAUAUAUAUAUAUAUAUAUAUUAGGCUGGAAUACUAUUAAUAGUACAACGCUUUUUGCUAUCAAGUUUUUAACCCUUGAUGAAAUAUUGUAGGGUCAUAAUGAUAUUAGUCGGUUAGAGUUGAGUGGUCCCCCUAGGGUUGAGUGGUCCCACUGGGUUAUAUAUUUAAUCCAAUUGUUAGAAAUAUGAAAAGAGUUGAUCCAAAGGUUAAAAAACUGAUAGCAAUAAUGGGAUUUUGCUACUAAUAGUAGCCCAGUCCAAGCUCUAUAUAUAUAUAUAUAAUAUAUAUAUAUAUAUAUAUAUAUAUAUAUAUAUAAAUUUGAUGUUAUAUUUAAAUUUAUAUUUUAAAAUUUUAAAUUUAAUAUAAUAUAUUUUAAAAUAAUGAAAAAAGAAAUAACUGUUUCGGGUUUAAAUUUUUGGGUUCAGGUUCGGAUUCGGGUUCGGGUUCGGAUUUCGGGUUUGGAGUUGGGUUCGGGUUCGGAUUUUUGAAAAUCCGCCCCGAAUCCGACCGGUUACCAUCUCUAGUGCUAACGGCCCUAACAGACCGACCCUGCUCCUCGCGUCUUCUCUUUCAAUUCCUCACCAGCCGGCUAGCCGCCUUCGCUGUCUCUCUCCGACGGUGGCUCCAGCGUUGCUUUCAGCCCUCGGCCGUCGUCUCGCAGUCUCCAUUUCGUAAUGCGGUAAGAUAAUGUGCCUCCUUUUCCCCCGAUUGUUCUGUAAAAGCAUAUUCUAUUUCAUAAAUAAUCUGUAUUUUUUAUUCAAAUCCUGUGCUUUCCGAGGAGAUGAUUUGUUGGUAUGGUUGUUUCCUUUUCUGUAGUUGAAAUUAAUCGCUCUGAGCCAUUGCUGCCACUUCCCGUCUUCAAUGGGUUCCAUAUUCUUUGCCACACAAAAGGUAUUGUUUUCACUCUUUCUUUUUUUUUUUCCGUUUCACUCUUUGCCCUAUUCUAUUUUAGAGAGGGCUUUUCUUUGUAUUUAGCCCUGUUAAAACUUUUUUUUUUUUCACAAAUAGCGCUAGUAAAUUUAUAUUUGCAUAUAUGGCUCUCUCUUCGCGACGUGAGCGCCAUUUUGGCAGUUUUUAGGUUGAACACGGUGAUUGAAUUACCAUGUUCAUAUUGACAUUUUAGUCUCUCCUUUUUAACUUAGGGGCUAUAAAAAAAUACAAAAAAGAACACGGUAAUCCAAUUACUAUGUUUAAACACAGUGAUUGAAUCACCGUGUUCAACUUAAAAACGCCACUUAGGUGCUUGUGUGGCAAGCAGAGGACUAUUUAUAUAAAUAUAAAUUUGUUAGGGCCAAUUUAUAAAAGAUAAGUUUUGAGAGGGCUAAAUGCAAAAAAAGGCCAAUUUAGAGAACAAAAGUCAAGAAUGAUGAAUUCCUGUUGCAUGCUUAUACAGUAAUUAGUAACAUGCCAUUGUCACUUCUGGUCCUCUUUGGACGCAUGAACAUCUUAUUCCGUACAUUGUUUUUAUUUAUUCAAGAAGCUUAUGGAAUCUAGUGGAUAAGGAGUAUGAUCAGAUAUUUAGAAAGGCGUAGCAAAUUCAACUUUCAAGUCAUUUUCUCGAAAUUAGAUAAAUCACUUCAUUCCAAAUCGUGAAUCUCAAGACCUCGGGUUCUGUCACGCCCGCAACCGCCAAUUUGGUUGGUUCGGGCACGCACACAAACCGCCGAACGGACAGAGUCUCCCCUGUACCGCCCAAGGCUGAACAACAUUAUGUACAUCUAGUUUUGCCCAAAUAAAACAAACAACAUACAUGAUUUGCGCGAGGGCAAUAAACAAGAGCAAGAGAGAAAUUUAACUAAACUUACAACCAUUCAUUUGCUUAACCAUUUACAACUUACCAAAAUACAACCAUUUAGUUUAUACAUCGAAUUCCUCACUACAUGUUCUCUCCAAAAUAUAACAUCUCUCUCUCAUAAGCAUAUACAAGGUAUACUAAUGCACGAGGGAGUCCACUACCUAGGGCGUUAUGCCCUUGCCAUGAUCCUCGGCCGCUCCGCUAGGACAGGGAUAUGUAAAACAAUGGGGUGACUCGUGAGAACUAAAAGAAGUUUCCAGUGGGCUCGGCCGCCGACCCCGCCGAUUUUCCCACUAGGUUUAAAUAGGCAAAAGUAGAAAGAAGAACGAGAAUAAGAAAUGCUAACAUACUACCAUGCCUCAACAAUAUGAUACGAUGAAUAAAGUAACAAUUAUGCUCAUAAUGCACGUCAUUCAUAUGCUUGUCACCCAAUAUGCUUGUCACCCAAUCAUACCGACUAACCCGAAGGUUGAGCCCAACUCACAACCAAUCCCACAGAUGAGGAGACACCCAGCUACGCUCAUCCGGGACCGUCUGCUGGGUAGAUAUGUUAACCCAAUGUGUAACAACUCCGAAGCCCAUUGCUUGGGUGGAGUGACCACCACCAAGCCGACAGACGCUAUGUAAGUACAGUCCAAUCCUCUAAACUUGAGGAUACCCUACCAACUAAGGGCAACAAUACUCGGGGAUCUAUCCAUCCCUAACAUCAACAUUACUAGCCCAAAUGCCAACAUUCCAUGUCACUAUGUUGCUUAUGUUCACAUUCGGUUCAUGCCACUAUAGAGUUUACAUUGUUCAAGACCCAAUCCUCAUACAUAUACAACUAUGUUCCAUCUCAUUUUCUACAAUUACCAUGAGAGCAUGCAAGAAAUUGAAUGCAUAACACAUACUCUCUACAAUGCAUGAGUUUACCUAUAUACAUAUAUGGCCAACAAAAGUAACAUAAACAUAGGAAGAAAUCCGAUUGUUUGGGAUAGCACCACCCACCUUAGAUUGAUGUUAGGAGGCGAGAAACCAAGUCCCGCAAUUUACCGACACCGCUUUGGCUCGACCCAAGGGUAACGAAAGCAAAUCGGUGUUUUACUCCAACGGUACGCCGUAGGCUCGUAGGAACUUCGUUUUGAGUCUCCCAACGUGUCGAUUUAUCCUUCAAUUAAGGAAUUAAGAGAUCAAUUUCAUCAUAAACCCCAUAUCUACAAAAACCUUAAUUUCCAACCCUAGGGUUCCCAAACUUUGGUCAUGAACCAAACACCAUGAGAAACCAUGGAUUAUUCUAGGUUUCUAAACCACAAGAACCUCAAAACAGGGAUUCUAGGUCAACCAAAGCAAACCCUAGGUUAAACUUGCUAAACCUUACCUUGGCCACUUCUAGACCUCAAACUCCACCUUGUAGGAGAGCCUUUUCCACUCCACCAAAGCUCCAAAACCUUCAAAGCUCCUCAAAUCCACCUUGUUGGAGAGCUUCUAGAGAGAGAAGGAGAGGGAGAUGGUCAAGAGAGGAAGAAGGAGGGUGUUCUCAGCUGUGGAGAAGAGAGAAGGGUGUGGGGACUAUUUAUAAGUUCCCACAAUUACAAAUAGGUCCUUCAACAAUUUAUAUUUACUGCAGUUCAAAAUCUGCAUCUUAUAACAUUGAGUACCGGUACUCGGGAUUGAGUACCCGUACCCCCGGGUGGACAUCUCAACCCGAGAGCAGACUUUCUGCGUAGGCCACUGAGUACGGGUACACGGCCAGCAGUACCGAUACACGACUCCCCUGUACCGGUAACACCAACCGGGUACCUCAACCCGAACGUCGGUCAAUUUUGCUUCCUACAAAGUACCGGUACCCGGCCUCCCAGUACCGAUACUGUCCCAGUUCAAUACCGGUACCCCAGGCCCCAAACUCAAACCCGAGAUCAGCCCUUUUCUGCACCUGCAGGGGGGUUCCGGUACCAAGCUCCAGUACCGGUACCCAGCUCCAAUCCUGCAAUAUUUCCAAGUUUGAGUUCGUUUUCGCGCCGGAUAAUGCUAAAUCCACUUAAACACUAUCCGAGGCUGCUUCUAACAAGUCCGAAGCCCUCAGGACCAUAUAUGGAACAUGUCCAAUCACUCUCUGUACCACGCAUUGAUCUAUUUGAUCGAAGUUGGUACAACACACUCCGGGGAGCUGAUACCUCACACUUCAAGGAGUAAAAAUCAAACUCCUAGCUUGCAAUCAAACAUACAAAUUUUCAUAGCGCAUAAGCUAUCACCAGAUAACUUGUUCCGAAAUCCAAAAAAGACCUUAGGAAUUUAGGGUGGGUUUACUAAUACAUAUAUGAGUUUGGGGAUCAAUUAUUAGGACUUGGUCAUUUCUAGAGAACAUCUUUUUACUAGUGAGGAGUUAAGCCAUAAAAUUGUAGCUUUACAAAAGGCUGAUUAUGCAGCUUAGGGCUUGUUUGUCAAUACAUUGUCCUCCAUCUGCUCAAGAAGCUUUUAGGAUUUAAUAGAUGAGUAUGAUCAAAUGUCUAGAAAGGCAUACUACAUUCAGCCUCCAAGUCAUUCUCUUGGUACAAGAUGAAUCACCUUGAGGUUUCUAGAUACUUCAAGUGGUAUAGAUCAUAUUCAACGGUACCGAUCGUCGAUAUGGAGGCUCCAUCAUUGAAAAAAAUGGGUGGCAACGGAGCCUGUUUGCUACCGAUAGCGUUCUAGCUCAACUCUCUCUCUCUCUCUCUCUCUAUAUAUAUAUAUAUAUAUAGAGAGAGAGAGAGAGAGAGAAGGGCUACUAUACUCUUAUGAGUAUAGAGCCCUUCGUACUCAUUAGUUGUUUUCGAUGUUGGGGUUUUCGAAUCGACGAUCCACACCGUUAAACAUGAUCUAGAGUAUUUAAAACUUCUAAAAAAUAAAUUUUGUAAUUUUUCGAAAUUAUUAUAAAGUUUAUCGAGCGGGUAUAAAAUGAACGGUUAAAAUCGAACGACACCCUAAAAAUGGAUGAUCAGAUACUUUAAUUUAAGAUCGGAGUUAUUGAUCUUUAUUUAGGUAGUGAAUAGAAUUUUCUAUCAAAAAUUCAACCUAUUCCGAUUCUUUUUCACCGUUAAACUAGUAAAUAUCUUAUACCGGCUAUUAAAAUUUGUCAAUUUUGUGAGCUUUUGAUCAUAAGGUAAAUGAUAUCGAAAAAUUAUAAAAUUUGAUUUCUAGAAGUUUUGAAUGCUCUAGAUAAUAUUUAUCGGUAUGGAUCGUCGAUUCGGAAGCUCUAUCAUCGAAAACAACUUAUGAGUACGAAGGCGAUUGUACUCAUAAGAGUAUAGUGGCCGGACUCUAUAUAUAUAUUCGAGCCUUUCAAGCCUAAUUCAAGCGAGUCCAUUAAUAUUCAAGCUCAACUUAAAAUAAAUUUUGAGUUUUUUUUUUUCUGUUCAAGCUCGGCCUAUUUAAUUUCGAGUCAAGCUCGAGUGAGACGAAUAGCCGAAUAUCGAGCCGAAUGCGAGUCGAACACGAGCCGGCUCGCUCAUUUGCCAGGCCUAUCUACAAGACGUAUGGCCUACUAGUUAAUGCAGUAGAGAUACACUACAUAAUCUGUCGGUUGAUAUAGAUUAUUCAUUAAUUACAUCAACACAGUGCUCUCUCGUGCCGCUGUUGCUGCUAACCUGUACUUUGCUUCAUUUGUAGAAAGCUACACAGUCAGUUGCCUUUUGCUGCACCAAGAUACUUACGCUAAUCCAAUGUUGAAUGCAUAUCAUGUAGUUGAUAGUCUUGUUUCUUCUUCUCCAACGUAGUCAGCAUCACAGUACUCUUUGAGCUCACAUGUUUCUCUUUUUCUAUAUAGGAGGCAGUAAUCGAUUGCCCCUUUUAUAUACCUUAGGAUGCAUUGAACUACUUCUAGAUGGUUUCUUUGGUUUCUGCAUGUAUCGACUAACUACAACUGCAUAUACUAUGUCUAGUUGGGUCAUAGUUAGAUAUAUUAAGCUACCAACCAAUUGUCGAUACAUGGUUGAGUCGGCCAAUUCCUUUCUUUUUCUACACAUAGUUUCGCAUUUGGCUCCAUAGGUGUAGAGAUAGGCUUACAGCUUAACAUGCUAUACUUUUCGAGAAGAUCUUUUGCGUACUUCCAUUGACCUAUGAAUAGGCCGUCCUUCAUUCGCUCCACCUUAAGCCCAAGGAAGUGUCGCAGCUCUCCAAGGAAGUGUCGCAGCUCUCCAAGCUCUUUCAUCCGAAAACGUACAAAUAGAUUCUGUUUUGUGUUAUUAUCUCCUUUUGAUCAUCUCCGGUGAUGAUUAAGUCAUCUAUAUAGACUAGCAUGAUGGUAUCUUUUCUCUGCUAUACCAUUUUGUUGGGGAGUGCAUGGACAAUUUAGUUGUCUUCUUAUUUUGCACUCUCGUAAAUAAGCUGAGAACUCUACUAAUAUAUAUCCAACUCCAUUAUCCGUGCUCAAGCACCGUAUUGUAUGACUAGUUUGGCCUUCAACUUUUUCUUUAGGGUCAAUUGCAUACAGGUCCCCGCAAACAUAGUGAAUUGCAGAUAUAUCCCUGUUAAGUUCAACUUUCAUAAGUUAUCCCUGCAAAAGUUCUAAUAUUUUCAGAUAUGUCCCUGCCGUUAGAAUCCGUUAGAAAAGUUUAGUUAACUUUAGGUUAAAUACUUUACUCGGGUUAAUUUUUGACAUUUUCACCCCUCUUAUAUUAUACUGUUAUAACUUUUGGAGAGACAUUUUUUAUGGCAAAAUUGAAAAUAUAAACAGUUUUCUAACGGUUCUCUAACGGUAACAAACCAGAGGGACAUCUGAAAACAUUAGAACUUUUGCAGGGAUAACUUAUGAAAGUUGAACUUUACAGGGAUAAAUCUGCAAUUCACCAUGUUUGCGGGGAUCUAUAUACAAUUAACCCUUUUCUUUCUUUAAAUUCUUUAAACUUUUGCAAUACUUUACAUUUUUCUUAAAGUAAAUCCAGACAUACCUUGAGAAGUCGUCAAUAAAUGUCACCAUGAAGCGCAUGCCGCUGAUUGAUGUUUCCUUGACUGAUCUAAAAAUAUCAGAGUGCACGAGCUCCAGCUGUCCCUUUUGUAUUUUGAUUCGGUAUAGGGGAGUUGAUGAGCCUUACCAUAUUGGCAUCCUACGCAAAUUGCAUCUCCUCGUACUUCAAGUUGAGGGAAUCCCUUUAGCAUGCCGCGCUCCCUUAUAAUUUUCAGUUUGUGAUAGCCCACAUGUCACGAUCUUGCAUGCCACAGAUCUAUAGUCUAAUUUUUUUCAAGUCUUUUCUACGUAUGCCUAUUCUGCCAACAAGGGCAUUACGUAGAUUGCUCUACUUCCUUUCCUUCUAUGAUCUGUAUGCCAACUAUCUUGGGACUGCAAUAUACCUUGACAUCCUGUGGCACAAAUACUAUAUAGUUGCCCGAUGUAGUCAGCUGUGAUACUGAUAACAAGGUUUAAAGUGCCGUGGUACGGGGCGUGCUGCUGUCUACCUGGCACGGAAGCACCGGCACGCUUCCGUGCCGACACAUGGUAUGCUUGCGUGCCGAUGGAUACGCAUGACCUCUUACUGGCAUGUUUUGGUACGGACUUAUUUCAAUUUUUUUAGUUCGAAUAAGCUCUUAUAAUGUUAUUUUAAAAGACUUAAUCAAAUAAUUAUGAAUAUUUGCUAUGUAUAGCUUACUAUACUCAUCAAUUAACAUAUUUAUAAGCUUUUUUGUAUGUAAUGUACAUUUAGACCUAAUGCAGAAUAGAAAUUUUUACAAGUUAGAAUUUUUAAAAUGCAAAAACAUCUUUUUUUUCUUUUUUUUCUUUUGACCAUAUUACAGUAUUUCUUUUAUAAAAUACAAAAAAAUUAUUUUUUUAAUUAAUUUUUUCAAAAAAUUAGUAGAUCUAUCAAAAAAAUUAAGCAAUAAAUUAUAUGACAAAUAAAUUUAGUAUCAAUUGAUUUAAUUUAGCUUUUAAUUUUAUCAAUAUUUUCAAUCUUUUAUCACAAAAAUAAAAUUUUAUGUUUGAUGUGACUCAAAAUUUGUUUAUUGAGUUUGAUUUCGUUCCCUUAAUUCGCCAAAAAAUUCACAUGCGACAAAUUUUGAUAAAAAAAAUUGUGAAGAAAAAAUAGAUAUCUGUGGUGGAAGUGGAGGGCUCGGACAAAUCUUUUGUCCCUAUAUUGAUACACAAAAAAAAUUAAAUUAUAAUUUUUUUGACUUACCUAAUAAGUAAAUUUUCAAUUUGCAAUGUCUUUGGGGGGAGCGUGGGGUACUUAUAAUGCUUUGGAUACCCUAAAGAACAAAAAAAAAAAGCAAAAAAAAAGCAAAAAAGCAAAAAAAAAUAAAAUUAGCACAGUGCUGUGGCACUGUGCGGUGGCACGCUACGCCGUGCCGCUCUGUCUCAUGCGGCAUGGCGCUACGUGCCGCGGCACAGAGGGGGCCCGAGACCCCCCCGGUGGCACGGUACGUGCCGCCCCGUGCACACUUUAAACCUUGACUGAUAAUAUAUUUUUCUUCAUACUUACUCUACACUACUCCACCACACACCCUCUCUUAGCUGCUGCUACUCCACAUUGUUGCCUUUGGUUUGGGUUCCUCACACCUAUUUAUAGGCAACUAAAGUCGGUUUUGCACCAACUUAAGUGGAGUUGGGGCUAAUGUCUCUAGCUUCCUGCAAAAGCUUCUUGAAGCUCUGUUUAGAGCCCGAAACAGAGGAAAAGGGGUGGAAACCGAGGAAUAGAGGGGGGGAGGCAGUAUUGCCUCUUUCAACACUUGAAUUCAAAUUUAAUUUCUUGAGUUGCAUCAGUUGAUUGGGUAGUANUUAAAUUCAAAUUUAAUUUCUCGAGUUGCAUCAGUUGAUUGGGUAGUAGCAAUGGAAUUUCACAGUAGCAAAGGUUAUAUGGAGUUAUAGGGCAAAGGUGCAGGAUCUCAUUGUUAAAUUUGAAAUUGUAGGAACUAGGUGCUUAAGAGUUAAAAAAGCUUAGUAAGCUAAAGCUAUAGCUUAAGUGGUUUGGUCAAAACAUUGAUUGGUUAACAUUUUUAGGUUUGGCAGUAGUUUGAAGCUGAUCAAUGCUGGUGUUGAUACUUGCUGGUAGGUUAGUAGUAAUGUAAUUCCACAGAAAACUUAUCAUCACUUAUAGUUGUGAUGGUCAUGCAAUAUUGAUGAUGGUAUGGGAAAAGUGAAAGAAAAACACCUAGUUCAGGAAGGAACUUAUCUCUAGUCCCAACAUUCUUGUUGAAGAGUUUGGAGGUCGUUUAAAAUUAGGUUAUUGCUCUAAAAUUUGUACAAAAUUCCUAAUGGCGAGUUUGGACACAUAACAUCUUGUAAGGCAUUUGUCCUUUGUCUACUCAAUGAGCAUUCAGUGAUGGGUAGAUGAGCAUGAUUAGAUGUCUGCUACAGCAUAACAAUAUUGGGUACUCAAAGUCAUUUCUUAGGAAUAAGAUAAGUUGAAUGCAUUAUCUUAAUAAAUCAUCACUGUCGAGACCUUUCAAGCGACAAAGCAAAUUUUUACAUUGUCGUCACAAAAGGAAGGCUAAAUUACCAAAUUCCCUAGCACUUUAGCCCAUGUCUCAUUUACCCCCUCUGUAAGUUUUGACCUUGCACUUUACUGUUGUGUCAAAUAGGUCCAAAAAUUUGGGAUGAUCAAUUAUUUGUAUGCAAAACUUACUAGAAUGGUUGCCAUAUCAUGUCAUGCUUUUAUCUGAUCUUCCAUUUGAGUGCCUACUUAAAUAAUAGAUCUAAAAUUAUAUAAAGAGAUUUUCUUCUUUAGUAGAGAUACUAAAAUUGGCUAUUUACUGGACACUUCAUUCAAAUGUGAUUGUACUCCAUUGAAUAUGACAACUGUCAUGUUCCAACUCCUUUCCACAAAGUUUUGCAAACAAAAUUAACAAUAAUCCCAAAUUCCUUUUGGGCUUUUUACAGCAGUGGAAAGGGCUGGGGUGAAAUUGAUGCAAUAUUUAUCCAGAGGGGGUUUAGCCCAAAAGAAAACUCUCAUAGUGCAAGUGUAAUCGCCUGGAUAAGUUGCUUCAACAUCCAGACAUACUAAGUAUCUUCUUCCUCAGAGAAUAGUUGGUGAAGGGCUUUCUUCCAGAAUUAAGAUCCUCCAAAGAAAUCCCUCUCAAGUAAGGGUGUUGACAAUUUGGUUUGAAACCAAAUACCAAAUUAAACGAAACCAAACCAAAUAAGAUAAUUUGGUUCGUUUAUCUGUUUUUAAUUUGGUACAAAAGGCUGGCUUUGCCAUAUUUAGAAAUUCCUAGGGCUUCUAUUCAAAUCUUGCAAGGAAGCAGGAUUAUUCAAAUAGGCAUUCAAAAUUGAAACACUUGCAUAAAAUCGACUCCUUAAAAAAGACUUAAUCUAAAUCUAGCCAAACCCAAACUGACUGAAUAUGAUUUUAGUUAAACUAUCUGGUAGCCCUAAUAUGAAAAUACCAAAUUUGAUAGCUAGCCAGUUUGCCUGAUUCUAGUAAAGGUUUGAAAGCCCUAAACUAGUACCCUGAUGACCAUCUUUGUUGCGGAUAAGGCAGUCGUUGCUUCACCAUACCUACUUAGCAGACCAACUUACACAAAAUAAACACCUGUUCUGGCAAGUUUUAGAAGAUAUUCAAUAAUCUUAUGAAAAUUGUUCCCUUCCAUCUAUGCAUUAUGUCGAAGCUGUAAAGUCACAACUUUGUGAAUAGAUGUUCAUUUGUUUAUUUCACUGUAUGUGUAUUUUGGUCAAGAUAUGUUGUUCUGCCAGAGAUUGAACUAAAUACUCAGUUCUAAAUGUUCUUUCUUUUCUCCUUGCAUGUGUUGUUGCUGUGAAUCAUUGCAAAAGACCUAUCAACUCUGAGUGAGAUACAAGGAUGAUUGAAGGUGAGAGCAGUAGAGCCAAUGAAAAGAAAAUAGAUGAACUGGUUUAUUGCAUGUCAAGGGAGCUUAAUUAUCAAUGGUCACUGAGUGACACCAUUGGUUCUCAAGCGUACGUUAUCUAUAAAGUUCCUCAAAUCAUCCGCGAAUUGGAUAGGAAUGCUUACGCGCCUAUUAUUCUCUCCAUAGGUCCGUAUCACCAUGGAACUCCAGACCUACUAGCCAUGGAGAAGGAGAAGUGGUAUUGCCUGCAUUACAUUCUUAAUUUGAAUCCUGAAAAGAAUUUGCAGGAUUAUGUAAAUGUAAUUGUGGGACUAGUAAAUCAAGCAAGAAGCUAUUAUGCUGAGGAGGUUAAAAUGGAAGACGACAAGUUUGUACAGAUGCUCUUGGUUGAUGGAUCCUUCAUACUUGUGUCUCUUUACGGAAUGGAUGGAAUUGGAUUACCUUUGUCCGAAGAAUAUGGAGGCAAUGCUAAUUCCCAGGAAAUAGUGGAGGAAGAUAGGAAAGGACAAAUACAGAACAAAACAUAUGAGUCACUAAGCAUAGAGAAAAGGACUACAGAGGGCGCGCAGGCAAUGAAGGGUGGACAGGCAAACAAGGAUACAUCUUUGCUUGAGGUAGAAUUAACCCCGUGUGAGGCAAGCCAAAGAAACAACGAAAAUGAUAAAACAGAAGAAAAGGUGCAUAAACAAUGUCAAGAUAAUUCUGACCAGGUUGGUCCAUGGUACACCUACUUUGUAGCACACGACCUACUCCUGCUAGAGAACCAACUUCCUUUUUUCAUUAUCAAGAAAAUAUAUGAGCUAGUUGCAAGUAAAGAUGGUACAACUCCAUCUGUUGCAGACAAAAUUGCCAAACAUGUAGAAAUUAUGCUGCGCCACUAUCCAAAAGCAAUACAAGAAUCUGACAGGCCAAAAGAGUUCCACCAUUUACUCCACUUGUGUCAUAUGUACUUCAGACCUAGCCAGAAGGUGGACAAAGAGAAUCAGCACAAGUCAAAGCCUCAAUUCCUUUGCCGCUUUCUUCAUUUGAGCCUCAGAUAUUUCAAAUUAAGUAAUUGGUUGAAGGAAGACUAUAGAAACUUACUGCGCAACCAGCAGUCAGAUUCCCCUCAAUCUGGCCAGAAGCGUUGGCGCCGAGCAGUACAUUAUUAUGAAGCAGGAAUUGAAUUUGAAAGGAGGGAAUUUGAUAAACAAAAUCCCCAUUCUCUCUUGGACAUAAAGUUUGGCCUAAAGUUUGGGCAUGGUGUAAUGGAAAUUCCACGCUUAUCUAUCGACGCGAACACCGUCUCUCUUUUCAGGAACUUUAUCGCAUUUGAACAAACUUGCCCUCAAGUUGGAAAUGAGAUCACUACAUAUGUUGUUUUCAUGUCUCAGCUUCUCAGCAUGCCUGAUGAUGUCACGCUGCUUGCUCAAAGAGGAAUUAUUCUGCACCAACUGCGUAGCGAUAAAGAUGUCUCGACUCUUUUCACCAAGCUUAGUAAAGAUGUGGUCUUUGAUUUCAAUGCUAAUUAUUACCUGAAAUCUUUAUCUCAGAUGAUGGAAGCACACUACCAGAGUCGGCUGAAUAGGUGGAUUGCAUGGUUGAGGCAUAACCACUUUAGUAAUCCAUGGUUGGCCUUAGGAGCAUUAGCUGCUGCAAUCAUGCUUUUUUGCACUGUAAUACAAACACUAAUUGCCGUCUUCUCUUACACGAACCCGCCAGUGGAUGAUUCUUAAACACCAAAUUGAGAAUUCUAAAUCACAAAGAGUCCAUCUCAGUAAACACUAAGAGUAAGUGGCUGGUCUUAGUGCUUUCAUUAUAAUGGCUUUGCUUUGUUUUCCAGAUACGAGUUUGACCUGUGUGAGUUAAUUUUGGUCGAGCUUCUGUUUUUACACAAUGUUGCAUGAUUAUGCACGUUCAACUAAUUCAUAGUCAGGUCUAGUUUAGGAUAACAUUUCACAUUAUAGUAGAUUUUUAUUGUCAUUUCAUUAUGCAUCCUCCAACUUUACUUGUCGAGUAACUUAGGCCUGGUGAUAGGUUUGAUAACUAUGCAAUUGCAAGAAUUGUGUUGAUCAACAAAUAUUCUUUUUUAGUUUUCUUCAAUCUCCUGAUUGAUGAGUUCUCUACAAAUGAAAGAAAACUCUUUAAAUCAUGACUUUAAGUGGAUUUCUGAUGAUGGUGGUGGCUUUGUCAGACAGGUUUUUUGCACUUAAACUGGAUUUCUGAUGAUGGUGGUGGCUUUGUCAUGUAGGUUUUUUGCCACCUAUCCUAAGUAUAGAUGCAUUUUUUCUAGUUAGUUGCUUCUUUAUAAAUUGUCAUCUGUACUUUUUGCAUCACCUGUGAGUCUAUGACAGACAAUUAAAGCUGCUUCCAUUGUUUAUAACAAUCUAUAUCUUGGGUAUAAGCUAUUCUAGUUUUUCUUCUUUUCUUUUAUUGCAUUAGUAAAACCUUUCCAAGAAUAAUAUUCUCCUUCAGGUUGGUAUUAAGAUUAAAUGUUAACGGAUCACUCCUACGGCACCAUUUUUCAGUUAUUUAGUAGGAAUUCUAGGUUGAUGACAUUACAGUAACAAUAACAAAUACAGAUAUAUACCAUGCUUUCUACAUUUUUUUCUUUCCCCUGAUUUGUAUACCAUGAUUUCUACUUCUUUUUUUUAUUUUUUCUGAACUGAAAUAAUCACAUGCAUAAUAUGUCUUGAUGUCUUGUCUUUUAACAUCCCUACUCUGUUUUUCCUUCCAACUUUUUUUUUUCUCCUUUUCUUCUUACAAAAUGGGGCUAUUGUAUUUAUAGUAUUUAAUUACAUUAUCUAAGAAUUAUGGAGCCUUAGUAUCAUCCAGCUAUACUUAAUACAUCUGUAUUCUUUGUUCUCUCUCUCUCUUUGUAUGCUAUUCUACGGCAUAUCCCUAUCAAAGCAAGCGGUAAGCUUAACAUAAUGUGAUUAUUUCAUGUAGGUAGAUAAACUAGAAAACAUCAUAUGACUCCACUAUUCAACUGAAGGCUCAGAAACAGAACACACUUAGCCACGUUGCCUCACUUCAUCCGAAGUUCUACAUAACUCUUGGCUUCACUUAAUUUAUAACUACUGUAAUAGACACCCAAAAAGCAGCUCUUCAGAAGGGUCUCAAUUGAAUUGAAUAUUCAUUGGUCAUAUGAUCAUAGUUAGCUGUUGUCCUCGACGCUUUUGCUUCACUUAAACUUUCUUCAGAGCUACUAGCUUCUACCAGUUGCGACUUUUGAAGGAAGCCUAAAUUUAGAACAACCAUAGGCGCACUUCCCUUCUCUACUGCCAAGACAGGAGCCGGCUGUUCUUCACAACCUUUACCGAACCAUCAACUACUUUCGAUGGAUUGUUCUUUCAUCGACAACCGUAAUGCAGUGGACGCUUUUCAUUCCUUCCAGAAUAUGGCUUUGGAAUGGAGUAAUCCAUCAACAUGCUAAGAGGAGGAGAUCUCGAUGUCUCUCCUUCCUAAGUUUCAACUCCACAGCAACAUGCACAGCAAUAGAGAAUCUAAUACCUUCUGUUCUUCAUAUCUCUUGGUUGUGUGUAUUUUCAGUAUUUUAACCAUACAUAUUUAUAGAUGAUUAAGCAAAGGAAAGCACAUUUAGUAGAUUAUGUGACCACUACCAUUAUGGGUUCAUUUCUGUUUUGUUAGUGACAAUUUACUUGUUGGAGGAUCCUAUCAUUACCUUCAACUGAGCAUGACUCAUUAGGUUAAGCUUGCCAUGCAUCACAAAUGUAAUUGUUGAAUUGGAUUCUUCAUUAUCCGUAUCGAGGCCUUUUGUUUGGAAUAUCUGUUCUCGAACAUUGAGUACUAAAGUUUUUUGAGGUGCAUAAUAUCUACAGGAUAUUAAAUUGUAGUAAUUCGUGAACUUGAACCGGAGAUGAUGAUGAUGAGUAUGUACUUUAAUAGCUAACUCCAUUUUAACCCAAGAUCUAAACUUAAUAUUAUUAUUAACAAAUGUAUGAAGGCACACGAAGUAUAUUAUUUACUACUUUUGUCUUGUGGAAGGACCCUCCUAGAUAGGUAUUUAAUUGAUAUAUAAAGUGAGGCUUCCCUAAUUUUGUAGAUGAAUAUUUUAACGAGUGUCUUAUACAUGAACCACUCUUGGAUCACAUAGUUACAAAUAAAAAAAUGAUUGCACUAUGGCAAAAAAUGAACAAGUUUCUUUAAGGAGCAUUUGUGUUACUGAAAUACCGCAAGCCAUGAUCUUCUAUUAUUCUAUUACAUUAAUUUUAGUUAAUGUUUGAUAAGGCAUAGGGUUUUCUUUUGGAUUUUCAUAAGCUUAUGGAUUUGGUGCAAUAUUUAAUUUUGAUUAAGAUUUGAGAAUAGUUGGGACUCAUAUUAAGGCAACACUACGAGAAAAUCUCAAUAUAAGUGGUGUACUGGAUCUUGGCAUAUGGGCAAGGUUGCAGUGUGAGUUGCUGGUUGGCACGUUUGUGGAGUGCUAGUCUGAGUUGGAGUCGUUUUAGCGCAAAUGGAUCCAAAAAACGAACUCGAAAAUUGAAUCAGCUCAACCUAUGCUUUUGGGUGCACUUCCGGAUGCCUGAAUGUUAAUUUGGGUGCUUGGAAGUUGCAAGCUGAGAGGGACCGGUUCCAGAUUCCAGUUCUGGACGCCCGAUGGUUUCGGACCCUACUUUCAGGUGCCCGAAUUUGAGCACUGUAGCAGCCUGGAAGGUUGGUAAGGUUGAUUUGACCUGUGUCAGAGUGCGCGUGGGUGCAGGGUGACUCAGCAGGAAUUCAGGCAAGGGUUUUGGGUGCCCGAAUUGGUUCUGGCUGCCGUUACGACAAAUCGAGCAGUCCGAUGCUCGAGGGCACGCUCAAAAGGCCUCGAUUAUGAUGUUUCGGGCACCUGAAUGUCAGUUCCGAGCACCUGAAACGCAGGUUUUUGGCUGAGUUAGAAUAUUCGUUAUUCUGGGUACCGUUUUGCAACUUGUACUUAAAUAUAUGUGUGACGGAGGGCUUUCUUCUUCUCCUUCUUUUUCUGUUCAUGCUAGAGAGAGAGAGAGAGAGAGAGUGGCUGAGAGAGAAAGAGAAGGAGAGCACAUUAUUUUUCAUUGUGUUGCCUUGGAGAUUGGUAUGAUAAUAUUAUUAAAUUGAUUGGGAUUUUUGUGAGAUUUGGAUUUAGAAGAUGAAAUUAUGCAUCGUUAGGAGCUGUACUUUUGAAGUUGCACCGUGGAGUUUUCCGAUUGGAUUCCUUGUUGGUGUUUAAGUCGAACAGUUGAGGAGCUGCAGCGGGGUUCAUGUCCACCUGUCUUUCUUUACCAUUUUCGUGAUUAGCAAUCCAGGUGGGUUCCGUGCUACCGAAAACGGCGUUCGCCCUGCUAUGUCUUUAUUGCAUAAGUGUUUGUUGCUCUAUAUACUAGUAUGGUAGUAUAAUAAGUGUAUCUGGAUAGGUUUAUGUUGUUUAUUGAAGUAUGAAGCUAUGCUUGGGUACUUGGGCAGUAGGGUUGAGCUACACUGGAUUUUUUUGAUACUACUGUUUAAGUUAUAUUAUAUAUAUCAAGUUGAGGUUGAGAAGGCCAUUGGACAGUAGAAUCAGAGAUAGUGUGGUAUAUCUCGAUAUUGUGACGUGUUGGUCAGUGGAUGCCUGAUGAUCGUGCUGAAGGCAUCUGGACAAUUACUAGAGAUCUUUUUGAUCAUUACAUUCGACUAUAGUCUGCAGGGCCAUAUUGAGUUUGACAGUGACAUGCGCUAUGAUACUCGGUAGCGGUCGCUCUUCUCGAGUGCCACUCCGGAGGCUGACUAGCGAUAUAGCAGAGAUAGUUGACUUUAGGUUGACGGACCACUUGUCGGGAGUGGUGAUCGGGCUUGAGGCAUAGCCUACUGGUUGAUGGCGCAGUGCGAGAGUGUGUCCGGGCAGUAGGCAGACACAGACGUGACUAGAUUGCUGAGUUGGUCGUUGUGAUUGGGUAGUAUAGCAUUUCUUUUCAGUAGCAUAGUUGAUGCAUGCUAGGUGAUUUAUUGCUUUCCUUUCCAGCAUAGAGGCAUGAUAGAUUUAGCAGUUACUUAGUGUUGUACCUUUUAUUGCUUUACUCCAGUCAUUUUAUUUUCUAUCUUUAGUAGAGCUAGUGGCUAGGCCGUGGUUGUCGCCGACCGUAUCAACUAGGAACUACUGUUUAGUAGUUCUCAUGCUCUCUUGUGGUUUCCUUUUCAGAGCCCUUAGCGCCCGCAUCGAAUCAACGUAAAGGGAUCACGCAGUAGUUAGCAAUUCCUAUUGUGUAUAGAGGAGACCACCUACUACAGUUGCUUUUGGUUUUAGUGCUGUAAAUUGUGACUGGCGAGGCCAGGGCCCUUUGCUUGUGUUUAUAUUUUGGAAGUUGUGGAUGUAUGUUGCCUUGUACAGUGAUAGUCAAUAGAUUUAGUUUUAUUUUCUGCUCUGAGACAUGUUUAGUUUUAGAAUCCUAGGUUGCUUCAUGUUUUGGUUGGACGCUUCAUAUGUGCAAGAAGUUCUUGUACAUACGGCGCAAGGUUUAAAGUGCCAUGGCACGGUCCUAUCGUUGUCUGUCUGGCACGGUAUGGCUGCGGCAUGCUUCUGUGCCGACACAUGGCACGCUUGCGUGCCGAUAGUUACGUAUGACCUCCUACUGGCACGCUUUGGUACAAAUUUAUUUCAGUUUUUGGUUCCAAUAAAUUCUUAUAAUAUUAUUUUAAAAGAUUUAAUCAAAUAAUUAUGAAUAUUUACUAUAUAUAAUUUGCUAUACUCAUCAAUUAAUAUACUUGUAAGCUUUUUUGUAUGUAAAGUACAACUACAUAUGAUGCAGAAUAAAAAUUUUUAUAGGUUAGAAUUUUAAAAAUAUAAAGACUUUUUUUUUUCUUUUGACCAUAUUACAGUUUUUCUUUUAUAAAAUACAAAAAAAAAAAUUAUAAAAAUAAUUUUAAAAAAUAUUUGAAAAAAAUUAUUUUUUAAUUAAUUUUUUAAAAAAUUAUUAGAUCUAUAAAAAAAAAUAAGCAAUAAAUUACAUGAAAAAUAAAUUAAAUAAAUUUAAGUAUCAAUUGAUUUAAUUUAGCUUUUAAUUUUAUCAGUAUUUUUAAUCUUCUAACGUAAAAAUAAAUUUUUAGAUUUGAUGUAUCUCAAAAUUUGUUUAUUCAGUUCUAUUUUGUUCCCUUAGUUCGUUAAAAAUUUUACGGUGCGACAAAUUUUGAUAAAAUAAUUUAUAAAAAAAUGGAUAUAUGUGGUGGAAGCGGAGGGCUCGGGCCGAUUAGGGAGGUGCCAGGGGCUUUGCCCCCCUCUGGUAUGGCUCGGAUAUAUAAAUUAAAAAUUUGCCUGUACAUUGACAAACAAAAAAAUUAAAUUAUAAUUUUUUUGACUUACCUAACAGGUAGAUUUUCGAUUUACAAUGUUCUUGGGGGUGUGGGAUGCUUCGUGGUAUACGAAAGAACAAAACAAAAUGAAAAGAAAGCAGAAAGCAAAGAAAAAAAGAAAGUAGUGUGCCGGCAUAGCACAGUGCAAUGGCACGAACCUGCGUAUCGCUCUGUCUCAUGCGAUACGUAAGUUCGUGCCACGACGCGGAGGAAAGUUCGAGACCCCUCCACCUAGUACCGUGCCACCUUCUAGGUAGCACGAUACGUUGCACUUUAAACCUUGAUACGACGGAUCUGUUAACGUACCCGGGGGCUUCUGCUGUGGGCCUUGGCUUUGACAAUACGGAUGCUUUCUAGAUGACGCUUGGGGAAGCGACCCCAAGCAUCCCUACAAUGUAACAAAUACUAACGCUUCAAAAAACAUUGUCAAAUGGGCCGCCUAUUGUAACAAACCAAUUUAUUAAAUCAAUUUUAUUAUUAAUUUUCUGACACUUUAAAAUGUCAGGAUUUUAAAAAGUUCUGAUCCUUUAAAACGUUGGAAUAUAUUUUAUUGAUGCUUGGCAUAAGUGUCAGUAUAUUACGUGACGAGUUGGCCUAGUAGCCCUAAUCUUUCAUUAAAUUUUGAUGAUAACAAAUAAUUACAAUUAUUGGGCUAAUCCUUUAUCUUGAGUUUUGUGUUUUAAACCUCUCUAUCUUCAAAAGGACUCAAGAUGGGCAAUCUUCUAGCACCGAGCUUCACUACUUGAAGCUAUACUUGCUUCCUUUGUCAAAUAGACAAACUCACUCUCUCUAUUCUUAAUUUGAUUAAUAUUUUGCUUUAUGAUUAGAGUGAGAAAUUUUGAGCUAAGUUUAAUCUAUUCCUCUUAUCACUUUAUAGCUCACUUGAACAAAUCUCUAACUUGUGAUAAGGUGCAUAGGAUUUUAAAAUAUUCUAAAACUGCUCAAAAAUCUGUAUUCUGUCAAGUUACUGUUUUUGGACUCUGUUCUGGGCGGUCUAAAGUGAAUCCGAAUCUCAUGUGUUUUUGGAUUCUGUUGUUUGCUGUUCGGGUGGUCCAAAAAUUUCUUUACUUGAUCUGGGUGCCCGAAUUUCUGUUUAGAGCGACCGGAUUGUUUGACUUGACAGGUUGCAUGUUCCGGAUAGUACGACGGAUCAGCUCGAAAAGUUCUGACGCGGCGCAGGCGGCGCGCAAAUCUGGGCGCCCACAUCUUCUGGAAGCCCAAAAUGAUUCUGCUCAGAGAAAGCGGUGCACGUGGUCUGUCCAUGUCAGAAAAGUCAGCGCGCAUGUUAUGGGCGCCCACAAAAUCUGAAGGCCCGUUUGUACGAAUCCAAAAAAACGGCGCACAUUUUCUGACAGGCAGCUAGAAGCGUAGUGCGCGUGACAACUUCUGGGCGCCCGAAAUUAGGUUUAGGGCACCCGAAAGUGCAACGGUCUGGAGCUAACCGAGGCUAUAAAUAGAUGGCCUUGAGGCCUUUCUCAACCUCUCUUAGAAAGUCCAUUUGAGCUUAAAAAUUUCAGUGUUUCUAAUACUCUUAGCUCUCAAUUCUCUCUCUAAACUUGAGUGCAAUUUGUAGUGAGAUUUAAUCUUGUAAAAAAAGAGAAAAGCAAAGUCUUGGAGCUUGAAAAGAAGAAAGUGUUGGUGUGAAGGCUUGGUGCUUGGCUGCAAAAGCAUCAUCUAGUGAAGAUCCAACGUUCUCUUGUGUUGAGAAGUUGGCGAGGACAUAGGCAAAGUGCCAAACCUCGAAACAAAUCGAUUGUGUUCCUCUUUGAAUUUGCAUUUCUCUAAACUCCGCCUUCAUUAUUUGUUUCGGGUUUUUAAAUUGCUUGAUUAUUUAGCUUUUUAUUUUAGAAACCUAGUUCAUCCCCCCUCUUAGGUUGCCAUUUUGAUCCUCAACGUGACGACUUUUUAUUUACCAGCACUUUAGCCGAAGCUUUCAAAUGUGAUGGUAGACUAUUUGGGGACACUUUACACUAAUGGUUAAAUGCCAAAAAAAACGUCCUUAAAUUUUUAUUUUUUUUGUAGUGCAAGUUUUAUCGUGAUUUUGAUCUGUCAAGAAUUAUAGAUUUGAAAUUUUCUAUCUUGAUCCUAUCUAGGGGUGGAAACGAGCCGAGCUCGAGCGAUCUUGCCUUGUCUCAAAUUCGGUUUGAAAUUAAUUUCGAGCCUAAAUUUAAGCUCAAGCUUGGAUUGAAAUUAAUUCGAGCCGAGCUCGAGCGAGCCUAAUUUCGAGUUGAGCGAGCUCGAGCCCUAAACGAGCUGCUUGAAAUUCUCUAAUUAUACGAUCAAUAGUUUAAUUUGUAUAAAACAUUGUCUAUAAUUUGAUAAAAAAAUAUGUCUAAUAGUUCAAAAUACAAAAUAAUUAUAUGAAAUAUAGUAUUAUAAUAUAAAAAAAUAAUUUAUGAGUUGAAUAUCUAAUCUUUUCAGCCUCAUAUAUCUUCUCUUCCGCCUUCAAUCUCCAUAUUAUUCAUUUUCAUUUAUGCGGUCAAAAAUAAAUAAAUUAUAUAGAUAAAUAUUGGAUUAAACUAUCCAAUCAUAUAUAACUAAAAUUAAAAUUUUAUAAUGAUAAUAAUUUUAUUUUUAAAAUAUUCUGUAUAUUUUCUACAGCAUACAAUUAAUAGCAAGUAGGUAACGGCGGGCAUAUGCUGGUACUUGGUAAUUGGAGGGCUUCCGGCUUGGCCACUUAGUGUGAGAGACAGAAAAAAGAAAGAGAGAAACAUAUUGAAAAUUUAGAGCUUUGUGAAAGAAAGAAAGCAAGAAAGGAAAAAUGUAUAAAUUUAGUAAAAUUUUGCUCUUUUAUUUGUCUAUUAGGUUUGUUUUUAUGGGUCAAAAUAUUGGCUAAUUUUAACUAAACUAGAUUAUUCAUUUAGGCCUAUAUAUAAUUAAAAUAUAUUAUAUUUAUAUAUUUUUAUUAUUAUUAUAUAUAUAUAUAUAUAUUAUAUAUAUAUAUAUAUACUAUAAUAUAUAUAUAUAUAUAUAUAGUGUAGAACUACUAUGCUAUCGAAAAUAUAGAUUUUGAUGUUUCGAAUUUUUGACCCUUUGAUUAAGAAUUGUAUGGUUGGGAUGAUUGCGGCCCCCCCUAAAUUAAAUAAUACCCCUAGGAUUGAGUGGUCAUAAGGUAAUAAUAGUAUUAAUCCAAAGAUAAGAAAUGAUUAAAGGGGUUGAUCUAAGAAUCAAAAAUCAAAGCACCAGAUUCUCUAUACUUUCGAUAGCAUAGUAGCUCUACUAUAUAUAUAUAUAUAUAUAUAUAAGAGAGAGAGAGGAAGAGAGAGAGAGAGGAGAGAGAGAUUGAGCUAGAUACUAUCGGUAGUAAAUGAGCGUUUUACUACCGAUUUGUUUCGAGUGAUAGAGCUUCCAAAUGACGACCGGCUCGUUAAAUAUGAUCUAAACCAUUUAAUAACCUAGAAAUCAAAUUUCAGCACUUUCGAUAUUGUUCUUUUAUUCAUCAAUGUGAACAAGAAAAUGAAUGGCUGAAAUGAAUACUCUUUAAAACAUGACGAUAGGAGUCUGUAAUCAAGAUCAAGAGUAAUAGAUCUUGUUUUAAAUAGUUUAAAGAAUUUUCUAACAAAAAAUUCAAUUGAUUUGGAUAUCUUUCGCGUUAAACGAGAAAACGCCUCUUAUCGACUAUUAAAAUUACAAAUUUUGAAACCCUUUGUUAUUAGGCAAAUGGAUGUUCGAAAGAUUUGAAAUUGAUUUCUAACACUUCAAGUGGUAUAGAUCAUGUUCACGGGAUCCGAUCGUCAAAUUGGAAGUUUAUCAUCGAAAACAAAUCGGUAGUAAAACGGCUCGUUUAUUACCGAUAGUAUCUAGUCAACUCUCUCUCUCUCUCUCUCUCUCUCUCUCUCUCUUCUCUAUAUAUAUAAUAUAUAUAUAUAGAGUCCAGCUAUGUGCUUGAAAAGCAACAAGCACUUGGUGCUUGUAAGUUUUUUACGUUAGAUCUAUUUCUCGGAUUAUUUUCACCAUUAGAUUAUAUAUUCAACCAACCACCAUCAACCCUAGGGGCCCACAUCAUCCUAACCGUAUAUUUCUUAAUCUAAUGAGUAAAAUCUGCAAGCACCAAUAACUUGGUACUUUUAAAGCAUAGGAGCUCUAAUUAUAUAUAUAUAUAUAUAUAUAUAUUUAUAUAUAUAUAUAUAUAUAUUUACUAGUAAAUGUACGUCAAAUGCACGUAAUAAUUAUUAGAAAAAGUUAUAAUUUUUUAAAUUAUUUUUAAAUUUUAGGCAUAUUUUAUAUGAUUGCCAAAUAUGUAUCUAAAAAUUGAAAAUAAUAAAUCAUGCUUUAAGAAAGAUAUUUUUUAAAUGAUAAAUAAUUACAAUAAUCUCUAAUGCAAAAAUUACUUUUGAAUUAAAUAGAAAAAAAAUCUGUUAGGAAAUAAAUUUUUGAAAUUAAAUAGAAAAAUAAAUCGUUAUCUUAAAGGAAAAUAUAUUUUGAAAUUAAUAGAUAAUAUCUAUUUUUUCUGCCGAAAAAUGGGUUGUCGACAAACCCAAAUUUGAAUAUACGUGCUUUAUAUAUAUAUAUAUAUAUAUAUAGUCCGGCUACUAUGCUAUUAAUAGCACGAAGUACUUGGUGCUACUAAGUUUUCCGCCGUUAGAUCUACUCUUUUGAUUAUUUUCACCUGUUAGAUCAUACUAUUCAACCAACCCACCCACUCAACCCUAGGGGACCCACAUCAUCCUAACCGUACAUCUUUUAAUCCAAUGACCAAAAACUUGGUAGUAUAAUUGACUUGGUGCUAUUAAUAGUAUAGUAGCCUAGUUCUAUAUAUAUCAUCCUAACCGUACAUUUUUUAAUCCAAUGACCAAAAACUUGGUAGUAUAUUCGAGCUUUUCGAGUUUUUCGAGCCUAAUUUGAACGAGCCGAGUAAUACUCAAGGUCGGCUUGAAAUGAAUUUCGAGCUUUUUUUUUGGUUCAAACUCAACUCAUUUAAUUUCAGAAUCGAGCUCAAGCGAGCCAAAUAUCGAGUCGAACGCGAGUCGAACGCGAGCCGGCUCGCUCAUUUGCCAGCCCUAAUUAAUUCUGAUAGUUAUUAUUUGUUUUAUAGGAGUUAGAUUUCAGUUCCCAUUCCACGCUGGAAUGGAAAUGGUCCAAUCCGCAUGUAUGGUUCAAUCCGACAUUGAAUCUCCUAUUUACCCAUUCAGAAGUAAACCACUCAAAGUUCUCUCUUACUGACACCUCCCUCUUACUUUCUUGACUGUAUUUUUUUUCCUUUUUCUUAAGAGAUCUGAUUAUCUCACCUUGUAGUUAAAUUCACCUUUUAAAUGAAGAAAUCAAUGGCAUGCUACCAUCCUUUCAAAAAAAAACAAAAAACAAAAGAGAAUUAAAAUGUUGAAUUUAAAAGUAAAAUAAAACUCGCCUAAAAAGUACGAGAACUAAUUAUGUAACGACCCGACUCUCUAACAAUAAUAACUUUCCAUCAGCUCAAAAUGCUUAAGUUCAGUUAUUAUGUCUAGACUAAUUAAGCUUAUAUAUUCUCACAUUUAGUCAUAACUAUUCGAUGUUGGAUUAUUAGAUUGUCACAAAUUAAGUAAUUUACCAUGUUUGCGAUAAGGAGUGCUAGGACCACAACUCUAUUACACUACACCACUCUACUCAAAUCUGUUGCCUACUGGAAAGCUGUUCCUACAUUAAGCCGAAAGCAAAUUAGGCCAGCGAAUCUAAAUCCAGAGUUGUACUUAACUAUUAUAUUAAGUUGCAAAUGAACAAUUACCAAAGCUGUUUAAUGUCAGGUGCAAUGUCACAUGAGCCCAUUAUAUAUUAAAGUAAUAUGAAAAGGAUUUGUGAUAGUACAAUGGUCAAAGAUAUAUAUGCAUUACAGAAGUAUAUAUGGAUCACGUGAUGAGCCAUUUCUUUAUUUUGGCUUUUGACUGAAAAGGACUAUUUAUUAAAUGAGGAGCGUGAUCAUAUAUAUAUAUAUAUAUAUAUAUAUAUAUGACUCAAAAGGAAUAUCAUGUUCGGCCUGCAAGUUAUUUCUUUAGAAUAAAAUAAGGUUCUGUUUGGACAUUGGAAUAAGCUAUCCAAGAAUAACUUAUUCAGUAUAAAAAUUAAAUGAGCAUGCAUGAUCAUUUGUCUCAAAAGGAAUACCAUGUUCGACCUUCAAAUUAUUUCCUUAGAGUAAAAUAAGGUCAUGUUCGGACAUUGGAAUAAGCUAUCGAAGAAUAACUUAUUCAGUAUAAAAAUUUUCUAGUGUAAUUGUAAAGAGUUUGAUUUUUUUACUUCUUGAAAAGUUUUGAUGUCUAUAAUUUGAUAGGAUAGCAUAUUUUAUCUAUGGUGAUUUAUCUUUCUAAAAAAUAAUUUGAAGGUCGAACAUAAUAUUCAAUUCUAGACAUUUGAGCACACUCUUCAUUUACCAAGACCCUGUGUGAAUGCAUAAAUAUCUUGUUCGGAAUAAACCCUUAAUUUAUUCAAGGAAUUUAUACGAUUGAUCGAUAAGGAGUACUGUGGUCAAAUGUUUAAAAUUGGACGCUAUAAUUUGACCAUCCAAUUUUUUUUUUUUUUUAAAGAUAAAUCACCUUGUAGGUGAAAUAUGUUAUCCUACAUUCCUACUCAAGUAUAGAUAGCAAGACUUUUGAAAGAGAAAAAAUUAAACUUCUUAAUUACAAUCAUACAAGAAAAUCCUUAUACAGAUAACUUAUUCUAACAUCCAAACAUGAUCCAUACAAGAAAAUUCUUAUACAGAUAACUUAUUCUGACAUCCAAACAUGAUCCUUUCUCAAGUAAAUUAAGAAGAUAUAAAUAUUCAUGCAUCCAAACGAUGCCUAAGUUACCUCGUGGUUGAAAUACACUAUCCUACUAAAUCAUGAAUUCCAAUGACCUAAGGAGCUAAAUCCAAACUCCUAACAUGAGCACCAAUCCUAUUCAGUCUAUUUCUUUGACUUACUUGGUAAGUUCAUAGUACUUGGUAGAUGAGAAGUAUAUAUAAUCAACAGCCUAUGAUUUACAGCCUAGAAAUCAUAAUAUAUCGCAACAAAUAAAAUAAAUCAUCUCGUAAGUAAAAUAUACUAUCCUGUCAAAUCAUAAUUUUCAAGACUUUGCUAGGAGCUAAAACGAAACUCCCAGCUCCCAAUCAUAAAAAAUAAAAUAAAAUUUUAAUAGUAAACAAGUUAUCCUAGCCACACACUAUUUCGAAUGCACACUAUUUCGAACGCGACUGGACCCAAUCUAGCCUCCCACCAUAGGGCAAAAUGCUUGCCCCUUUAAGCCAACACUAUUGGACGGAUACAAAUAGUCAUAGUAUGCAUGAAUUAUGUGCAUGGUUGUACAUAUUUUCCAGGCUCUAUCCAUGUGGUGUCUAGCUGGUUAAGUACUAACACAUCUGUGUGUUUCAGAACUUCAUGUGGAACAUACAAAAAGUGGAACUUAUUAAUUUGACAUCCUUACUAUAUUCAAAUGUAAAAGAAAACAGUUUGCUCAGAAUACAGUAGAGAGAGAAAAGAGUUCACACACUGAAACUGUCCUAAGGGAAAAGAAAAAAAAAAGGCUCUGAUCUGGUUCUGAGUCUUAAGUAUUCAAAUGCCUAUAAAAUGGCCAUCUAUUUUGUGUUAAAAUACCAUAUUUUAUCUACAAAACAAUGAAAAGCAUUCUAAGAGCUGUGGUUCUUAUCUCAACUUUGCUUAUGUUUCACUUCCUUCUAUUUACUUCACCACCUCUAUCUUUCGAAAGCGCGAAUCCGAGGCUUUCUUUUCAAUCAAGAAGGAUGAUGCAGUAUUCGGCGUUGAGUUCUGCUCAACUGGGAGUGAACGAUGCAGCAACGAAGCCGCCGAAAAAGACGUUCCAUGUAAGUCUGAAUAAGCUGCCACCGAGCAAGUCGAAUCCGUCGCAUAACUAGAUGGUGAGAGUCUAGGAAUUAGAAGGGAGAUUUUGAAUUAUUUAUUUGCUAAUUUUUGUAGUGAAUUGAUCUAAUGUGCUUUUUUUUUGCUUUUUAGGCUUUUGUUUGCAGAAUGGUACAUUACUGUCAGUAGUGUCAGAAUCUUCUUCCAUUUUGUAACUGGUUGAUCACAAGUAAAAUGAGACCAAAAUGAUAUGACAUUAGAUUUUGUAAUUGGUUGAUCAGUAGAUAAAAUGAUACAUCUGCUAGGAUACAAAUAAUUAAGACAUCUGUGUAUCUCUCAGUAUUUCAACCUAGUGCCUAGCAUAAAUUCUCAAAUUAAAUUGGGCCUAAUUUGUUAAAGGUCUCUUCUAUUUUGUGCACAUUAUUAGGUAAUCAAAUUGUACACUCCUGGGCAAUUUUAAUGUCCUUAACUAUUUUCUUCUCCUUUAGCAUCAAAUGAUCUACUUUUUCAAUAGAUGCUGUUACAUGUUCUAGGCAGCAAGUUCAGAGCCAGAGUCUAGAGGCUCACACAUGAGUUUGCUGACACAUCAACAAUUCAUAGAGGAUCUUUCUGGAAAUUCAAAGCGCAUUUCGACUAGCUAAAUGAUGAUCUUCUUAUGAUCCUUCUACUUUCAUCUUCUGUAUCUAUCUUUCUGCUUCUAAGGUCUUCUUCAUCUCUUAUCAAGCAGUUUCCAAACUUGCUUACAAGAAGAUGCUCAGACCCCAUCAGUAACUCUUUUAGUAAAGAUGUUUCAGAUCAACUUUCACAUAGGAACGACUUUUUCAUUGAUCUGGAGUAGUUGAAGAUAGCCAGAUAGAAUAAUUUAUAGAGAAAUCCUUUACUUGUUAGAUGAUUAUAAAAAAAAUUUCAAACUUUUCAUCUUUCUAUGUAAGUAACCUGAGUUUCCAGUUUUUCCUUCAUACACUCUAUUAAGCAUCUUCUGAGGAACAUAGCAUCAACUCUUUAACAAAGGAAAGAGUACACUAAAAUUAUAUAAGAUAAUAAUACUAUUAUUACUAAACUCAAUUGAAAGAUGCUCAACAGGAUCUUUUCUGAAAGAAAAAAAGAAAAAAAGGAAAUCUUAGUGACAUUGAAAAUUGUCUAAAUUGUUGGGAACUUAGAUAUUUCCCAGCAUAUAAAAACCGAGUGCAUUCAUCGAAUAUAUGAUAAGUUACUGAACGUAAAACGCAAAAGUAAAAUAAGUGACAAGGCCUCAGAAGAACCAAGUUGUUGAGAUCAAAAAUUCAAAAGAAUUUCAAUCUAUCUUCAUUCCCCCUCUUUGUUCACCAAAAUAUGUAACAAACCGGAAAUAUCACAAGCUUCGGCAUGUGCUUUAAUCUCGAAUGCUGAAGAAGCAAAUCGCCUAUAUCCAACCAAACAAAUUGCGCGAGUAAAUCACACAUUAUGGAUAGAUCACACAUGUAUCCCAACUACUAAAGAAGCAAAACACAUCAAGAACUAAGCACAUCACACAAAAGAGGAAAAAUACAUCGACCCAAACACAAUAAAGAUAAGAAGAUCACACACUAAUUUGACUACGUACAAAACCUAGAGAGGAGAAAAAAAAAAAAUUUGUGGUAUUCUCAUUUCGGCACAAAUACUAACAUAGAGGUCACCGUGGCAUAAUACACCGCAUUUACAGAACCCAGUUGCCAGAUCCCAUAGAUUCCAGAACCGGGUUCGUAUCUCAUAUGUUGAUUCCAAUGUGAUCUUCGGUUGAAGCACGAACAGUUUCGAUUUCCUGAGGCCUUGAACUAUAAGCGUUUACGGUAGACGAGACCUGACUGUUAUUAUUACGCCUCUCUGCCAGUUGCUGAGUAAAUGCAUGAGGCCAGAAACCUGAAAGAAUUGGAAUAUACAAAUACAAACAAUUUAAAAACUGAUUAAACAAAAAAAAUCUGCGGCCAAAAUCGAAAUUACAACAGUAAAUUAAAGUUUACAGAAUAGCUAUUCUGAUCAAGAAAACUCUUCAAAAAUCUUCUUUUUAAUUAACACGAGAGUAAGAACAGUGACAGAAACUUUAGUCCGAAGGAGACAGAUUGAAUUUUCAUUCUCAUGGCAUGAACUAGUGAUACUAUCUAAAUAAAAAGAAAUCAUCAUUUUCAUAAUAGGGUUUAUACUACUUGGCCUGAUCAGAAUGUCAAAUUAUAACAACAUAUCUGCUUUGUCAGACGGAACUGAAAUCAUACAGGAUGGGAUCUAUAACCUUGGAUUAAUUGAAUGAUCCAUCAGUUCAUCCCAGAAUUUUAAAAAGAAAGGUUUAAAGCAAACUGGUUAGUUAAGAAAGUGAAUAAUGAAUUUUUAUUGAGGAGGAGCAACAAAUUAAAAUGCAUAAUGAACUUUUAUUUGUUACAUUAUAUUUAUGCCAUAAUUAAUUGGACAAAAUGAAUAACAAUCACAUUGACUAGUAAAAUGCACUCGACUUCAUCAUAGACCAACUAUCGAAUUGGAUUCAAUCCACACUUUACCUUAGAAUUGAGCUCACUUAACAAUAUCGAACAUUGAUUUCUGCUUUUCUACGUGACCUCCGUAGGAUGUGAUUUAGAACCAUAAACGCGUAUAUGUAACAUUAACUUCAUAAGCCCUGGACAAUUGCUAUCCUCUUAUAGUUAUUUUUGGAAAUCAUGAUGAGGAUAUAUGGCACAUGGCAUUUCUAUUUUUUCUAUUUUCAUCUGUUAUCAAUCAGAUGUUGUCUUAUCAUGCUGGAAUUCAAAUAUUUUGUGCGGUGAUUUUCCGCGAAGUAAAUAUUUUCCAGCUGAUACUUCUUUCUCUCUCUGUCCACCAUUUAUCAAUGCAUAUUUGUUUGAAUUUCUAGUGCAAUUUCUUUCCUAAGAUCUUAAAUUACUCGGAACUGAUCCUUCUAUUACUAACACUCGACGAUACAGUAAUAAACUGUAUUUAAAAUCAUGACAAUAAGAUCCUCAUUUUGCAACACAUUAUGAACAUUUUGUAGUCAAAACUUUUAAUUAAUAAAAAGAUGCAUAAAGAAAGUAGGACUUACUAUCUGCACCAAAAGGAGACGGGAAGAAUUGCAGGUAACAAAAUGAAGCAACCGUAAGUCCUACAAAAGAAACCAGAAAUAGUAAACAAUGAGAGAAAAACAAAAAUUAAAAUAAUAGAAAAUUGGAUUAAUGAGAUGAAGAGGAACGCAAACCUAGAAGACCUCCAGCAAACACAUCUUGCCAGUGAUGCCAAUAGUCAUCUACUCGAGAAACUGCCACGAGAGAUGCGACAAGCAGAGGCAGGAAAACAAUGCAAAGUUUCGCGAUGUGGCCUUUGCGAUCAAAGGCUGUUAUUUUCCCAGCUAGAUACCAUGAAAGAAAUCCUAGACCAGCGAAUGACCCUGCGUAACAAAAGAGUCGAAAAUAAGAUGUCCAAUAUGAAUAAGCACCAAAAGGCACAGAGAUUGGAUGAUAAAUGCUAUUACAACUACUUUUAUUGCAGCAAUAAUGCAUGGAGUAUACGACAGUAAACGUUCUUGUCAACAAAAUCUCAACCAAAAAUAAGUGCUUUUUAUUGAAUUGAUUAGAAAACUAAAGAAAUCAAAUUUCCCUUGAAUUAGCUCUCCAAUUUAUGAAAAACCGAGAAUCCAAUUGCAUCAAAUUCUGUUUGUUAAAAAUUUAGUCCAAAUGAGCCACAUUACCAGUCACACAGAAUGUUGAUUAUAAAUGCAAAAGAAAAUUGAUUUAGCACACAUUCAUGCUUAGGCAUCAGUUAAGAAAAGAAAAAAAAGAAAAAAGAAACUCUUAACAAAUUGAGAAACUAUUCUAGCAAACAGAUACAAGAAUCACCAGUCCGAUAUAGCAGACAGUUAUAUGUAGCAUACAUGAAGAAUGGCCGCUUGGAAAGCUCUUGUGACCUUCGUUGAUGACACUCUUCUCUCCGUGGCAUAUAACACUUGUUGUGGAAUUAUCGUACAACUGAAGAAAACAAUAAAAACUCAAAAAAAAAAAAAAAAAAAAAAAAAAAAAAAAAAAAAAAAAAAAAAAAACAUAAAGCAAGCAUUAGAAGAGAAGUGUCACAAAUUAAGGGCUCACAUCUUUGCCAUCGGGAAAACAGCGCCAAAAGAAAUCAGGUCGCGGGCGACCAACGCCAUCCUUAAUUGCAUCCGUGAUUACCGCAGUUAUAAGCACAGAAAAAAGAAGGCCUGUCAGAAAAGAUGAAGAGUUCAACAGCCGCCAAAUCGCCUAAUGUGAAAUAUACAAACUCAAGAAAGAACAUGAAAAGUACCUAGUAUGGCGUUAUGCAAAUCAUACACAUUUCUCUUUUUAAGGUAAAUCCCGCUGAAGAUAAAGAAAGGCAAUAUGAUGGCAAUGAUCUGCAAAAAAAUCAAAUAUAAGCGGUAGAAGAGGCUUUUACAUAUGUUCUAAAAAAAACAUCUAUUUAUAUCUGUCACUGUAAAUCUCGAAUUCUUCUCAUAUUUAACCAUAGAAAGUGCAUUUUUCCUUCCAAAGAGGAAAAAAAAACAUUAUUUUAGGCUUAAAGUUGUUCGAAUGAGAUCACUUUCGUAACGACAAGAGUAUAAUUCAUUGGCAUAAAAGAAAUUCAGACAAUGGAUAGAUAGAUACUUCAAUAGAUGAUUUUGCAUAGGUAUCAUGUAAAUGUCUAGUUGAAAUAUACAAAACACGCAUGAAUAUACUAAAAAAAGAAUACUUUUCUUGAAGAUCCAAUACAUGAAAGCGGGGCAAAAAUGUACCGGAACAGCCCAGAAUGGCACCGUGUUGCUUUUCAUCGGGUAUCUCAGAUCUGUCAUCAUGUCCUUUCCGACAAAGCGAUGGAAUGGUUCUAUUAUGUUUAAUAGUCCGUCAAUUACUGCGAGAAGUACAAGUAUAAUCCAAUCAUACAUGUGGAACCGUGCUACUUUGGCGCCAUGCGAUUUUAUAGUGUGAGAUCCCAGUAGAAUAUCCGCCAUUUUCUCCUAUAGUAAAAUGCCACUGAACUUGAGCAACAUAAUCAACAAGAAGAGUUACACAUAGUCGAUCGAGAUAAAGAGCGAAAAGUCACUCUAAUGUAAUUUUUUACUAUGAAAUAGAAUCUUACUAGAGUAAUCAUCCCAUGUGAGGAAAAGUGUGGGCAAAGCUUGCAUUCUAUUCUGAAGUAUCAAAAGUAUAUCCUAAUAUUUGCAAAGUUUUAAAUAGUAUAUUGUCAAAUCAAACAAAAGAACAUUUACACAUAAUUUCAACUGUUCGCAAUUUUCAGGAUAAAAUUUGAAAAAUCUUUUCCAUUUCUUGUUUCCAGUCCGACUCAAAUUUCAGUGAUUUGUUGUACAACAAUCUUCAAAUUGAGAAUCCAUAAAAUUUCGAAAUAACCCUUCCGAAGUAUCUUCAUCUAUUUAGGUACUAGAUUCAAUGAUGUCCAUAAAUUAUGUACGCAUGCGACCUGCAUAUAUUGUUUUAAAACAAGAAACCAUUUACGACCUAGAAAUAUUGUCAGGUUCGGUAUAAUUGGAUGGCGUCAGCAUGACAUCAUAAAUACUUAAUUAUUAUUUUUCAUUCUACAUAUAAUAAAAAAUAUAUAUAUUCUUAAGUAUAUUACUUUACAUUAUUUUAAAUAUUAUUAUAUCAUAUAUAUAUAUAUAUAUAUAUAUAUAAANAAGUAUAUUACUUUACAUUAUUUUAAAUAUUAUUAUAUCAUAUAUAUAUAUAUAUAUAUAUAUAUAAAUGUACUCAAAGUGUAGAUCAUUCAAAAACCAAUGUAUAUUUCUAAUUAAUUAUUGAAAUAUAAAGUAAAAAGAAACUCAGCCGGUUCUUAUCAAACCGGGUUAAUUCACCGGUUGAACCACAGGUCUAACGAGUCAAAGCGAAACUCACAGUUUACACCGGUCCAGGUUUAUGGUUGAACUGAACCGCUUUCGGAAUCAGGUGGAUAUGCGAACCAAAUAGAAUUCGAACUUGGGUCUCAGGUACCAACCACCGAGCCCUUUUGCCACUUACGCUAGGGACUGUCGGUGUUGAUCCAAUUUUUAAAAUAUUUGCAAUAUGGUGGAUUCUUUUUUCUUUUUUUUUUUACUUCUUCCUUAAGAGAGGAAAAAAGAACCACCAUAAAAGAAGAAACAAAGAAUACAGAUAAGGUGACAAUUAUGGCCAAUAAUAUUUAAAUAAAUAUAGUAAAUCAGGCUGUUUAUUAUGGCUAUUCAACUAACAUCAAACCCACAGAAACAACCAUACUUAAACAGGACAAAAUUCAAUCCUAAAACAGCAAGAACAAAAAAAAAAAAAAAAGAAAAAAAAAACAUGUGAAAACAAAAAGAAAGAUGAAUAAAAUGAACAAAGAAAUUAAUUGAGAACAUACAAGCAAUGGAUUCUUCAAAUUAAUGCCUCCUCCUCUUCUUCUUCUUCUUCUUCUUCCACCUUUUUCCUCUCACCAAGAGAAUCACACAAAAGUAAAAAAGCAAUCAACAACAUAAAAAAUAAAAAAAAAAAAGAAGAGGGGGACAAAAAGAGAUAGAGAUAGAUUUUCCUUUACUCCUAUUGGAUAUUGAAAAAGAAAGAGAGAGAAAUAGAGAGAGAGAAAGAUACUUGUUCGUAAAGUGAUUUGAUUUUAACUUUGAAUCGAUCCAACAACAACUGCUGCAAUUAAUAAUUGGUAUUAUUGGAAUGUGUGUGGGGUAUCUUGGAACUAUUCAAGAAGAAGGGGAGAGGGAGAGGUGGGAAAAGAGAUGGUAUUGGAGGAGUUGUUUUUGAGAGAAAGGUGUCGGAUGAGUUGUUGUUGGAGGAAAUAUCUGAGCAGUUUUGUUGGAGGAAGUUUAAUAAUAUCGUACGGGUCGGAUGUGGUGACGGCAGGAUGAGCUGAAAGUCAAAUAUGUGGACGGCGGAAGCUUCGGAUUUGGGAAGGUGAGGCCGUCAAGAUUCCAAGAAAUGAUGAAACGCGUGUGCAGCCAGCCCGGGCCUCACCUGCCGGACACGCUUUGCGGCUUCAGUUGGGCCCAGUUUCUAUGCACUGUCGUAAGUUGUGCUCUCUAUAUAUCACUGAUAUUUUUAUAAGUCUCGCAUGUGUGUCCGCAUGAAAUUUAUUUCCAGUAUAGACAUAUUUUGGGCGCGCAUUUAAUACGGAUCCAUAAUACAUAUAAUUAAAAAAAUAUACAUAUUUUUAUUUGAGUGGAGCUACUAUGCUAUCGGAAGUAUAGAGGAUUUGGUGCUUUCGAUUUUUUCGCCCUUAAAUCAAUCCCUUUGAUCAUUUCUAACCUUCGGAUUAAUACUAUUACCCUGUGGGAACCACUCAACCCUAGGGGUACUACUCAACACUGGGGGCCGCAAUCAUCCCAACCGUAUAAUUUUUAAUCCAAUGGUCAAAAAAGUUGGAAGCAUCAGAUCCUCUAUGCUUCCAAUAGCAUAGUAGCUCUACACUUUUUAUUCUACUUAUUUUUUAUGCAUAUAAAUAAUUUAAAAUGAUAAAUAUUUUAGUUUGGAUUAAUUUUAUACAAAUCUCUGCAAACAUAGUGAAUUGCAAAUAUAUCCCUACAAAGUUCAACUUUUAUAUAUUGUUCCUACAAAAGUCCUAAUAUUUUCAAAUAUGUCCCUAUGGUCUGUUACCGUUAAAGCAAUAUUUUAUUUUAUAAGUGAAAUGACCUUUUGCCAUCACAAAUACCUUCCUCAAAAAAUCUCAACUGUUAAUUGAAGAAGAGUAAAAAUGUCAAUUAUUCUUAUUAAUUAACUAGGGUUAAGUUUUUUAUCUAUGAUUAACUAAUUUUUUUUCUAACGGAUCCUAACGGCAAGAGUAUAUUUGAAAACAUUAGGACUAUUGCAGGAACAACAUUUGAAAGUUACCGACCGUCCCUAGAGCAAGUGGCAAAGGGCUUGGUGGUUGAUACCCGAAACCCAAGUUCGAAUCCUAGUUGAUUCACAUUUCUAGCUAAGUUUAUUUUUAAAUGAAAUAAACGAAGCGGAUAGCGUGCUACCUAUUUCUCAAAAAAAAAAAAAAACAACAUUUGAAAGUUGAACUUUGUAUGAAUAUAUUUACAAUUCACUAUAUUAGCAAGGACCUGUAUGAAAUUAAACCUUUUAGUUUUAUGAGAAUGCAUAUAAAUUUUUUUAGACAAUAUAAAUAAACUAUGCAUGGUGGAGAAUAAUUUUUUCUUAAAAUAUAUGAACUAUGAAUUAAAUUUUACUAACUUUCCUUUGUAGAAGAAAUAUAAUAAUAUUUUACCAAAAUUAAUACUUUAUAUAUAAUAAAUAUAUAUUACUAUAUUAAUAAUAUUAUGUUUAUUAAUAGUGUCUAUAGCGUGUCCGUGUCCUAAUUUUUUAGAAGCUGUCAAGUCACCGUGUUCGAGUCAUGUCGUAUCCCAAAUGACAUGUCAAUGUUCAUGAUGCCUAGGUUGUGCCCAAGAGAGAACUGACAAACCAUCGAGUUGAAUAAUCCGUAUACAAGUCAUUAUAUUUGCAGAUUAUGCCAGAGUGGAUAAAAUUUGCCUAUAAACUUUUGGAUAGCUAUUAUUCUUAACUAUAUCUGUGUGAGCAAAUAUACAAUUACCCACAGGCUUCGUUUGGUUGGCGUAUAAGCAGGAACUAGUUAUACCGGGGAUAGGUACAAGUAUGGAUUUUUGUAGGAACAAAGGUAUUUUUUUGUUUGGAUGAAAUUGUGAGUAUAAACUAGAACUAGAAAAAUUGUGUUUGGAUGGUUAUUGAGAAUAAGAGGAAUAAUGGGUAGUUGAACUUUUUAUAUACCCAAAAUACCCCUCUCUUAAUAUGAAGGAUUUCUAAAUUUUAGUGCUAAGUUGGUUGUAAAAUUUAUUAUUUUGGGAUUACACUAACCAAUUUAAAUCUCAGGAAUUAAAAUUUAAAAAUAUUUUGAUAUUUUAUUAAUUAUUAUUGGCUUUAUUUAAUCAAUCUUAAAAACGACAACAACUCAAUAAUUUAGAAAAAAAAAUAACAAAGAUCAUAUUGAAUAUAACAGAUAUAUUCAUUAACAAUUACCAAAAACGCAUGCAUUAUUUAAACACGUACCCUAAUUAACACUUUUUACCAACAAGGGCGCAUAGGCGCGUACACAUAUAUCAUCAAGUAAAUCUACAUAUACUAUGAAGCAAAUUUACAUCCAUACUAAUCCACCAAUUAUAUAGCAUGGAAAAAAUCCUAAUCAUAGGCUGAACUCAAAUAAUAUGAACACAUUGAUAUAUGUAAAUGCAACUAGUCGAAUAUUACAAUAUAACAUACAACAAUAACCGGCGAUAUGAAGGCGGCGCCGACCAAGGCACUCAUUGCACAAAGGAAGGCGGCGACGACUAAAGCAGAGAUCACACCGAGUCAGGUGGCGGCACCCAAAGCAGAUAUCACACAGAAAAAGGCGGCAGCAACCAAAAUAGACAUCGCACAGAGGAAGCCGGCGGCGACGAAGGCAAUGAUCGCACAGAUGGAGGCAGCGGCGACCAAAGCAGAGAUCGCACACUGGAAGGCGGCGGCGACCAAGGCAGUGAUUGCACAGAGGAAGGCGGCGACGACAAGGCAGUGAUCGCACAGAGGAAGGGGCUUAGAACGAAGUUUGGAUCUGGUACAAGAUAGGGGAUUUGGGGCGGCGACCAAACCUCAGAUCUAGGCUACGCACAGAGGAAGGUAGGGGUUUCUCCCCAAAGCCGAGGAAGGCGGCAGUUUCUCCCCAAACACGAGGAAGGCGGCGGGUUUCCAGCGACGACGAAGAAGGCGAAAAGAAGAAUAAGGGCCCGGGGGUUCCAAAGAUAGAGAAGAAGGCGAAGAGACGAUGCCCUGGCCACCGGGGUCCUCAGAUCGGGGAUUUCCAGUGACGGCGAAGAAGGCGAAGCCUAGAUCUGAGAAGGGCAAGGGGAUUCCAAAGAUGGAGCUUCCUCAGAUCUAGGGUUUGCGGCGACGGCGAAGAUGGCGAAGAGAGGAACAAGGGCGCGGGGGUUCCACAGAUGGAAAAGAAGGCGACGAAGGGAGAAGGAAGCGGGGGCGAAAGUAUGGCGGCGGGGUUCCAGAGAUGGAGAAGAAGACGACAAAGGGAGGGAGCUACACGUUUUUUCCAGAGAUGCCCCUGGUACAAAAUGUGAGGAUAGCCUUGUUCCAACCCGGGGUGGGAACAACAGUUUCCACCCUUAACGGGUUAUACCUGGUAUAACCCGUUAACAGGUAUAACCCGUUAAGGGUGGAACUGCUGUUCCCAUCCCUAACAAAUUGUGUUUGGGUACAAGAUAGGAGGAUAAGCCCCUUAUCCCAUUUUGUCAGAUCAAACAGGAUGACAAGGUACCUUUUUAUUUUUAUUUUAUUUUAUUUUUACUCUUUUCUAUACUUUCCAAACACAUAUAUAUAUAUAUAUAUAUAUAUAGUAUAUAGUAUAUAAUAUAUAUAAUAUAGUUAUUAAAUAUAUAUAUAUAUAUAUUAUUUUUAAAAGAUCAAAAUAUAACUUAUUGUAUAAAACAUCACAAUAUACAAUAUAUAGUAUAAAAAAGGGUUAAUUCCAUACAGAUCCCUGUAAAUAUAGUUAAUUGCAAAUAAUCUCUAUAAAGUUCAAGUUUUAUAUAUUAUCCCUACAAAAGUCCCAAAAUUUUCAAAUAUAUCCCUCUAGUUUGUUACCGUUAAAGCACUAUCUAUUUUAUAAGUGAAAUGAUCUUUUUGUCAUCACAAAUAUGUCCUUCCAAAAAUUUCAACUGUUAAUUAAAGAGAGAUAAAAUGUCAAUUCACCUCAUUAACUAAUUAGGGUUAAGUAUUUAACUUAUGGUUAAUUAAGUUUUUCUAACGGAUUCUAAUGGUAGGGACAUAUUUAAAAACAUCAGGACUUUUAUAGGGACAAUAUAUAAAAGUUGAACUUUAUAGAGAUAUAUUUGCAAUUCACUAUAUUUGUAGUAACUUGUAUGCAAUUAACGCUAAAAAAUAAUAUUAGAAGAAAUUAGUGUCAGCGUUCUAGUAGCAAAGAAAACAAAAAAGUGAACAAUUUUUUUAUUUUUUAAAUUUUUUUUAAAAAAACUUAUAUAUGCAAGUACCCGUGGGUACUCGUGGAUUGCCCAAAAUAUCUGCAAGGUCUGGCACUCACCCAUUUUAUUUAUAAUUUUUUUAGAUAAGAAAAAUUAAUAUCCAUAUCCGCAAAUUUAUGGAUAAUCCCUGAGUAUCCGCGAGUACGGAUUGAGAUUGACAGAUCUAACCUAAGAUUUUUUUUGGGAAAAAAUCUUAACUGUAGAAUAUUGUAAGUUUGCUAUUCAAUUUUUUAGAAUUUUAAAUCUUUUAGAAUUUUAAUUUUAUUAUCCAAUCUUUUAAUUUGUUUGAUUUGACUUAAUACAAUGAUACUUUAAUUUCAAAAUGUGAAUCUGUCAUUUAUCUUUACAAGUAUUUUAGUAUAGUUCAUGUAAUUCUCACAAAUAUAAAUUCCUUAAAGUGAGAACUUAUCUCAAAUUUUGAAGUUAAAAUACCAUUAAUUGAUUCAAAUGAAACAAAUUCAAAGACUGUAUGAUGAAAUCAUAAUUUUUAAAAUGGAGAGGUAGUGUAGUAUCCCUAGAGUUUAGCUGUCGGAAUGACUGCAGCAUCAGUGGCUUAUUGAUACAUCUGUAGAGUGUCGGGACGAGCCGGAGUCGUUUUGGCGCGAAAUGGACGCAAAAACGGACUCAGUGCUGUGCGAGUUUGGAGUUCUGACACUGAAAUCUGCAAACUGCAGGGUUUUGAGUGUUGUGUACCGGUACCUGAGUGGGGUACCGGUACCCCAGAAGGUUACCUGAAUGGGUGCUCUCGGGUUUGUGAGGCUUUGUGUUGAGUUCCGGUACCUUAGUCGGUGAGUACCGGUACUGGGACUGGGUACCGGUACUGCAUCGGGCUAAUACCAGUACACAGUAUUAAAAAAAAUCUAGCUGUCUAGCGCUCGAGUUUGCUGUCUGAGUGCCGGGUAUCGAUACCCCAAAUUGAGUAUCGGAACUCAAUCCGGCAGAUUGAGUUGGUGAAGGGUCUUUUGGUAAUUUUUGUUGCUGAUAUUAUCCCCCACCGACCCAGCCAGAAUUAUCUGUGUUGGAGCUUGGAGAAACAUGCAGGCUUCUCCUCUUUCUCUCUCUAGCUUCCAUUCCUAAGUUCUAUGGGAAUUUGAGGAAUGAUCUCUUUAUUAUUCUUCUUUUCUUUGGAGGAUUGUUCAUGCACCUUGGUUGAUUUCGUUUGAGGUUGAUCUAGCACGAGGCUUCUCCUAUCGACUUUUAGCCAGUGUUGGACGUGCAUUUGAGGUGGGUUGGUAUUGUCCGAAGCCUUCGGAAUGCCUCCUAAGUAUAUGAAACCCCAGCAUGUGUAGUUUUAUUUAUAAUCAUCCUGUUUAUAGCUCAAACUGUAGAUUUGCAUGUUAUAGAUGUAAUCUAAGUGUUAUAACAUGUUUAGCUAAUUUAUGAUGAUUAUUAUCUGCUGACUUGGGAUUGACUUAAGGGAUAACUUAUUAAAUCUACACCUGUCACUUUUCAAAAAGUUAUCAGAUUUAGUUUCAGAAGCUGACUUUUCUUUUGUAUCACCGCUGUUAGUGCGUCAUGGAUACUUAAAUUAGUGUAGGUUGAGAUUACGCUCGUGCUGAGGGGCCUAGCUCGUUAUUACAGCAGAGUUAGGCUGUUUUGUACAGUCAGGUGUUGUCCAGCUCGACGGUGGACCCAGAUUCUUACAUCUUAUAUCAGAUUGUGCAGAGGGCACGUGAACCUUAGUUGUUAGACCAGUUUGACCUAUUUGUACGGAUUAUAACCUGUGUGAGCCUGAUUGAGCUCGGCAGAGACACGCUUGCAUACUUGUUUGGGUAGCGCCCACAAGUGCCACUCCGAAGUGAGGCUUUUCUUGCGUUGAUGUCGCAGUAGUCCUGUUUGGGCGGUUUUCUUAGACCGGCCACCCCCGUGGGUGGUGUGCGGUGUAGUUUGGGUACAGGCUGGACUGGCCAGUUGGCGGUUCCUUGAGAUUGGGUCAAUUGUGAUUGGUUGUAGCUAGUGAUGCAUUCAUAAGUCUACGGAAAGCAUGGUUUGGAUAGUUAUAGUAUAGUGACAUUUAGUUGUAGAGUUUCUUUCUGUUUAUUUACCUAUCAGCUGAAUACCCAUAUUGUAGACUUAGUGGGUAGGCCGUUGGGGUCGGUAACGGUACCCACUGAGGGCUACUCUGUUUUAGUAGUAGUUCUCAUACCCAUUGUGCCACUUUUUCUUACAGAGUCUUCGACUGCUGCUACUGCUGCUGUUUCUGAUUGAGAUAAGGGAGUCGCGAGCUAGAUCCCUAUCUACCCGGUCACCAUAUUAGAGGAGUUCCUAUCAGAGAUAGUUUUUGGUUGUACCAUGUACAUAUUGUGGUUUUAGUUUCAUUCUGAGAGAUGGUUGUGUUUUGGAACGUGUAUGUACAGUGGGUUUUUUUUAUGGUAUAUAUAUGUUUCAGUUUUAGCAGCUCUGUACUCCUGUUAUAGCUUCUAUCCAUUUGCAGGUACAGCUAUCACUUCGUAUACAAGAAAAAUUCUUAUGUGUACGGCGGAUCUGUUGGUGAGCCCGAAAAACGUAGUAAUCCGGGGCGUGACAGGUAGGUGACCCAAAAUAGUCCAUAAUUAAGGUGAGUUCUGUACGUUUUUUUCUUUUUUUAAUAGAAAUGUGUAAAAGUUUUCCCAACUACAAGCUAUUUUAAUUUGUCCAUCUAAUCUUUCAAAAUUUUAAUUUUACUAUCUUAUUUUAAAUUUAUUAAAUUUAAGUCGUUGAUAGCUAUUUCAAUAUAAAAUUUAAACUAAUUGUUAAUUUUAGUGAAUUUACAGUUAUAUAAACUACAUAAAAUAUAUAAAUUAAUCUGUAAAGAUAAGCAAUUGCAUUCAAAUUUUGAAAUUAAAAAUUCACUAACUAACUAAAAUCAAAUAAACUAAAAAACUAUGUUGCAAAAUUAAUUUUUUUUAAAAUUAGAUAAUUAGAUCCGAUCGAUGAAGGCUUUUGAAAACCUAAAUGUAGCUCUACUGGUGAAAUAUUGGAGGUUCCUCUUGGAAAAAACUUAUCAGUGGGGUCCCUUAUUGAAGGUGUUUACUACUCCCCGAGGAGACUGCUUGGACCUUACAGUGGCGGCGAAGUGUUUUAGCGACUACGACUCUUUUUAUGUGUGGAGUAACAUACUCAAUUGGAGAUGGGCACAAUCUAAAUUGUUUCUGGUUAACUCACUCUAUAACUUUCUGCAAGACGAGGGAGUCAAUGCCAGAAGUUUUGUUCAGCUGUGGGAGAUAAGAAUCCCGCUGAAAGUUAAAAUUUUUGUAUAGCUAGUUCUGAAACGAGAGGUGCUGAUGGUGGAUAAUCUUCUAAAAAGAGGUUGGCGUGGUGAGGAGGGCUGUGUCCUAUGUAUGGAUAAGCGUGAGACGGCCGACCAUCUUAAAUUACAAGACUGCUGUUGGAGGACCAAUUGGCUAAUAAAAUGCCUCUUGCUUAACUGCAUUUCAGUGGGUAGGCUUUGAGCAAAUUGACUAAUAAAAUGUCUCUACUUUACUGCAUUUCAAUGAUAGGCUUAGGGAGGUGAGCAGACUCAAGGUAGUGCUUUAAAGGGUUAGGGAGUUAGCGACAAUUGCCUUUUUGUGGUAACCUAUUUGGUUAGAGCAGAAUAGAAGAAUUUUCGCAAAAAAAAAAAGCACGCAAGUCAAAUGAUGGCGAAGAUCGGCUCUCUUAGAAACCUGUGGAACCUUUGCUAUGUUAUAUAGUUUAUUUUUUUUUCUGAGGCCCGAUUCUCUCAAUCUAUAGCUUAAUUCAGCUUCCAAAUGAAUAAAGCAGUAGCGUGCUAUCUUUUUCUCAAAAAAAAAAAAAAAGAAUUAGAGAAUAUUUUAUCAAGAAAAGAACAUUCUUUUGGAUUGCAAAAUGUGGCGUUAAAUAAGUAGAAGAUAUUGUUAAAUACUAAAAAGAACAUACUUGAAUCAAACUAACCUUAGUGAAAUCGACACAGUAUUACGCACUAUACCAGAUAAAGGACUAAUGUACACCAAAAAACAGAAAUAAAAAAAAAACCAUUAUCCUGCACUCAAUUGGAGGCAUGUACUCUUGGCUCAGUUAAAGGCUAAUAUUCUUUGAUGCAAAAAUGAAAAAGAAACGAUUACUGCGAUGAAUUUUGGGAGCUACUAUUUGUAUCCAGCUGCUUAUUUGUUUCCUUUUUUUCUUCGACUAAAAUUGAUGAUUUCGCCACAUUUAGUAGAGGGCCAAUUUGCAUAAAAAAUUUACUUAUUUUGGGCUUUUGCAAAAUCGAGUCACCUUUUUUGUUUUUGCAGAUUCGGUCCGCUUUUUCCGCCGCCUGACCAAAAUGCCCCUCCUAUACAACAGCCUCCCGCGUAUUCCUCAGCGUAUUGCUCAACAGACGUAUAAUACCAUGACGUACUUUAAAUGCGCCGCGUCUGCUUUACGCAACCCAACCUCCCUCGCUCAUUACUCGGAACUCGGACCACAUCCGCCCCCGCUAUUCGCCGGCCCCGCUGUUUCCUGGUCGGCUUUAAGACUUUACGAAAUUUUCUAAAGCUAUUGAGAAAUACUGCGCCCCCCGCAACAGGGAUAAUAGUGCAACGCGAAGGAGCUACGAAAGGAGAAAUGGUGCAACCGCCCACUAUAACAGUGCAUUCGUAGCCUCGUUCCAGUGCAACCAAUCCAUAACAGUCAAAAUUUUACUUAUUUCAUUUUUUAAUGUAAUAUUAAGCUAAUAGUGCAAAUGAAAGAACAUGGUGACGUCGAAUAUAGCGGUGUGGAGUAGGAGGAGGCUCCACCGCCUCUUUAUUGCCGCCGCCGCCGUGGCGCUAUACCUCCGCUCGCUAGGGAUAAUAGUGCAAUUCCUUAUUAAGGUUUUCCAGGCUAGGUGAUAACAUAAACAUAAUAGUGCAAAAAAAUCUGAAAUUAAUAUUAUAAUAUGAAGUAACAGUGCAACAAUGUUUGGUAAAAAAGAGUAACUUGUAAAUAAUGUAACAAAUUCGUAAGGAGUACAUUAAUCUGUGAACAAGAAUUACAUUAUCUGUAAAGCCGAUUACACCAUUUUAUAGUACUUAACAAAAGACAAACAGGAUUUUAUCACAAUGCAACCUUCUAUUACAUCAACUAUAACAAUCUCUUCAUAAGAUUAAUUAUGUAAUCAUCGAAGUUUAUCUGCAAAUCCACAAUCACAUAGCCGACGCAAACAGGUAUUGGCCAAAGGAGACUGCUAGGAGGAGGAGGAGGCUCGAUCGGAAGGGUACGAUCGAUCCAGCAACGAGGCGUUAAGGUUGAUUCGCACUAUCUGGAAUGUUUUAUUUGCUUUGGGCAAUUUGGAGCUCCGCUCUACCAUGAAACAGACAGUACAAACAGAAAAAUAUUAGAAUCCAACGAUAAGAAUAAAAAUCUGCAAGAAAUUAAAAAACUGCAUGAGAGGAUAGCCAAUGAGCUCCUAGCAAAUAAAACACUCCAGAUAGUGCGAAUCUUCUCUACGUAAAGCCGAGGAGGUUAAAACAAGGCCAAUAUUUGUGAACGAGUCGAAGGCGGCAAACGGCGUUCCCCGUAGGAGGGGAAGCGCUGCUGCGGAGGGGAAGCGCUGCACUUCCUCUUACCGGGAAUGGCGUUGUCGUCUUCACUUCUUUCACGAACACCACUGUCUCCGUAAUUGGGAAUGCAUCUAAAGAACCGAUAUUUAAACAAAAUGAAUCGUCACCUCACCAACCCACCGGUGCCUCUUCGACUGACCUAAUAAAUUAUAAACCCGAUAGCAAAUACUAACGUGUACGUUAUAGCGUCUCUUCAGCGCUCAAAGAGAUACACCGGUGGGUAUAUCGAAACUGUCUUGAGAAGAUAAACCGACUAUUCAGAUGCCGUGUCGAAUUAGCCUCUGUGCGCCAGGGAUAAUAGUGCAACGGGAAUGUUCUACUGCAAUAGAAAUGGUGCAAUUAUCGCUAUAACAGUGCAUCCGUUGGCUCGUUUCAGUGCAACCUCACUUAACCAGUAAAAAUUUUGAGAACCUCGUUACACUUUUUUAAAUAUGUUGAACUGUUAUCCUCUAUUUUAUACUAUUACAAAAAUUUACUUAAUCAAAUUAUCUAUAUGUUCACUAUUAACAUUAGCCUUGAACUAUUACAAUAAAACGUAUGGAUUUUUCGAUAUUUCCUGCGGUGCGCCCGCGGAUGUCGUCGCGGGCGGCUGGUUUGCUCUAGCCACAGGAGGGUUCUUGCAUGACCUUUUGUUGUGCCCCCAUCUCUGGCAAUUCCGGCACCGCUUUUUUAUUAAGCCGUUAGCAAUAGACUCUCGCCGCGAAACCUUUCUUCUGCCCGGUUGUAUGCGGACGUUUGGCUGCCGCGGCGGAACAACGUUACUUGGUAUUGCAGGCCAUUGCUCUUUGCCUCUGGUGGGGGGGACGCAAUCGUUGUAGGUUGCACAAUAAGUCGAGGUUUUAAACCAGUCCUCGACAAAAUCAUACGGAUCUCGUAGCCUAAAUGAAAUUGCUGCCAUGGCGUGAUUACAUGGAAUGCCGUCAAUGUCCCAUCGCUUGCAGGAACAUGUCUUUUUGGACAGAUGCACAACAUCCGUACGGUCAGCUGCAAUUACCUAGAAAACAACAAGCCAGUCCAAAGGGUGGAACAAAUAGUGUAAUGACUAUAUGUAACCGAUUGAUAAGUAGUAUAAGAUACCUGAAAGAGGACAUCGGUCAAAGGAUUCAGUGUGUAAAAGCGGGACGUUUCCCUCGAGCUCCCUAAAAUCUUUUCUGCAUAGGAUGUUACUACACUGGUAAUAUUCUCCCCAUUAUUUUUUCUCUGGUAAAAAUAACAAGCUGUCUUCUUUCGUGUUUCCUCCACAAGGUAGGUAAUUGGAAGGCUCUUUAAAUGUCGAAUUACACUAUUUAUCGUCUCGGCACAGUUGGAAGUGAGCAUUGAAUAACGCCUUCCCAGAAAGCAAUGGGUAGCCCACCUAUGCCGAGGAAGCUUGACCACAUACUUGUACUGUUCGGAGUUCAACUCCUUCAUCUUUUCCAUGUGUUCGUUGAACUUCGUGACAGUAUAUGCACGGGCCGCAGCCCAAAAUCUUCUCCACGCAGGUGUAUUGUUUGGCGCGUGCGGGAGAUUGGUAGACAGAUGGUAAAUGCAACAACCAUGAGCUGCAUCCGGAAAAACAUCGAAUACAGCAUCAAUCAAUCCUUUUUGGUGGUCGGAAAUAAUAGUAAGUAUACUAUUUGCUCUGCUGGAGUCGCGAUCACCAACGACGCCAUCCCGUAACUGUUCUAGAAAUCAGUGUCAGGAAUAGCGAUUUUUACCUUCAACAACUGCCCACGCCAAUGGCAAUAUGCAGUUAUUCCCAUCAAUACAUGACGCCGUCAGCAGACAACCUCUAAACUUACCAGUUAGGAAAGUUCCUGGAAGAAUAAGAAAUCGUGUAUAUAUUAAUAUAUAAUCAUGCAAAAAAUUAUAUUACAUUCAUGAAUUUAUUAUAUAAUAGUGCAACAUAGUAAAAUAAUGAUGUGACAGUGGCGUAAUAGUGCAAUAACGUACCAUCCAGACCAAUCAGCGGCCUGUAGUGCUUCCUGAAUGCUCAAAUCGCUGCACCGAAUGCCCAGAAAAAACGGUGAAAAUGACCCUCGUCCUGGUAAAGUAAUUGGAGACAUGUUUCCGCAUCUCGACUCCUCAACUCUUGCAUGUGUGAGGAAAGUAGAGCGAACGAGCCCUCGAAAUCGCCGCGCAUCUCUUGAAGGACCAAUUCUCUGGCUCGGUAGGCUUUCCAGUAUGAAAUUUUUACGCCGUGCUGUCGAAGAAUCUCGGUCUGAACCAUCUUCGGCGUAUAUUUCUCGUUUGCCACCACCUGCUCCUUAACAAAUGCUGCUAUAAAAGCCGCAUCGCAAUUCCUGUGGCCCAAUCCCCCUAUUGCCCUGUUACAAGUGUGUUGCGAAUCAAAUUUCUUCACCCACAAUUGAGCAAUUCUCGGUACUUGACGCGCCUUUAUUUUCCAAGGACAAUCUAAGACACGGCAUCGUGCGGUUAUCUUAUGGUCGUUGUAUUUCGUCGAUGCGUACUCAAAACCUCUUUUCAUUGCGUAUGUUUUGAGAGCUCGUUUGAAGUUGCCUUGCGUCUUAUAGAGCUAGCCCUCGUGGACAUCGUCCGCAUCUGCGACGUCAACAACUGACUCCAUCGUAGAGCUGUUUACAAUGAGGUUUUCUUCAGGCUCGUCGUCGCGAAAUUGUUCAGCAGUAAGUCCCACUGUAUCGCCUUGCCGCAACGGAAGGACAUCCAUGGCGCUGUAUGUCCGUUGAGCUUUGUCGGGAGACGUCGAGACGAUACAGAUGCUAACGUCGGAAUCUGACUCGUCUUUCAGAUCAGCGAUAAUAAAACCGUCGUCACUGUCUGCCGCUUCUGCAUCGUCAAUGAGAAUAGGAUGAGAAGAUCUGCAGCACAAGUGAAAGCAAGAAGUAUAUUGUAAAUAUUAAAUAGAACAAGAACCCUUAAGUGUAAAGUUCAUACGAUGUAAGAGAUUGAAGUAAUGAUGCAAAAUAUUACGCGAAUUAGUACAGCAUAAAAAUAAUAUAUAAUGAAAAAAUUAUGUAAUAGUGCAACCGUAUAAUAUAUAUUGCUUACAGUUGAAAGAGGUAAAAUAUAAUGGCGCAAAAGUGCAUUAAGAGUAGUGCAAUUGCUUAAAAUAAAGAGGUUACAAGUGCAAUAAGGCUCGGUAAUGGUGCAAAAGAAAUAAUAGUGUAACUUACGAGCCAACUAUUUCAAAAUUUGUCUGCUGAGGAGUAGAUGCAUUUCCGAAACGCCUAUUAAUCAACAGAUCCAGCUGUUCGUCUGUAAGCACUUCGUCUAUAUCAUCGGGAUCACAAGUAGCAAAUUUUCUCUCGACUAAGUUACUCACAGCAUAAAGCUCCAUCAGAUACGCGUGGGUUUUAUAGAGUCUCCGUAUGUUUCCAACAUCGUCGUCGUCAACAAUGUCGAUGAGUUUGCUGAGAUUCCCACUAUAGCAAAGUUUAAUUUCAAUAUUGCAGGAUUCCUGUGAAGUAUUCAUGUACUUGCAGAACAUUGCUUGCAGGGAUUUAAAAUUAUCGUCUUGCCUGAUGAAAUUGAGCCGGCUGGAUCCUCCUACAUAAUUGACAAUGCCUCUUUCCUCCUUAAAACACCCAUUAAAAUUGAAGUGCACUGAAAUUUCAGUGUUAUCCAUAACUUGUAAGAGUUGAAUACAGAAAAUUAGCUAAAAGUUAUUCAAAAACACUCUUUAUAUAAUAUAAUCCAGUUAACGUGCAUGAGUUGUUAAGUUGUGCAUGGGGCGGGAAAUAGUACUUCAGAUCCCGCCAAACUUUAUUUUUAAUCCGUCGGAAUUUUUUCCAACCGACGCAAGCCUUGCACCAUUUUGGACAGUUCGACAAUGCAUAUGCGAUUAUAUUGCACUAAUUUUGAAUUCUGUUACCCGCCGCCGAGCUUUCCUGCCGCCGAGCUAAAUGACAAAAACUGCACGCCCCGCAACACGGACAAUAGUGAAACGCGAAGUAGCAACGCUAGAAAAAAUGGUGCAACUACCCUUCUAACAGUGGAUCGCUAGGCUGUUACCAGUGCAACCUCGCCAUAACCAGUCAAAAUUUUACUUUCAUAUUUCUUAAUAUAAUCUGAAGUUAAAAGUGCAAAUGAACGACGGUCGCCUCCGGGGUAGGACGGACGGCGUUGUCCGACAUAAGAGUCGGCAUGCAAGAAAGCUCGGCGGCGGGGAAGCUCGGCGGCGGGCAACAGAAUUCAAAAUUAGUGCAAUAUAACCGCAUAUGCAUUGUCGAAUUGUCCAAAAUGGUGCAAGGCUUGCGUCGGUUGGAAAAAAUUCUGGCGGAUUAAAAAUAAAGUUUGGCCGUAUCUGAAGUGCUAUUUUCCGCCCCAUGCACAACUUAACAACUCUUGUACGUUAACUGGAUUAUAUUAUAUAAAGAGUGUUUUUUGAUAACUAUUAGCUAAUUUCCUCUAUCCAAUUCUUACGAGUCAUGGAUAACACUGAUGAAAUUCCAGUGCACUUCAAUUUUAAUGGGUGUUUUAAGGAGGAAGGAGGCUCUGUCAAUUAUGUAGGAGGAUCCAGCCGGCUCAAUUUCAUCAGGCAAGGCGAUAAUUUUAAAUCCCUGCAAGCAAUGUUCUGCAAGUACAUUAAUACUUCACAGGAAUCCUGCAAUAUCGAAAUUAAACUUUGCUAUAGUGGGAAUCUAAACAAACUCAUCGACAUUGUUGACGACGACGAUGUCGGAAACAUACGGAGACUCUAUAAAAUCCACGCGUAUUUGAUGGAGAUUUAUGCUGUGAGUAACUUAGUCGAGAGAAAGUUUGCUACUUGUGAUCCCGAUGAUAUAGACGAAGUGCUUACAGACGAACAGCUGGAUCUGUUGAUUAAUAGGCGUUUCGGAAAUGCAUCUACUCCUCAGCAGACAAAUUUUGAAAUAGUUGGCUCGUAAGUUACACUAUUAUUUCUUUUGCACCAUUACCGAGCCUUAUUGCACUUGUAACCUCUUUAUUUUAGGCAAUUGCACUACUCUCAAUGCAAUUUUGCGCCAUUAUAUUUUACCUCUUUCAACUGUAAGCAAUAUAUAUUAUACGGUUGCACUAUUACAUAAUUUUUUUAUUAUAUAUUAUUUUUAUGCUGUACUAAUUCGCGUAAUAUUUUGCAUCAUUACUUCAAUCUCUUGCAUCGUAUGAACUUUACACUUAAGGGUUCUUGUUCUAUUUAAUAUUUACAAUAUACUUCUUGCUUUCACUUGUGCUGCAGAUCUUCUCAUCCUAUUCUCAUUGACGAUGCAGAAGCGGCAGACAGUGACGACGGUUUUAUUAUCGCUGAUCUGAAAGACGAGUCAGAUUCCGACGUUAGCAUCCGUAUCGUCUCGACGUCUCCCGACGCAGCUCAUCGGACAUACAGCGCCAUGGAUGUCCUCCCGUUGCGGCAAGGCGAUACAGUGGGACUUACUGCUGAGCAAUUUCGCGACGACGAGCUUGAAGAAUACCUCAUUGUAAACAGCUCUACGAUGGAGUCAGUUGUUGACGUCGCAGAUACGGACGAUGUCCACGAAGGCCAGCUCUACAAGACGCAAUGCGACUUCAAACGAGCUUUCAAAACAUACGUAAUGAAAAGAAAUUUUGAAUACGCACCGACGAAAUGCAACGACCAUAAGAUAACCACACGAUGCCGUGUCUCAGAUUGUCCUUGGAGAAUAAAGGCGCGUCAAGUACCAGGAAUUGCUCAAUGGUAGGUGAAGAAAUUUGAUUCGCAACACACUUGUAGCAGGGCAAUAGGGGGAUUAGGCCACAGGAAUUGCGAUGCGGCUUUUAUAGCAGCAUUUGUUAGGAAGCAGGUGGUGGGAAACGAGAAAUACACGCUGAAGAUGGUUUAGACCGAGAUUCUUCGGCAGCACGGCGUAAAAAUUUCAUACUGAAAAGCCUAUCGAGCCAGAGAAUUGGUCCUUCAAGAGGUGCGCGGCGAUUUCGAGGACUCGUUCGCUCUACUUUCCUCGUACAUGCAAGAUUUGAGGAAUGGAGAUGCGGAAACAUAUCUCCAAUUACUUUACCAGGACGAGAGUCAUUUUCAUCAUUUUUUCUGGGCAUUCGGUGCAGCGAUUCGAGCAUUCAGGAAGCACUACAGACCGCUAAUUGGUCUGGAUGGUACGUUAUUGCACUAUUACGCCACUGUCACAUCAUUAUUUUACUAUGUUGCACUAUUAUAUAAUAAAUUCAUUAAUGUAAUAUAAUUUUUUGCACGAUUACAUAUUAAUAUACACGAUUUCUUAUUCUUCCAAAAACCUUCCUAACUAGUAGGUUUAGAGGUUGUCUGCUGACGGCGUCAUGUAUUGAUUGGAAUAACUGCAUAUUGCCAUUGGCGUGGGCAGUUGUUGAAGGUGAAAAUCGCUAUUCCUGACACUGGUUUCUGGAACAGUUACGGAAUGGCGUCUUCGGUGAUCGUGACUCCAGCAGAGCAAAUAGUGUACCUAUUAUUAUUUUCGACCGCCAAAAAGGAUUGAUUGAUGCUGUAUUCGAUGUUUUUCCGGAUGCAGCUCAUGGUUGUUGCAUUUACCAUCUGUCUACCAAUCUCCCGCACGCGCCAAAAAAUACACCUGCGUGGAGAAGAUUUUGGGCUGCGGCGCGUGCAUACACUGUCGCGGAGUUCAACGAACACAUGGAAAAGAUGAAGGAAUUGAACCCCGAACAGUACAAGUAUGUGGUCAAGCUUCCUCGGCAUAGGUGGCUACCCAUUGCUUCCUGGGAAGGCGUUAUUCAAUGCUCACUUCCAACUGUACCGAGACGAUAAAUAGUGUAAUUCAACAUUUAAAGAGCCUUCCAAUUACCUACCUUAUGGAGGAAACACGAAAGAAGACAGCUUGUUAUUUUUACCAGAGGAAAAAUAAUUGAGAGAAUAUUACCAGUGUAGUAACAUCCUAUGCAGAAAAGAUUUUAGGGAGCUCGAGGGAAACGUCUCGCUUUUACACGCUGAAUCCUUCGACCGAUGUCCUCUUUCAGGUAUUAUCGUUUAUUUUGCACCAUUUAGUCAGUAUCUUAUACUAAUCAAUCGGUUACAUAUAGUCAUUACACUAUUUGUCCCACCCUUUGGACUGGCUUGUUGUUUUCUACGUAAUUGCAGGUGACCGUACGGAUGUUGUGCAUCUGUCCAAAAAGACAUGUUCCUGCAAGCGAUGGGACAUUGACGGCAUUCCAUGUAAUCACGCUAUGGCAGCAAUUUCAUUUAGGCUACGGGAUCCGUAUGAUUUUGUCGAGGAAUGGUUUAAAACCUCGACUUAUUGCGCAACCUACAACGAUUGUGUCCCCCCCACCAGAGGCAAAGAGCAAUGACCUGCAAUACCAAGUAACGUUGUUCCGCCGCGGCCGCCAAACGUCCGCAUACAACCGGGCAGAAAAAAGGUUUCGCGGCGAGAGUCUAUUGCUAACGGCUUAAUAAAAAAGCGGUGCCGGAAUUGCCAGAGAUGGGGGCACAACAAAAGGUCAUGCAAGAACCCUCCUGUGGCUAGAGCAAACCAGCCGCCCGCGACGACAUCCGCGGGCGCACCGCAGGAAACAUCGGAAAAUCCAUACGUCUUAUUAUAAUAGUUCAAGGCUAAUGUUAAUAGCGAACAUAUAGAUAAUUUGAUUAAGUAAAUUUUUGUAAUAGUAUAAAAUAGAGAAUAACAGUUCAACAUAUUUAAAAAAGUGUAACGAGGUUCUCAAAAUUUUUACUGGUUAAGUGAGGUUGCACUGAAACGAGCCAACGGAUGCACUGUUAUAGCGAUAAUUGCACCAUUUCUAUUGCAGUAGAACAUUCCCGUUGCACUAUUAUCCCUGGCGCACAGAGGCUAAUUCGACACGGCAUCUGAAUAGUCGGUUUAUCUUCUCAAGACAGUUUCAAUAUACCCACCGGCGUAUCUCUUCGAGCGCUGAAGAGACUAUAACGUACACGUUUGUGUUUGCUAUCAGGUUUAUAAUUUAUUAGGUCAGUCGAAGAGGCACCGGUGGGUUGGUGAGGUGACGAUUCGGUUUGUUUAAAUAUCGGUUAUUCAGAUGCAUUCCCGAUUACGGAGACAGUGGUGUUCGUGAAAGAAGUGAAGACGACAACGCCAUUCCAGGUAAGAGGAAGCGCAGCGCUUCCCCUCCGCAGCAGCGCUUCCCCUCCUACGGGUAACGCCGUUUGUCGCCUUUGACUAGUUCACAAAUAUUGGCCUUGUUUUAACCUCCUCGACUUUACGUAGAAAAGAUUCGCACUAUCUGGAGUGUUUUAUUUGCUAUGAGCCCAUUGGCUAUCCUCUCAUACAGUUUUUUAAUUUCUUGCAGAUUUUUAUUCUUAUCGUUGGAUUCUAAUAUUUUUCUGUCUGUACUGUCUGUUUCAUUGUAGAGCGGAGCUCCAAAUUGCCCAAAGCAAAUGAAACAUUCCAAAUAGUGCGAAUCAACCUUAACGCCUCGUUGCUGGAUCGAUCGUACCCUUCCGAUCGAGCCUCCUCCUCCUAGCAGUCUCCUUUGGCCAAUACCUGUUUGCGUCGGCUAUGUGAUUGUGGAUUUGCAGAUAAACUUCGAUGAUUACAUAAUCAAUCUUAUGAAGAGAUUGUUAUAGUUGAUGUAAUAGAAGGUUGCAUUGUGAUAAAAUCCUGUUUGUAUUUUAUUAAGUACUAUAAAAUCGUGUAAUCGGCUUUACAGAUAAUGUAAUUCUUGUUCACAGAUUAAUGUACUCCUUACGAAUUUGUUACACUAUUUACAAGUUACUCUUUUUUACCAAACAUUGUUGCACUGUUUAUUUCAUAUUAUAAUAUUAAUUUCAGAUUUUUUUGCACUAUUAUGUUCAUGUUAUCACCUAACCUGGGAAACGUUAAUAAGGAAUUCGACUAUUAUCCCUGAUGCGCGGAGGUAUAGUGCCACGACGACGGCGGCAAUACAGAGGUGGUGGAACCUCCUACUCCACACCGCUAUAUUCGACGUCACCAUAUUCUUUCAUUUGCACUAUUAGCUUAAGAUUAUAUUAAGAAAUAAAAUAAAUAAAAUUUUGACUGUUAUGGAUUGGUUGCACUGGAACGACACUACGGAUGCACUGUUAUAGUGGGCGGUUGCACUAUUUCUCCUUUCGUAGCCCCUUCGCAUUGCACUAUUAUCCCUGUUGCGGGGCGUGCAGUAUUUCUCAAUAGCUUUAGAAAAUUUCGUAAAAUCUUAAAGCCGAGCAGGAAACAGCGGGGCCGGCGAAUAGCGGGGGCGGAUGUGGUCCGAGUUCAGAGUAAUGAGCGAGGGAGGUUGGGUUGCGUAAAGUGGACGCGGCGCAUUUAAUAAGCGCCAGACAGUACGCCAUGGUAUUAUACGUCUGUUGAGGAAUACGCUGAGGAAUACACGGGAGGCUAUUGUAUAGGAGGGGCAUUUUGGUCAGGCGGCGGAAAAAGCGGACCGAAUCUGCAAAAGCGAAAAAGGUGGCCCGAUUUUGCAAAAGCCCAGAAUAAAUAGAUUUUUUAUGCAAAUUGGCCUUAAUCGAGUGACCUGUCAUUUUCAAAUGAUGUUACUGUUAGAAAGCAAGGAUGAAAAACAUUUUUAAAAAAAAAAAAAGACCCCUCUGCCAAAGCAUGUAAUUCCAGUGAAAGUUCCUUCAGAACCUUCAGAAGUAUAACUUUAGACAAGCUUAAACUAUUCAAAUUGUUUCAGUGUAAAAUACCUUGAAGCGAGUUUUCGUGAGUUAAUAGAAUAUCAGGCAGAUCAAUUUUUCCGAUUUAGAUCUUUAAUUUGUGAUGGGAAAUGAAUUGCUAAGUAAAGCAAAAUAGAUACCUUUAUUCAGGUAACCUUAUAAAGUAUUAUCGCGAGAAGCCUGACAGCAGAUGGUGGUAUCUGUAAAGCAAUUGCAGAACUGAGGGGCAACUUACCACAAGAAAUCCUUCCAAAUGAAAGAUUUGCAACAUUUGGAAGGAAAUUUACCAAACAAAGAAAAUCAAAAGAAAUCCUUCCAAACCUAGGAUACGAAAGAAUGCGGUAUAAAUUUCCUGAAGUUCAUUGCUGAUCCAGGCAAUUUUGAAAGAAUUGGUUAUCCUGUACCCAAAAAUCUCAGUAAGUUCACUUGGAUGCAAAGUAAAUUUGCUUGUUAAAAAGAGAGGCAAUUUUGUCAGCACCUUGAAAGAAAAAGUGAUGUCUGAACUGUCAAUUUGUAAUGUUACUCUCUUUAAUUUUUCUUCUUUAGACUUCCCCAGUUUGAGAAGUCCCUGCAUUGGAAUUCAUACUGUCACAAACUACUGCAAAAAUAUUAGAAUAAACAGAAAAAAACUGCAGUCAAGCAUGUAUUUCGACCUGAUCGUUCAGCACUGUGCACAUGUUCGUGAAUUCCAGUGUUCCUGCAGCAGGGACGUGAGCAGAUUUGCAUAUUUGUAAAUAUGAUCUGUUGAGCUGUGUUCCAUGCAGCAAUUCAGUUUUAAGAAAACUGUGUUAGAAUUUGAAAGAACAGAAAAAUACUUGUGCUAAGGGAAAAUAUCACGGAAUACAAAGUACUUGUGCGCUGAAAUAUAUUCGUUUUCAUUGUUUCAUCUCUUCUAAGAUUGCAGAGGCAAGAUACAACCAACAGAAAGCAAACUUACCUCCCCAAUAGUUGUAGCGUUCUUCUUGAACUGGCGAAAAAGAUUCACUAUGGCACAUAAUAUUAUCUGCAGAUGACAAAAUAUAAAUAAGCUAUUUUCAACACGUGAGGAAAACAGAAAAAGAUGUCAAGUAAUACCCACUCAACGAGGCUAGACAGUUAGUUCCACAGACCUAGAAAAUCACAAAAAUAUUAACUACAACAUUCCACCAGGUGUCCCGCAGUUAGCUCACAGGAAAAUGCUGUAAUAGGAUUCUGCAUAGCGAUCAUGUAAUCAUUCAACGGGAUGCUGGAACUGACAUAGUCAAAUGGAGUUGCAAUUGACUAUGGGCAGUGGACCUAAUUAAGUAGACUAUUCGAGAUUCUUAUAUGGUUCUGUUAACUACAAUUCCAUGGUGCAUGAUUUUUUUUUUCUCCAUAGAAAAAUGUUAUUAAAUCUAUCUGUGCGGUAGUUUGUUUUGCAACAGUAAAUAAUUCUACUACAGUAAUAGCAGGUUGCUGUGUUGAUGUCAGACGACUCUUAUAGACCAUCUUGGCUUAGUCAAGUACAGACAUAAAAAUUCUAUGAUGUUUAGUUCUCAAAUUUACCUGUUGGUGUUGUGGAAGAGAGUGUAUGGUAUCUACAACAGCUGACUUGAAUGCCUUUGAUAAAGCAAUAUCCAUAUGAUCAAAUGUGACCUGCAAUACAUUUCAAAUUAGUUUAGAAAACCAAAAUUUCAAAUAUGUUACUAUUUGAAAAACAAUAUAUAAUUUUUUUUUUUUUUUAGAGAGAGAGAAAGGUAGCAUGCUACCCGCUUCGUUUAUUUCUUUUAAAAAUAAACUUAGCUGGAAAUGUGAAUCAACUAGGAUUUGAACUUGGAAUCUCGGAUACCAACCACCAAGCCCUUUACCACUUGCGCUAUGGACAGUCGGUAACAAUAUAUAAAUUUCAAAUAUGAGCAUGGGUGUAGCAAAAAUGAUUUGAUUUUUUUUUUUUUGUGUGUAGGUCACAACCAUUACUUUGGACUGAAGUAAAUGAUAAUGUUAGAAGAUCUGCAGUACUAUAUGCAGGCCUUUGUUUUCGGUUUCUGGUACUGAAAUUAGGAGAUCUGCCAAUUAAGUGUAUAGAAAAUAAGAAUGAGGUGCCAUUUGUUGGAGUUCAAGAAGAAGAAAAUUGCAUAGUAAUAUGAUUUUCUGAUACACAUACACGAAAUGCAUGAGGUUCAGUCUGCAACUCUUCUGCUCAACUUUAGUAAUUGUUAUUAAUAUGUUGAAGCAUAAAAUCUUCAUAGGCAGUGGAGAACCAAUAAUCAUCCAACUUACAAUAUUACAUUGUCCUUGUUUUAAAGGAUCUCUUAGCUCUUCUUCAAGCACCUCUAUUGCACUCCUGUAAUGAAGUUAAAAAUGCAAACUAUUUUUACAGAAAAAAAAAAAAAAACUAUGUUAUGACAAAAAAAAAAAUAUAGUUCAUCGGUGCGAAACUACCAAAAGAGAAUUGAAAAAGAGAGAAAAAAAAUAAAGCACACAAAUAUUUAGGUGGUUCAGCCACUGGCCUACAUCUACGGGCGAAGACGGAGCAAAACCUUUUAUUACUGUCGAAUACAAAGUACAAAAAAUUUCUGUCAAAAGACCCAAACCCAAAAUAUGCUCGACACACCUUUCAUCGUACACUGAUAAUUACGAAGCCACAUCCGCACAAAGGACUCACACGCAGCUUUCACAGCUUGUCUCUCUCACACCAAUGCACAGCAACCACGAGCACAGCAACCACGAGCACAGACUCUUGGCUUGGCUUAAUUCUCUCUGUCCGCUCUAUUGCUUAGUGCCACAUAUAUGUGUACAUAAGCUUGCACACCUCCGACGUAAUUAAAUUACUCAGACUUGGAGAAGUUGCUAGCCGAAUAGGACAAAAACAUCAUGGCCAAUCCUACGCUACCAAGGUGCUCUCUAUAAAGGACUUCAGACCAGGUCUGCCAACUUUGUCUAGACCAACUCAAAGCAAUCUAUUUCCAGUAGGAUUUAGGGUAAGUAAUUCUAAUUUAAUAUUGGUUCCAAAACAAUUUGGGUUUAAGAAUUUGAGACAUAUUUAUAAAUCGUCACCUAAGAAUUUGAGACAUAGUUAAUAAAUCUCCACCUUGGCUCGAAUUUUCCGUCUUCUCCACCAAAACUCCAAAGGGACUCAUUAAGUUCUGCUACACACACCGACCAAAUUCAUGCGAUGCUUGAACUUAGCCACCGAAAGAGGCUUAACCAACAUAUCGGCUGGAUUAUCCAUUGUACCAAUCUUCUUCAAGACAAUAUCACUCUAUGCUAUCCAAUCACGAACAAAAUGAUAACAGACAUCAAUAUGUUUCGUUCUCUCAUGAAAUAUUUGAUCUUUCGAAAAAUGUAUAGCACUCUGGCUAUCGUAGUGGACGACAGUCGCCUCCAGACUUGAAAUAACCUCUUCAUAGAAGCCUCUCAACCAAGGUUUAAAGUGCCAUAGCACGGAGGCGUGCCGUUGUCUGCCUGGCACGGAACAGCACCAGCACGCUUCCGUGCCGACACAUGGUACGCUUGCGUGCCGAUAGAUACGCAUGACCUCCUACUGACACGCUUUGGCACGGACUUAUUUUAUUUUUUUGGUUCCAAUAAACUCCUAUAAUAUUAUUUUGAAAGAUUUAAUCAAAUAAUUAUGAAUGUUUGCUAUGUAUAGCUUACUAUACUCAUCAAUUAACAUACUUGUAAACUUUUUUGUAUGUAAAAACAAUUAUACCUGAUGCAGAAUAGAAAUUUUUACAAGUUAGAAUUUCUAAAAUGCAAAGAUUUCUUUUUUUUCUUUUUUUCUUUUAACCAUAUUACAAUCUUUCUUUUAAAAAAUACAAAAAAAUAAUUUAUAAAAAUUAUUUGAAAAAAAGUAUUUGAAAAUUUUUUUUUAAUUAAGUUAUUCAAAAAAUUAGUAAAUCUAUCAAAAAAUUAAGCAAUAAAUUAUAUAAAAAAUAAAUUAAAUAACUUUAAGUAUCAAUUGAUUUAAUUUAGCUUUUAAUUUUAUCAGUAUUUUCAAUCUUCUAGCGCAAAAAUACAAUUUUAUGUUUGAUGUGGCUCAAUAUUUGUUUAUUGAGUUCAAUAUGUUCCCUUAAUUCUUCAAAAAUUUCACGAUGCGAUAAAUUUUGAUAAAAUAAUUUGUGAAGAAAAAAUAGAUGUAUGUGGUAGAAGCUAAGGGCUCGGACAAAUCUUUUGUCCGUAUAUUGAUAAACAAAAAAAAUUAAAUUAUAAAUUUUUUGACUUACCUAAUAAGUAAAUUUUUGAUUUGCAAUAUCUUCGGGGGAGUGUGGUGUACCCAGAAUGCUUUGGAUACCCCAAAGAACAAAAAAAAAAAAAAAAAAAAAACAAAACAAAACAAAAGGCAAAAAAAACAAAAAAGCAAAAAAAAAAAACAAAAAAGCAAAAAAAAAAGCGCCAGCACGGCACUGUGCGGUGGCACGCUGCUCCGUGCCGCUCUAUCUCGUGCGGCACGGCGAUGCAUGCUGCAACACGGAGGGGGGUCCGAGACCCCCCAUGUACCGUGCCACCUUGGUGGCACGGUACGUGCCGCUCGAUGCCGUACAGCACGGGCGGCACUUUAAACCUUGCUCUCAACCAACUAGCUUCUUUCAUAGCCUCCAUCAUAGCAAUAUACUCUACCUCGAUAGUGGAUAAAGCAACAAUAGACUACGAAGUAGCUUUCCAACCGAUCGAACAACCACCAAAUGAAAAAAGCCUUUAAGCGACCUUUGUCUCUCCAAAUUGCAUGCAAAAUCUAAAUCAGCAAAACCAACUAAAGAAUCAUCAAAUUUUCCAAACUCCAAACAUGUAUCAGAAGUUUUUCUUAAAUAUUUGAGAAUUCCACUUCAUUGCCUGCUAAUAAGUCUUGUCGGGAUUAGCCAUAUAUCAACUCACAACACUGACAGCUAAUGAAAUAUCUAGACGGAUGCAAACCAUCACAUACAUAAUAAUUCCUAUUGUACUAGAGUAAAGAACAUGCGACAUGCACCUCUCAUCCUCAGCCGACUGUGACGACAAAGCAGCUGAAAACCUAAAAUAAGCAGCAAGUAGAGUACUUACAAGCUUAGCGUGUUUCAUUCCAAACCGCUCCAAAACUUUCUCAACGUAUUUCUUCUAAGUCAAAUAAAGAGGAAAAGGGCACAAAAACUUCAUGCCUUUUACCUGCAAGGAAGGUUGUCGCACUUAAUAGGCGACUUGACAACACAGUGUAGUUGCCGAGGAGGAAAGAGGAGAUUUCGUACAUCACAAGCCCACACAUGCGUUGGGAGGAGGAAGUAGCCAUUAUUACCAAUCAAAUCAGAGGGUUUGAGAGAUGACAUAGGGAAGAGAAGGUUUCUCUCGAGUGGGAUCUUCCUCAUUGAUAGCAAUAGCUGAGAGAGACCGCCAGAGGAGUAGAGCGGAAGAAAGCAAGAUCAAAGAGGAAUUACCGAUGAAGGCGAAUCUCAAAUAAGAUCUCGAUUAUUGAUUAUGGUUGCUGCAGAUUGGAUCGAGGGAAGUGAAGAGGAGAAGAAGGCGUCCGACAUGAGGAGGCAGGAGAGCAGUGAAGGAGUAAUGAGCGAGGAAGAAGGUAGGUAUUGCGCAUUAACGGAGGUGACGAAGACUCACCGCCCAAUUUCCUCUCCUUGCCCCUGGGAUAACCCUAGCGAAUGUGACCUAUCCCGUGGGUGAAGAGGAAUUGGUCUUAACGGGUUAUCCUAGGAUAACCCGUUAAGACCCGGCUAAAAUAAACCCAUAAGUCUUUUCCCUGUUUGGGUGAAUAAGUAGGAUAAAAUAGGCUAUUCCUAUUUUAUCCUGCAAACAAACGGGGCCUAAGAAUCUCCAUAUCAAGAAUUUUCUUAGUUGCUCCCAAGUCCGACAUCUCAAAUUCCUAACUUAAAUGUGCUUUCAACUUAUUAAUUUCAGACAUGUCUUUGGAAGCAAUAAGUAUGUCGUCAACAUAAAGUAACAAAUAAAUGAAAUUGUCAUCAUUAAGCUUCCUGAAAUAAACACAAAUAUCAUACUUUCUCUUUGCCACAACUUACCAUGAACAAGUCAAAUCAUUUAUACCACUGCCAGGGAAACUAUUUCAAGCCAUAUAAUGAUUUAUGUAAUAGGCAGACAAGAUCUUCCUUACCCUGGACAAUAAAAGCCUCAGGCCAAUGCAUGUAAAUUUGUUCUUCAAGCUUGCUAUGCAAGAAAGCAGACUAUAGUUCUUUGCAACCAACCUUGCCUUAUAUCGAGCAUCUUCGACAUUUGGGUACUUUCUAUUUUUAGGAGAUUCAUUUACAACCGAUGAUUUUCUUUCCUUCGAGUGGUUUCACCAACUGCCAUGUGUGGUUCUUAUGAAGAGACUCUAUCUCUUCAUUAUCACCACCAACCAUCUGUCGAAGUCAACAUUAGAAGUUGCUUCUGUGUAGGUGGAAAGCUCAUCGACAUCACCUCUCUCAUCAACUACUGAUAAAGCAUAGACCACCAUAUAUGUAUAUCGCUGUGAUGGCUUUAUUUGCCUUCUCUCUCGACCUGUAGCAAAUGCUAAUUGCUCUUGCGUCGAAGUUUCUUCUGCUUCUGAGCUAUCAUGUUCCUACAGCAAGAUCAGAAGGAGAAGAGGAACCUUUCUGCAGAGAUAUUGAGUUAUCAGUUUUGAACUCCACCUACUUCUUAGCAUCCUCCACCUUCUUUGAAGUAGUGUCAACAGAAGACUCCUUUUUUUGGGUGAAGUAUUGCAAAUUCAUCAAAGAUAACAUCCCUACUGAUAAAAAAUAUUAGAUGCCUUUGGAUCAAGGUACCAUAAUUGAUAGCCUUCAUCCCAGAUGCAUAGCCUAGAAAGAAAAUACAUUUUAAAGGUUUAGGUUCUAACUUAUCAUUAUCAACAUGAGCAUAUAUAGGACAACCAAAUACUCAUUGUUAGGACUUGGGUAAAUAUGUAGUUAAAUUAUAGUUAGAUUAGAGGAAAUAUUUAAAUCCAUUGGAGAUAAAUUAAUUAGGAUUUAAAUAUAAAUUAGAGUAUAAAUCUAAAAAGAUUAAGAUUGGGAUAGCUUUUGAUGUAAGCUAUAUACAUAGCAUAGGUGCUAUUGCUUUUGGAUGGCAUGACCAAUGUGAGGAUAUUUUUAGUGGUCAGUACGGGAGAAAGAGCCUAGGCCAUAGUUGCGUACACCUAGUGCACGGAUGCGUCAAGAGAGUAGAUCUCUAGGUUUGUAAAGACGAGAGAAAGAUGGGAGAGAUUCAAUAAGAGGGCUCUGAUUGAAGCUACUCUAUUGUAGAAGAGUCGGGUGAAAUUUUUUUCUUGAUUAGUGAAUUUAUUUCACCUGUAUUUUCUAUUUGGUUUCAUCUCUUUUGUGACUGUGUCAGCUUUUGUUGAGUAGACGGGUUUAUAGUAAAACUUCAAUUUGAUACUUUUGUUGCAGAAUUCUAACAACUUGUACCGGAGCGAAUACCGAAUUUACAACAAUUAGUAUCAGAGCGGCUUGCGAAUUCUUAAUAUUUGGUAUCUAAGAAAGUACCAAAUUCUCAACACUCGUAAAGUAGAAUAAUCAGCAGUUGUACUAGACUAUACCUCCUCUGUAGUCUUAUACUCAAUAACUGCAUGUGGAGAACCAUUCACCAAAUAAGAAGCGGUAAUAAUUUCCUCUACCCAGAAACCAAAUAAGAAGCGGUAAUAAUUUCCUCUACCCAGAAAUCUAGAUAAACCGAUUUUCAAGAGCAUACAACGCGCUUUCUCCAAAAAGGUUCUAUUCAAUGCUCCGCCACUUGAUUCUGCUACGGAGUAUAUCUGACUAUUCUGUGAUGAAUGAUACCCUCAUUUUUACAAAAUUCAUCCAACCCAGAUUAGCAGAAUUCCAAACCAUUAUCUGUUCUAAGUUCCUUAAUUUUCUUCCCAGUCUGAUUUCAAUCCUAACCUUCCAUUGCUUGAAAUACCUAAACACCUCAUUUUUAUGCUCCAACAUAAAUACCCAAACUUUUCUGAAAUAAUCGUCGAUAAAAGAAAGUGUAUGUCGAGUGCCAUUUUUAGACGAAACACGUGACCCCAAAGAUCAAAUGAAUAUUAUCUAGGGUACCUUUUGGUUUGUGAACUGCAGUGCUAAACUUUACACAUUCUGCUUGCCAUACACGCAAUGUUCACAACAAUCCAAUUUUCCUAUUCUCUGGCCAUAUAAGAAACGUCUCUUAGUUAAUUCAGUCAUUCCGCACUCGUUCAUGUGUCCCAAAUGCAUGUGCCAUAGUUUGGUAAUCUCCAAAUCCAAAUUGAAAGACAAGAAAGUUGUCACAGUACUAGUAACAGUAGACCCUUGCAAUAUAUAUAUAUCCACCAAAACAAGAGCACCUCUGCUAACCGUCAUAACCUUACCUUUGGCGGUGUAAUUCUAUCCAUUUGUGUGACACCCCAACUUCCCAGGGGGUCACCUAUUGUAGGACUACUCCCGUCCUAGCACGCUUAACUCUCUUAAUCUUUUGGGCCUAGCCACCACCCAAAAUGCUUAAGCCGGCUUAAGAGUUUAGCCCUAUUAUAUCUUAUAUAUAGGACUAUAUGGGGUCUCACAAUCUCCCCCCCUUUAAGCCCUGACGUUCUCGUCAGGCUCAAACUCACAAGUACCAGGCGAUGUGAGACUCGUCUCGCUAGCCUCAACCGACCUUGUGGGGGAGCCGCGCUCUACCCACAACAGUCAACAACAUGAGAGCCUCGCUCUUCCCGCUGUAUAAUCAUGGCUCAGCCGAGACUCAUCUCAUAUUUCCGGGUGGUAAUUGUCUCUGAUACCAACUGUGACACCCCAACUUCCCAGAGGGUCACCUAUCGUAGGACUACUCCCGUCCUAGCACACUUAACUCUCUUAAUCUCUUAGACCUAGCCACGACCCAAAAUGCUUUAGUCUGGUUAAGAGUUUAGCCCUAUUAUAUCUUAUAUAUAGGACUAUAUGGGGUCUCACAAUUUGCAUCAAAAAACCUAAAUAGAUAAGAUUUUUCUUCAAAUCUGAAACAUGUUGAAUAUUACAAAGUCCUAUCCUUCUUAUCCCAGUAGGUUUGCAUGUAAAAUCCUUACCCAUCAAAAUCGCUCCACCUUCAAUAGAUUCAUAUGUGAAAAACUAAUUCCGUCCGGGACACAUAUGAUAGAAAUAAGCCGAAUCCAUAAUCCAAUUAUUCUUAAGUUUAUUUUCAUGGAACACAGAGAACAAAUCCGAAUUACCAAAACUGCCAUUUUCUGCUUUUGUUGUUCUUCAUUCUUUUUCUUUAGCUUGAAGUAUUAGAUUUGAUAUGACCUUUCUUCUUAUAAUAAUUACAAAUCAAAUUCCUAUAUCGUGACUCUAAUCUUGACCUCUGUCUACCGGUGCCAAAACCCUUUUUUUGGGCCUUCCUCUGGCAACAAGGCGCUCUGCAAUACCUUAACUCAUACCAUUAAUCUACAUAUCAAUAUGUUCCUUACAAAGCAGAGACGACUUGACAUCUUCAAUAGAUAGGAUAUCUGUACCAAAGAGAAAGGUUUCUCCAAAGUGCUUAUAUGAGGGAGGUUGAAAACAUAACAAUAAAAGGGCUUUAUCUUCUUCCUCGAUGUUUGCAUCUAUCUGUAAUAAUAGAAUUAAACUCAUCAAGAUAAGGUUUGAUAGACGUACCUUCCAACAUGCAAAUCUUAAAUAACCGGUGCGUUAGAUAUAGUUCAUUUGUGAAAGACUUUGUCAUAUACAGAGAUUCGAGCUUCAAUCACAGAGCCAUUGUGGUAUUCUCAUUUAGAACUUCACGUAGAACGUCAUUAAAGAGGAAUGAUUGAAUCACCAUAAGAGUUUUGGCGUCCAUAACCUCUUUCUGCUCCUUCGUCAAUGUGUCAAAUAUCUUCUCUUUCUCCAAUAACGCCUUUUGCAACCCCUAUUGCGUCAGAACUGCGCGCAUCUUAACUUGCCACAGUGUGAAACUAUUGGAGCGAUCAAACUUCUUGAUUUAAAAUUUUGUAGACAUUAUGAACACCAAUACGAACAAUCGGGUUCUAAUACUAGUUUGUUAUAACAAAAGCGGAAAAUAUCUAGUUCAACGGACAUGAAAAUACCAAUAGAGAAUCGAGAAAGAGACAAGAAAAAUAAAGCACAAAUAUUUACGCGGUUCGGCCACUAGCCUAAGUGCACAGGCGAAGACAAACCAAAAACUUUAAUACUGUCGAAGACGAAGUACAAAAGAUAUCUCUCAAAAGACCCAAAACCCGUAUGCUCGACACACCUUAUGGCUUAUGUCAUACAACUUAUAAUUGCAAAGCCAUCUACGUACAAAGGACUGACAGGCGGCUUCCACAGCUCAACUCUCUCACACCAAUGUACGACAACCACAAGCACAGCAACAAUGAGCACACACUCUUGGCUUGGGCUUAAUCUCUUCGUCUGCUCUCUCGGUUACUGUUACAUACGUAUGUGUAUAAAAGAAUGCGCCCUUCCAACGUAAUUAAAUUGAACUCAUACUUCGAAAAGCUGCUAGCCGAAUAGGACAAAACCAUCAUGGCCAAUCCUAUGCUACCAAGGUGCUCUCUAUAAAGGACUAAAGACCUGGUCUACCCACUUGGUCUAGACCAACUCAAAAAUCCUAAUCUAUUUCCAACAGGAUUUAGAAUAAGUAAUUCUAUUCAAUUUUGGGUCCAAAAUCAUUUGGGUCUAAGAAUUUGAGACAUAUUUAACAUACUACUGUUUUAUGAUUCUGCAGUUCCUAUCUUUGCAACACAGGAUACAUGUAUGAACUAAAGGCUGGUAAUGUAAAAAUUGAACCCAACAUCUACUUCUUGAAAAGAAAAACAACUUAUUUACAAAAUAUAAGGAGAAUUUUCACUACGUUGAUGCUUCCUGAAAUGACAACUCCAUAGUUCUUUUCCUAUCUUUAACAUGGGGAUCAGUAAUUUGAUCAAUAGAUAGUUUAAUAUUUGGUGAUUACUGCUAGAACACAUUAUUAGAACAGUAUGAACUAGCAGCACAUAAGUAUGUAUACAACUAUUUUCCUUCUUACCAGAUGAAUGGCAAGCUUAUACACUGUUCCGACACUGCUUUGUGACAGGGAAGGAAAUUAAGUUUGAAAUCAAAGAGCCUACAGAACAAGCCAUCAGAAUGGCUUAAAACACAAAAAUUUCAAUUCCGAAAUCAAACAGCUUACAGAACAAGCCAUCAGGAUGGCUUAGACACGAAAUUACAAUUCUAAAGGUGUUCUCAACAGCAUAAGGUCUCGAGAUCAAGAAAAUGAACAUAUCACCAAAGUCAUAUUGGUACAGAGGACAGUACUUUAGCCUUCUUAGUUCUUACCAGUGAAAAGAAGUCAAAAAAGGCUCAAGUUCACCAAAUAGUCUAUUCCUAUUUGGAGGAUGUCAUUUAGCAGAAAAUUACACCUUAUUUUUCCAUUAAGUUGUUAGAUCCGAUGAGUCGGAUGAAUUUUGGGACUGAGUUGCUUGGUUGGUUAGUCAAUAUGCCAUCAAUGUGAAACUGAAAGAUAUCAGUGUCACCAAUUUUCUAACGUCAUCAAGGUAAAGAUGAUUAGAAUAUUGUGUCUCCAAUGUGGAUAGUUAGGCAGAUUGCUUGUAAUAUGUCUCCAAAAUAACAAGUAUAAGCUCAAAGAUGUUUCCAUCCAAAUUCAACAGAAAGAUUAGGCGAUAGUUUAUAUAUAAUUAUUAAUGAAGUCCAUUGAGAAAACUUAACAGACAGUAGUUUUCUGUACAAAAGGAAGACUCUCAAACCAAUAAGAGCUGAAGCAACAUUUGAAAUAAAUUGUUAUCUGUGUUAACACUAUUACCUGCAAACACCAAGAGCUCUUCUCAUAUCUCCCGAGGCAGCUGCAACUUUCUGUAGUAAUCAUAAAAAAUAUCAAAGCAUGCCUGAGGGCUAAACUAACAUGUUCAUGAAUACACAUCACAAACGCAAGCCAUAAUAGAUGCAUAUGAUUAGAUAAGUUAAAGUGAGAGUUGUUGGAAAAAUUAUUCUCUUUCUAAAAUCUUUAGUAAAAUACUUUUAUAAACAAUUUUGAAUGAAAACAAUUUAACUUCAGUUUUUAAAAAUCUUAAGCAAAAAUUAAAUAGUCAAUGGUAUAAAGAUUAAGAGAUCAGAUGAAGCCUGUGGGUCGAGGCAUGCGAAUGCACUGUCCUAGAAGCGAGAUUGCCCCUCUACGUGCGAGGCUCCGGCAAUCACUCCUAGCGAUACAACGAUCACUGUCCACCCCGUCGGCACGUCUUCAGGGUGUCGCAACACGAACCCAAUAAGCUUUCAGAGAUCCAGCAAAAAUGAAAAUGCAAAGUGUAGAAUAGAUGUAAAAUCAAUGUGAAAGAAGGUGAGGAAGAAGAGGGUUUUCCAAGUUCAAGCUCAGGUUGAGUUCACUGUAUAUGUACAAAUGCACCAUCACCUUUCUUUAUAUAGGAGAGCUUCAUGAGUGGUCCAACGGGUAGAGUCCAAGGUAAGAUCUUUGACCAAGAUCUAGCUUUUUCCCGAGGUUGGACCAUGACCAAAAGAUCUUUGACCAGGAUCUUGGACCAUGACCAAAUCUGGACAAGAUCCAAUGCUUCACCCUUUCCCAAGGCAAGGUCAUCAUUGGGUUAAUUAAAUAAUACAAUAAUAUUAAAAUCCAAUAAAAUAAAAGGUGUAAAUGAACCGUGUUUACGCAUGCCGCCGCCCGCCCGACCCGGCUCGGCUCGGGCUCGUGCUGUGCGUGCGUGUGUUUAGUCAAGAGCUCCACUCUCAUGUUCUCCUAAGCAAUUAAGUUGAGAGUGAGAGAGUAUAUAAAAUAUAGCAACAUGCCUUUGCUUUCCAAUGUGGGACUAAACUACUCAUGUGGAAACUAAGGCACUGGCUCCCAGGCAAGGCCCAUAGAGAGUUGGACUGCCUAGGAAGCCCAUGGGCCAAAAUAAAGUUUUAAAUGACAGUUUUUAAAUAAUUAAAACUAACAUUCCCCCACAUGAUUUAAAACUUCAAAUAAAGAAAGUAAAUAAAACUGAAAUUCAAAAAACAACUCAAAAGAAUGUUGGAUCUCUUAUACCAUGUAUUCGGCGAAGGUACCUUUCGGAUUUGAACCUUCACUUAGUGCUUGUCUAUGUACAUCCGAGGGCACAAUGGUGGACUUCGCCUUGAACCAAGGCCGGUAAAUCGGAUUUCCACAAACCGCACACAUGGUACAGCCAUUUAGGUUAUAAACGGGUGAGCGCUAUUACGGCCAUGCGCUAAUAUCGCUUCAUGUGUGUUUUAGGGAACCGCCCUCUUCCCACAGUCGCGGCCUCACAACUCCACACAUAUAGUAGGUCCUCAGAAGGGUGUCUGCAAGGUCACACCCUACCUCAUGGGUCUCGGAACCAUUCAGGGUCAAUGCCCUUCCUAUCCACUUACAGAUAUGAGCACUGUCGUCAUAGGAAUGAGGAUACAAAAAAGCAGUGCUCCUCACAGCUACCUGUUCGACUUGUUUCUACCCAUUGAACCUGCAACAAGUUGGGUUGCCGUCGUCGGUAACUACUAUUGUGGGCUAAGCCCCAUCCCCCUCGAUGAUUCUAGGAUCACAGUCCUAAAUAAUCCCUUCGUAAGCUGAUCAGCCAAGUUCUUCGCAGAUCUCACAAAUUCCAAGGCAAUUACAUUCUUCUUCAUAUUUUGUCAAAUGAACUUAUGUCUCACUUUCAUAAAUCUAUUCAUCUUAGUCUCCACAUUCUCUUGGGCACAUUUAUCAAUUGCAAAUCUACAAUCACAAUGAAUGCAUACAGGUGCUAAAGGUCACUCUAUCAGUGGCAGAUCAUAAAGAAACUCUCUAAUCCACUUAGCCUCUGCUACAGUGGUAUCUAAUGCUAUGAGUUCAGAUUCCAUGGUACUUCUAGCGAUCAAAGACUGUUUGGUUGACUUCUAAGAAACAGCUACUCCUCCUAGGAGAAAAACAAAUCCAGUAGUCGACCUUAUAUCAGCUGUAUCACUAAUCCAAUUAGCAUCACUAUAUCCUUCUAAUACUGCAGGAAAGCCACUGUAAUGUAAUCCAUAAGACAUAGUUCCCUUCAGGUAUCUCAAAACUCUUUCUAAAGCAUUCCAAUACUCUCUAUUUGGAUUAUGGGUAUAUCUUCUCAAUCUGUUCACAGCAUAAGCCAAAUCAGGUCUAAUAUAGUCUACUAGAUAUCCCAGAGAUUCUAUAAUUUGUGCAUAUCUAUUCUGACCGAUUGGAUCACCUCUAUUCUUUUUAAGGUGUACACUAGAAUCAUAAGGUGUCACCACAGGUCUAACAUCAAAAUAUCCAAACUUCUUCAGUAACUGUUCACUAUAGUGUGAUUGACUCAUAAUAAUUUCUUUCGAUUUUCUAAUGAUUUUCAGGUUGAAAAUUACUUCUGCUUACCCAAGAUCCUUCAUAUCAAAAUUCUCAUUCAGUAAUUUCUUCACAUCAUGUAUCACAUUCAUAUUAGUACCAAAAAUUAAAAGUUCAUCAACAUACAAACAUAAGAUUACAAUCUGUCCGUUAUAUUCCUUUGAGUAUACACAUUCAUCAGACAUAUUCACAUGAAAGCCAUUUGAUACAACUAAGGAAUUAAAUUUCAAGUGCCACUGCUUAGGAGCUUGCUUAAGUCCAUAUAGAGAUCUAGUCAAUUUGCACACUUUGUUCUCAUGUCCAGAAACUACAAAACCUUCAGGUUGUUUUGUUGAGGAAAACCCGCAACGAAUAAUCCGAUAGUGACAAAAUCUAACUAAUUUAGUGAUAAAAUUAAUAACAUUAACUUACCAGUAAUCGCUAAAUUCCAAAAAAUAAAUUGUGGAAGUAGAAUGCCAAAUUAAUUUGAUCCGGAAGCGUGCGAAGCACUGCCCUAAGGCGUAUUCCCGUCCUUCGUGCGGGACUAACCGGAAACACCGCCCCAAGGUACGACCAGAACUCCUCCUCUUCCUACGAGCACGAUCGCGGAAGAGGUUGACGAAGACUCUUUCCACACUCGAUGAAAAAUAAUAAAAUGAAAGAAAAUAACAAAUGAUUCUCAAAUAGUAUUCCUUCUCACUGUUAUCUAUGUUUCCAAAGUGUUCACCUCAUAUGUAUAUAUAUGUCCUCUCCAAUACUAUGGACGAGGUAAUAAAAUAUAAAGGGUUAAAGUAUGGAACGUUGGAGCCCACAACGUUCCAACGCACUAAUUAAGGUCUUAAUUAGUGGAACGGAUCUGCGCACGAUCCCCCCCUCGCGCGGAGCGGCCGCAGUUGAUGCAGCCGUUUCGCUAAUAGAUAAUUAAAAGUUAAUAAAAAAAUAAAUAUUAAAUAUAUAAAAUUUUGGAUUUUCUCCAACAAUCCCUCACAAAAUUCAAAAUUUUUAAAAAUAAAAUAAAAUAAAAAUGAAAAUAAAAAUUAAACAACAAAUAAAGAAAAUCAAUUAAUCACCGAGUGUUUAUACUAUGUAAUAGGCAAGGUGUCUUUAAGAGACUUAACCUUACUUAGUGCAAAUAGUUUCCAUCAGAAGGAAUCGAAGUGAACCAGGUCUUGAACUACGUUCCUUUGACUCUGACUUCAACUACCACACACACAAUACAGAAUUCUCCGUCGCGGGUCUGUGCGUUAAUGGCCAUGCACAGUACCUUAAUUUUUUCAUAAGAGCUUCUAUGGACAACCCACAUCUCAUAGCCGCGGCCACAUACGGAUACUCUUAUAUAGGUGGUCUCCUCCAGGGAUGUGUGUAGAGUCACAUCUCGCGAAAAUUACUGCCUCGGAUCCCAUUAAGAGCUAUAAGCUCGACCUCAACCACUACACAGAGCACUACUCACUAUAGGGAUGGGAUUGGAGCUAAAGCUCCUCUAUAUAAACUAUAGAAAGUGCUCUUUGGCCAACCUGACAGCUUGUUUUUACCACAUUGAACCUUCUUCAAGGGAUCUCCUAUCACAAAGGUUGGGUUCCCACCGCAGGAAGGCCCUUUACGGGCAAAGUCCCAUCCCCCUCGAUGACUCCAGGACCUUAGUCCUAUUAAAGCCUUUAGUCAAGCAAUCUGGAAGAUUCUGAUCAGAUCUGAUAAAACUCAAAGAAAUAAUAUCAUGAGAAGUUAACCAUCUAACAGACUUUUGUCUCAACUUAAUAUGUCUACUAGCUUUAGAAUUCACCAAUUUCUUUUUACAAAAAUCAAUUGCAGCUCGAGAAUCACACCUAAUAGAAAUAGGUGGAAUAGGAGAAAAAAUCAACGGAAUCGAUGACAGUAGAUUCUUGAGCCACUUGGCUUCAAGACUAGUAUCAAGAGCAACUAACUCAGCCUCCAUAGUACUUCUGGCUAUUAUAGUCUGUUUGGUGGAUUGCCAAGAAACUGCACCUCCACCAAGAAUAAAAACAUAACCAGAAGUUGACUUGAUAUCCAAAGAAUCAGAAAUCCAAUUGGCAUCGUUGUAUCCCUCAAUUACAGCAGGAUAGCCAACAAAACGAAGAGAAUAAGAGAUAGUACCUUUAAGGUAACGAAAUACUCUUUCCAAAGCAAUCCAAUAAGUUAUACUAGGGUUACUUUUAUAUCUACUCAAUCUCGAUAUGGCAUAGGCAAUAUCAGGUCUAGUCCUAUUGGUUAGGUACAUCAAAGAACCAAUAAUCUGGGCAUAUCUCUCCUGAUUUACAGGAUUACCGGUGUUCUUCACAAGUUGAACACUAGGAUCAAAAUAAGUAGAAACAGGAGUGCAAUCAGAAUAUCCAAAUUUGUCAAGAACCAUUUGGGUAUAAUGAGAUUGGGUCAGAAGAAUAAAAUCUGAUGAUCUAAGAAUUUUCAUUCCUAAAAUCACAUCUGCUUCACCAAGAUCCUUCAUAUCAAAAUGAGUCGAUAAAAAGGAUUUAACUUGGUUAAUCAGAUCAAGAUCAGGUGCAAGGAUCAGGAUGUCAUCAACAUAGAGGCAAAGAAGAACACAUCGGUCGUCAAAUCUCUUAAAAUAGAGACAGUUGUCAAAAUCGUUUGUUUGAAAUCCAUAUGAUUCAAUAACACUGUCGAAUUUUUCGUGCCACUGCUUAGGUGCUUGUUUUAGUCCAUACAAAGAGCGGACUAAUUUACACACCUUAGUUUCUUGACCAGGCACAGAGAAACCUUCAGGUUGAGUCAUAUAGAUUUCUUCUUCAAGAUCUCCAUGAAGAAAAGCGGUUUUGACAUCCAUCUGAUGAAUCAAAAGCUUAUGAAUAGAUGCUAAUGCAAGAAUGACUCGGAUAGUAGCAAUGCGAGCAACAGGCGCAUAAGUGUCAAAGUAAUCAACUUCAGCUUUUUGUCGAAAACCUUGAGCUACAAGCCGCGCCUUAUACUUCUCUACCGAUCCGUCAGUUCUAAGCUUCUUUUUAAAGAUCCACUUACAUCCUAAAGGUUGGUUUCCAGGGGGUAAAUCAGUGAGAAUCCAAGUGUUGUUGCCAAUAAUUGACUCGAUCUCACUGUUUAUAGCCUCCUUCCAAAAAGAAGCUUCAGAAGAACUCAUAGCUUCCUUGUAUGAUGAAGGUGUACUUUCAACUAAGAAAGUAAAGAAAUCUUCACCAAAGUUCUUCUCAAUACGAGUUCUCUUGCUUCUUCUCAGUUCGCCUGGUGGGUUAGGUUCUACAGGAUCUAAACUAUAUGAUAAAUCAGAUGCAGAUAAAUGAUCAGAUGUAGAUGCAUGAUCAACUGUAGGCUGAAAAUCAAGUGCAGAUCUAGAGAUACGGGUUUUGAAAGGAAAGAUAUUUUCAAAGAAGGUUACAUCUCUAGAUUCAAUCAAGGUGUCAUUGGAAAUCUCAGAAAUCUCAGAGUUGGUUACAAGAAAUCUAUAGGUGUUGCUAUCUAGGGAAUAUCUAAUGAAAAUGGCAUCUACUGUUUUAGGACCAAUCUUCUUUCUUUUGGGUUCAAGAAUAGACACCUUAGCUAAGCACCCCCACACUCGGAAGUAACUCAGCCUAAGUGCUCUUCCCUUCCAAAGUUCAUAAGGUGUCUUGGUUCUAUCCUUAGAAGGAAUCCUAUUGAGGAUAUAACAAGCUGAUAAAAGAGCCUCCCCCCACAAGUUCUGAGAUACACCAGAACUUAAAAUCAUAGCAUUAACCAUGUCUAAUAGGGUUCGGUUCUUUCUUUCAGCUACACCAUUAGACUGAGGUGAGUAUGGAGCAGUUACUUCAUGAAUUGUUCCAUGUUCCUCGCAGAACAGAUUUAAUUCAUUUGAAGUAUACUCGCCUCCUCUAUCAGACCUUAGAAUUUUAAUCCUCUUCUCCAAUUGAUUUUCAGCCUCUGCUUUAAGGCUUUAAACAUAUUGAGGACUUCAUCUUUGGUCUUCAAGAGAUAGGUGUAACAAAAUUUAGACUAGUCGUCUAUAAAGGUCACAAAGUAACGACUUCCUCCACGAGUAGGACCUCUAUUAGAAUCACAGACAUCACUAUGAAUCAGUUCAAGAAUCUGGGUAUCCCUAUAAGGAAUAGAUUUAAAAGGUUUUCUAGGCUGCUUAGCUUGGGUACAAAUUUCACAUUUGGAUAUAGGAUCAAUCUUGAAUUUGGGUACAAGGUUAAGAUUGGAUAGUUUCAGAAUAGAUCUAAGGUUCACAUGCCCUAAUCUGCCAUGCCAUAUAUCACAAGAUUCAGUAUUCGAAACAAUAGUAGAAGUAUAAGAAGAAGAAUUUUUAUUAUCAGCAAAAGAAAGUACAUUCAGUUUGAACAAACCCUCAGAUACAAAACCUUUUCCAAUAAACAUUUCUCCCUUAGAUAUUACAACUUUAUUGGAUUCUAAUACAAUCUUAUAUCCUAAUUGCACUAACAAAGAUCCACUAAUCAGGUUUCGUCGGAUUUCAGGAGAAUGCUGCACAUUGUGAAGGAUUAACGUCUUUCCUGAAGUUAACUUCAGCUUGACUGUUCCAAUCCCCAACACAUUGACAGCUUUUCCAUCUGCAACAGUCACACAUCCUCCACUUGUGUCCUGAUAAGAGGAAAAGAGGGACCUAUUAGUACAAAUAUGGACAUUGGCUCCAGAGUCUAACCACCAAUCUAAAUCAUGAAAGGUAAGGUUAACAUUAGGUACAAAGGAGACUGACCUAAAAAUGGAGUUGGAAGGUUCACCCUCAAUCAUGUUGACCAGAGGUUUAGGAUAGUUGUUCUGAGUGUUUUGGCCCUUCUUGUAGACAACCUUCUCUUUCUUUCGAUAAAAAUAUUUUGAAGCAAAAUGGUUGUCAUGGCCACAUACAUAACAGAAACCAUCCUUCUUCUUAUUCCCACUAGGUUGGUUGGUAUUGGGUUUCUGGGCAUAGUUCCGGUUUCGAUUAGGGUUCCUACCUUUAAAGCCCUUACCCUUAGGUUUAAAAUUUUUACCUUUGGGUUUAGGCUCAUGGCUCUGGUUCUGAAUCUCGGUCAGGUUUAUGUUUGAUCGGUUGUCGGACGGUUUAAUCUCUCUAAGUCGGUAUUGGUCUUCUAUUCUAAUAGCUUGGAUUACCGAUCUAAGUUUAAGAGUUUCCUGGGUACGUCUAAGCUCAUGGGCAAAUUUGGUCCAGGAAGGGGGUAAUUUAUCCAAUAGACAGGUUGCCUGAUAGGUUUCAUCUAAGGUUUAUCCAUUCCUAUGAAUCUCUUGGACAAAAUUCUGAAAUUGAUGGAUUUGAUCGUUUAUAGGAAUGUUGUCUACCAUUCUAAAAUUGUUAAAAUCGGUAAUAGUAAAUCUGGCGACACCUUCAUUAUCUCUAAUGUAGGCAUCUUCUAAAGCAAACCAUAAAUCCUUGGCAGUUUGAUAUUUCCUAUAGGUUUCAUAAAGUUCGUCAGAUAGGCAGCUGAGUAUCCUAAAUCUACCGUGAAAUUCAAUUUCCUCGGGAGAUUUGUCAGUUUUAGGUUCUGUAACUGAGGUGGUAGUAGAAUCAGAUGGAGGAGUUUCAAUAGGUGGAUCAGAAGAAUUUUUAGAAGUAGGAUAAGGAGGUGUUUUUCCAAUUGCAGUUAUGAGGCCUAAGGUGAUAAGCCAAGCCUCUAACCGUUCUUGCCACCUCAAAAAACCUACCCCUUUAAAUUUUUCUGGUUUAAGGCUAGAAGUAUCAUCAAAACCCAUUCCAACUAAUCUAGUUGAGGGAACAAAGAAAUUAAGGAUGAUUGAAAAGAGCUGCAAAAAAAGUUCAAAAAACCUUUUUAGAAAAAUAAACAUGUUGUUAAGGUUUCUACCCUAGUCAACCAGAAUAUUUUAGGGUUUAAGUUUUUAAAUUUAAUCUUUUAUGAAAGUUCGUUCAGCAGCAAACAGAUGGCCCAAACAAUUUAAAUAUUUGAUUUCAAUUAACUAAUUUUAAACAUAUAAUAUAUGCAAUGAGAUAAUAUUUAUACAGCAAAUAGAGUUAAGAAUCUACUGCAAUAAUAAAAGAAUAGAAAGUAAAAGUGGUAGUGCUGGUUAGAGGGAGUAGUGUUUGAAGAUGCUAUUUAGGCCAAUCGCGGGUUCAAAUCCCAAUUGAAACAGUUUUUCAAAAAUAUUGUAGCAAUUUUUUCUUUUUUUUUCAAACAAAAUUUUACUGUAGCAAAACCAAAACAGUAAAAUAUAUAUGUUUUUUUUUUGAAAAAUAGUAUAAAUUAAACUUAAACUUUUGAAAAGAACCGCACACUUUAAAAAAAUUUACUGUAGCAAACCUUUUUUUAAUUACCAAAGGUUUUACUGUAGCAAAUUAAAACCUCCGUACACGAGAGCUAAAAAAAAUACUGUAACAAAUUUUGUUUUAACUUUAACAAAAUAGUUUUACUGUAGCAAAACUAAAACCUUAAUUUUUUUUUUUUUUUUAAUAACAGUAGAAGACAAAUAAAAAUUGCAAGCAAACUAUAUGCAAUUAGAUUUUAAAAAAUGCUAAUCCCAACUUAAAUUAAUUUUGUAUGUCAAUCAUACAAACAAGUUAUCAAACAAAUUAUAUACAAUAUGCACAAUUAUUAUUUUUCGGAUUAGCACUUGUUAGAUUUUAAUCACAAUCAAAUCGGAAUACGCCUUAGAGUGUUGAGGAAAACCCGCAACGAAUAAUCCGAUAGUGACAAAAUCUAACUAAUUUAGUGAUAAAAUUAAUAACAUUAACUUACCAGUAAUCGCUAAAUUCCAAAAAAUAAAUUGUGGAAGUAGAAUGCCAAAUUAAUUUGAUCCGGAAGCGUGCGAAGCACUGCCCUAAGGCGUAUUCCCGUCCUUCGUGCGGGACUAACCGGAAACACCGCCCCAAGGUACGACCGGAACUCCUCCUCCUACGAGCACGAUCGCGGAAGAGGUUGACGAAGACUCUUUCAACACUCGGUGAAAAAUAAUAAAAUGAAAGAAAAUAACAAAUGAUUCUCAAAUAGUAUUCCUUCUCACUGUUAUCUAUGUUUCCAAAGUGUUCACCUCAUAUGUAUAUAUAUGUCCUCUCCAAUACUAUGGACGAGGUAAUAAAAUAUAAAGGGUUAAAGUAUGGAACGUUGGAGCCCACAACGUUCCAACGCACUAAUUAAGGUCUUAAUUAGUGGAACGGAUCUGCGCACGAUCCCCCCCUCGCGCGGAGCGGCCGCAGUUGAUGCGGCCGUUUCGCUAAUAGAUAAUUAAAAGUUAAUAAAAAAAUAAAUAUUAAAUAAAUAAAAUUUUGGAUUUUCUCCAACAUGUUUCAUAUAAAUCUCUUCAUCUAAGUCACCAUUCAGAAAAGCUGUCUUAACAUCCAUUUGAUGAACAAUCAAAUUAUGGACAGAAGCUAAGGCUAUCAAUAUUCUAAUUGAGGUAAUUCUAGCAGCAGGUGCAUACACAUCAAAAUAAUCUACACCUGGCUUCUGUGCAAAGCCUUGUGCUACUAGUCUAGCCUUAUACUUUUCUACAGAACCAUCAGGUCUCAACUUCUUCUUAAAGAUCCAUCUACAGCCUACAGGCUUACAUCCUAGAGGUAAAUCAGUCAACUCCCAAGUAUUAUUCUGUAGAAUAGACUGCAUCUCAAGAUUAAUAGCCUCUUUCCAAAAUGACGCAUCUACAGACUUCAUAGCUUGGUCAAAGGUAGAUGGAGUAUCUUCUACUAGUAGGACACAAAAAUCAUCUCCAAAAGUUUUCUCUACUCUAGGACGCUUACUUCUCCUAGGUUCGACCUCUUCUGUAGGUUCACUAACUCUAGGUCUACUAGAGCUACCUACAGGCUCAGCUGGAGUAGGUCUAUUUAUUCUAGUUCUAAAAGGAAAGAUAUCCUCAAAGUACACUGCAUCUCUAGCUUCAAUAAUAGUGUUGUUAGAAAUCUCACUAAUCUCAGAGUUCACCACUAGAAAUCUGUUGGUGUUGCUAUCUAAUGCAUAACCUAUAAAAACUGUAUCUACAGUUUUAGGUCCAAUCUUCCUUCUUUUGUUCUCAGGUAUCUUAACGUUAGCUAGGCACCCCCACACUUUAAAAUAAUUCAAAUUAGGCUUCCUACCUUUCCAAAACUCAUAAGGAGACAUUAGAACUCUUGUGGGGAAUCCUAUUUAGAAUCACACAUGCAGAUAUCAAAGUUUCCCCCAACAAGUUCUCGGGUGCACCUGAACUAAUAAUCAUCGAGUUCACCAUAUCCAUUAAAGUUCUAGUCUUGCGUUCAGCAACUCCAUUAGAUUGAGGUGUAUAAGGUGCAGUCACUUGAUGUACAAUUCCAAAUUCUUGAUAGAAAACAGUCAUCUCAUUUGAAGUAUAUUCACCUCCUCGAUCAGAUCUCAAAAUCUUGAUUUUCUUAUCUAAUUGAUUUUCUACCUCAGUUUUAUAAAUUUUAAAUCUGCUUAAAACCUCAUCUUUUGUCUUGAUCAAAUAAACAUAACAAUACUUUGAAUGAUCAUCUAUAAAAGUCACAAAAUAUUUAUUUCCACCUCUAGUAGGUUUACUUCCAUCACAAACAUCACUAUGCACAAGUUCUAAAAGAUCACAAUCUCUAUCCACUGAUUUAAAAGAUUUUCUAGGCUCCUUAGCUUGCACACAUAUUUCACAUCUAUGAUCAAGUAAAUUAGAUCUUAGGAAUCAAAUCAAGAUGCAUCAAUCUUUUAAUAGUAUUAUAAUUUACAUGUCCCAAUCUUCCAUGCCAAACAUCAGUUGAAACAACAUUCAAAACAAGUGCACUUUCAUUAAUAGGGGGAGGAGAUACAGAUAACUUAAACAAACCAUCACUCAAAAAUCCCCCCUAUAAAAUUCACUCCCUUUGUAAUAGCUACUCUGUUACAUUCAAAAACCAACUUAAAACACUGUUGAACUAAAUGAGAACUACUAAUUAGAUUCUUCCUAAUAUCGGGAACAUGGUGGACUCCGUGCAAGGUUAGGGUCUUCCCAGAGGUCAGUUUCAAAUCUACUCGACCGGUCCCAAGCACGCGAGAAAAGGCUGCAUUCCCCAUGUUCACCGAUCCUCCACAUGAGUCCUAAUAGGUGGAAAACCAAGAGCGAUCAAAGCAAGCAUGAAUGUUUUCUCCAGUAUCUAUCCACCAAUCAGAAGAACUAAAGGUAAGGUUAACUUCAGCUAAACUAGAUCCUAACCUGACAAUGGUGUAUGAAGUGUCAGGCCCCGCAGUCAACAUAUUCAUCUGGCGCUCAGGUGGACCGUUCUUCUUCUUCUUGGGUGCAGAAGGCCGAGUCUUGCGAAAAUAGCAAUCCUUCGCAAAGUGGUUGGUCUUCUCACACACAAAGCAACCAGAACUGCCUCCACUCUCGUCAGGUUUAGGCUUCUUAAAGUUUGGGUUGAACUUUCUAUAAUGGAAAGGCUUCUUUUUAAAGUUCCUAUGAGGCUGAAAGUUUCUAGCCUUAUUUUUAGGAUUCUCUAUUAGGUUGGCUUGGGUUGUGGAUUCACUAGGCUUCUUAUCCUUAGCUCGGUUCGACUCUUCUAUCCUAAUAGAUCUUAGGACAUAAUUCAGGGAAAGCUCUCUUUGAUUAUGGUUAAGAUCAUUUGCAUGAUUCGACCAAGAGAGUGGCAACUUAUCUAUAAGGGUGGCUACUAAAAAACUCUCAUCAAGAUCUACACCACUAGAUCUAAGCUGCUCAAUUAUAUAUUCAAAAUCAUGAAGCUGGUCAGACAGACUUAUUAUCCACCAAUUUAAACUUAAUUAAAUCUGAAGCUUGGUAUCCCUUCUGGGUAGGAUCAACCUGACCAUACUUGUUCUCUAAGGAUGUCCAAAGUUCCCUAGCUGUUUUAGCACUACAGUAUAUGUCAUACAGUUUAUCAGAUAGGUUACUAAGAAUCCGGUUCAAGCAAUGAUAGUUGAUCCUAUUAGGGUCAACAUGAGGUAUGGUUGUAGGUGUAGGUACAGUUUCAGUAGUAGGAGUGGAUCCGGCUUGGGCUCGGCUCCGAGUAUACAGUCUGUUGACCGCAGUCUGGAUUGCACCUUCAGGUGCAGAUCCAUUGCUAUUCUCAGCAGGAUCCGAGAUUGCAGAUACAAGCCCAAGUGUACUGAGCCAGAACCUCAUUUGGUUCUGCCACCUUUUAAAGUUACGACCAUCAAAGGUGAACGGUUUCACCGAAUACGAAUCCUCCAUCAUGAAAAAUCUGUUUACAAGUAAUCCUAAUAUAAUGUCACAAGACUGUUCUAAGGUUUACAGAAAUAACAGUAAAGUGUUCUAAAUUAUGUUUAGUGACAGUAUGAUUAUGUAGGUACUGAAAGAUAAAUAUAUGGCAGCAAUAAAAUAUUGUAAUAUUAAUUAUCAGUGCAAGAAUGACAGUAUGUAUAUAUGUUCAGGAUUAUAAUAACAUUAAUCACAUGACACAUAUAUAUUAUAAUAUUCUAUGUACUAUACUCGAGGAAAUAGAAAUAUUAAAAUUAAUCUCACUUCUAGAAUGUUGGAAAACUUAUUCUCUUUCUAAAAUCCUUAGUAAAAUACUUUUAUAAACAAUUUUGAAUGAAAACAAUUUAACUUCAGUUUUUAAAAAUCUUAAGCAAAAAAUUAAAUAGUCAAUGGUAUAAAGAUUAAGAGAUCAGAUAAAACCUAUCGGUCGAGGCAUGCGAAUGCAAUGUUAGUUUUAAUUAUUUAAAAACUGUGAUUUAAAACUUUAUUUUGGCCCAUGGGUUUCCUGGGCAAUCCAACUCUCUAUGGGCCUUGCCUAGGAGCCCGUGCCUUAGUUUCCACAUAUGGAGUUUAGUCCGACAUUGGAAAGCAAAGGCAUGUUGCUAUACUUUAUAUACUCUCUCACUCUCAACUUAAUUGCUUAGGAGAACAUGAAAGUGGAGCUCUUGACUAAACACCCGCACGCACCCACGGCACGGGCCGAGCCGGGCCGGGGCGGGCGGCGGCGCUCGUAAACCCGGUUCAUUUACACCUUUUAUUUUAUUAGAUUUUAAUAUUAUUAUAUUAUUUAAUUAACCCAGUGAUGACCUUUCCUUGGAAAGGGUGAAGCGCUGGAUCUUGUCCAGAUUUGGUCAUGGUCCAAGAUCCUGGUCAAAGAUCUUUUGGUCAUGAUCCAACCUCGGGAAAAAGCUAGAGCUUCGUCAAAGAUCUUACCUUGGACUCUUCCCGUUGGACCACUCAUGAAGCUCUCCUAUAUAAAGAAAGGUGAUGGUGCAUUUGUACAUAUACGGUGAACUCAAGCUGAGCUUGCACUUGGAAAACCCUCUUCUUCCUCACCUUCUUUCACAUUGAUUUUUACAUCUAUUCUACACUUUGCAUUUCCAUUUUUGCUGGAUCUCUGAAAGCUUAUUGGGUUCGUGUUGCGCCACCCUGAAGACAUGCCGACAGGGUGGACAGUGGUCGUUGUAUCGCUAGGAGUGAUUGCCGGAGCCUCGCACGUGGAGGAGCAAUCUCGCUUCUAGGACAGUGCAUUCGUACGCCUCGACCACAGGCUUCAUCUGAUCUCUUAAUCUUUAUACCAUUGACUAUUUAAUUUUUGCUUAAGAUUUUUAAAAACUGAAGUUAAAUUGUUUUCAUUCAAAAUUGUUCAUAAAAGUAUUUUACUAAAGAUUUUAGAAAGAGAAUAAUUUUUCCAACAAGGGUGGUAUUGCAAUGAAUAAAAUCAACCAACAAGAAUUGGUCUUUCCCGUUCCUUAAAAAAAAAAAAAUUCGACUGAAGGAAUAAAAUUUUUAAAAGUGACUGAGGAACUAAAGAAUGUUUAGAAUCUAGCAACAAGUUGGUUUUGGAAAACCCUAAUUCACUUUAUCAAAACAGCAAGCAUUCUUAAAAUGUUAGCCGCUAACAAGAUGUAGGUUAUGAAAACCGUUGUAGGAAAUUGCUAAUUUUCUUUUUUUUUAAGAAAAAAAAUUGCCAAUUUUCUUGAUUUCCUAUGCAGAUAGAAAACAGCAGGAAAAUCCUAUUUUUAGUAAGGACUUACUAAUUUAGUGAGCAUAUUCCAAAUAAACAAGUCUUAAACUGAAUCCAACUUAAGAGUCAUCAGAAUUUUAGCAGGCUGAUCACAAAAAUUGGAGCAGUAAAAGUGAAAUGAAGAUUAACUAAAAACCGACAAAAUGGAGCGAACUUACUCUAGCACAAAAUUCAAGAGCUAAAGGCUGGAAAACAUCAUAUCCAAGUACCUGCAAACAAAGGAACAAUUACUGUAAGAAAAUUCUACCUCCAAACCUUGUAAUUUCUGCAGGUUGAGAAAGUUCAAAAAUUAGUAAAAGUUCAGACCAUUGAAUAAACUAUCAAAUAUAAGCUGUAAGAGCUUUUCAGUCAUAACGAGAGAAAUGGUAAGCAUGAGAAUUACCAUAAGCCUCUGCUGAAUAAUUUUGAGUAUCUGAUCUUUUGAGUAAGCACGGAAAUUUAUAACCAGGGGUUUACCUGCCAGAAGCAAAAUAAGAAUGUUAAGAUCAUGCUUUCUUGCCCUUAUGAUGAAGCUAUAAAGGCUAUAGUUGAAAGCCAUUUGAGGCAACUGAUUGUAGAAGUACAUGGAUUAGCCUUCAACAACAUCCAGACCAUAACAAGUCACAUAGAAAGAGGAUAAUAGAAAAGGAAGACUAAUAUCUUCCCAGCAUCUUAGCAGAAGUUUAAAGAAAGAGGAAGAAAAGGUUGAGUACUCACAGUUUAAUGAUUCAAGCUUUGGAAGAAAUCGAUCUGCUAGGUCUAUAGCAUUUGCAAUUCCUUCAUAUAUAAAUCAAUAGUUGUAAGAAUGACGCAAGCAUCUGAAAAUUGCUAUAAAAAGAAUCAUAUGAAAACUAAAUUAGCUACUCCAUGACUAAGAAACAAUAAUAAAGACAUAUUUGAAUCUUUACCUAUUAAUAUACAUUGGGAAAAUGGGAAAGUCGUAAGCAUGAAAAGAUCAUGAAGUACUGCUCUAUCUUUAGUUAUCAAGUAAUCCAUCUCAUCCACGACAAUCACUCUGUCAUACACACACACAAACACAAAUGCAUACAGUUGCAAACUUCGCAUGAGAAGCUCGUCGUAGUAGGGCAGUUGUAAAAAGAACAGUACAGCACAAAAUGUAAGAAAAGUUCUCACAUCAUCCUUCUGGAAGAUGAAUGGCUCCGAGAAAAUAAGUUCUGAAGAUGUUCAAGGGGCGAGAAGCCACUACUAGUUGUCUUCUUUUGAGGAUGGAACUUUGCAAGAAUCUGCAAUGAAAACUUAUUAUUGGCUAUGAGAAGGUUUAUGCUGCAAUAUAGCUCAAAGCAUUUUUCACAUAUUAAAUAGUUACCACACUAAAAAUUUCAGCUGUGCUGGUUAGAGAAGUACAAUUAAUAGCUAGCACAUCCGGUAGUUUGACUCCCGCCUGCGAGUUGGAUGGAACAGCACAAAAUAGAAUGAGACUAUUAGAUAUACCACUAAGGAGAAAAUAGGAAGCAUAAAAUCAAUACAAAGAGUAACAACUCAAAUUCAUUUUAUAUUUCUGAAAUCAGCUAUGUACUACAUGCUAUAGUUAGCUUAAAAGGGCCGGCAUUCUGUCCUGUGGUGAGAGGCCAAAUUGAGCCGAGUCACGUUCGAAAUGGGGGGAGGUCGGCUUAGGCCGAGUCAUGUUCAAAGUGGCGUGAGGCUAGGCCAGUCGAGUCACAAUCGAAACCCUAGGUGCUAUGUCAUUACACUUUAAGUGAAUUGAUUGUAUAUUUUUAAGAGCUCGAACUUUUAGGUUAAUGGUUAGCACCAACAAACCGACAAUAGUUAUGUAUUUCUUGUCUCAUCAUAAAACUUACAACUUACAAGCUAUUUAAAAGUAAAGGGGAUGCUAUACCUCCUUCGACCAAAGCAUUACGUUUUCUGUUACUCUGCCGAUGGACAAAGUUUUUCCGGUUCCCGGACAUCCGCACACGUACAAACUGCCGGCUCUUUCCCGUUCGACGCAAGUCUUACAGAACUCAAAGAUCCUUUUCUGCUCCUCCGCACGGCAUACGACAUUGUAGGGGGCCGUAGCCACGUGCAAUGCUUCCUUAACCGCUUGCAUCUGCGCCGGAUCUGGCACGCAACAGGAUCAAAGUCCAGAAUUUAAUAGAUUCAAGGUUAGAUCAGAGCUCUCAAAGUCAUGGAUCUUUCUCCGUGGACUUAACAAACACGAAAAGGAUGAAUCAAAAGAAGGAUCUUGCCUGUGGGAUUCCACUCGGGCUUCUCCGAGAAUUGGUUCAAUAAUCUUUUCCUCGGAGACUUCGGAGAUCGCAAGAGCUUGUGAUCGGAAACUCUGCCAUUGCCCUGCCAAAAUCCAAAUCCGCUCCACAAAAUGGAUGUAAAAUAGAAAAGAAAAAGGAGAAACCCUAGAUUUGGUAUGCUGGGGAAGGGGUGGUAGGUCACAUUUGCGGGGGAUUGGGUUUUGAUCGGAGUGCCAUCGUCGGCGCUGUGAGAUCUCGAUCGCUUCUUCUUGUUCGGGGUGGAGCUUCCUUUCCCAUCCGGAUUUCCCUUCGCCGGGGAAGCGAUGGGCGGCGACGGGAGAAGCGCUUCGGAGCUUCUGAGAGUCGGCAUUGUUGUGGAUAUUUGUACUUUGGGAAAGCGCGUGGGAAUAGAAGGAUCGAGAAGAGAGAAGAGGAGGGAAGAAGAGCGAGUGUUUUGCGCGGGAAACGGACGGCGGCGUGAUAGAGAGAGGAGAGAGAAGAAGAUGGGAUGUUUUGGGCGGGAAAUGGAUGGCGCGGUGAUAUGCCCGUCUUAGGAACGUUAAUGGUACGGAUAUCUGAAAUUUUAUUCGAACCCGAAUCAGCACAGGAUGAAUUUAUUCAAUACUAAAUAAAUAUAGUUUUGAAUAUGAAUAUUAAAAAUAAAAAUCCGAACAGAUAUAAAUACAUAUAUGAAUUUUGGCUGUAUUUGACCCGAACGUGAAUUCGAUCCGAAUCCGAAUUUAUUUUACAUUAUAUACAAUAUGUAUAUAAAAAUUUGAUAUUAUAUUUGAAUUUGUAUUUUAAAAAUUUAUAUUUAAUGUAAUAUAUUUUGAAAUAUUGAAGAGAGAAAUAAUUGUUUCCGGUUCUGAUUUUUGGGUUCGGAUUCUGGUUCUGGUUCGGAUUCGAGUUUUGAAUUUUUGGUCGGAUUUGAGUUUGGAUAAGAAUUUUUAAAAUCCGUCGGGCUCGGGUUUGAGUUCGGGUUCGGGUUCGGGUUCGGGUUUCAAGUUUGGAGUUGGGUUUGGGUUUGGGUUAUUAAAAAUCCGCCCCGAAUUCGACCCAUUAACAUCUCUACUCCGUCUAUAUCCAGGAAAAAAAAAAAAUUAAAUACACCAGUUAUAUUAUUGAUGUAACAUAUUCAACUAGUAAAAUUAUAUUUUUUUUCAAUUUAUCCAUCCCAUCAUGAUUACUAAAAAAUAUUUUUACUCUGCUUAAAUCUAAAAAUAGAUAAGUGAUUGAUUGGUUAUUGAUGAUGUGAUACAAGUAUUACAUAGUAAACUUUCUUGUGUCUACGAUAUAAUGAUAUAGCAUCUUCAAUCGAUCAUAUUUGAUCUACAUGAUUACUAAUUCUAUUAUAGUGUUUUAAAAAAUUGUUUUUAUUAUAGUUUUAUCUAAAAAGAAAAAAUAUAAUUAGCUAGAUAUAAAUGAUACAAUAUAGUUGCUAGAGAUUAAACUUCUCCAAUCGGAACAUUAAGAAAGAAAUAUUUUAUUACAUUUUUAUUUCAAAACGAGAGAUGUGUUUGGCCGGAGAUAGAUGAUAUGAUACAGCUACUAUAUAUUAAGCCUCUCUAACUAGAACAUGGGACUAUGCGUGUAAAACCAGUCUGACUAAUUUAACCAGUUAUAGAAAUUAGUAAAAACAUACCGAAUUUUAUCUAAACUAUGAAUCAUUUUGAUUUGACUAUCUAAGCUUUUAAAAUUUUAAUUUUAUUACCUAAUAUGUCAAUUUGUUUCUUUUAUUUUAAAUUUCAAGCUAAUUUUUUGAUUUAAUGAACUUAUAGUUGUGAGAAUUGUACAAAGUAAAUUAACUAAACUAAGUUAAUGAACUCACAGUUGCGAGAAUUGGAUGAAUUAUACAACUAAAUCUAUAAAAAUAAACAACACAUUUAAAUUUUAAAGUUAAAAUACCAUUGACCGACUAAAAUCAAACAAGGCCAAUUUGCAUAAAAAAUUCACAAGCUUUGAGCUUUUGCAAAAUUGAGCCGCAUUUUUCGAUUUUGCAUAUUCGAGCCGGAUUUUUAGAAAACUAACCAAAAUAUCCUUAUUCCUUUCUCUCUCUUCUUUUUUUUCUCUCGUUUUUUUCCCUCUUUGAAGAGAGAGGCGGAGGUGGAAGUGACCUGCCUCCUCUCUAUCCCCGCGCCCUCCUCUGCGUCCACGCACCAUCCACCAUGUUCGCCUCCGACCCCACCAAGGCUACGCUCGCCGUCAUCCUUUGGGACGCUCUUUCUCGCCUCUGCCCCAUGCGCCCUCGUUCGCGCCCGCUCACUCCCCGCCCUCCUCGCCUCCAACCUCACCGAGGCUGUGCCACUAUCCUUUUUUUUUUUCUCUCCGAACUUCCUCCACCACCUCCGCAGCCCUUUGCGACCUGCCUCCACCUCCACUGCAGCAGAUUUUUCACCCACCAAAUCCACUUCUGGGAACUCGCUGUCCUCACCACCACCGCCAAUGACGAAAAGGAAGCACUUCUUGACGCCAAGAAGCUCGCUGGCAAGGAAGGGGCACGCAACCAACCGCGCCCACCCGAGGCCAGCGACGAGCGAGGUAGAGACUGAGAAAAGCACGACAACGCCGGAGAAGAGGGUGGGGCGGCGGCAAGCGCAGCGUCCCAGAGGGCAACCGUGAGUGCGGCCUUGGCAAGGUUAAAAGCGAGGAGGGCGAAGGGUGCACGAGAGCAUCUCUAGUCAAGCACUUUUAUUUGCUUAAAACAAAACAAUUAACUAAAAACCAAAAACUAGAGAAUAAAGAAGAAGAUGAAGUUGCACUGUUAAAAUAAAGCUACACUGUUUUAGAAAAACGUUGCACAGCCACUAUUAUAGAUAUAAGUUACACUCUUUAAAAUAUAAACUACACCCUUUAAGAUAAAAAUUACAUUUUUUAAACAAAAGUUGCACUCUUUGAGAGGAGAAAUAGUGUAACUUUUAUUUUAAAAGUAUAACUUUCAUCUUAAAAGGUCCUUUUUGGGAGAAGAAAGUGUAACUAUCUCCCAAAUAGUACAACUUUCAUUUAAAGAAUAUAACUUUCAUCUUAAAAAGUGAUCUUUGGAAGAAAAAAUAAUAUAACUAUCUUUCAAAUAGUGCAACUUUCGUUUAAAUAGUGUAACUUUCAUCUUAAAGGAUGCAAUUUACAUCUCAAAGAGUACAACUUAUGUCUACAAUAGUGCAACUUUCUUCUAAAAUAAUAUAACUUUAUUUUAACAGUGCAACUUCAUCUCAUUCUUCUUUCUUCUCUAGUUCUUCUUCCUUAUUCUCUAGUUUUUAAAUUUUAGUUAAUUUUUUUAUUUUAAGCAAAAAAAAGGGCUUGACCAGAGAUGCUCCCGUACACCCCCCGCCCUCAUUGCUUCCGACCCUGCCGAGGCCGUGCUCGCCGCUGCCCUCUGGGACACUGCGCUCACCGCCGCCCCGCCCUCUUCUCCGGUGUCGGCACGUUCUCUUCCGUCUCCACCUCGCUCAUCACUGGCCCCUGAUAGGCGCGAUGGGUCGCGUGCCCCCUCCCUCACCAGCGAGAUUCUUAGCACCGAGAAGAGCUUCAUUUUCAUUGUCGGCGGUAGUGUGAGGACGGCGGGUUCCUAGAAGUGGGUUUGGUGAGUGAAAAAUCUGCUGUAGUGGAGGUAGAGGUGGGUCGUGAAGGGCCGCGGAGGCAGUGGAGGAGGUUCAGAGAGAAAAAAAAGAGGAUCGCAACGCAGCCUCGACGGGGUCAAAGGCAAGGAGGGCGGGAGGUGAGCAGGCGCGGGCGAGGGUGCAUGGGGUGGAGGCUAGGAGGGGCGUCCCAAAGGGCGGCGGUGAGCGCAGCCUUGGUGGAGUCGGAGGCAAAAAGGGCGGGUGGUGCGCAGACACAGGCAAGGUCGCCUUUGCCUCCGCCUCUCUCUUCGGAAAGAGAAAAAAAAAAAGAGAGAGAAAAAAAAGGAGAGAGAGAAAGGAAUAAGGGUAUUUUGGUUAGUUUUCUAAAAAUGCGGUCCGAAUCUACAAAAUCAAAAAUAGCAGCCCAGUUUUGCAAAAGCUCAAAACUUGUGAAUUUUUUAUACAAAUUGGCCAUCAAACAAAUGAAAAGAUUAGAUGGUAAAUUAAAAUUUUAAAAGUUCGGAUAAUAAAUUCAAAUUUGUCAAUAGUUUAGAAAAGUUCUACACAAUUUUAUCUAAAAUUUUGGCUAAAUUAUGAAAGCCCCUUGCAUUUUAUCCCCAAUCUCAAUUACCCUUUCAUAAAAAAUUAUAUCAAUUAUCAUUCUAUACUUUAUUAAAAUCCCAAAUAAAUUCAGAAAAAUUAUCAAAUUGACAAAUUAAAAAUUGAUAGUUCAUUGAGCAAUUUAUUCAAUUCAUACGAUUCUAUUGCAUUACUUAAAGAUAAUCUAUAAUUUUUUUCACAAAAUUUUAUACGUGAAUUUAAUAAUUAAUUAUCCUAUAUAAUUAGAUCUAAUUGAAAUAAUAAUAAAAUAUAUAAAAUAUUUAAUAUACCCAUUUAUGUAGAAAAAUUAAGACUUGCACCAAAGUAUAAGAAAGAUUUUAUAAGUUAGCCAAAAGAAUUUGUCCCAAAUCCAUUAAGCAACUGCGGAGGAGAAAGGGUAAUUCGAAGUUGCCCACGAGGUGUGAGAGAGAGAGAGAGAGAGAGGGUAUGGCGCUGAGAAUUAUUAUUAUUAUUAUUAUUAUUGUCACGCUCCGGAUGUCUCAUUCCCUGGGCACGCCGACAAAUCCGCCGUAUACAAAGAAAAUUUUCCUGUAUACGAAGCGACAGCUGUACCUGUAAAUCAAACAUUACUACGAACAGUAGUAGAGAGCUGCUAGAGAAAACAGAAGCUAAACAAACUGAGUUUCAUAUAUAUAGUCCAAAUCCAAAAUACAGCGUUACUCGCACUGGCGAGUUAAGUACUAUGUAUAUAAGCUCGAAGUAAAACAACUAUCUGCAGUAGGGUGCCUCUAACUCUGUCAGUCGGGUAGGGCUCUAGCUCGCGACGCCCUUGCCUCGAUCCUGAUCCGCGGAAGGCGCUGCAGCCGAAACCUGUGGCUCUGCAAAAACAUGGGUAACAACUGGGCGUGAGAACUACUGUAAAAACAAGUAGUCCUCAGUGGGUACCGCCCAAAACAACAUCGGUCCACCCACUAAGUCUACAGAAGGGAGCGAGAGUAGUCAGAAAAGCAGGAAGUAACUCUACCGCUAUCGAUCACUACACUAUCAUGCUCUACACUAACCAACUGUAGGAAAAUAUCAAAUCUGACCCAAUCCAAUCGGGACUGUAAGCAUACCCGUCCCCGGGACUGUGAAUACACCCGUCCCUACCCCGUUGCGACUAUCAGUGCUCUAUCCACACUAACUGCCGUGGAGAGUAAGUCGCACUGCGAUGAGCGACACCAACCCGAAAGCAAAGCCAUGACUCCGGAGUGCACUCGUGGCGCUAUCCAACCGAGUAUGCAGGCGUAUCUCUGUCGAGCUCAAUCAGGCUCUGAAAAGCCAAAGUCAAGUGACCAACUCAAACUGGUCUAAUACCAACAGGUAACGUGCCCUCAGCACAAUCUGACGCCAAAAAGGCGAUACGGGUCCACGUCAACCCUGACGGCACCCAAACAGUCCGGAACAACCUGAACGACCCUGUAAAAAUCCACUCGGGCACACCAGCACGAGUGUAAAUAUAUUCUAAACUACCUGAAGUACUCGUCUCGAAGAUACUGCGACAGUAUAAUUUUAUAACGGCUCCUAGAGCUAAAUCAGGCAGUUUAAACACUGUGACAAGUCCAAAUCGCAAGUUUCUCCUAAUUCAAUUCCAAAUCCAACAUGUAUAAACUACUCAAUUUAAUACCACAUGCUCCAAAUUCAGAUUUGCUAUCUAUAACAAAAUCCAUGAAUUCGAGCUAAAGUAAACUAUACAAAAUCUGAAAAUUACACAUGUUGACUAUUGCGCACUUAGGAGUAUAAGCCGAUGAUUAACCCACCUUAGUCGCUAAUCCCAGCAGUGAGACGUCCUGAAGCAAAGGAACACCUUGCUGGAUCAAUCCGCAAACCUCCAAAGGCCAGAAAUCACGCUCCGCAAACUCUACACGUAAAAUCCAAAAUGACACCGAUUCUGCUCAAAAACAGCAGCAGAGAAGAGAAUAAUUCCGACCAAUAAAACCUCCACCAAAACCAGCAAGUAGGGGCUUCGUGGAUUUCUCUCGAAGUCCUGAAUCCAACGAACCAAGUCUCGUCGAAAUCCGAUGCUCCUACGUCGAGAGGGAGCCGAAACGCGACGGUCGACGCUGGAAAUCAGUGAAAACAGCACCUCGAGCUCGAUUCAUGAAGCUUGAAGUAAGAAAGAAUCCAUGAGGAAUGAGAAAUUACCACCUCAACCAGCGACUCCAAUUCUGGCACGGCGUCGAGAACGCGAAAACACUCCCUCGCCCGGCCUCCUCGCUAAACUACGGCGACGCACGUAUGCUCGGACGGCUCCGCAGCGCGAUGACGUACGACGACGAAAUGCUCCACACGAACCCUUCCUUGCUCACAAUCGCUAGAGGGAGAGAGAAGAAGAAAUAAUUUAGAGAGAUGUACAACCUGAGUGAUAAGUAUGCAUCGGGGGGGGGGGUGGUGGGGGGGGGUUAGUGCACGUGCAUUCCAUCCACCCAACUUACCAACUCAAAACUUGCAAAAAAACCAAUAAAAAAAAAAUCAGAAUACUACAAUUAUUUAUAUAAUUAUACUUAAAAACACAUAUUUUAAAAACACAUCUUUUUUCGUAGGCAAAAUAAAUAACGUAACAAACUAAGCUUUCAUUUUUUUUUCUAACGACCGGAUAAUCUUUACUUUUUAUUAAAUAUUUAUAUUCAUUUCUUUUUUUUUAAUAAUAUUUUGGAUUUUUUUGUACUAUCUACAGAUAUGAUAGUUGUUAUAUUAAUUUUUAUUGAUUGCAACCAACAAUCAAAUUUGAAUUUAAUUAUAAAGAUAUAUUUAAAUUUUAAACUUAUUUAUUUUACAUUUUAUUUUAUCUUAAAUUCAUAGUUAAAAUUUAAUUAUAUUAUUUAAAUUUAAAUUAUAAAUUUUUAAAUAAAAAUUAAAUUUGAGUUCAAAUAAUGAAUUAAAUUUAAUUUUGGAUAUCAAAUAUAAAUAUAAUUAAAAAUUUUAAUUAAAUUAGAUCAAAAUUAAAUCUUAAAUUUUGAAUUAAAAGUGAUUAAAAUUUUGAUACUUUUAGUUUAAAAUACAUAUUUAAAUUUUGGAUUCAUGAGAAUUCAAGAAGCAAACAGAAUUAUUCAAUGUACACAAAAAGGAAAGAAAUAGAUCUAUAUAAUUAUUGUCAACAGUAAUAAUUUAAAUUUGGGUUAGAAUACGGUAGAUAUUUUCUAAUAAUAUAAAACAAAUUAAUUUACUUUUUUUAAAAUUUAAAUUUUUAAUGUAAUUUUUUUGAUAAAUAUGAUGUACUAAUUUAUAUUGAUUUGAGUAACUAUUAAAAUAAUUGUAACAAGCAUUUGCCUAUAUACUCAACUAUUAUUAUUGUGAUAACCAUUUGGAUUUGGCCACCCAAUCUUUUAAAAUUUUGAUUUUACUUUUCAACAUUUCAAUUUGUUUGAUUUAAGUCAAUCAACGACACUUAACCCUUAAAAGUUUAAGAUAAUAUUUAUUUUAAUGAAUUUAUAGUUGUGAGAAUUGCAUAAAAUAUACUAAUUAACUAAAUUUGUAAAGAUAAAAUCACGUAUUCAAACUUUAAAUCCAAAGUGUACUUAAUUGGCUCAAAUCAAACAAAUUGAAAGACUAGGUAUAAAACCAAAAUUUGGAAAGGUUGGGUAGCUAAUUCCAAAUACUCGAUAGUUCAAGUAAUUUUCAUUUACCAAUAUUAAAAAACUAAAUUAUUUUUUUCAUAUACAAAUUAUAAUAAUACAACAGAAAAAGUCAUAGAGUAAAAGAAAUAUUAAUACUCAACAAAUUCAUUUUCAUCAUAUUUUAAAUGUGUAAACAAAAUAAAAGAGAUACUAAAAUUUACAUAAUCAAUUUUCGUCACAUUUUUAACGUACAAACUAAAUAAAAGAGUAAUUAGUACCACAAUCAAUUAUAUUUAAAUAUAGCUAGCAUUACCUAUUAUAUUAUUUUAUUAUUUUUUUCCCUACAUCUCUCUCCAAUGAAUUCAUUAUACUGUUUUGGGUAAGUCGAGUUUUGGUUGUAUCUUUAUUACAGAAACCAAACAAUAAAAAUAGUCAUUUACGGUCAAUAGCGACUUCACCUCUCUCCACUUUCACCCAAACAAACAGAUGAUUAGGGCAUAAUAGUUUUUAUUUGACCCAUAAAAUACUCAAAUGCAAGAGCACUGUGAAUAUCUUGAUUGAUCUACAAUGCAAUGGGUCUAUCCAAAACGUUAGAAAAAUUUGCUGUGAAACUUAGUGAAGCAUGAAACUUGCAUGACUUUUUUUUUUUUGGAGAAAAAUAUAGCGUGCUAUCCGAUUCAUUCAUUAGGUAAAAUAAAGUUAACUAAAGUGUCAGGCAUCUGGGCCUCAAUCCAAAAAAAUGUAAGCAUUAAACAUGCAUGACCAAUUUUUCUUGGCCUAUUAUGUAGGACGAAGGAUAAUUAAUUAGUCGUAGGCUACCAUUUGUAAAUUUGCUUCUUCUCGUGAAGUUGCAUGCGUAAAGCAUGCCUAAUUAAUUGAAAGCGCCGUGGUUCGAUAUAAAAGGAUACAAUCCAUGUAAUGUUGUGCCAAAACUGCAAGUUCGUUCUUUAUCUCAGCAUUGAGAAGCUACUUUGUUUCUCUUUGUGUUGGUAUUAUAAAAAAAACCUUUUUUGGGAUUUUUUUUUUGGGGGGGGACAGUAUGGGAAGGAUGGUUAUAAUUAUAUGCUAAUUAAGUUGAAUAAGAUGAAAGGAGGUUUGUAUUUUGAUUUAUUCAUAUGAAACAUCUGAUUCAUAUGAACAUAGAUAAGUUUUUAUAUCAUUUAAAUUUGCUCUCAUAUCACUAUAUUUUAUUUUAAUAUUCAAGCAAAAUGCAUCUUAAAAAGCUAAGUGCAUCUUAAAAAGGCAAUUCUAACAAAAUAUUUUACUCUUAAGUCAAAACUCAUGUCAAUUUCUUCUUGAUAGAAUCAAUUUUAGAAGAUCCAUGACAUAUUCUAAAGAACUAUCGAGGAUAACUAACGAUUAGAAUGAGUAGUGUGGCUCAAAAUUCUGUGAAGUAAAUAAACAAAAAGUAAAUAGACAAAAAGUAAAAAUCUGUACGGUAAAUGGUCAAAAAAUAGUAAGGGCGGUUACAUUAGAUGGUCACGUUAUCCCAUCUCCACCUUUUCCGCCACGAGUUGUUGGCAGCUAGAUUGUCGUCCUUUGUUUCUUACUUCUUUUCCUGAUAUUGAAUUAUGGUGGUACUGGUUAUAGUCGUGGUCAUGAAUAUGGCCAAGCAGGCCUUCUAACCUACCCACAUUAAGGUCUACUACUUUCACCUCACAUGACGUGGGAAGAAUCGAAAAUUCCACCACCAACAUCGUGUCCAGGGUAAUUGUUUCAACAAGAUCUUCUACUCGAAAUUUGCUAUUAAGAUUUGUUGGCUUUGGCCAGGUUCGAGCAAAUCGUUGGCUCAUCAAAGAAGAAGCAAACUGUGAUGUUUUUAGAACAUCACAAUUUGCAAGUGAAUGAUGUAUCAAAGGGCUCGAUCUGAAUCGCAACCUUGAUGAUGACAAUGCUCUGAGAGUGAUGGCGAUAGUGAUGAUCGGAUCACCUCCUCGCCAUUGAUCGAUGUUAACAGGGAUUGGUGUUAAGGGUCAGUGAAGUGGAGAGAUGAUGAUGAACAUGAACUUGAGGAGGAAGAAGACCAGGUAUAGAGAGAAAAAGGUAAUUCCAAAGUUUAUUUGAUCUACCCGUUUUCAGUUACAAUGCUGGCUAUUUAUAGGUGCUCCUAAGGCUCCAUUUGCAAUUUGUUUAAAUGUUGUGGACCAAUCUGAAAUUUAACAAUUGUGGCAAUAGCUUGAGUGGGCUCCUUGUCGCAUGGGCCUGGGCCUUCAUCAAGUGGCGUAACGGUAAGCGAAUUUCGAAUCCGCAGUCGCGUAAUAUCCAUUAUCGCUCAAUCCGCCCCGGCUGGAAGAAAACUCCAAGACCCCCCUUUCGAUUCUUACACCUUUCUGUCGUAAAUCACACCAGCACCCAUCCUUUCCUACUGCAAAGCUCACCUACCCCUCCCCUACCUCCUCCUUCUUCGACGGAUAGCAUGAGGACCUAGUGGAGAGUGGUCCGGUGAAGCCAACACCGACUUGAAAAAGGGUGAUUCGGCGAGGUCAUCACCGGUUCAGAAGAUCUACUCCGGAUUCAAUACAGCCCCACUAACUCACCCCUUUUAUUAUUUCCCUUUAUUUCCGUAGUCUUAUUCCUUUUUUUUAUUUUUUAUUUUUUAUACACAGGUGUUACAGUCCCCUUCCCUUAGGACGAUCCCUGUCCUCAGGGUCGAAUUUUAGAAAUUGCAGCCUGAGAGUUCGAGGAUCCUCACAAGUAGCCGAUUCCGGGGGUAGAUUGCGUCAUUUGACUAGUACCUCCUUUGCGAUACCUCGACCUCGUUUAACGGCUCUCUCUGCCAACACUCCCUCGGGCUCAGCCAACAGUUGCCCUUCUUUUCCAACCACGGGUACCCCAUUUGUGACCUUAUUGUUCGUGGUAGGACUUCGUUUAAGUUGGGAGAUGUGAAACACAGGGUGGAUCAGAGAUCCUUCAGGUAAUUUUAACUUGUAUGCGACUUGCCCCACGCGUGAUAUAAUUUCGAAGGGUCCGUAAUAUCGAGCAGCUAGUUUAGGAUUUUUUCGAGAGGCCACGGAAAUCUGCCGAUAAGGUUGAAGUUUCAAAUAUACCCAGUCCCCCACAGAAUACUCCUUUUUCUUUGAUAUUUAUCGGCUUGUUGUUUCAUUCGAUUCUGAGCUAUUUGUAGCCGAUCCCAGAGGUUAAGUGGUGCCAUUCCAUAAAGAGCCUGAUAGGGUGUCAUUCCAAGACUUUUUUACGAUGUCUGUGUUCCGAGCAUCCAAGCAAGUGGAAUCACUCUAUUUGCCCUAAAUUGAGUGGUGGUACAAUACUAACUAUCAUUCCUCUCUUGGAAUGACAGUCUAUCAGGCUCUUUAUGGAAUGGCACCACUUAACCUCCAGGAUCGGCUACAAAUAGCUCAGAAUCGAAUGAAACAACAAGCCGAUAAACAUCGAAAGGAAAAGGACUAUUCUGUGGGGGACUGGGUAUAUUUGAAACUUCAACCUUAUCGGCAGAUUUCCGUGGCCUCUCGGAAAAAUCCUAAACUAGCUGUUCGAUAUUACGAACCCUUCGAAAUUAUAUCACGCGUGGGGCAAGUCGCAUACAAGUUAAGAUUACCUGAAGGAUCUCUAAUCCACCCUAAGGUCACAAAGGGGGUACCCGUGGUUGGAAAAGAAGGGCAACUGCUGGCUAAACCCGAGGGAGUGUUGGCUGAGAGAGCCAUUAAACGAGGUCGAGGUAUCGCAAAGGAGGUACUAGUCAAAUGGAGCAAUCUACCCCCGGAAUCGGCUACUUGGGAGGAUCCUCAGACUCUCAGGCUGUAAUUUUCAGAAUUCGACCCUGAGGACAGGGAUCGUCCUAAGGGGAGGGGACUGUAACACCUGUGUAUAAAAAAAGAAGAAGAAGGAAUAAGACGACGGGAAUAAAAGGAAAUAAUAAAAGGGGUGAGUUAGUGGGACUGUAUUGAAUCCGGAGUAAAUCUUCUGAACCGGUGAUGACUUCGCCGGAUCACCCUUCUUCAAGUCGGUGUUGGCUUCACCGGACCACUCUCCACUAGGUCCUCGUGCUAUCCGUCGGAGAAGGAGGAGGUAGGGGAGGGGUAGGUGAGCUUUGUAGUAGGAAAGGAUGGGUGCUGGUGUGAUUUACGAGAGAAUGGCAGAAGAAUCGAAGGGGUCUCUUGAGUCUUCUUCCAGUCGGUGUGGAUUGAGUGAUAAUGGAUAUUACGCGACUGCGGAUCCGAAAUUCGCUUAUCGUUGCGCCACUUGAUGAAGGCCCAGGCCCAUGCGACAAGGAGCCCACUCAAGCUAUUGCCACAAUUGUUAAAUUUCAGAUUGGUCCACAACAUUAACACAAAUUGCAAAUAGAGCCUUAGGAGCACCUAUAAAUAGCCAGCAUUGUAACUGAAAACGGGUAGAUCAAAUAAACUUUGAAAUUACCUUUUUCUCUCCCUCUUUUUCUCUCUCUAUACCUGGUCUUCUUCUUCCUCGCCAAGCUCCUGUUCAUCAUCAUCUCUCCACUUCAAUGACCCUUAACACCAAUCCCUGUUAACAUCGAUCAAUGGCGAGGAGGUGAUCCGAUCAUCACUAUCGCCAUCACUCUCAGAGCAUUGUUAUCACCAAGGUUGUGAUUCAGAUCGAGCCCUUUGAUUGCAUCAUUCACUUGCGAUCAAUUUCUUUGCUUCGCAGCUAGAGAGAGAGAGAUUUUUAUUUUAAAUUUAAAUUUAAAAUUUAAAAUUUUAAAAUUUUAAAUUUUAAAUUUAUAAUUUAAAAUUAUAAAUUUUAAAGUUUAAAUUUUAAAUUUGAUAUUUUUAAAUUUUAAAUUUUAAAUUUUAAAUUUUUAGUUUUUAAAUUUUAAAUUUGCUAUUUUAUAUCUUUGAAAUUUAAAUUUGGUCUUAAAUUUAAAAUUUGAUAUUUAAAAUUAAAAUUUUAAAUUUUAAUUUCAAAUUUUUAAAUUUAAUUAUUGGGGUAAUAUCUUUAUUUUCUAUUUAUAACUAACAACUAUUCCUCUUAUUACCAAUAACAAUCCAAGCACAAUUUUUCUAGUUCCAACUUAUACUCACAUUUUCAUCCAAACAAAAAAAUAUCCUUAUUCUUACAAAAAUCCAUACUUGUACCCAUUCCCGGUAUAACUAGUUCCUACUAAUUUCCAAACCAAACGAAGCCUUACAAUUCAAUGACCUAUUGGUCGGUAUGCCCCGAGGAGCCGUGAUUGUCAGCUAUUCCCUGAUGGUUAGCCAUUAAUCAUAUUUGCAUCGAUCGCCACAACUCGACAGCAUUUCACGAACACCAACGGUCUGAUCCCCCUAGGAAGGUGUUCUUUUUCGAAAAAGUAGUUGGUUGCCAACCCGUGAGCCCAGCAGUCAUUUGCUAGGGUUAUAUGCUAGAUUAAGGGGUUGUGGUUUGCCUGAGGUCCUUAGACUGACACGGCCGUAUAGAUUGGGUAUACUUGUACUAUCAAUUGCAGUUGACGCGUAGUCAUUUCUCUAUCUCUUUUGCAGUAGCGGUUAUUCAUACCAUUACUACGGUUGUUUUCGGUUCAGUUAUCAUGCUAUUGCACUAGUUUGACUAUUGAUUAUAGUUGGUCGUCACUUUAUUAUCUCACUUUACAGUAGUAGCUUCUUUGGUGAUUACUGAUUGAUACUAUUUAUUAUUAUCAUGCCCAAAUUUACUUGUUAUUACUGCUAUUUACCCCUCCUUCUGCCGAUGGGUACAGUUUGCCUUCGUCGGCUUAUGGUACCCACUAGGAGGGAGAGACAUGUUUACAUGUUCUCAUCCCCCCACCUUUUUUGAGGUGAUGCGGGUGAGAUUGGUUGGGAUGCAGCGUGAGGCCGUAGCUAGUGGAUGGUCAUAGAGGUCCCGAUCUGCGGUAUACCUUUUUGAUUACUUCAUACAUAGUAUCAGAUAGAUGUUAGUGGAUAAUAUAAAUCUUACACUACAUUGGUUAUUAGAUAUCUACUUGUGGUUCAGUUGGUGGUUUACACUUGAUGUUUUGGAUGAUGUAUGUAUGAGUUUUGGAUACUCAUGUUUUGGAUACUCGUGGAUUUGGACACAUAUGGCUUUGGAUUCGGAUUUCAAAAUAUUGUUUUCUACUCUUCGUGGUAGUGUUUUCAAAAUAAAGGUUUUUAUGUGGGAAACGGUUUUCAAAGUGGUUUUUUGACUUUUUGUGAAUUUUUGAAAAAAAAAUAGAAUUUUAAAGUGAAGCCUUCAUGUGGGAGGCACUUUCAACUAGUAGGAAUGAAUGUGAAUUUGAUGUGGAAUGGUUGCGAUUAAGGACGGCUAGCUGUAUGAUGUGAAAUGAUAAUCUUUGUGACUCGUGAUUGUUGUUUGUGUGAGUGGAGGUCACGGUUGACAAUUGUACUAUAUGCUACGCCGUGCAAAUACAGGGAAAAACUCUAUCCGUUUGUUUUCGAGAAUUUUUUAUAUUUGUGGCGACUCUGUUGCACUCUUAGCGGUCAAGGGUUUAAUAAAAAAAAAAAUUGACAGUUUUUCGCUUACUCUGAUUUAUAAAGAUAAUCCGAUUUCGAAUCGGCUUUCAAAAAGGGACCCUGGGGCGUGACAUUCCAUCCCUUGGAUAGAUAGAGAGAGAGAGAGAGAGUAGAGCUUUUGGUUUUACGGCUUGGAGGGAGAUCUUUCAUAUCUUUCGAGAUCCACCCUACAAUAUGGGGUUAAAAAGCCAAAAUAAGCAUUGCACGGUAGGCACGACCCAUGUGGGCCGGGGGCCAAACUAUCGGCCCAGGCUCGUAAUGGGCUAUGCAGUGCCAAGCCGACGAGCUUAGUUUGAUUGGCCCAACACGGCCCAUGAUGUUGGGUGGGGCCGACCCGACACAGAUUCUACAAUACUCGUGCCAUGCUUGGGCUCGGCCCGUACUCAUGCGUGGGCCACCCAGCCCGUUUUACAUCCCUGUGUGUGUGUGUGUGUGUGUGUGUGUGUGUGUGUGUGUGUGCAUUGUUACAUAUGUAUACCUCCAUAUAUGAGCUUUAAAAAAAAAGUCUAGUCAUGGAGUAGAGCUCUAUGUAAAGUGUGCUAUGCACUUUAGUUAAUUAUAAUUAGAUGCUUAUUAUGAUGGUGGCUUUUGAUGUAUAUACAUAUAAAAUCAAUCUUUCUUCCAAAUGUUCUCCCAUGCACGUGUUUUUCUUCAAUCAGCAUCUAUACACUUCAUCGACUUAUGAAUCAUGAAGGAACUGCUAGCAUUGUCCACAUAGUUUGCAACUCGGCUGUUUUGUGAGAUAAAGAUCGGUUGGAUAUACACGAUUUCGUGUGUAUACGCAUAGAGGGCGAACAUGUGCACAACUAUGUUAGAAUAUCAGACCAAUGAUUGAAGCAUACGGCAUCAACCAUAAUGUAGAUCAAAAAAUCUUAAUUGGUUCACAAUAAGAUCUUUAAAUAUAAGAGUUUUGUUUCGAUUUAAUUUUUGCGCAGUAAUAUGUGAACGAUCUGCCGUCACUGGAGUGAUUUUUGGUUUUCAGUUUUUCAUAUGAUAUGUAUUUGACUUCCGAAAAAUUUAAAUUGCAAAAUUAUUUUUCCAUUGCUUUUCUCUGUUGGGCCGAUAAUUUCUUACAUGAUCAACGCUGAGCGCGACGGGGGAGUUCCCCGUAGUAAUUGUGUGUACUUGAAGGAGGUAAAAUAAAGAAGAAAAAUAAGAGUAUAAAGAAUAAAAAAAGAUAAAAAUGUUACAACAUUAAUAGAGAUUAACUUGCACAAUUUGAAAUAGUACAAUAGAAAUGUAAAUAGAACAGCAUAUUUCUAAGUAGUCUAACAUAUGAUCAAAUAGUACAAUAAAUCUUUAAAUUAGUGCAAUAUUUUUAUUAUUUCUCAAUAAAAAUUUUAAAUAGUGCAACAUUCUUAUUCCUACUACCACCACCAUUACUAUUCUUAUUCAUUUCUCAUGUCAUCUCUCCAUUUCCUCUCUUUCUUCUUCCUCUCAUUUCUUUUCGUCACACAUGUCUAGUUUGGGGAUUUCUAGUGAUCUAAUCUUCAAAGCCAGCUUUGGAGGAGGGGCUAACACUGGUGUGUUCAAGCCUCACCCUACUGCAGCUUUAUGCUGCUUCGGAUUGAGUGCAAGGUUCUACACUGUCGCAUACGAAGGGGAUGUGUGUCUCAGUGCAAUGCGUGUGGGACCUCUCUAGUAGAAAGGAUAAGAAGAAAGAAGAAGAAGCAGUAGAAGAAGAUAAAAACAAUCUAUCUAUACACAUACAUUAUUUUUCAUAAGCUUUUGCCACGUGGCAGCACCAUAGUCUCUCAUUCUCAAAAUUUCUACUCUCCAAUCAUUGCGACCGCUCGCCUUCCUCGUAAUGUCUGCCUCUUCGGCUUUCCAUCUCAUUAGUUCCUUUCCUGUAACAUCUGCCUCUUUGGCUUUCCAUCUCAUUAAUUUCUUCCCCGUAGCGUAUGCCUCUUUGGCUUUCCGUCUCAUUAAUUCCUUCUCUGUAAUGUCGCUACUUCAACUUCCCACCUCAUUAGUUUCUAUUUUCUAAGAGGCAUUGCCCGAGGAGUGUCACGCCCCACGACCGCCAAUUUGGUCGGUUCGGGCACGUCCAUAGACACCGAACGAACAGAACCUCCCUUAUCCGCCCAAGGCUCCAUACAACAACAACAUGUAUAAUAAAUUCCCCCAAGAAGAACUUAUAUUAUACAUGGCUUGCACUAGGGCAAGAAACAACAUAAGUGAAAGUAAACUAACUAGUCAUUGUAUCUUGCAACUUCAAACAAAAUACAAAGUUUAAUAUAUACAUUAAUUUCCAAAUUUACAUCACAUGUCCUUCAAGUACAUACAUCAUUGCCUUUACAUAGUCUAGUUCAUCAAGUACAAAAGAUGAAACCAAAAGGGUACACAGCUAUACUCAAAGGAGGCCCACUAUCCAGGGCGCGAUGCCCUUGCCACGAUUCUCGACCGCCCCGCUCGCGCUAGGAUUUGCAAGGUUGGUGGUGUGAGAACUAAUAAAAGUUUUCAGUGAGUUCGGAUGCCGACCUCGCUAACUUACCCACUAGGUCUACUUAAGCAUAUGUAGGAAAGGAAAUAGAUAGCAAACCAGACUAAUACUACUACAAUACUUGUACAAAACUGAAUAGAGAUAAUAUACUCAUGAUGCAUGCAUGCUCUUUUACCUUUACCCAAUCCGCUUGGUUAACCAUUUGGUUAAACCUAACUCACCAAACCAAAUCUCUUUUGUUGGGGAGAAUACCACUACGACCGUCUGCUAGGGAGAAUUCCGCUACCACCCAGUUGAUGACACUCUGGAGCUCACCGCUUGAGGUGAAGCAACCACCCUCAAGCAUUCAAACUACCUAUGAGUAUAAUCCAAUCCUCACUUGGAGGAUACCAUGCCACAACCUUUACAAAGUUCUCUUUGUUUAGCAUUUCCAAUUCUAGAUGCUAACUAAUUCGUCUAGUUAUAAUGCCACCUUGUUUACUAUUGUCAUGGCCUAACACAAGUGCUAACCGAUCCAUCUAGUCACAAUGUCACUUUGUGUACUAUUGAUAUAGUCCAGUACUUUGUUCAUACAUUCAUAGGGUUUCUAUGUCAUGAUCCUUUUUCAUUCCAUAUGUUUUCUACAUUGGAAGUAUACAAGCUUACUCACAUUUUAGCCACAUGAUAGCAUUACCCCACAAUGCAUGAAUUCACUAUACAUAUACAUGUAUGCUCAAGAACGUGACAAAGACAUAAUAGGUCAUUCGAAGACUUUGGAUAGCACCACCCACCUUGUAGUGAUGCCGGAGAACGAGAAACCAAUUCCCGCGAUUUAUAGACGUCCGCCUUCUCUCGACCCACGACAAACGAAGCCAAAAUGAGAAUUUUCCUCAAUAGCUCGACGUAGGCUCGUUGGAACUUCGAUCCGAGCCUCCCAACGCGUCGGUUCACACUUCAAUUAUGACUACAAGAGAUCAAACCCAUGUUAGAUCUCUCAUUUCACAAAAUCCCAUUUCUAACUCUAGGGUUCAUACAUUAUCCCCCAAAACACAACCUUUCUAGGAUUUCAUAGCAUAUAACAAGCUCUAGAAAUUCAAGAAACUUGAAAACCAACAAAUUAUGGAAUUUAAACCAAACCCUAACCAAGAGAUAUAAGAAACCUACCUUAGGUUCUUGCUCCACAAAAUUCCCCUUGACCAAGAGCUUCUUCUCCACCAAAACCCCCCAAUUUCCAUCUUGAAAUUUCCUUCAAUCUUCACCUUGGAGGAAGGCUUCUAGAGAGAAAAGGAGAAGAAGGUGAGGAAGAGGAAGAACCGAAGCAUUCUCUGCAUGGGAAGUAUAGGUGUAGAGUUGGGGUAUUGAUAUAGGCCUCAACAAUUGUAAAUAAGCCCCCCUAAGAACUGACUCUCAACCUUCACAUUUUAGUCCCUCGCAGACUGGGUACCCGUACUAGGGUUGGAGUACCGGUACGCGAAGCUCCUAGUACCGGUACCAUACACACUGUACCGGUACCAGCCUUCCAAUCUGAAGGCUACGCAAUCUUUGUUCACAACACAGUACCAGUACACGAUUCCAGUACCGGUACACAGCCUCUCAUAGUCCGGAUCCCGAGAGCUGUGUCAACACACCGUAAUUGGGUACCGGUACUGUAUUGCUCUGGUACCGGUACUCAAUGCCACUUCUGCACUUUGACAGCAGCAGUGUUCCGGGGUCCAUUUUCGCGCUGGGUUUGCACCGAAAACACUUAAACAACCUCGAAACUCACUUCUAGCCAUCCCCACACCUCCAAAGCAACUCGGGGACGACCCAUAUCAAGCUCGUGCCUCACUUUGAUCAACUCGAUCAAAGUUAGCAUCGUAACUCGGAAAUUUGGUAUAUUACAAGGAGCCCGUGGGCACGGCAUAUAGCGUCCUCGACAACGACCUCGCCUACUACGUCCGCUCCAACCUCAAGCCCCACAGGCGCGCCGCCCUCGCCCUCACUGUCAACGUCGGGGGAGUCGAAUUCUAACCCUAGCCCCCAACCCUUCUCCCUCGAUCUCGACCACUUAAAUUUGUAAUGUAUAGUUAUGCAAAGGGUGUGUAUCCCUCUCCUCUAAUGGCUUCGGAGGAGGAGAAAUAUCGGCUAAGAUACGGACUUGCCGAAAAGGGGUUGAAGGCACUAUAGUACUUCACGAAAUUGUCGGUGUUAGUAGGGAAUUUCCUAAAUGAGGGUACAAAGGGGUCCAAUUUUUAUGUAACAAAUUUUUUUCUCCUAUAGUUUUUUUCAUUUUUCGUUGUUUUUCAUUGAAUUAUAAUUCUAUUCUAAAAAUUUUAAAGUAUUUUUUAUAUUAUUAAAUUUAAUCAAAUAUGAUUAUAUCCGAUGCAUCGCGCGGUUUUCUACACUAGUAUUACACUAUUUUUCCUCAAGAUACUGGAGUGCACAGAAAAAAAAAAGGUUUAAUUUAGAUAUUGUAUACAUACAUCGGGCAAAGAGGCGAUUUGUUGGAAUUUCUAAAACUGUGGACCAAAUUCUUCAGAAAGAUGGAUCAAGGGCUUUUUUGCAAAUGGCCUACUAGAAAAAUUUUAUUUUAAAAUUAGCCCCAACAAAUUUGUAAUUGCAAAUAUGGCCCUAUCCCUGCCACGCAGGCGACACGCAAGCGCCACUUGGGCGGGCUGGGAGCCUGCUUGGCAACAAGUUGAACACAGUGAAUGGUUCAUCGUGUUUGAACACGGUAACACGGUGAAUGGUUCACCGUGUUCAAACACGGUGAAUGGUUCACCGUGUUUCAUAUUUAUAUUCCUCUUCUUCUCCUUUUCAAAAAUCCGAACCCGAACUCGAAAAUCAAAUUAAAAUCCGAACCUGGAUCCAAACCCGAUGGGUUUUAAAAAUCCAUACCCAUAUCCAUACCCGAUCAAAAACCCGAAAUUCGAACUCGGACCCGAACUCGGCGGGUUUUAAAAAUCCAUACCGUUGGAUGAAGAUCUAAAGGAUUAAAAUUAUUAAGUAUUUUAUAUAUUGCAUAAAUAAAUAAAAAUAAAUUAUGUAUAUAAAUAAUUUAUUCAGGUUUGGCUUCGGAUAAUAUUUCGGGUAUCCAUACCCAUUGACAUCCCUAUGUUAGUUGUAUGCCCUAGAAGCCUAUCAGGCUGACGCAUUUUAUUUUUUAUGGGACAUAUUUUUGUAGUUAAUCUUUAUUAUUGGGCCUUUUAUUUCAUUCAUGUUAAAUGUGUCCAUGAAUCGUCCUUUGAAUUAAUAAGAUGAUAAUAUGUAUUCUCAAGAGUUGAGAAUUUGAGAUACAUAUUAUUCGUGAUUAAUUCAUAAAUGCUCUCAAUCGGAGGAUCAUCAUGGGAACGAUGAUUGAUCCGGUAAUAUUGAUGUGUGUGCCGCUUCCCUUUUGGGAUAACGAAUCUCGAGUCAUCAGUGUGGGGACACUGGAGCGAACAUGCAGGUUGUUGUUGGAGAACAAGGGUACUGAGCGUGACCAACUACGAACAGUUACAUGGAUGUCUACUCAUUCGUCAGUAACUGGUUCGAUGUUGCAGUGGUACAACUGAUCCUUAGACCUACGACACUACGACCAUUCAAUGUGAGGCUACCGUAGUUUGACUAUGCAACAAACUUUGAUCCUAGCCAUGGGUCUUAGUAGUAUAUGUUGGCCGCAGUCAGUUCAUAUUAGGAAUGGGUGUGUGUUUAUAGGGGAUCUAUCGCUCUCGGUAGAGAGAUAAUUAGUUCUAUUCUAUUUGUAAGGCAAAGCUCAGAAAUUCUCGGCCGGGGUAAUAUGGUGUAUGGAAAGAGGUUUCCAAGAGUAACCAUAAGAGUUUCUGUCCUAUCAAAUUUGUCAUAUGAUGGGUGAUGGGGUUUGACGAAUAUUCCAUGACCUCUACUCAGUUGGAACUAUGUGAUAGAAGGAUUGUAUUGUACGGUAACUGCACCUAGAGGUUCAAUCCAAUAUUCACUUCUGACUGGAUUGCCACUACAUGCUGCUAGGCGUCACUUGUGGAUUGUGGGAACCAAUAGAAAUAAUUAUUAAUAAUAAAUUAUUCUAUUAGGGUAGAAUCAAAAGAGUUUGAGCCAUUGAAAGGAGUUUCGAUGAUGAUGUAGAUGGAGAUCGCAUCAUAUCUCACUACCAGACAGAAUUGCAUCUAUUAGGUCACACAUAUAAGAAAUCGCGCAUGAUUGAUAUUUAGGAGACGAUAAAAGAAGUUUAUAUUGGUUGGAUUAAUUGCAAUUAUAAUAUAGUUAAAUACUAAAGUUUACUAAUUUAUUAGCAAAAGGACUAAUUCGCAAUUAUUGUAAAUUAGAGGUAUUUAUGUGUAAAGGUUGCAUGGUGUAUUUACUAAUCGUCAGUAAAUAAUAUAAGGACUUAUGUGUAAAUGUUACACACAAAUCGAAUUAGAAUUAGGAUUAGGAUUCGGAUUCUGUUAAUAUCAUAACCAACUUGUUGGUUAAUGGAUAAUCCAAUCGGAAUAAGAUUUCGGUUAGAAUUAAGAUUAGGCUUAGGGUUUUCUCAUUAUAAAUAUAUGUCAUAUGACAUAUUAAAAUGAAUGGAAAAUUAAUGCAAGAGAAAUACAAAACUCUAGCCGUCAAUCCUCUUUCUUCCUUAAGUCCUCCAAAAUUAAUCCAUCGGUUUCGAUCUUCAAAAGGUUGCUAGCACAUCAAGAAGAUUGAAUCAUCAUCCUCAAGUCGAUGCAAGAAUUAAUUCGUGAUCAGAUCACGGAUCGAAGUGGUCGUCUAAUUCGAUCAAGGGCAUGAUUUCGUGUGGACGCGAGUAGAGGCCGGGCGUGUGCGUGGCUAAUCGAGGAUGAACAAAUUUUAACAACGAUUGUCGACUUCGCGGUGAUCUCGACCCGCGCGAGGUAAAAUAAAAUAAAAUAGAUCCUAUUUGAUUAGAUCAAUUAGAUAUAUUAUUAAUGAUCUAAAACGAAACACGAGAUGUUCUUUGGUUUUCAAGAAAAUUUUUAAUUGUGUUAUUUUCUUCCGCUGCGUACACAUGAUUUUCUUACAGUGGUAUCAGAAACACCCUCGUCGUUUGUUUUAGAUCUAGUCUCUUUUUCGAUGUUAAUUGGGUUUUUCGAAACGAUCAAAAUCAAGAUAAUGAGGAUUAUUUUUGAACAAUUUUGAUUGUUUCGGAACGUUAAUUAAAACCGACGCACGAUGCGCUAUUCACGCGGCCAUGGCACUCGGCAUGCGGCCGAGAUGGAUGCAACGUGCAAGAAGCGCUUGCAUGAAUUCGUCAUGUUGAUGACAUACAUGCACACAUUAAACUUUAAUGCCUUACAUGUGGUCUCUUUAAUUAGGAUGGCCAUGAAAUAUGUGCAUAGUAGCACUAAUUAAUUAGAUCAUGGCAUGGGCUUUUGAUUGCAUGUGGUACGCCGCAAUGUGCAUGGACAAUAUGCACAUGGUGCUAUGUCCGUGCGCGUGCCAUGCAGGCAAGCAGCUUGCGUGCAGUCUUUGUGUGCAACGCGUUGGACUAUAAGCGAAAGGCACACGACUCAACUUGGUCGGACAUGACCGGUGAGGGCAAAAUGAUCACCAAAACACUACGCAUUUAGCGAAGCGGGCUCACUUAAAUGCGAUUGCACACUGAAUCGCAAUUUAAAUUAGUUUUAAAUUUUAAAAUUUAAUAAAUGAGAUGUAUUAGAUCCUUUUUAAUAAUUUUACGAAAAUUGCGAUUCUUGAAACAAAUAAAGAUUUGUUUUUAAAUUAAUCUGAAACCCCAAUUAAUUAGAAUUCGAAUUAGAGAAUUUAAUAUUAUAUGCAUGUGAUGUAUAUGAGGUGAUGAUCAUGGAUAGCGACCUUGUGAUGUGCAUGUAUCAUGUGAUGGUGUGAAUUGUUGUAAUUUAAUAAGGACCCUGUAUUAGAUUUUUUUUUUGUGCAUGCGCGUGCAAAUUAAAUUAUGUAAUUUGGAUACCUGCGUGUCUCAUUACUUUUAUGGGUUAUAAAGUUAUUGUUGUAAAAUUAAUAAGGAAAAAGAGUAGUUUAGGCUCCAUGAGGAUUUGUUGCAUUCAAGAGUUGAUGCGAUGCGGAUCAAAUUUGGACCAGAUGCUGAUCAAGGGGGAAGACAAGGUUUUCUUGUGUGUAUCAACUCCAAUCCGAUAAAGACGCAGAAUAAGAAAAGGUUUUCUUGUGUGUAAUAUCCUUAAUUAUGACGCGAUUUCCGGCCUAGUGGCUCAGGCCCGAAUCAAGAUAAAAUCCAUGAUCAUCACCGGUAGUUAUUUUUAUAUAUGCGAUGUAUGUAUGCAUGUGAUGUGAUGGUUUGCAUGAGAUGUAAAUUAAUAAUAAAUUAAAACUGAUGAGACAACUAAUCUCCCUAAAUGAAAUAUUAGUUAAUAGUGUUAUGAACCCAUUAGUGGCUUUCCACCGUUGUAGGGUGUGGGCGUCUCUUUAGUGUUGAUUGAUGCACCCGAAUACGGGGGUCAGUUGCAUUAGGGAGCCGCAACCAUUCUAUUCGCAUGAGAUGCUGUGCGGUAAGAAAGGGGUUGGAUCCAAGAUCUGUCAGGAGGAGGAUUCAAUGACAUUCUUAUUUGCACAAUGAACAGUGGGUCAAACUUAACCACGAGAUAAGGCCAAGAAUCUGUCAGGAUGAGGCCUAUAUCUUAUGAAAGCAAAGAUUAGAUUGCAAUUUGCUUGAGAAGCAUUGAACAAGAGUUGUUCACUUAGUUGAUUGCUCAUUGCCAAGAAUCUGUUAGGACGAGGUAAUGUGUAAACAGAUGGGACCGCAAUACCUACUAGAAACUUUUAAAUAAAGUUUCCGUUUUCUCCGCUCGGGGAGUGUGGAGAUUUGUCAAAUUAGUGGGAAGCACCAUUUAGAUUUAAAGACCCUAGCUAAUCAAAUGGAUUAUGAUUAAGUACAUAACUAAUUAGAAUCUUAACCUUCUGCAGAAAAUGGCUGCAUCUAACCCACUUGCCAAAAUACUCGAUACUAAUCGCUUAACUGGACCGAAUUUUACCGAUUGGCUAAGAAAUUUGAGAAUUGUUCUCAAUUCUGAGAAACUAGCCUAUGUGUUGGACACAGAGACUCCAGCGGUGCCCAAAAAUUCGACGGCUCAACAAAGAGCUGCAAGAAAUAAAUGGACUGAUAACGAUAUGAAGGUAAAAUGUUACAUGCUUGCGUCUAUGAGCAAUGAGUUGCUAUGCAAGCAUGAGCACAUGGAGACUGCUGCUGAUAUUCUACUUCAAUAUUUAUAUUGCGAAAAAUACAUAUAUUUGUAUUUUCUCUAGACAUGAUAAACUAUUUACCGUGUUUGGACACGGUGAAUAGUUCACCGCGUUCAACUUAACAAUCUGGCUCAGCCCCGCGCGCGUGGCGCUGACGUGGCGUCUGCGUGGCAGGGUGAGAGCCAAAAGUGCAAAUAUAAAUUUGUUGGGACUAUUUUUAAAAUAAAUUUUUUCUAGGAGGCUAAAUGCAAAAAAAGCCCAUGGAUCAAACUUACAAUAUCAUAAAAUUAAUAGAUUUUUUUAUGUAAAAAAAGCCUACUUUUUAUUUUGAUAUGAAAAGUAAAAGGCUAAAGUACAAAUAACCUCUCUAUAAAUAUUCACUUCUGCAUUUUGCCCAUAUAUUUUUAAAAAUCUCUAUUUUAUUUUCUCAAAAUUUAAAAUUAUAGAACUUAAUCUCGCAUUGUUAAUUUUUCUUCAUUGUUCCAUACAUAUAUUAUAUGGUACAACUCAGUAACUAUCUAUAUACCAAAUUUAUUCUUAAAAAUGAUGAAAAAAGAAAAGCACUUCUGUAAAGUUUUAUUCUUAAAAAUGAUGAAAAAAGAAAAGCACUUUAUACAGUUAUUUAACGGAGGUAAAAUAAAAGAUUCUUAUAUAUUUCCACCAUUUUAAAAGAUAAAAUAAAUAUCUUGAUAAGUUAUCCGGUUGUAUCACACUUAUGUACGAAAUAGUGAAGGAAUAAUAUUGGCGUUAUAUUAAGUGCUACAAUUUAAAAAUUCAAGACUAUAAAAUAGAUAUUUUUUUAAAAAGAUAGGAGGAUAAAAUUUAGGAAAAACUUCAAAAACCCUCCCUGUGGUUUCGUAGUUUCUCACUUUGUCCCCCUGUGAUUUAAAAUGUAUCAAAUUGCCCCCCUGUGGUUUCGUUUUUAUUUUUUCGGUAGCUUUUCCGUUAAUAUUUCAUUAAAUUAUAUACAAAAAAACUUCAGAUACCCAUCUAGAUUUAUCAAAUAUUCACUUUAGUACCCUUUAAUUUUAACUUUAUUACUUAUUUAAGAAAAAAAAAUAAUGAAAUUGAUAAGAAAAAGAGAAAAAAGAAACCACAGGGAGGCAAAUUGAUACAUUUUAAACCACAGGGGGGCAAAGUGAGAAACUACGAAACCAUAGGGAUUUUUUUUGUAGUUUUCCCUAAAAUUUAAAACGGAUUUUUACAAAUUUUUUUUAUAUUUUAACUAAAAUAAAUACUACUAUUAAAAGUCCGUAAUUUGAAUCGUGGAAAUUUAAAAUUUAAGAAUCAUAAUAAAAUCGAACUCAGUCCUUAAGGAAAAAUUUUUUUUUUUACUUCAUUCAUUUUUUUUAAAAAAAACUUAACUGAAAGUAUAAAACAAUUUGUGACACCCCCAAUAAUCCCACAUCGGUUGGGAAUGGAAUUGUUAUUAGGUAUAUAAGAGAACUCCACCCUAAUGGUUUGGGUCCAACGAAUUAUUAUUGCUAGCGGAUCGGAUCAUAUUGAUAUCAAAACCGAUUCACCAGCCGGAAGUAUUAGAUGCGUUUUGGCUGAAUCAGGGUCAGAAUGACUGACUAAGUCAGGAUCGAUGAAUGACAAAAUUAGCGAUGUGUGUUUAGGUUCUGUGACACCCCGGCUAAUAAUAGCAUUUUAGGCCGGUGGGAGUUAUUAUUACUUGCAGGUUGAACCGCUAUCCAAUUAGAUUUUAAAUUUAAAAUUUUAAAUAUCAAGUAUAUUAAAUUUUUUAUUACUUGUGCCAGAAACAAGUUGCAGUUGUAUAAAGUUUUGAGGAAAAAUUGUUGAUGGACGCAUAGGAUCCGUUUAGGAACCGCCCGAAUCCGUUGCACCAGAAUGGGACGAAGACCUGACACAUAUCGCAUCUCUAGGGGUAAGGUAAAAACGCAGGUCUCCUUCUGUGAUCGCCGAUCCGUACGUACGUAGCCCUCCCCCUCCCCCUCCCCUCGUUUAACAUCCCUGCACGGUUUAAAGAACCCACCAAACCCACACCUCUCUCUCUCUCUCUCUCUCUCUCUCUCUCUCUCUCCAUCCCCCUUAUGCACACCCCACACGUACACCUCUCCAUGUGACGCUUGUUUGGACCUGAUCGUGGACUCGGAUCACGAAAUGUGUUAGAAAAAACUCUGACCAAAUAUGAUACCGAAUUUAAUGGGAUAUGAAUAUGGACAUUAAAAUUUAGUAUUUAAUAUAUAUUCGAAUUUAAAUUUAUAUUCGAAAAAAAAAAGGAUGUGAAUGUGACUCUUAAUAAAUUAAACCACCUUUAUCUCAUAAGAGAGAUGUUAAUAUAUAUGAGAUAAAAGAGAUGUUAAUAUAUAUUAGAGCCGGACUAAAAUGCCUUUAACAGCAAAAAAUAUUGGUGCCGGUAGGUUUUCGGUUUUUGGACGAACAUUCGUAACGUUAGAAUGAUAGUGAUCCCCUAAAAUUUAGUGAAUGGUUCAUGGAAUAUCAUGAUCUAAGAUGUAGAAUUAGUCAAAGGUAUAAAUUUAAUGGUGAAAAACUUGAUAGCACAAAGUACUUGCUGUUAUUAAAAGCAUUAUAAUUAAACUCUAUAUAUGUUAUAAGAGAAUAAAGUGAUUUUCUAUCAUGUACUUCAUUUGUUUUACUAUAAAUUUUAUAUUAAAAUUGUAUUUAUAUUUAGGCUAAAUUACAGAAAAUCUUUCUGUCAAUAUCUGUUUUUUCACUUUCUUUUGUAAACCUACACUUUGCCCCCUUAAAAAAUAAAAAAUAUUCACAGGGGGUAAGCUGUCAAAAUGACCAAAUUGCCCCUCAUUCUCUUCGUCUCCUCCUCAGCCGCAGCCUUUUCUUCUCUAUUCUUCGCGCCUCCCUCAAUCCCAACUCCGACUCUGUUUUCUCCAUCUGCUCUCCCGCUCCUCCAGCACCCUCGCCGCCCCUCCAUUUCGGUGAUUGUAGGGAGAAAGAUCGGAGUGGGCGUGGACGGAGAGGUGAACAAGGGCAAGGCGAUAGAGGAGGGCGAAGGCGUGUGUGUGGGCAUGGAUAGAGGGGUGGGCGAGGGCAAGGCGGCGGAGCGCGAGGGGAUGCGGCCGAGGACGUCGGUGAGGAAGUAUAAGGGUUUCAGGAGUAUUUUGGGUAUAAAAAAUAGAAUAUAAACAGAACCCUAACGGAACAGUGACGACGGGGGCCAAAGUAAACAUUUUUUAUUUUUUAAGAGGGUAAAGUGUAGAUUUUCAAAAGACGGGAGGGGGGCGGGAGGAGGGGGAAGUGAAAAUAUGGGUGUUGAUAGAGGGGUUUUCUAUAGUUUAGCCUUAUAUUUAUUACACUAUCAAAUUUUAUUGAAUAAAUAUAGGUACACAAAUUGUGAACACAAGUGUGAACCUUUAAUUGCAUUAUGCAUCUUAUUUGCGCUAAUUUAGUUUAUAUUUAUACAAAAAUAAAACUUGGUUGAAAGUUCAUGGACUAGCAGUGAAAUUUGUAUUGAUCGGCAUUCAAUAAUGGAAGAAUUGCCUAUAUAUCCCUAAAAAUUUCUGAAAUAUCUAAUAUACCUCUACCUUUUUGUUUCAAAUAUACCGCCUGUAUAUUUCUCCACUAUUCAAAAUACCCCCGUUGUUAUUCCAGUUAAAUUAUCUUGGGUUAAAUUUAGGGGUGGAAACGAGCCAAGCUCGAGCGAGCUAAUCUCAGCUUAAAUUCGGCUUGAAAUUAAUUUCAAGCCUAAAUUUAAGCUCGAGCUCAGUUUGAAAUUAAUUCGAGCCAAGCUCGAGCGAGCCUAAUUUCAAGUUGAGCGAGCUCGAGCCCUAAACGAGCCGCUUGAAAUUCUCAACAUCGAACGAUUAAUAGUUUAAUUUGUAUAGAAUAUUAUCUAUAAUUUGAUACAAAAAUAUGUAUAAUAAUUCAAAAUACAAAAUAAGUAUAUGAAAUACGGUAUUAUAAUAUAAAAAAAAUAACUUAUGAGUUGAAUAUCUAAUAUUUUCAGUCUCGCAUGUCUUUUCUUCCACUUUCAAUCUUCAUAUUAUUCCUUUUCAUCUAUGCGGUCAAAAAAUAAAUAAAUUAUGUAGAUAAAUAUUGGAUUAAACUAUCCAAUCAUAUAUAACUAAAAUCAAAUUUUUGUAUAAACAAUAUUUUUUUAACUUAAAAAUAUUCUGUAUAUUUUUUCAAGUACACAACUAAUGGUAAAGUAGGCAACAUCGAGCGCAUACUGUUACUUAGUUACUUGGGGGGCUUCAGACUUAGCCGCUUGGGGUGAGAGAUAGAGAAAAAGAGAUUAGGGAUUUAUAGCUCUGUGAAAGAAAGAGAGAGAGUGUAAAUUUAGUAAAAUUUUGCCCUUUUGUUGGCCUAUUAGAUUUGUUUUUAUGGGACAGCAACAUUAGUCCAAUUUUAACUAAACUCAGAUUACUCACUCAGCCUACAUAUAAUUAAAAUAUUAUAUAUAUAUACUUUUUAAUAUAAAAAUAAAUAAAUAUACAUAUGUAUUCUCUUAUGUAUAUAAAUAAAUAAAGAUAUAUAAAUAAAUCCCCCUAAUAGUUUUGCCUCUCUCUAGACAAAUUGUCCAUACUGGAAUUGUAACUAGUAGGAGGGUAGUUAUAUAUAUCUUUAUUUAUUUAUAUACAUAAGAGAACUUUUUAAUAUAAAAAUAAAUAAAUGUUUAAUAUAAAAAUAAAUAAAUGUACAUAUGUUUUCUCUUAUGUAUAUAAAUAAAUAAAGAUAUAUAUAACUACCCUCCUACUAGUUACAAUUCCAGUAUGGACAAUUUGUCUAAAGAGAGGCAAAACUAUUAGGGGGAUUUUUUUUGGACUGGGCUACUAUUAGUAGCAAAAUUCCAUUGUUGCUACCAGUUUUUUAGCCUUUGGAUCAACUCUUUUUAUUAUUUCUAACCAUUGGAUUAAAUACUAUAACCCAGUGGGGACCACUCAACUCUAACCGACUAAUAUCAUCCAGACCCUACAAUUUUUCAUCCAAGGGUUAAAAACUUAAUAGCAAAAAGAGCGUUUUACUAUUAAUAGUAUUCCAGCCUAAUUCUAUAUCUCUCUCUCUCUCUCUCUCUCUCUCUCUCUCUCUCUCUAUAUAUAUAUAUAUAUAUAUUCGAGCUUUUCGAGCCUAAUCCGAGCGAGUUGAGUAAUACUCAAGCUCGGCUUGAAAUGAAUUUCGAGCUUUUUCUUUUGUUCAAGUUCGGUUCAUUUAAUUUCGAGUCGAGCAUGAGCAAGCCAAAUAUCGAGCCGAACGCGAGUCGAACAUGAGCCGACUCGCCAUUUGCCAACCCUAGUUAAAUCCGAAUUAAAUUUCUACUAGAGUUAAAAAAAAAAAAAAGAAAAAAAUACCUCUCUUGCCUCUAACCUAAGAACAAAUAAGAAAAAUUAGUGAUGGUAGAAGGGUAUGAUAUAUUGAACCUUAGCAAAUUGGCAAGAUUACAAUAUAAAUUUAUACUUGAUUGAGUUGGAGACGUUUUGCACAAAAUAGGCCCAAAAACGGACUUUAAAACUCAAAAUUUAAUUUUUAGAGGACUAAAAUUGAAAUACUUAGUUUGGAGGAGCUUUUUGGCAUUUUUGCUAUAUUAGGCGGUGGAGUCCAUGUUGACAUCCCAUCCUUAUCUUCGUUUUUGUUGUUAAGUUUUACGGAGAUAGAGAGAGAAGGGUAGAGCACAAAAGGAAAAAAAAAAGGGGAGAGAGAGUUUGGUUUCGUUCUAGCGAGUGAGUGAGCAAGUUGAGCGCGCGCGGGUGUAUUUUUAGGGUUUCGACGUCGCGGUUAGUAUCACGACACUAUUAUCUCUCGUUUAGACUAUUUUGAUAAUUUUUUUGGUAGAAAUUGAGAUAUGUGUGUGUGUGUGUGUGUGUGUGUGUGUGUGUGUGUGUGUGUGUGUGUGUGAUAUUUUCUUAAAGAUCAAUAGACAGCUACAGAUAGUGUAGACUAUAACUGUAAUUUGGACACUAUGACAGUAUUAUCAUGAUCUGUUUGAUCAUCGCAUUUGACCACAGCCUGCAUACUAUGUUGAGUUUGACAGUAAUACUAUACUCGGUUGGGGUAGUGCCCCGCGAGUGCCACUCCGGAGGUUGGAUUAUGAGAUAUUAUUAUGAAAUAGGGCUGACAGUAGUUUGCGUGGUAGUGGACCAGUAUAGGUAGGUGUUGGACACAAGGCAGCGCAAACUAAAUCUGAUUGUUGAGUCAGUCACUAUGAUUGGGUAUUAUUGCAGUAUUUUGUUUAGUAUUUAAUUGAUACAUGCAAUACAUGAUUUACAAUUUUAGUUAUAUUGUAGAGGCAUGAUAGUAAUAGUUAUUUUCCGCAAUUAUUUAUACUAGUAUCUGUUCCUUUGUAUUGCUUAGUAUUUACUCUCUUUGCCUCUUCUGGGCCUAGUGGUGUAGACCGUCGGCGUUGUCGACCAUACCCACUGGAGACUAUAUUAUAGUUCUCAUACCCUCUUUAUUAAUAUUUUAGUUCAGAGCCUUCAGCACUAGCGACUGAUCGAGAUAAGGGGAUUGUAGAAAGUUAGCAUCUUCUACCUUUCUUAUGUGUGUAGUUGGACCACCUAUUAGUGAGCAGCCUGUAUAGUGUUUUGAGAUUUGGAGUGGUCAGAGAUAUUGUACCAUUAUGAGAACUGGUGUAGUGAUGAUUGUAUAUCAUUACAGUGUUGCUAUAGUAUAUAAUUUUUAUUCUUCUUUGAUAUCCACUGUUGUUAGAUUUUUUUUUUUGAGUAAAGUAAAAAAAUAAAAAAUAAAAAAAAAUCUAACAACAGUGGAUAUCUUAGUUAAUUUUGUUUGACAGGUUUUGCUGACGCUUCGUAUGUAUAAGGAGUGUCCUUGUGCAUGUAGCGGGUCUAUUGACGUAAUCCAGACUUUCGUUGUAUCCCAGAUGUCAGGCCCCGGAUUACCAUGUUUUUCCGGGCACGCGAACAGACCUGUCGUAUACAUAGGAAUUUUUCAUGUAUACGAAGCAAUAGUUGUACCUGUAAGCAAGUUAUAGCUACAACCAAGUGUAUAGAGCUACUAGAACUAAAAACAUAUAUAGAAUAUAAAGGGUUCACUGUACAUACAAAAGUCCACAAUAGCACCUCACUUUAGCGAGUACACAAAACAUAAAGUAUGUAUACAAAUACAACUCACUACCUCUGAUGGAUACUUCGCUAGCACGGCGACCAAGGCUGGUAGGGAUCUAGCUCGCGACUCCCUUACCACGGUCAGAAUCAGCAAAAGCAGCAGCCGUAGACGAAGACUCUGCAAAAAGGUGUCAACUACUCGGUGUGAGAAUUACUACAAAACAGAGUAGUCCUCAGUGGGUACCGUUACCGACCUCAACGGCCUACCCACUAAGUCUACAGUAAUGAUAUGCACAGGAUAGUAAGAAAAGUUGGAAAGAACUCUACAGCUACAUGCCUCUAUACUAUUGCUACCAAAACCAACUAUCUGAAGACAUAAACAUGCAUCACUAGCUACCACUGACCCAAUCUCACAUGGGCUGCCCAAACGGACCCACCUUGCCUGUAACCAAGCUACAUUGUACACCACCCAUGGGGGGGGGGGGUGGGUCCAUGUAAACUGUCCAAAUAGGACUGCUGUGACAUCAACGCAAGUCAAAGGCUUACUCCGGAGCGGCACUCGUGAGCGUGACCCAACCGAGUAUGUAAAGCGUGUCUCUAUCAAGCUCAAUCAGGCUCAUACAAGCUAUGGUCAACACAAAUGGGUCAACUGGUCUAACAACCAAAGCUCACGUACCCUUGGCAUAAUCUGAUGCAAGAUACAGAAAUCUAGGUCCACCGUCCAUUCCGACGACACUCGGCAGUCCAACACAGACUAACUCAACUAUAAAAACUCACUCGGCUCCUCAGCGCGAGCGUAAACUCAACCUACACUAUUCUGAGUAUCCACUACGCACUAAUAGUGAUGAUACAAAAGAGCAACAGCUCCUGAAGUUAAAUCUGGUAACUUUUCAGAAAAUGACAGUAUAGGUUUAACUAGUUUUCUCCUAAGUCAAUUCUAGGUUCAGCAUAAAAAUGUCUAAAUUACUAGAUCAUGCUCCAAAACUCAGAUUUCAUAAAACAUGCAUUUUCUGAAUUUGAGCUACUAACAUGAAAACCAAAACAAGAUCCACAUGCUGACAACUCUACAACUUAGGAGGAAAUCUGACGAUUUCGAUAAACAUCAACCCACCUCGAACGCUCAUCCAACAUCGGCUAGAAGUCGAAAGGAGAAACUCCGCACGCUCGCUCGACCUCCGAUGUAGUGUCCUUCGUGUUUGGUUGCCCGUGAGAUUUCAGCAUCUGAGGCUUGUCGACAUGUCGUGAGAGUGUCGGAACAAGUCGGAGUCGUUUUGACGCGAAAUGGACGCAAAACGGACUCAACGUGAUGCGAGAGUGGAAUUCUGACACUGAAAUCUGCAAACUGCAGGAUUUCAGUGUUAAGUAUCGGUACCUGAUAUGAGUAUCGGUACCCCAUUGGAUGGCAGAGAUAGAAGCUCUCGGGUUUGCACGUAUUUGAUGCUGAGUACCGAUACCUGGUUGUCGAGUACCAGUACUGAGCUCGAGUACUGGUACUUCAUCGGGCAAGUACCGAUACCGAGUGCGCGAGGCUGCGGGCUGAGGGCCGAGUAUCGAUAUUCAAAUGGAGUACCGGAACUCCAGCUGUAUUUCUGAGUAGGUAAGGGGUAUUUUGGUCCUUUGAAGAGGCGUUCAACCCAACCUUAUCCUCCACCUUUAUAUACGUGUAGAGAGCUCAGAGAGGGGUUUUUGCUUGUUGUUUCCUUUCUCUCUCUAGUUUUGGAUGUCGCUUGUGGUAGAGGUCGCAGCUCGAGCUCGGGUGGAUUUCAAUGUUGCUCUGGAGGGUCGUUCGAGCGUGUGGGCAUCGCGGUUGCGCCGUUGGAGGCUGGGCAAGCGCGUGGAUUCCCUCUUUUCGACUUUUCGCCGUGAUUGGACGAGCUUUUUGAGGUGGUUUAAUGUUUGCCGAAAUCGUUGGAUUUCCUUCUAAGUCCUAGCAUCGUCAAUAUGUUUCCUUGGUUUUGUUUCUUUUGCUAGUACUCGAAUUCAUGGAAUUUGUAUGUUAUAGCAUAAAAUCUGAAUUUUGAGUUAAGCUAGUAAUUGUAUACAUGUUGGACUUGGAAAUUGACUUAAGAGAAAACUAUUCAACCUUAUACUAUCUUCAGAAAAGUUACUAGAUUUAGCUUUAGGAGCUGUGGUUCUUUUGUAUCGCCGCUGUUAGUGUGCGGUGGAUAUGAGAUUAGUGUAGGUUGAGGUUACACUCGUGCUGGGAUGUCGAGGUCGUUUUACAGUAGUGUGUAGACUGUUUCGUACUGUCGGGUGCCAUCGCGGUUGACGGAGGACCCAGAUUUCUGUAUCUGCAUCAGAUUGUGCCAAGGGCACACGAGUUUUGGUUGUUAGACCAGUUAGACCCUUUUUGCAUUGACUACAGCCUGUGAGAGCCUGAUUGAGCUCGACAGAGACACGCUUGCAUACUCGGUUGGGUCGCGCCCACGAGUGCCGCUCCGGAGUCUGGCUACUUUGCUUUGCAUUGAUGUCGUAGUUGUCCUGUUUGGACUCUGCUCGCCACCGGCAACCCUCGGUGUGGUGUACGAUGUAGCUUCGACAGGCGGGACGGGUGUAUCACAGUCCCUGAUGAGAUUGGGUCAGAGAUUGUUAUUUUUAUAUCUACAGAUAGCUCGUAGUGAUUAGCGAUAGUAUAGUAGCAUGUAGCUGUAGAGUUCAUUCCAGCUUUUCUUACUAUCUCUUGUACACAUUUCUGUAGACUUAGUGGGUGAGCUGUUGAGGUCGGUGACGAUACCCACCGAGAACUACUUGUUUUAUAGUAGUUCUCACACCCAGUUGUUGACCCCUUUUUACAGAGCCUUCGUCUGUGGCUGCUAUUGCCGCUGAUUCAGACCGUGGGAAGGGAGUUGCGAGCUAGAUCCCUACCCAUCUCGUUGCCGUGCUAGAGGAGUACCUUCCAUAGGUAGUUUUGGGGUUUUUUGUACAUAUGGUUAUAUUGUCGGGGUACUCACUGGAGCGAGUUGUGUUGUAGACUUUUUGUAUGUACAGGAACCCCUUGAGGUUUUUAUAUAUAUAUAUGUUUAUUUUCAGUUUAGCAGCUCUAUACUACUGGUUGUAGUUAUGUUGUGAUUACAGGUACAGCUAUCGCUUUGUAUACACGAAAAUUUUCUCUGUAUACGGUGGGUCUAUUGGCGUGCCCGGGGAAAUGUGGUAAUCCAGGGCGUGACACUGACAGCCUCAAUCGGACUAAACCACGACGCGCGCGCAAUCCUCCAAGACGACGAGAGGGGAAAAAUUAGCUCGUUCCUCAAAUUCCAAAGAAAAGAGAAGAGAAGCUAGAGAAAGAGAGAGAGAGGAGAAGCUAACAGGGUUUCUCUAAGCUUCCAACACUUCUAUACGAGCUGAGGUCGGUUGGAAUGAACGACACACAAAAAUGACCAAAAGGCCCCUUACCAACUCAUUUCUGCCUCUGGGGUACCGGUACUCAACUUGGGUAUCGGUACUCGUCCCUCAAACUGCAAUCUCGCGCUGGGUACCGUUACCAGCCCGAUGCAGUACCGGUACUCAAGCUCGGUACCGGCCAGUACUCAACAACAGAUACCGGUACUCAACAUCAAACUGCGCAAACCCGAGAGCAUCCAGUUCAGAAAUUUCAUUGGGUACCGGUACUCCUCCCAGGUACCGGUACUCAACACUGAAAUCCUGCACUUUACAAAUUUUAGUGUCAGAACUGCACUCUCGCACAGCGCCGAGUCCGUUUUGCAUCUAAUUCGUGCCAAGACGUCUCCGACUUGUCCCGACACCCACCAGAUGUGUUGACAAGCCAUAGCUACUGAAGUCACACAUGCAGCCAAACACCAGGGACACUACACCAGAGCGUGACAAAGGAUAUAUUUAAAAAGGAAAAAGUCAAAAUACAUCUUUAUGUCCUAACUUAAGGAUAAAUAAAAAAAAGUUGGCAAUGGUAAAAAAAAAAUAUUUAAAUAAAUAUUCUCAAUAUUAGUUUUCUAAAAAUGAUAAAUAAAAAAAUCAAAAACCUUGUAGGUGUAUAUAGGCAAUUGCCACUUCAAUGACAUUGCACAAGAAAGGCACAUGGGUUUCUUGUGUGACGGCCAUUUAGGAUGUGUUUGGUUUAAAGUCAAAACUGGUAUCAGAAUCGAAAUAAGAAUAAGCUGGAAACAAAAUCGGAAUGAUUUAUUAUCUCAUUCUGUUUGGUUUGCCGCUUGAAUCGAAAUUGGAAUAAACAAUUCUCAUUGUCGGUGUUUGGUUUAAAUAAAUACCAGAAAGGUAAUCAAAUUGAUAUGCUAAAUUUAUCUUUAUAAUAUGUUAGUUUAAAUUCAGACUGAAAAUUAAAUAUUAAAAAUUUAUGUCAAAUGUCAAAAUUUUAAAUAUAUUCUUUUAAAAAAUUAAAAUGUGAAAUUGAAUGAAUAAUACAAAAUAUAAAACUAAAUUUGGUUUAUUCAAAUGCAAACUUAAAACUAUAAUUUAAACUUCAAUUUGAAUCCAUAAAUUUAAUUUAAAUUUUAAAUAAAAUUUGAAUAAAACUUUAGAUUUUAAAUUAAAUUUAAAUUUAAAUUCAAAUUUAUAAAUUAGAUUCGAAAUGUUUGAUUGAAUUUUAAUUUUUAAUUUAUAUUUAAAUUAAAAAUUAAAUUUAUAAAUAUAAAUUUAAUUUUCCAUGAAAAAUUAAAUUUAUAUUUAAUUUUUUCAUAAAAAAUUAAAUUUUUCAUGUCCAAUUUUUUUUUUCAGAAAAUUUUUUUUUCUAUAGUUUUACAAGAAACCAAACACACUUUUAACCAAACAAACCCUUUCCAAACAAACCCUUAUGUAGUACAAUCCAAGAACUGACGUGGUAGAGCUGGUCCUCCCAUAAUUUCUUUUCCUGUAUACGCAACUCCGAACCGAAUGUUCCACAACUUACCUUCGCUGCUGCUGUUGCUGCACUCGGUCACACACUUCCAUGAUGGCCACCCUAACUUCUCCUUACCUCUCCUCCCCCUUCUCUCCUCUCCUCCUCUCCCCCUCUUCCUCACCUCCACCACCACCCCACCACCACCAUCAUCAUCUCAUUCACAAACGCAACUACUUUCAGUACAAAGAAACGCCCAGGCAGGUCCCUCUCCCCUUUUACAUAACCGCCAGCCUCCUCAACGCUUCCUCUGCUGCCUGGCCGUCGAUCACGGCGGCGCUGAGGCGUCGUCCCCCCGCCGGCGGCACCGCCGCCCGCGGAGUCUCCGCGUGGCCUCGCCGCGCGGCCGGCGGCCACAUCUACCCGGCGAUCGCCAUCGCCGACGACCUCCGCUCCGCGCCGCCGCCGCCGACGCCGCCCCCAGAUUCUCUUCCUCGGCUCCGCCUCCGGCAUCGAGGCCUCCGCCGUCCCGCCGCCGGCUACGAGUUCGCCCCGUCCCCCCCUCCCGCCUCGCCCGCCCGCUCUCCUCCGCCCCUCAACUCCUCCUCCGCUCCGUCGCCGCCUGCCUCCGCGUCCUCCGCGACUUCCGCCCCGACGUCGUCGUCGGCACCGGCGGCUACGUCGCCUUCCCCGUCUGCCUCGCCGCCCUCAUCCUCAACAUCACCAUCGUGAUCCAGGAGCAGAACAGCUUCCCCGGCCUCACCAACCGCCUCCUCGCCCCCUUCGCCGCCAAGAUCUUCCUCGCUUUCAAUGCCUGCGUGAAGCACUUCCCCAAGAAAAAAUGCUUCGUGUACGGCAACCCGGUGCGCCUCGCCCUCCGGCGGUUCACGUCGAAGGUGGUGGCGCGGUCGCACUUCUUCCCCAAGGCCGGCGCCGACGGCAAGGCGGCUGAGGUCGUGCUCGUGCUUGGCGGCUCCAUCGGGUCCGCGGCUAUCAAUAUUGCGAUGCUUAACAUGUAUUAUGAGAUGCUGAUGGAGCAUAAGAACAGGUACAUCAUAUGGCAGACGGGGGCCGAGGGCUACUGCGAGAUGGAGAGCCUCGUGAAGAACAACCGCCGGUUGCUGCUCGCCCCGUGAGCUCUCUCAUUCUCUAUGCUUCUCUAAUUUUGUUUGCUGGUUAUUAUGAUCUUUGUUUAGUUGAUCAACUAACACCAUUCUCUGAGCAUCUGCUCAGUGCCAAGAUAUAAUGCAUGAAAGGGAUGGCAAGAGGGAAACUGCAAAUUGGGAAAAGUAAUGGCAUAGUGAUAAAAGUCCCGUUGCAGAUGAUUUCUUUACUUUGGAGUUGCUAGUUAAUUUUAGAAAUAUACGAAUAAACGAGUGUUCUCUCCGUCUUUAGAUUUUCAAACUUUGCGAGUCUUGUAUCUUGUGACAGUGAUGAACCCAAACCGUUAGAAAAUAUUUUAGGACACUGAUGCGUUGAUAGGAUGGCUUACUUAUGAACAUUGUUAGUGAAUUUGCUUCAUAUCUGUAUUCUAAUUGAAUUUAGCUUUUUCUUAGUCCAAUUAAGUAGUUUGUGCUUUGCUUACUUUGGCAAACUCUUGAUCGCUGUUAGAUCUAACGUAUAAACUCAUAAUAUUAGAUCAUACCAGUUCGAAGCGCGGAAUUAAUUGGCCCACAAUCUUCACCAUGCUAGAUUCACAGGUCCUUCAGUCUCUGCGUGUCGUAGAUCAUCAUACGGAGUCCUUCGGAUCUCCUUCGUGGUUGGGAAUCUACUUACAUGAAGUAGAUUUAGUAUUCCACGACACAAGAAACUAUUAAAACAGAAAAGGUGACUGUGGAAGGCUUUUAGAUGAAGGGGAAAAGUUUUUCCUGGUCCUCGCAAUCAACCCACGUUUUGCCCAAUAUAGCCUAUAUUGAUAGGUAUCUAGAUGGCACUCUUUGGAGUCAGAAUGAAGACAUCAACCCAUACAAAUAAUGGUGUAGUUUAUACCCCAGGGUCAUUCGGGCACAUCAGAUCAAGCAGCUUUUAAUCCCUCAAGGAAAAAGUGUGCUCAACCCCUUACAAACCUCGUAUGUAUUCACAAUCAUAUCCUAGCUUCCUCAAAGCGCCAUGAUUGGCCGACUAGUGAAUCCAAGUGAAUGAUGCGAUUCCAAAUUUGCCUUCCUAUCGCCCGAGUGCCAUUAGGAUCUGAACUAUUCGCUUUCCUAGUAAUGCUCCUUGAGGUCGAAGGUCGAAUUAAUCAUGACCAUAAACAAACGCUCUAAAGUAGCGGACAUUAGUUCUUCACUUCAUGACAUAGUCAAAAGUCACAAAGGGUACGCUAAUUGAGAUUAAACUCCAGCACUCACAUAGUGGGGAAGCAGGGAUCCAUUCAUUCACUUCUUGAUAGAUCGUUAAGCACAUGCAGCAUGAAAUGCAUGUUAUGGUGGAGCUACUCUUACCAAGGAGUGUAUGUCUUUCUCUAAACACCUUAUGAGUUGUAGUCUAGGCAUGCCACUUAAUUAACUCGAGUUCUUUAUUGACUCGCUUUCAAUAGCGCCAAAAGAAGUCUCGCACUUGGCUUCUCAUAUGCUACUUGGGUUGUAGGAGAACAUCCAUGUUGGUCUCCUACGUUCACUUAAGACCUUAUCCUGGUUUCAACUAGGGCGAUAUUUUAAUAAUUCAAACUAAGCUCACAUUCACAACGCCAAAGUUCAAACUUUUGUCUCAUCUCUGUUCGCUCAACUAGUGCCAGAGGCGAUUGCUUGCAUGAGCAAGCCAAUCUGAUCCAAUUGACAUACUUUACGAUUUGCGUUAGUUUUAACUCAUACAAAAAUUCACAAACGUAGAGGAAUGAAAGCAUUUAGAAGCAAAUCAAUGUCCAAAAGUUUUUAUUACAUGGUGGUCGAACCAAAAAACAAAAAACACAAAACAUAUUUGAUGCAAUUCUUGGGAUUUGACAUACCUCAUAAAUGAAUCCCUAGUAAUAGGCUUAGUAAACAGAUCAACAACCAUUUGAUUCUUGGUGAUAUGCUUCAAGACCACUUGCUUCUGCUUAGCAAUGUCUGUUAUGAAGUGGUACCUCACAUCUAUAUUCUUGGUUUUGCCAUGGUAUUUGGGGUCCUUUUCAAAUGCUAGUGCAACUAAACUAUCACAGUAAGUCGUUACUAGAUUGGUUGCGUGAACAACCAAGAUGCAGCAAAAACCUCCUUAACCAAAUGGUCUCUUGCACAGUGUUGCGUGCCGAAUUCCCUGACCCUUGAUCUAGUCAAAGAUCCUCCUUGGGGAGCAUGUCGGGAUGAAAAACGGUUGCCGAUAGUGACCCUCGAAGUUUGCGCCUUUCGGCUGGAUCAAGCGAUUCGGCUGAUGAGGGAUCGGAUCAGCCGAGUUCGAAAACUUUAUUAAAGAUUAGGUUCGGCUGGAAUGAGCCGAAUGUACGGACCAGCUACAAAUUUGACUCGAUAGAUGAGCCGAAUAGAAGAAACACGCACCAGUUGGUCGGCUUGAAGAUCCGAAAGCCUUGGAAAUUACGCUUGAGGAAAAGUACAAGGGUUGAGUGUGCCGGAUGGCAUACAGACUCGGUUGAUCUACUUAGGAACUACUUCUAGGGAAAAACAAUAAAUGCGGGAAAGUAAAAGUUACAAGUAGACUACUCCUAGAAAAUGCAGGAAAUUGCAAGGAAUAAGGGCGGUCUUUUGUUCACAGGGAAAAGACCCCUUUUUAGGGCGUUAUUGACCUAUUUAUAGAUCGCCCCUUGUGAUCAGUUAUUACCUAUACAUGAUCGGCCAUUAUUCCUGAUUUUUUGGACCACUUUCAGCCGAUCGGAACCACUUGCAACUGCUUGCGGUUACUGUAACCUCCCUUAAUUCGCGUAGCUGUUCGUUCCUUAAAAACCCUUCCGAUGCUCCCGGUGUACAGCAAGAUUGCCACCUUUAAAUGGAAUAUUGGCGUUCCACCUGUCCGCGCCUAAUUGGCUCAACACACAGCAACUGAUAAUACCACAUAUUUGGCCUCCAUGUCAGACAAUACAACAUCGGACUGCUUUUGCUACUGCAUGAUAUGGCGCCAUUGUUCGGCAAAAAAACAUAUCCUGUCAUCACAGUCACCUCCCCAGUCGGCAUCACAGUAGCCAAGUAGGUGCAAAUCUCCACCUUCGUAACGCUGCUUGCAGUCACACGUGUAGUUUUUGUGACCGACACACAUCGGUACGGCACUGCACACACCGUGCAGGCAAGUUUUCGUUACGACCUCGUGCCGGCAAGUUUUCGUCACGACCUCGUGCCAUGACGCUCAAAUCCUUGGUUUUGAUGACGUCGAUCUUUUGUAGAUAAUUCUUUUUUUUAGUAAUGAAGUGGACCAGCUCCUUUUGUAUAGACGGAAGGGAGGAGAAGAGGGGCGUGACUUACAUAUGAGGUUUCUGCCAUCUUGUGAGGAAGGGACCUAUGCGUGUGUUCUUCAUGGAUAAGUCAAUCUCAACGGUCUUCGUCCUCCAAUGAUUGAUGUAACAUCUACGAAUAAAAAAAAAAGAGAAAAAGAGAAGAUAGAAUAGGUAAUAGGAUUCCCCAUGGAAUUGCUCUGGUCAGAAUUUCUCUGUAUUUUGUCUCACACAGAGGAAAAGUUUGCGAGAAAAUUUGUCCAAACAAGAUUUUUCGUAAUUCUUGAAAACACAAAUUGCAAUGAAGCUGAUGGCUCAUAUUUACAAAUAUUCCUAGCCCUAUGUUUCUUAAAAGGAUAAGAAGAAAAGGAAACUAAAUCAAAUUGAAACUUCCCCAAUUUUGUAAAUCCUAAUCAAAUCUCAAGUCAAAUCUAACUAGAAUCAUAAUUUUAAUUGAAUUACAAAUAGAAUCCUAAUCAGAUAAAAUAAACAAAAUAUCCAAACAUAAAAACAAACUCCCAAUUACAUUCUAUAAUCUAUCAGGCUCCAAUUUGGGAGGAAAUUGUUAUAGUCAAAUAUGAUUCGACUCGGGCUCGAGCUCAAUGGCUGUUUCCUCAUCACUCCACCUAUAAAGACUUUGUACUCCAUAGAAUCUCUUCAAUACCUCAUUCAAGUUUUCUUAGAAUUAGUUCCUGUUGGCAUCGUACAGUAUCAUUUUUAUUACAAUGCAAUUAUUAUAUUGAUUGCCUUUUGCCUAUCGCUAAUUUUAUGCACAAAAUGCUAUCACUUCCUGUUCACUAUCAUAUUCUCUUCCUUUCCACUGUUAUAACUCAUAUCUAAUACUUGUAUCUGUUAUAAUUCCUACUCUAUUUUUGCUUUUAUUCCUCCCACCUUUCCACUAUUACAAUCUCAUCUCUAAUACUUUUGUCUACUAUAAUACCUACUCUAUUUCUACAUUUACUUCUCAUUUCACAUUUUCCACUAUGAUUGGGUUUUGGUGCAGCAUCUCACUUGUAAGGAAUUCUUCAACUUGAUAUGUAUGUUUCUCUUUCAUUUUCAUGCUAACUUAUUGAGUUAUACAAAGGCUGUUAACCUAUUGCAACCAUCCAGUCUCUAGUUUGGGACAUCUAUUGCUGGUUUUUUGAUUGGACAUUAUCCUCUAAACCAUUAAUUUUUAUUGUUUCACACUCUUCGUUUUAUUUCAUCAAAUCUUAGGGGGUGUUUGGCUUAGCUUUUAAAAAGUGCUUUUGGGUUGAAAAGUGAUUUUCGGCUCAAUAGAGCGUUUGGCAACCUCAUUUUUAAAAUCUGAUUUUAUUUUUCAGAAUCAGAAAAUUGAUUUUGAAGGCCUCAGAAUCAGAAGCAUAAAAAAGCUGCUUCUUAAAAUCUGAUUCUGAUUUUGGACACAAACUUCAAAUUUUUAUUUUAAUUUUAAAUCAAUGUUUAAAUUUAAAUUUAAUUUUAAAUUUUAAUUUUCAGAUUCAUUUUUGAAUUUUUAAAUUUUAACUUNNNNNNNNNNNNNNNNNNAUUUUUAAAUUUAGAUUUAUAUUUUUAAAUUUUAAAUUUUAUAUUUUAAAUUUCAUUUAAAUUUUAAAUUUAAAUUUUAAAUUUUAAAUUUUUUAAUUUUUUUAAUUAAAAUAUCAAAAUUUAAAUUUUGUAACAAUUUUUUAAUUUAAAAAUUUUAAUUUUAAUUUAUAUUUAAAUUUAGAUUUUAAAUUAUUUUAAAUUAAAAUUUAAUAAAAAUAUUAAUAUAUGCAAGCAUCAAAAAAAUUUGUCAAACACCUUUUCAAAAUCACUUCAGAAAAUUCGCUUUUAUCUAAACUCUGCCAAACGUUCUACAGCUUUGAACCAAAAUCACUUCUCUAGACCAAAAUCACUUUUUCAGAAAUCACUUUUUCAGAAGCUAGGCCAAACGGGCCCUUAUUCUUCCUUGGAAGGUUGUUCACGCUAAGUAUGUCUAUCUAGGGUUUUUAUCUAUGUGUAUAUGUGUUGGGGAGAGGCAUAGUGUUAGGAAUCCGCCGCUUACACUAAUACCAGAUUUUCUUUGAUACUAGUUUGUUAUGAUAAAAGUGGAAAAGAUUUAGUUCGUCGGGCGCGAAAAUGCCAAGAGAGAAUCGAGAAAGAGAGAAAAAAAAAUAAAGCACACAUAUAUAUCCGUGGUUCGGCCGCUGGCCUAUAUCCAUGGGCGAAGACACAUUGGAGAUCUUCAUUAUAUUAAAGUGGUGUACAAAAUAUGCCUCUCUCAUAAAACCAAGUCCCAAAAAUACAUCCAUACUCUCUCUCAUCUGCCGCACCAAAUCAAUGGAAUAAAAGGCAUAUUUAUAAUAGUGGCUAAAUCCUAAUACAAUUAGGAAUACAAAUCUACUAUGAUCAGGAAUAAUCUCAAUUAGAUUAGGCAUAAUCUAAACUUAACUUAAUGGGAUAACCAAAACAGAAUAGGUUUGGAAAACCUUGCGCUUCCAGAAUUCGAGUCAUCUAACAGGUGGCGUGUUUUAUUAUGAAGUGUGAGUACUACUUUGUUUAAGUGGCUGGUUUACCCUAUAUGCCAUUUUUUUUUCAACUCCAAUCUUGAUCUACUACUUUUUCUAGCAUUUGUUCCAUUACUUGUGUUUUACAGCUUAGAUCUGGUCUUAUUUGUGAAGGUUCUUGAAUGCAAUGGACAUGGCUUACGCUGCUGCUGAUGUUGUCGUUUCAAGAGCUGGUGCAAUGACUUGCACUGAGAUAUUGGCCACUGGGAAACCGUCAAUUCUGGUACUAAGAAAACUAUCCCAUUCUAUUGUUUAGACAUUGUAUUCGUAAUUCCCUAUCUAAUAAAAUUAAGCCAUAUUAUUGUUUAGACAUCAUAUUCUUAGCUCCUAUCUGUUCUUGUGUUAUUAAGGAAACAUAAUGCAUAACAGCACAAGCAUUUUAUACUUAUUCUCCACUUUAAGUUUGAAUUCCUGUUAUGGAAAGCAAUAGAACUAAAAUUUCUUUAUAAAAUAAGUGGAAUUUUCGAUAUUCUUGUAUGCAGAUACUAUUUAUAACCCUCCCCAUUGAUGGGAAAAAGAUAUAUAGGCCAUAAAUCAUGUAGUUAGGUUUGGAGAUGAAAAAUUUAGAGGUCCAUUUUUGGCUAGCACUGUGUAUAUUUCAGAAUUCUCUACUCAUUUAGAGUGUUGCUUUUAACUAGUCAGAAAAUGUUAAUAUACCAAGUCAUCUUUAUCAUGAUUUUUUUCUCUUCGAUUUCCUAGGCCUAAAUUUUAUGAAGUACCCUUUCUCUUCAAAGGGAAAAAAUCCAGUUUGUACAUUAUACAUUCUUAUGUGUUGAGCCUAGACGUGAGGGGGAGUGUUGAAUAUAAAUAUUAAAAACACUGUUCGUUGACAGCUAAAGCUUUUAGAGAAAAAUGGUUGUUUCACAUAAUUCAACAUUAUGUACUGCCAAUUAGAUAUUUUGUUGAAGCAUUUUUAAAUAUUAUUUUUGCAUACAUUGAGAAUUAUGCAAUAUUUCUAUUGUUAAGUCAUAGCUUCUUGAUCAUUUAACUAGAUCUUCAUUCUGAAGGAUGUUUUAACUGUGGGGAAAUUUAGGGAGUGGCAGUAGCCCAUAAUCACUGCAACAUCAACUAUGUUCGUCCUUAUGUUGAGUCCCUAUAACUCAGAUUAAAUGUGCAACCCAAUUGUGCAUACAUAUCACUGAACUUAUGUUUUAUUUAAAAUCACUCUCAUAAUAUAAGUAAAACAAAUAAAAGCAGCGCGUUGAAGGAAUAUUUAGCUAGUUGAUAUCUGUAUUUGAACAAAUUUUUCUAAAAACUAAUGUUGGACAUUUCACGAAGAACCCUUAAACUAAUUCUGCAAAGUUUGUAUCAAACAUUGCAUUACGAAGCCCUAGAUGCUUGCUGGGUCAGAUGACAGUACUCAAAUUCUAAUACUUGUCUGUGUCCAAAUCAUCAUUCCUAAGAUGUGCUUUUAGCAUUUGGAGCCUUCAUUCUCUCAUCUUGUAUGUUCAUAGAUAAUUUAAUACGCACAUUGUAUUUAGCAAACCUUUACAUCUGUAUUCUUACAUCUUCUCUUUUUAACUACUACUUGUCUUAUUAUAGAUUCCCUCGCCUACAGCUACGGAUGAUCAUCAAACAAAAAAUGCAUAUAUUAUGGCAGAAGUAGCUGGAUCAAAGGUCUUAACAGAAGAUGAGCUUGAUUCAAGUAGUCUUGCAACUGCAAUUGAUGAAAUUUUAGGUAAGUUAGAAGUCUUCUUUUUAUAUCUGUGUGCUUUUAGGCUAGCAAGCUACAAAACUACCAGUCUUCUUUCCAUAAGAAUAGAAGGAAUUAGUAGAUCAUGUUAUCAAACUAAAUAUUGGUAUAUCAAUCACAGACUUUGUACUUGGUGCCAAAAUUUAUUGGUUUCUUUUUUUAAAUUUACCAUCAGUACGCAUAUAUUUAGAUAUUCCUCUUUUAUCAAAUUAGAUGUUUGACUUGUUAUAUGCAACCGCGAUGAAUAACUAGUACAUUCAUUCAAAUUGCAAGCUUUUAAUGGAAUCUAUAACCUAUAUUAGCAGACUAAUUUUCCGUAGGUUCCCCCAAGCAAGGUUGAUGUCAUUGAGAAUUCAUGCAGAGCUUGAAUUAGGAGCUUUUUUUUUCCAGAUCUCCUAAAAUGGUUUGUAAAAUACCAGGGGCAUGUCAAAAGGUCCGAAAAGGAAGUCGAGAAUCUAGAGUUAUUACUUCUCUUUCUUUUCUUGAGAGGUUAGACUAUCUUAAACUUUACCUAGGUUACAUGGACAAAGACACAAGACACGACAUGACUCAAACUCAACGACUUGGCAACUCCAAAAGAAAUAGGACACGGACACGGACACGGAAAGGACACAGUUAAUAAUAAUAGUAUUUUAAUAUAAUAAUGCACAUUUAUCAUGUAUAAAACAUCAAAUUAGUGAAAAUAUUGCUACAUUUCUCAUACAAAUGAAGGAAUAUAUAUUUCUUAUUCAUAGUUCAUCUAUUUAGUGAAAGGAAAGAAGUUUUUCACUAUCCACAUUUAAUCUAUAUCCUCCAAAUGAAUUUGUGUAUGGUCCCCAAAAGGCCAAAAUGUUUACUACCUCCUAACUUAUAUGCCCAAAAAAGAGCAAAAUAAAAUGUGUAUUAUUAUCUAUUUUAGUGUGAUGAAGCUUCAACAUCUUCAUCAUCAUCACCAUUGACAUCAUCGGUAAGCGUAAACUUCUCCAACUCUGAACCAUUGAGUGAAAGAUUAGCCAACUCAAAAUACUGAUGUCAUCAAAAGAGUAGAAACUAUUAUUAGUGAUAUUUUACAUAUUAGUGUCUCCUUGAUGUUGUAACUUUCUUCCUGACAAAAGAUGCAAGUUGGUAUGAAGUAUGAACAAAUACUAGAUCUUCUGCAUGUUAUGGUGCUAAGUUUUCUUCUCAAAGGAAUAAAUUCUCCAAUUCCUCUCACAACAAAGAGGAGGAACUAGGGUGUCUGAAUAAUUUGAGAGCAAGAGUUUGUAUAGUAGGUGCAUGUACACUAUGAAUAAGCGAUCAUGACUUGGCAUCUAGUACUUCUUUAUCAUGGAGAGACUUAUCACACCUGGACCUAAUUUUUCAAAUCCGGAACCUGACAACUGGCCACAUACUUAGAAAAUAUUUUUCCCUAAGCAUGAAAGGCCAAAUACAAAGUUCCUUUUACAUAUACUUUCAUAAAACAAAAUAUAAAACUCUUCAAAGUAAAACUACCAUAUGCUUCAAAACAAAAUAAAAUAAAUCGUUCAAAUAAAAAUAUAUUCAAAGUCCUCUAUGUCCUUAAACUAAUGUCACAUCCUCUACCGUAACCAUUCUUCCUGACUUCCUACCUGAUACUGUCAAAAACCCUUUGUAAGUGAACAUUCUUCAAGAUUUAUGACCAUCAAACAGUAAUGAGAUAAACAAAAUAAUUAGCGGAAUAGUAUUAUGCGUCAUAUAAAUACAAGGAAUAGUAUUAUACUAUUAUGCACUUUGUCGUAUGCAUAAUUUAUUCUUAUAUUCACAAGUAACCAUAUAACAUCCACAAAUUGUCAUAUUCACAUUUUCAAUUAUUUUCUCAUUGUUUCUCAUUCCUGAGGCUCCUGUCCCAGAACGAAUUAGUUCCCAUUUCCCGAGGCUCGUCUCCCAAAGCAAUCUUCUUUUUUUUGAGUUAAUUCCCAAAGGCGCAUACACUCUCUAGAGAUCCCAACUCCCGAAGGAGAAAUAAUUUUCAUUGCCCAUAUCCUCUAUAGAGUUCCCAAGAUUCAUUUUUUUGAGUGUAGUAGUUCUCAUUCCUGAGCCUCUUUUUCCAGAGCAAACUCCUAUCCCGAAGCGAGAUUGAAUGACAACUCCUCAGUGUAGAUGCCACACUCCAGUACAGAAGCCCAACCAAGAGAGCGACAGAUCCAUUGCACGGACAAAGUCUUCUCCCAUACGUGCAAUGUGUCGGGUCAAAACAGCCUCUACAACAAUUUUAUAAUUUGCAUAAUACAAAGAAAAACUCUUCGAGUGAGUCACUUACGCUACUUACCUAUUUUAAACACAGUUGGAUACCAAAAUUUUAAUAAUUACAAAUUCUUCUACUUAUCAUAAACCUUUCUUAGCUUCUUUAAAAUCAUACUAAUCACAUAAAGUUUAAUUAAAUUAUAUAUUCCAAUAUUCAUUCCAAAACUAGCAUUUUUAAAGUUUUAAUACUUAAUUCUUUAACUUCUAAAAUACUACUAACAAAAUUCAGAGCUAUUUAGAUUCUAGCUAUUUUCUUGCUUUCUCACCAUCUGGUCCGCUACCACUAUCUAAAGCAUUACCUAUAUAAAAAGAAAUGGAAGAGGGGUGAAAACUUUAUAUAGUAGUUUUUAGUAGGUACAACUACAAAAAGAGCUGAUAUGUACUCACUAGGUCCAAUUACAGGUAUAAUAGAAACAAGCAAAAGUAACUGUAUAAGUGAUGACAAUAGAAAUUAGAUAAAUAGUGAAAUGGAUAGUAACUAUUCAAAGAAUACUAUGCCUCUACUACCAUUACAAGUUAUGUCACGCGCCGAGCUACAGGGGAAGCCUCCGGGUACACCAACAGUUUGUCGUAUGUAGUAGGACGCACCCUGCGUAUACGAAGCGUCUACAACUAACCUGUCCAAAAUAUGUAACAUAAGUGUAUAUAUAUAAAACAUGUAUCAGCGUCUAAGUACCACUAUACAAAUAUAGCUAUUACUGUACAUAGAUCAUCCAUACAACUCCAAAAUAAUAUACAACUCUGUCGGCCUCCUCUGGCUCAAUAUGUGCAGUCAGCUAUAUAGAUAUACAUCAGGUGGUCCUCCUCUAGCAUAUAUCUGGGUAGGAUAUGCUAUCUAGCUCGCGAUCUUUCUACCUCGAUCGGUUGCCGGCAUUGAGGGCUCUAAAAUAAAAACAAUAAGGGUGAAAACUGCUGAAAAAUCGUUUCUAGUGGGUACAGUCGACGAUAGCGACGACCUACACCACUAGGUAUAUCAGAGUUUCAAUAGUAAAAACUGAACUGAAUAAAUAAUGAUAUACUGAACUGGAAUAAACAAUUGCUAUUAUCAACUGCUAUUAUGCCUCUACAACUAAAUAUUGGAAAUUGUAAAUCAGGUAUCAUAUGCAUCAAACUGAAAUAAUUGAUAAUGAUAACCAAUGCCAUAUUACCCAUUCGCAUUGACCGACUUAACAAGUCCGGUCAAGCCUGUGCUGUCUCAUGUCCAGCCCCCACCUAUUGUGGUUCGCUACCAUGUAGCUCACUGUCACAAUUGUCUCACUAGGCUAACCUCCGAAAGGCCAUUGGCAGGGUAAGACCCCAACCGAGUAUUAAUAUUAAUAUCAUAUCACAUACGCUGUCAAGCUCAAUUUGACUUUGCAGACUAUAGUCAUAUUUGAUGAUCAACAAGUCAUAAUCAUACUAUGAUGAUCAACGAGUCAUAAUCAUACUAUCAUGUGCCCCCUUGGCUCUUUCAUAUCAUAUCUCACCGUCUUUUAUAGUUUAUUUGCCCUUUCGCAUUUUUUUUCAAUUUUCCACGUCCUGUGCUUCCUGGCACCUUUUUACAUUUUCUCACAUAUUGCAACACAUAAAUAUGAACGCAGAAAAAUUGGUCUCAAAAGAUAGAAUACAGCUCAAAUAUGUUGACAGUGUACUCAACGAAGUAAUGAAUUCAAUUCAACCAUGAUCUCUCUAUCACAGUCAAAGUAGAUGUUACAGUAUUGCUAUCAUGAUCAUAAUUAUACCAAUAAGAUCAUCUACAUUUCACAAGAAUAUGCGACAUGUAGACAGUGAUUAGUUCGCCGAUUUCGGUGUGACAAAAUACCCAUCUAGUAGACGCUGCAAAGAAGGCAAAGAGGGUACGCUUGACACCCCUCAACAGCACCACCAACACUAGCAACAAAAAUCCAACAUACUCAACUCUUGAUCAUACAACCAUGAUACUCAAUUACCAACUGUUAUACUACAAUUAAUUAUACUCUUGCUUUCAAUCUUUAAACACAUCUGUCACUUACCUCAAAUCCAAUAUACUCUCCUGCUCACUCGACAGUAACAAUCCGCAGCUGCGUAUGCUCCUUAGAUCACCAACAAGAACAGGGAUCAACUUCUGGGCCCUCCUAAUAAGAGCCCUAAACUUAGUUAGGAGGAGAAAGAUAGGAGAAAGUAAAGAAGAAAAGGCUGGUUAGUUGGUAGAUGAAGAAAGAGAUUUAUAGGUCUAUAACAAUGGCAAAAGAGCCCUCAAACAAUCCACAGAUGCCCCUCAGUCCAGAACAAGAUUCGGGCGCCCGGAACCAUAUUCAGGCGUCCGAUUCCUCAUAGUUCAAUGGUUUCAGGCGUCCCCUGUUGCAAUCGACCACCCAAAAAUUACGAAGCACUUCUAGCUCAGCCUUUCGGGCGUUUGAAAACUCACGUAGUGACUCACCAGCUCACUGCUUGCUGCCUUUCACAACCUUAUCCUCAAACUUUCUGGCAGCUACAGUGCCUCCGGGCGUUUGCAACCUCGUGUGAGCACUGAUUUCACCCUUUCGGACCAACUUGCAACACAUAUGGGUGUCUGAAACCUCCACUUGAAUAUUUCAGGUGUCCAGUCCACCAUCUAGAUCAUCCGAAUCCAUCUAUCUCCUCAACUGAAUUUUUGCGUGCCUACAAAGUCUUCCAGGCGUCCGGUAAUACUCUGAAACCCAACUUUCAGUGUAAUUCACUUCUAAGUUCCGUUUCCGCAUCAAUUUUGAUCCAAAGCGAAUUCAACGCAACCCAAAGAUCUCCAGAAGUGCUAAUCAGCAUCGCAUAUUGCGACCUUGCUAGUUUGCAAAGGUCUAGUAUAUUACAAGUUAUCUGUCUCAAGAGUAUGAAAAACUAAAGUUUAAGAUAUUUUGCAUCAAUUAUCCUGACAUCGACAAAUAUUAUGAUUAUUAAUCUAAUCUUAUUAGCCUACCAUUAGGACUCAGCCUUAGAGAUAUAAACCAUUCCACUAUGGAGGGAAGCACCGUAUUUAGGGUUGUAGUCUCUUUCUAAGAACAACAUAUAUCUUACUUAAGAUGGAAACUCACGGUUGCGAACCUUGCCUAAAAGUAACACCCCAGGGCUGAAGUACUCGGUGCUGCGAACCUUGUAUAGGAACAAUAGCUCUAUGCAUGUGUUCGAAGCUUCUAAACAACUUUUGUUUCCAGUGAUUUUCUAUAGUACAACACAUAUCUGAUGAGGAGCUAACAAUAUGAUGCGGUCAAUUUAGCAUUAGAGUUCAUGGAAAAGCAUGAUUCAACCAAGUUGAUUCGAAAAUCCCGUUGAGUUCGGCAAUUUUUACUAUCGGCACGGAAAAUCUAUAAACGGCCAUAACUUUUCGCUCUGGGGUUCAUUUUCAGCGUGCAACCCCAAUUUGGAGAACACUUUUUGAGAUCUACGUAUCGAAUGGCAAAGCCGUAUCGGUCGAGUUUGGGACUCAAAUUCAACUGUUUAGGCUUUCUUUUUUGUAUUUUUAAGUUAUUUUUGGAAAGUCUUGUAUUUUUUCUAUUUUGAGUCUGGUUAUUUGGUUAUUUCUAAUCAAUUUAGGUUUAGAGAUAUAUUAGAAUUUGAAGAUAUAUAUUAGAAUUUGUUAUCUUCAGUCAUAAUAGGAUUCGAAUAUCCGACCCUAUAUAUACGUGGCGUUCGGGUAAUAUAACUAGUUUUUAGAGUUGAUUAAUAAUUUUUUUCCUAUUUGUUGAAGAAUUGUGUUCUUCGUGUAUCUCUCUCUUUCCGUUCUUAUGCUUCUUCCCUCUCAAAGCUGCUUUGACUUGUGUCACUAUUUCUUUUAUAACGCAACGUUUCAUUGACACCAACUAGCAUGCUUACUUUAGAAAACAACAAAGAAAGAAAUAACACAUAAAGAGCAUAAACUAUCAAUAGAAUACAUGCUUUUCGGCAUAAUGAAUUGAGAAUAUAGAGCCAGAGUAAAAGAAUUAUAACAAAGAACUAAGAUAUGGAUUAUGCUGAAAAGAAAAUUAUUAGAUAUAUUGAGAGAUCAAAGCACCAUUAGGAUUAGCUUACCCAACCUCAAUUAGAGUAGUCCUCACUAGUUUGCGAUUUUGAGGUGUCUUGUUAGUUCUCCAAAACAUACAUAAUUCAGUGUCUUGUUACUUCUCCAAAACCUACAUAAUUCAUGUUCCUAGUUAAGUAUUCUAACUAGUUGUAUUGGAUUCAUUUUUCAUAUUAUUCUAGAUUGAACAACUACCUUAAAAGUUUUAAGUCCUUACUACUUGCUAAAAUGAGAAUUUUAUCAUUCAUUAAUUUUUCAUGAUUUGAGGUAUAUACAAACCCUUCAUGCAUAAUAAAUAGUCAUUUCCAUGAAUUUCAUACAAACACGCUUUAAAUCUAAAUUUUGAAGCUUAGAAUAUCAAUUCUAACAAAAUAAUAUUUGCAGGAAACAUCAAAUCCAAAAAUAACUAGAUAAUUACCACUAAUCUUAACCUUAAAAAUGAGGAAAGUUUUUCAUUGUAAUUACCUCCUUAAAUACCUGUUUCAAAUCACCUAACAUACGAAAACUCCAAAACUUGAAAAUUUACCCUCUUGGCUCAAUCAAAUUUUCAUAGAGUUUCAAGAUCAUCUGGCCUAUUAAAAUAAUUAUUCUUUCAUUUUUAUUUACUCUGAUUAACUGGUUAAGAGAUCCCAUCAUCAGGUUGUCACAGAAUAUUAGAGUCUUAGAAUCAUGACUAGCUCCUAUAAACAUUGUAGGAAUUUUCAGAGAUUGUUUCACCUAUAAGCUUCUCAUGCUAAAAUUCAAUUACUACCGAGUUUAUGCAACCCUGAUUGGUCAUAAAUAAAUAAUAAAGUCUAAAUUAGAACUGGAUACUGCAGUAGAACAUUCUAGCUAUCAAACUAUGUGAUUUGUUCGCGAGCUUGUAAACUGACUGCUUUUUCUAGUGGCGUGUUUGCGCUACCCUUUCUCUCAUUGCAAGGAAAACUCUCAAGUGGAAACUAAUCUUAGAAACUGUACAGGAGACAAGAAUCUAAUGGCAGAGAUGUCUGAGAAGGCACUAAGUGUGGCACGGCCGAAUGCAUCUGUUGAAAUUGCUCGAUGCAUUCUAUCCCUUGUCAACAAGCCCACUCCAAAGUGAUGAGCUGAAAAAUCUCUUGAAAAAGGGUUAAAUUUAUUCCAAUAGCUUCUUUGCUAUAGUUGCUCAUUUAAUUACAUUUGUUGUUGUUUUAUAUGAGGAAAUUUUCAUGUGGUUCUGGAGCACGGGAAGUAGGGUAGGAACUAGAAUAAUUUAUGUUAAGCUGUUAAAGCAUCUAGCUUUUGUGAUUUUGGUCUCUGUUAGAUGUGCUGGACAACUAUGCAUGUUGGGUAACACAUGUAAGAUGUAUCUACUGUUAGUGAGAAAAUGUCUUUUUGAGAAUCAGAUAUUUCAGUAAAUUCCAGAAUGUAGCAAUUCAUUGAAGUCCUAUUGCUGAAUGUUUACCAUUUGUGGAAACUGAUGCAAGUAGAAACAAGAGAAAGAAGUGAAAUCAGAAGCACCGUUAACACGGCUUGUUCUUUACUGUUAAGAAACGACAGUUAAGAGGUAAGAUUCUGCUGCAAUCUAUAAUUCAUUGUCUUUUGACUGUUGGGUUCUUCCUUAUUCGUCCGAACAACUAGUUAGGAUGAAUGUCUAUGAAUGUUAUUUGAAGUGCUUGUAAUUCCUUAUGCCAAAAAUGAUCUCCUCCAACACCACAAGCAAAUAUUACGACUAAGAGAAGGGAAAAGAACACAUGUUCCACCCUAUUAUUCGUAUACGAAACAUAUGUAUCUGCAUGUAUUUAAUUCAGUUCGUUAAUACAUGUUGAAUAUAUUUAAGAGGUGGACUUGUAUUGGUAAUUAGAGAAUAUGUUGCUUGCAUGUGAUAUUGUGAGACAAAGUGUUAGAUAAUUUGUUGUAGGUGUUUCUGAUGUUUUAGAUGAUACAACUAGGUAUAUGAAUCUCUCAGUGAUCAAGGUCAGAAUAAUUGACUCAUAAUAUGUUCCAGAUUAUGACAAUGAUUGGAAUGUAUUUUUAAUAAAUUUUUUUCUUUGUUCGAGUAUAUAAUAAUUUUUGGAUGAUAAAAAUCUGUUAAGAAACAACAGUUAUCGAAUAUAUAAUAAUUUUUGGAUGAUAAAAAUCUGUUAAGAAACAACAGUUAAGAGGUAAGAUUCUGCUGCAAUCUAUAAUUCAUUGUCUUUUGACUGUUGGGUUCUUCCUUAUUCGUCCGAACAACUAGUUAGGAUGAAUAUGUCUAUGAAUGUUAUUUGAAGUGCUUAUAAUUCCUUAUGCCAAAAAUGAUCUCCUCCAACACCACAAGCAAAUAUUACGACUAAGAGAAGGGAAAAGAACACAUGUUCCACCCUAUUAUUCGUAUACGAAACAUAUGUAUCUGCAUGUAUUUAAUUCAGUUCGUUAAUACAUGUUGAAUAUAUUUAAGAGGUGGACUUGUACUGGUAAUUGGAGAAUAUGUUGCUUGCAUGUGAUAUUGUGAGACAAAGUGUUAGAUAAUUUGUUGUAGGUGUUGCAGAUGUUUUAGAUGAUACAACUAGAUAUAUAAAUCUCUCAGUGAUCAAGGUCAGAAUAAUUGACUCAUAAUAUGUUCCAGAUAUGACAGUGAUUGGAAUGUAUGUUUAAUAAAUUUUUUUCUUUGUUUGAGUAUAUAAUAAUUUGUGGAUGAUAAAAAAUUUGUUAAGAAACAACAGUUAAGAGGUAAGAUUCUGCUGCAAUCUAUAAUUCAUUGUUUUUUGACUGUUGGGUUUUUCUUAUUCAUCCAAACAACUAGUUAGGAUGAAUGUCGAUGAAUGUUAUUUGAAGUGCUUGUAAUUCCUUAUGCCAAAAAUGAUCUCCUCCAACACCACAAGCAAAUAUUACGACUAAGAGAAGGGAAAAGAACACAUGUUCCACCCUAUUAUUCGUAUACGAAACAUAUGUAUCUGCAUGUAUUUAAUUCAGUUCGUUAAUACAUGUUGAAUAUAUUUAAGAGGUGGACUUGUACUGGUAAUUGGAGAAUAUGUUGCUUGCAUGUGAUAUUGUGAGACAAAGUGUUAGAUAAUUUGUUGUAGGUGUUGCAGAUGUUUUAGAUGAUACAACUAGAUAUAUAAAUCUCUCAGUGAUCAAGGUCAGAAUAAUUGACUCAUAAUAUGUUCCAGAUAUGACAGUGAUUGGAAUGUAUGUUUAAUAAAUUUUUUUCUUUGUUUGAGUAUAUAAUAAUUUGUGGAUGAUAAAAAAUUUGUUAAGAAACAACAGUUAAGAGGUAAGAUUCUGCUGCAAUCUAUAAUUCAUUGUUUUUUGACUGUUGGGUUUUUCUUAUUCAUCCAAACAACUAGUUAGGAUGAAUGUCGAUGAAUGUUAUUUGAAGUGCUUGUAAUUCCUUAUGCCAAAAGUGAUCUCCUCCAACACCACAAGCAAAUAUUUUUUUUUUUUUUUUUUUUUGAGAGAUAGGUAGCACGCUACCCGCUUCGUUUUAUUUCAUUUAGAAUAAACUUAGCUAGAAAUGUGAAUCAACUAGGAUUUGAACUUGGGACCUCGGGUACCAACCACCAAGCCCUUUGCCACUUGCUCUAGGGAUGGUUGGUCACCACAAGCAAAUAUUACGACAAAGAGAAGGGAAAAGAACACAUGUUUCACCCUAUUAGUCUUAUACGAAGCACAUGUAUUUGCAUGAAUUUAAUUCAGUUCAUUAGACCUCUGCAGUUUAAGCUUUAAUACAUGUUAAAUAUAUUUCAGAGGUGGAUUUGUAUUGGUAAUUAGAGAAAAUGCUGCUUGUAUGUGAUAUUCUGAGACAAAGUGUUAGACAAUUUGUUGCAGAUGUUGCAGGAGUUGCAGAAGUUUUAGAUGAUACAACUAUAUAUAUAAGUUAGGGCUUUAAAUGUCUCAGUGAUCAAAAUAAUGGACUCAUAAUAUGUUGCAGAUUAUGAGGGUGAUUGCAAUGUUUUUCAAUAAUUUGUAUUUUUCUUUAUUCGCUAGAAUAUAUAGUUAUUUUUGGAUGAUAAAAAAAUGUUGAUUUGGUGUUUGAUAAUCUUUGCAUUUUAACUAGUGCGGUCUAUGGUUAGCAUGGUGGACCUGGUUGAGUUCUUGCAUCCCUAACCAAAAUUACAGUGGCUACAAAAAAGCACCAAUACACUGGAAGUGCUUGUGUGUGUGAAAUGUGAAAUGUGUGUUUCUGUGUAAAAAAUGUGUGUUCUUAUCUCCACAUCAUUCUCUCUUCCUUCUCAGUUGCACCCCUGAGAAGUAACUGUGUGUUGCGUGUGCGCACGUGCGCAUGUGUGUGUUUAAUGAAGAUGCUUGUAGGACACAACUCUUAUCUGCAUGCAUUCAGAGAAGGCUUUUCGGCUGUUUCGACGUCAAAAUAGCUGCGAAAAUGCACUUGGGACCUAUUUGAAUGCUUUGUGUUCAGCACCUCUUGUUGGUUUACGGAGGAGGGUAUGUUGUACUUGUUUGAUUGGAAAGUAUGAAAAGAUCAUGUCUACAACUGCAUUGUAUAUGCAAUACAUAAACCCUUGUUCUUCAAAUGUGACUAAUCUCCUUGUGGGUGAAACAUACUUCAAGCUCCUUGAACACACUGUUAUUAUUUAGGAUUCAUCUUUUACUCCUUAAAGGAAAUUUAGUAUGUCUGGAGAAAUCGGUUAAACUUGGUUACUAUUCAAUGAUUGGAUUUGAUUAAAUUCAACAAUUCCGGUAUCUUGGAGAUUCUCUGAAUUUUGAAGGAAUGGCCUAUUUGUUUUUUGGGAUCUUAUAGAGAUUGAACUCGUGGCUUCGAGAAAGUCGUCAACAUCGGUGACAGCGUAGUCACGAGUUUAUCUGAACUUUCACUCACAACUGUACAGAGAUCGGCCUUUCGACUUUUGUUGGAUGUUGGGCGAAGUCGAGUUUACGAAACUCCCCGGUUUCUCACUUUCCGACUUACCGGCUUUCAAAUAGGGCCAAAUUGACCAAGGAAAAAUUCACUUCGAAACAAACAGUUUCCGAGAACAUGUGCUGGUCUCUUGAUAGGUAUGAUACCUGGAGCCCAACGUUGGAUUUGACCUGCGCAUCAAGGAAGAUCAUGCGACUGAAUAGUCAAAUUUAUCUUGAAAUAACUAAAUAGUCAGAUUUAAUUUUGUAAAUCAUAGAGUAGCAAAGUGAAAAUGCGCCCUACUAGAGGGGUGCGCAUUGAAGUUUAUCCUGAAACUUAUUAAUUAUUGGUAAGAAAAAUUUAAUUUUUUGUAAAAUUUGGAUAAUUUAAAAUCAUGUCAAAGUUUAGAUGGUUGGAAAGUUUGCUCAUCCCCGAGAAUAGGUGGGCCUAUUUUAGUUUAGCUAAUACACUGAACUGCUAGAGUGGAUACCUAUUAUUAAUUAUCAACAGUUUUUUCUUUUUUUUUUUAAGAGAAAGAUAGUAUAUUGCUCGUUUCGGUUUUUUUUUUAUUUUUUAUUUUUUUAUUUUUUUUAUUAAGACACGAACUUAAUUGAAAAUGUAAAGUAAUUAGGCUUUGAGGCUGGGUCUCGGGCUAUCAACCAUUGAGCCAUUUGUCACUUGCUAAGUUGUACUUUUCAUCCCCAAACUAUGAGCCACGUGAUACUUUGAUUCUCAAACUUUAUUUUAUUGUAAUUUCUAACUUGAACUUUUUAUACAUUUGUAAUUGAAUCUUAUCAUGAUAUUUGUUUGCUGAAUGCUGAUAUGCCGUUGAUGUGGCAAUAAUAUAGCAUUUUUAUUAUUCUUAUAUCUUUUUUUGAGAAAUAGAUAGCACGCUACUCGUUUCGUUUAUUUCAUUUAGAAAUAAACUUAGCUAGAAAUGUGAAUCAACUAGAAUUCGAACUUCGGUCUCGGGUACCAACCACCAAGCCCUUUGCCACUUGCUCUAGGGACGGUCGGUUAUAAUUCUUAUAUCAUCAACUAUAAUAAUAUUAUAUUAUUGUCAUAUUAGCGACACAUUAUAAUUUAGUCAAUUAAAUUAUAGUCUGAAACUUAAUUACAAUAAUUUAUAAAAUUUGAGAAAAAAAUUAUAGUGAGUCAUAGUUUGAGGACCAUCUAACCAAAAAUAUAUUUAUCAACAGUACCUUUGGCUCUGAACAAAAGGAAAAGGACAUCUGGGGAAAAGUGCUCAAAGGUGUCAGUGAGGUCCUGUGAAGUUGUGGAAAAGAAAAAGAAACAAGCAGCAGAAAAACCCAGUAACUCUACAGGUUACAUAGCACAGGUUUGUACCAGUAUACAGUGGAGGAUCUCUAGAUUUUAGUGCAUCUUUUCUGGGGUUUUUAUCAUGUGUGAAAUUAUUCCACUCAAGGAAAUUACUGCUUGGUUCCUCCUUUUUGAUUGGUGAAUUAGGACAAAAAUUUUAGGGAUAAUUAUCUGUAUACUCUUCAUACAUUUAAAAAUAUCCGAUUUAUUCUUUUUUUUUUCUAAAAUAUUUCUCAUAUGUUCCACCGUUAUUGUAAAAUACUCCAUACAGUUAUCUUCUAUUAAGUUAACUUGCAUUAAACGUGAGUUAAAUAUCUACCACAGUUAAAAAAAAUUAAAAUACCAAUUUUGCCCUUAAUUUAAGGGUAAAUAAGAAAUGUUGGUGACGGUAGACAGGUAUAUUUGAAAGACCAAAAGACAAAAUAUUUUUUGUGUCCUUGACUUUAAGGGGAAAUAAGAAAAGUAAGUGAUGGUGGAAGGGUAUAUUUGAAAGGGCAAAAUAGUAAUUUUAUAGAGAUAAUAGGGUUCAUUAACAGAUUUUAACUCUAAGGGUAUAUUAGAAAGAGGUUGGAACGUAAAAAAGAUAUUUUCAAUAUUAGCCUUCUAAGAGGGGUAAAUUAGAAAUUUUGACUGAAAGAUACUAAAGAAUAAUGAGAAGCUCCGAGGGAGGUGAUUCUAGUUAAAGAAAGAUCCAAAAGAAUUUGUAAAGCGCAAUCAAGAUACAUGUUCAAAUUUUGCUCGAACAUUUGCUCUCUCUACAUAUAUGUGUGUGUGUGUGAAUUGAGCUGAAAUACUAUUAAUAGUAUUUGAACUCUUUUGCUAUUCAGUUUUUAACCUUUGGAUAAAAAAUUGUAGCGUUAGGAUGAUAGUUGUCCCCUAGAGUUUAGUGGUGGUUCCUCUAGGUUGAGUGGGUGGUUGGUUGAACAGUAUAAUUUAAAGGGUGGAAUUGAUUAAAGUGUAGAUUACACGCCCAAAUAGUCUCAUAUCGGAUAGACGUCAAGGUCUAAAUAGGAGAGUUUGUAACACCCCAAUAAUUCCACAUCGGAUGGAAAAGAGGUUCUGAUUUGGUAUAUAAGAGAUCUCCAUGCUAGUAAUAAUAAUUGGACUUAAGCAUUUUGGGUUUGGUGGUUUGGGCUUAAUGAGUUAUUAUUACUAGUAGGUCAGGUCGUUACAAUUAGUAUCUGAGUCGAAAGUGUGAGAGCUAAGUGCUAUAUGGGGCAAAGGGUGCUACACUAACGGGUUUGGUGGGUCACAUUGCCUGGUAAUUCUAGUUUGCAUCUAUGAUCUGGUUUGGACCUUAAGAGGACGUUAGAGUCUAAACAUGGGGAGUUUGUAAUGUCCCAAUAGUUAUAGUCCCACAUUGGCUGGGAAUAUGAUUCUGAUUAGAAUAUAUGAGGCCUACAAGUUAAUAAUAACGACUGGACUUAAGUAUUUUGGGCUACUGGUUUGGACCCAACAAGUUAUUAUUGCUAGCAGAUCAAGUCGUUACAAUUGGUAUUAGAGCCGAAUAUUAGCCAGAAGUGUGAGAGCUAAGUGCUAUGCGGGACAAAGUGUUAUACCAACAGGUUUGGUGGGAGCCACCUCUUGAACCAGUAGGAGCCUCCCUCUUGAACCCGUAGGAGCCACCUUUAGAAUCUCACAUCGUCUGAUCUGUAUAUCUAAGUUUGGACCUGAUGAGGACGUCAAUGUCUAAAUAUGGAGAGUUUGUAAUGCACCAAUAGUCCCACAUUGAGGGUCUAAAUAGGAGGAGUUUGUAACGCUUCAGUAGUCUCACGUCGGAUGGGAAAGAGAUUCUAAUUUGGUAUAUAAGAGGCCUUCGCGCUAGUAAUAAUAACUAGGUUUAAACAUUUUGGACCAGGUGGUUUGGACCUAACGAAUUAUUAUUACUAGUGGGUCAGGUCAUUACAGUAGAUUUAAUGGCUAAAAAAUCGAUAAUAAAAAGUCCAAAUAUUAUUAAUAAUAUUUUAGCUCAACUCUCUCUCUCUCUCUCUAUAUAUAUAUAUAUAUAGAAUUUCCAUAAGAAGAUUGCAUUGGACACAUGCAUAUAUAGAAAUCAUGUAUAAAAAUGGUUGCAUGCUAUGGUACUAUUUGAUUUGAUUUUUGAAAUUAGUGCAUGAUAUAAUUUGAAAUGUUAUACUUAUACCAACUGGGAGGAUUUUAGGUUCAAGAGGAAUAAUAUGUUAGAAACUUUAUAAGAAACUAGAUCGUACCUUCUGCCAUGAUUUCGAUUUCUGUACCCGAUUUGUAAGCGGCAAUCCUUACUCGUGGUUCGUCCUCGUUCGUGAUCUGCAAGAAGACGGGACGUUUCGAGUCUAAUUCCCUUAUCCCCGGAGAUGGAGCCGUCACAGACAAUUGGAUUAGGGUUAGACCGGGACUCCCGUAUGUUACAUAUUUAUAUAUAACAUAAUGUAAGGAUGUUAAAUCACGUCCGUCCAUCAAGGACGUGUCCAGAUACAUCAUAACCGUAAGAUCUAAAAUAUCUUUAUAGAUCGACUUAAAUAAAUUGACCGUAUCUUUAUGGAUCGCCUUGAAUAUAUCACGUGGGCCACAUCCAACAUGAUAAUCUAUUUCUCAACUAAUUUUCGAACUUUGCACACUAUUGCAUUAUUGUUAUGCAAUUUGUGUAAUUGCUGUAAAUUUAUGUUGUGUUUUUUGAUAAUUUUCUGUGCGUUUUUUUUUUUAUUUUUAUGUUUGUUCAAUCAAGUAUGGUUUCAACUAAAGAAAAUAGGCCAAUUUGCAUAAAAAAUCUAUUAGUUUUGAGCUUUUGUAAAAGUAGGCCGCCUUUUUAGAUUUUGCAGAUUCGAGCCGAAUUUUCAAAAAAUUGAUCAAAAUACCCUUAUUCCUUUUUCUCUCUCCUCUUUUUUUUUUUCUUUUGGUCCGGAUUUUUAAAAAACUGAUCUUUAUAUUUUUUUUUUUUUUUUCUUUCUCUCCGAAGAGGGCGGCAGAGGUGGAGAUGGAGGCGGAGGCAGCCAGCCUCGUCUCUGUCUCGUGCGUCCUCGCCCUCGGCCUCGCUCGUACACCUUCCCUCCGCCUUUUUCGCCUUCAACCCUGCCGAGGCCGCCCCUCGAUCCUCCUUUUUUUUUUUUUCCUCCGACCCUCCUCCACCGCCUCCCCAGCUCUUUACAAUAGUAAAGAGGGCAGCGUCACGUCCUUUUCCUCUCCUUUUUUUUCUCUCGUUCUUUUUUUUAUCUUUGAUCCCCCUCUAUCGCCUUCGUGACCCUUCGCGACGGUAACGAGGAUAGCGCCAUAUCCUCUUCCUUCGCUUUCGCAGACGCAGGUACCGAUGCUGGUGUCGGAGAAGGAGACUCGAAACGAGUACGGGUGAGAGCGAUGCAAAGAAAAAAUAUAUAAAAAAUAAAAAAAUAAAAGAAUAAAGAAUAAAAUAUAAGAAAAAAUAGUUUUUUCUACAAGAAAAACAAAAUAUCAAAGAGAAAAGAAGAAGAAGAUGAAUUUGCACCAUUUCAGGAGAAUGUUACAGUAUUUUAGGAAAACGUUGUACUAUUUUUGAAAAAAUUUAUACUCUUUGAGAAAAAAACAUACUUUUUUUAAAUGAAAGUUGCUCUAUUUGAACGAAAGUUACACUUUUUGACUAAAAAUUAUACUAUUUGGUCAAGAAUUACACUAUUUCUCCUCCUCCUCUUUCUGGUCACCUAGUGUAAUUUUCGGCCAAAUAGUGCAAUUUUUGUUAAAAGAGUACAACUUUCGUUUAAAUAGUACAAUUUUCAUUUAAAAAAGUAUAUUUUUUCUCUCAAAAGGUAUAAAUUUUCUAAAAAAUAGUAUUUUCAUUUAAAAAAGUAUAUUUUUUCUCUCGAAAGGUAUAAAUUUUUUAAAAAAUAGUGUAACGUUUUAAUAAAAUAGUGCAACAUUCCCCUGAAAUAGUGUAAAUUCAUCAUCUUUUUCUUUUUUCUUUGAUUCUUCAUUUUUCUUGUAGAAAAACUAUUUUUUAUAUUUUAUUAUUUAUUCUUUUUAUUUUUUUUUACUUUCUUGUCACGCUAUCAAGUCCCUUUUGAAAGGCAAUUCGAAAUCAGGCUAUCUUUAUAAAUCCGAGUAAGCGAAAAGCUGUCUCUUUUUUUUUUGAAAUCUGGACCCCAAAGAAGCGCAACAAACCCGCCACAAAUAUAAGAAAUUUUCGAAAACAAACGGCCAGAGUCUUCCUUAUAUUUGCACGGCGUAGCACAUAAUACAAUUGAACAACCCGAUCUUCAUUCACGCACACAACAAAAAGAUGUAUAAGGAUCAACUCAUUUCAACACACAGCUAGAUGUCCUUAGUAACAUCCAUUCCACAUUCAUCCUAGUAGAGCAAGUGGCAAAGGGCUUGGUGGUUGGUACCCGAGGUCCUAAGUUCGAAUCCUACUUGAUUCACAUUUCUAACUAAGUUUAUAUCUAAUAAAAUAAACGAAGCGGAUAGCGUGCUACCUAUCUCUCAAAAGAAAAAAAUAAUGAAUAACAUCCACCGAUAAUCACCAAAGGAGCUAAUGGUAUGAAUAACUGCUACUGCAAGGGAAGAUAGAGAAAAGACCAUGCAUCAACUGCAAUUGAUAGCACAAGUAUACCAAAUUUAUACUGCCGUGUUAGUUUAGGGACCUCAGGCAAACCACAACCGUUCUGUCUGGCAUAUAACCUUAACAAAUGGCCACUGGGCUCAUGGGUUGGCAACCAACCACUUUUUCGAAAAAAAACACCCUCCUGCAGGGGAUCAGUCUGCUGGUGUUCGUGAAAUGCUGUCGAGCUGUGGCGAUCGAUGUGAAUAUGAUCAAUAGCCAAUCGUCAGUGAAUAGCCGACAAUCACUGCCCCUCGGGGUAUACCGACCAAUAGGUCAUCGAACUAUAAGGGAACAUGAGUACUGACCACGCAAGUCAACUAGGAUGGAACAACUCAACAUCUUCUCAAGUAUAUACAAGUACCGACUACUCAAGUCAACUAGGAUGGAACAACUCAAUAUCCUCUCAAGUAUGUAAGUACCGACCACUCAAGUCAACUAGAAAGUACGAGGUCAACAACGACAGGAGCAUAAAGGAAUCGACCACUCUGGUAAACUAGGGUGUAUCCACGAAAAUAGACCUCUCAGGUCAAAAACGACAAGAGUAUAGGGGAACCGACCACUCUGCUCAACUGAAAAGUGUGAGAUCAAUGGCACUAUAAGUAUAUAGGCACCGACUACUCAGGUCAAUAGGAAAAUAAAUGCAAGUGUCACUACCGCUCUAUUUCUAUGUCAUGAGAAAUGGGAGAGUAUACUGAGUAGAGUAAGGGUCGAAGUCAUGUGGUGAAGAGCUCAAAUAUUGAAUAUGUAUAAGUGUAAGCAGUAAAAAAUAGGGAUGACGGGAACAUCAGCGAGCGUACACUACUGAACUGACUUCGGAUCGAAGUACUCACCUGUGUAUGUUGUCGUGUCUAGCUCCUGCGAGGUGAGGGACGCCGACCGGACCACGACUGGUCCACCGAGUCAGGAUCAAAUCCACAUGAUUCAAAACAUAUCGCUUACAAACCCAAAACGGCCUGCGAAAUCGGUUUUCCAAAACUUAUCCCGGAACUCGCCGGGAGUCUCGAAAAUGCACCGGGAUGCCCCCUGGGCCCACGUAACAUCCCUAAAAGCACCAACUCACACCGGGAGUCACCCGCUGUCCAAAAACACACCUAUUUGGGUGUUCGGACAGCAAAUACAAGUUUCGAAGUCAACUUGGUCGUUGCCGAUUCAUCAGAUUUGAAUUGUUUUACACCGUUAAAUUCACAAACGCAUCACAUCGCUAUGUUGAGCUCUUUUGGGUUGAAAGUUUGGCCGACAGGUGCAACCUUGGCGGUCUAAGGCCUUAACUAUUUCUCCAUCCUGAGAAUGACUUGGAAAUCCUCUAAGGGUACCGACAUGAACUUGGCUUUCACCCCACCAUGAGUCGACACCAACAAGCACCUCCCUCGCAAGACUCAAUAAUCUGAGCCUCCGAGCUCCUCGCUGUUAUCUGACUCUCAUCCAUGCAUAGUGUAAGUUUGAACCACCCGGCUUCACCAGUCGCAAAGAAUUAGUAGCCAAAUAAUAUCGAAAAUUUAUGAAAUUUAGUUUCCAAAUACUUUUAAUAGUGUAGAUCAAAUCUAACGGAGUCAAUUGUCGAUUUGGAAGCCACAUCAUUGAAAACAAUUUGGUACCACGGAGACUUCCGUGCUACCGAUAAUAUAAUAGUCUAGCGCUCUCUCUGUCUAUUUCUAUAUAUAUAUAUAUAUAUAUAUAUAUAUAUAUAUAUAUAUAUAUCAACAAUAUCUCCAGCUCUAAACGAAAGGAAAAAGACAGCAAACACCUGGGAGAAAGUGCUCCUGGUCACAAGAUACAGGCGUCAGUGAGGCCCUGUAAAGUUGUGGAAAAGGAAAAAAAAUAAAAUAAAAUAAAACAAACAAACAACAACAGCAGCAGCAAAAACCUGACAAAACCAACAACUGCUGCACCAUAAAUUAGCACAACCAACUCUAUUGGUCACACAGAACUGGAAACAAUGCCACAGUUCAUAGGAGAGGACCUCUAUUACAUUUAUUAUUAUUAUUAUUAUUAUUAUUAUUAUUAUUUUCUGGGUGGGGUUUCACCAUGUGUGAACCUAUUCUACUCAAAGAAAUUACAGCUGAGGUCCCCCCACGUCAGAUGGGUAAAUUUUAGCAGGGCCAAGAGUGGAUCUGAUUCGGAUCCAGAUUUCAGAUAAUAUAUUGUGUUCGUAUACAGACCCGGUUUCUGAUAAGACAUCUGAAUUCGGACCCACCCGUUGGACCCGAUAUUUAGUUAGAUUUUAGAAAAAUUUAUAGAUAAGAAAUCAAAGUAUAAUAUAUGUGAAAAAACAAAUUCAGAAAUAUUUCAAGUUAUAGGGAGCAAUUGGAAAUAUUAGUCUUGUACAAGGACUAACCAUACAGUUACUCCCUUAGGAUCCAACGGCUGCAAUGGUGCCACGCAAGUGGAGCCCACAGCUAGUCUGAUGGUGGAGAGAAUUAUCAUGGGUGGCCCAGCAGGUUAGGCUGGAUUCAUCACUUUGUGAAUUGUCUCGUACAUGCAGAGAACUAGCGAUGCAAAUGGAUUUGAGUUGAUAGAGCUCCUAUAUAUCUUGAACAUGCUCCGAUCUGCAAAGAAAAUAGAGUGGGUGGUGGGAGGAUUUUUCUUCUUUUACUUCAUUCCGAUUCAUCAAAAAUCCAUUAAAAAUCUGCUUCCACUCCAAACUACACCGAUUAAUGGACGGGCAAAUAAGAGCAAAAAAAUAGAAUAAAAAUCAAUCGGUCCUAAAUCCGCCACGGCCGGCCAAAAAAAAAGACCCCCCCUCUCUCAGAUUCGCCUCGUUUGCAUCCCUACAUAGAAACUGUAGCACAAGUACUAUGCUUCAGUGUAGUUGCAGAAUAAGUGGAGUAUAAGUCUGUUGAACAAAGGUAGUUUUUAUGGGCUAAAUUAUAAAAAUUCCCAAUGCCUUGUAGCUUAUGUUCUCUGUUGAAUAUAAAAUAUAUAAACAUUAGUCUCUAAUAGCUUAAGUGCUUAAGUUUUUAUAGAAUAACGAUUAUUUUAUAUAAUUUAACAUAGUACCAAAAUAAUAUAUUUUGAAUUCGAGUUCCACUAGACUACUAGCGUUAUUGUAUUAGAAAUUAUGUCAAUUUACAUGCUACAUUUUGUCUCCAAUUCAAAUAAAUCUAAAUUUGAGAUAACUAUUGCAUUAGUCUGUAAAAUUUUGUAGAAACAAAUAUGCAGAUGGUAUUAGUUAACUCGUUUAAGUAAAAUUGGCCUUUGUUAAUUCAUUUUAGUAAAAUACCAAAAUUUGACAACUAAAUUUAGUAACUAUUCUAUAUCUUUUGGUCUAUUCAAGGAGAAAGUCUAUUAUGUAGCAACAUGACAUCAUCUAUAACUAGCGAAUCGCAUCUCUCUUUUAGAGAAAAAAGUAUAAUAAAAAUAUUUUUUUUAAAAAAAUCAAUGAUAAGAUAGAUGAACCCUAGGAAAGCAAUUAAAUUAGUUGGAGAACACCACAUCAGUAAUGAGACGGCUGUAUUCUAAACCUUUUUUGAUUCAACACAUUAGCAAAGUACAAGGCAAAAAUUAGCAUAAAUUUUAAUGUAGGGAGGUACUUAAGAUAUUGCCUAAAGUGCAUGAGAGAUUUUUAUAAUUUAGUCUAAUAAUAAAGGCUAAAAGGGUACACCCAAGAUAAAAUUGGUGCCAGAGCUGCCAACUACCAAAGCUAAACUAGAUUUCUAUGGCCUAUAAUUGAAUGGCUAACAAAAGAAGCCCUAGAAAGGCAAGACAAAUCAUACUUCAACAGCCUUUUGCUGCAUGAUGUAAUAAUCACCAUAAAGUUCUGUUCCCCACCAUCCAACUCAAAAGCACUACCAUGGUAUGCAAAUUCAAGAUGCUCACAUUAUGAGACAUGGCCUGUUCUCAGAUAAAAUGAAAAAAAAGUAAAUUAAAGGGCACAGAAAUUCUCCUGUUCAUACAUAAUGCAAUGUACCUUGUGGUUCUGUUCAUACAGAGCAAAAUUCAGCAGCAGUAGAUAAUUUUUCUGAAAAUGAAACAGGUUACAACCACAAUUAGCAAUAAUAUUCACUCAGAUGAAACAAAAAAGGAGGAAAAAAGGAAAGAGUUAUGGCCAUAUUUCAUAUGUUUCAACCAUACUAAGUAAUCCAACAUUAGUAGAUUAAAAUUUCACUGAAACUGAUUUUGUUUCAGAAUACAACACUGAACAGACCAAAACAUCAGUUACUAAAAUUUUCUAUGGCUCGGCUUCGAAGUGAUAACAUAGAACACGGAAGAGAACAAGACAUAAUAAGUUCAGCAGCAAAACCAUCAAUAUUUCACAUUUACCAUGUUCAAUUGAACAUACAAACAGUGAAAACAUUAGAUACAUUAUAUAUAAAGCAGCAUCCCAAACAAAUACAAAACUAACACUGUUAAUAUAAAACAUUAGAUCUUCCUCUAUUUAUUGAGCUAAGGAAGAAAAGGGCUCGAUAUUCUUUGAGCUCAUCAAGCUUCAUUACUGUUCUCCUCUUUUGGCUUGCUUACGUUCGAUGAUGAAUUUCUUUGGGUUGGAGAAUGUCCUUUUAUGGACAAUUUUCUUCGGCAUAUCGAUUAGAAAAUGAGGCAACUCCCGUACAACCAAGAACCACGAUCCUUUGUCCGCAAAGUACUUCUAGCGUGAAUUCAUUAGCCUGUCCAAUGUAUCGACAACAUGCCUCAUAGUCGGUCUUCUUUCUGGAUUAGCUUGAACACAAGCCAAAGCGAUUUUAAGCACCGCAAUCAUCUCGUCUUCUCUAUCGACUUCUCUACUAAGGGAUGGAUCUAAGACAUCAGCAAGUGGUUUCUUCUCCUCGAUACAAGAUUGUACCCAUCGAACUAAAUCUAUUUCUAGGGUUUCCAAUAGAACAACCGGUGACCUACCGGAGAUCAUCUCAAGUAAAAUCACCCCGUAGGAAUAUACAUCCCACUUUUGGGAAGGUUUUAACGUUUUCAAUGCUUCCGGCGCUUGAUAAAAUGAUCCUUUGCUCACAAGAGGACUAACUGAGAUAUCGGAUUGUUGGGUCGGAGUCUUUUCUGCAGCCAUUCUAUCUGAUUGCAAGAACGGCGAUCCUCCUGCUAUGUUGGCGAGACGGCCGAGGCCAAAAUCGGAAAUAUAUGGCUCCAUGUCCAUUCCGAGAAGUACAUUGUUGGGUCGGAGAUCACCGUGAACGUACUUCUUCGGGCUAAAUUCAUGCAGAAAUGCUAAGCCCCUGGCUAUUCCUUGCAUGAUUUUUAGUCGAACGUCCCACAAUAGCGGUGUAAAUGCAAUAACUCCGGCUUUCCCUGAAGAUAAGUACGUAAUCACAAACAAAUAAAAUGAUGUUAAGCUAACAUAAAUUGUUUAAGACAUCACAGUUUCCUCUACACACACACAUGCACAUUUCCAUGAUAAGAUAGAUAUCCACAAUUUUCUCUGAAAUAAACAAUUUUAUGCAUUUUUCUCAAAAUAACAUAAUUUUAUGAUGUAUUAUUACUCGAUCAAAUUACUCAAGAAAUUAGAUUGACCGCGACCUGAAUUUCGACAAGAGGUUGCUUGCUUCAGACAUGCACACAUUUUCCUCUAUAUUAUCUGAUUGAGCAUAACUGAUAUUACAAUAAAGCUUUUGUUUUUUGCAUUAUUUUCUCCCAGGAAACACAUUAUAGUAGCAGAAACUACGAUAAGACCGGUAACAUUUAAUCAUGUAAACAGAAUUGGCAGUUUAAGCACUUACCAUGAAUUGCAGCAGUGAGAUUUCCAUUAGGAAUGUAGUCAUAAAUUAGCAACUUCUCGUCGACCGACCAAUAAUAAGCUCUCAAAGUAACAAUAUUAGGAUGCCGCACUUUCCCAAUGGCUUCGACUUCCGUCUGAAACUCCUUGAACCUCUGUAACCCUCCUUCACCAAGCCUCCUCACUGCUAACGUCACACCGUCCUCCAUCACCACCUUGUACACGAUUCCUAUCCCGCUUUUCCCCAACACGAAAGCCGAAGCCUUCAAAAGCUCAUCUAAAUCGAAUCUCACGUGCCGAUCCAACGGCACUAAAUCGUAUUGCUCGAUGUCCUCCGACGGGGUCUCCGAUUCUUCCUUCCUGAAGCAAUUACAAUCCUUUCUACACUUUGUACCCUUAUCGGAGUUCCCACCCUCUUCGUUCUCUCUAGAAGAAAUCGCCCUCCAAUAACAAUAAAAGAAUAGCAACGCUAUAAGACCGAUUCCGAUCACAUCACUCACGACUAUCGCAACCACCGCAUUUCUACUCAACCCUUUCGUACGACCACUUCCGGUCAAAUUGGCACUGGCUUCGACCCCGGAAGGCGAGUAAUUGCUAGGUAGAAACGGAUUGGACGACGGGACAUCAGAAGAGCAAGGGUUCUUCAAUGGAGGGCCGCAAAGGCCCGGAUUCCCGAUAAAGGCGGUCGGACCUCUAUUCUCCAGAGCCCCAUUUUGCGGUAUCGGUCCGCUGAGAUUGUUAUAAGUAAGGUCUAUGUAGACCUUCUCUGGCAAAUUCCCGAGGCUUGGGGGGAUCGAACCGGAGAAGAGAUUAUGCGAAAGAUCGACCGUGCCCUGGAGGCUCGAGAGGUUACCGAUAUCGCUCGGGAUCGGGCCGGUGAACUGAUUGUAAGAAAGAUCAAGUUUCUCCAAUGCAAGCAAUGAGCUCCCGAAACCAUCGGGCAACGAGUUGGUGAAGUUGUUGUGGCUCAAAACUAGGGUUUUGAGCCUCUUGCAUUGGAUCAAUGAGUAGGGCAAAGAGCCAUCGAGGAGAUUAUGUGAAAGGUCGAGGAUUUGGAGGUAAGCGAGGUUGCCGAUCUCCGGCGGGAGGGGCCCAUAGAGGGAAUUGCCAUAAAGGACCAAGCUUUGGAGCCCCACGGCGGCGAACAAGCCGGAAGGAACGGGGCCGAAGAGCCGAUUGGUCCUUAGGUUGAGGUGCCUGAGUGAAGUGAGGGAGCCAAGAGAGGAGGGGAGGGAACCCACAAGCCUCUUCUUGGGCAAGCUCAGGGAGACAACUAGGGCACUGAUGCAGGUGACCCCAUUCCAUGAGCAUGGGUUUGGGUCAGAGGAGUUCCAGUUCAAGAGGGAGUUUCCUGGGUCCUCUCUAAUGGAGGUUUUGAAGGUGAGAAGAGCAAACCCUUCACCAUUCAGAGCAUGGGAAGGUGGAGCAAGAACAAGAACAGAUGGAAUCUUUCAGGAGGCUUACCUCUGCUGGAGAGAUUUGUGAGGAAAUGGGGGAGGGUUGGGUUUUGGAGGAGGAUGAGAGAAAUGUUUAGAGAGAGAGAGAGAGAGAGAGAGAGAGAGAGAGAGAGUNAACAACACUAGUAAGCUCCAAAAUGUAGCAGAAACAAAGAAAGAUGGAAUCUUUCAGGAGGCUUACCUCUGCUGGAGAGAUUUGUGAGGAAAUGGGGGAGGGUUGGGUUUUGGAGGAGGAUGAGAGAAAUGUUUAGAGAGAGAGAGAGAGAGAGAGAAUGGGGAAGAGGGAAAAAGGAACAGGGAAAAGUUGGAGAGAACUCCACUAAGGGGAUUAAAAAAAAAAAAAAAAAAAAACACACACACCAUAUGGAUAGAAGUGUCUGCACACAAAGCCCUAUUCUUAAUGUUGAGUUGUUCUCAAUCAGGUGAGUAUAAGGAUAGGGAUGGGUAGGGAUGCAAACGAAGCGGAUCUGAAAGGAAGGCGAGAGACUCCUGUUUCGCCUCAUGCUCAACAAAUUAUUAUAUGGGUAAACUUCAAAUAUCACCUAUGUGGUUUCGUAUUUUCUUACUUUAAUACCAUGUGGUUUAAAGUGUAUCAAGUUAGUAUUCUGUGGUUUCAUUUUUAUCUUUUUGUCGGCUUUUUCGUUAAUAUUUUGUUAAAUUAUAUACAAAAAAAUAUAAGAUACCCCAUCUAGAUUUAUCGAAUAUUCACUUUGGUACUCUUUAGUUUUAACUUUGUCACUGAUUUAACAAAAAAAAUUAAUGAAAUCGAUAAUAAAAAGAUAAAAAUAAAAUCACAAGGCACUAAAUUGAUACACUUUAAACCACAGGAUACUAAAACGAGAAAGUGUAAAACCACAGGGGUAGUAUUUGAAGUUUUUCCUUAUUAUAUUUGUCUCAUCUCUCACCCUGUUUGCCAUGUCUAAAAAAUCACCUUCAUAGGCUCAUCAAAUCUUUCUUGUUAAAUUUUUAAACUAUAGUUUUGUUAUUUAAACUAAAAUAAGAUUUUAAGAAAAUAAAACUAUCAUUGAAAGUAACUAUAUUUUAAUUUGCAUUUAUAUUAAGAACAAAUCAUAUAUAGAAUGCAACAAUAUUCUAAAAAAAGGAAAGUUAUUCUAUAAUUAAAAUAUAUAUUCAGAAUGGAUUAAGAGCUAGAUUUGGCAGGACGGAUUUGGGUCGAAUCAAAUUUAUCACCACUUCCAUCUUAAAUCUGUUUUGGAUUAUAAAAUCAUUCUGUUUAGUACCCUGAAUCCGUUCACACACACUCGUUUAUCGCCUCAUUAGGGGUGAAUCGGGAUGGGAGCUCCACUAGCAUUGAUCCAUUUGCAUCCCCAGGAUGGGACUAAGUUGUGUGUGCAUAAUUUUAUUUCUGAAUCAGUUGUAUGAAUUGGCCAGUUUAACUCAGUCUACAAUUUACAGAAAAAAAUUCAGCCAAUGAGAACCAGUUCAUAUCAAGAUAAGGACCUUGCUCAUUGGCCCUACUUCUGCUUUCUUCCUAAAAUAGUAGACUCUAGUAGAGCAAUUCGCCNAAAAAAAAAAAAAAAAAAAAAAAAAAAAGGGAAAGAUUCCGAGUAUCACAAGAACCAAUUAGAAAGUUAUAAACCAUGUUUAUUUAUUCAGAAAUCUUGUAUCAAAAUGAGCUUUUGAGACUUAAAAUCCCCAUUUGUACUGUUGGUCGCACGGAAAAGAGAAACACAAUUGGUUUGCGAAAAUCUAGUUUUUACUUAUUCAAUACAAUGAUGCUUCUGAAUCUGAACGAAAAGACAUUUACGAUAUACUUGGCUUUAAAAGUUGAGUCUGAAAUGAGAACCGAUACGGUUGACUCCUACUCCAAUCUUGUGCUCGGAAAGAAUCCUCUUUUGGAUUAAAGUCAAGCGAAAUCUCACUCCAAUGUCGAAUCAAAAUAAUCUAUUCCAAUUCCCAUUUUAGGGUGAGAACCAGACGCACCAUUUCCGUUGGUAAUUCUUAUUCUAAUUUUGUUUUAUGAUUCUAAUAUUGAUGGUAAACCAAACAAUAUACAACUAUAACAAAAUUUUAUCCAAAAAUCAUAAAAUUUUUUGAUAUUUUAAGCAGUAUAUACAAAAACUCUAGUUAGGCUAAAUAAACCGACAGUUUCAACUGUGACAUGUUUAGUUGGACUAGCAUUGGGCCAAACCAGGUGAGUAUAAACCGUUUCGAUUCGAUUUAAUUCGAUUCGAUUCGAUUCGGUUCGGUUUGAUUCGGUUUUAACUUUGGACCAGUUGUACGAGAACCGACCAAGUGGUGGACCAGCACAUUAAUUUAAACCUAGAAGCAUUGAACGAGGAAGUAGUAGCCGUUUAUCACAGUAAUAGUUAAGCCCCACCACAUCGCUCGUGCCUUAAUUAGUAAUUAGGUAAAAAUGUACGGAGACCCCUAAACUAUUGUCACGUUUGAAAAUCCACCACUUAUAUUUCUCAUUUUUUUUGGGGUAAAUUGUAUGGAGACCCCCUCAACUAUAGCCUAUUCGGAAAUAACCCCCUCAUCUAUCCUUUUUUUUGCGUUUGACACCUUCACAACCUCUAUUUCUUUUUUUAUGUCAGUUUUUAUACUAAAAUAAGUUAUAUAAGUUAUCAAAUUUAAUAACCCCAUUAGUCAUUAAUAAUUAAUUGAUCUAAUUUUGCAUGCUAAACAAUUGAUUAAAGAAAUCAAAUCUAGUAAAAUUACUGAUAAAUUUGAUAAAAUCUCCAAACUUUUUGACUAAAACUACUUUUUUCUUAAAAAAAAGCCUUUCUUCUUACAAUUAGCCCAUCCAAGGACUAGUCUUUCUUUCUUUGCCACAUUAAUUUUCUUUUCUUUUUUUUUUGAUAAUUCUCUAACUUUUUUUUCUUAAAAAAAAUUUGAAUGGUUUUAGUCGAAUAAAUAGGAAUUUAGCCAAAUUUCACAGUUUGAUUAUUUAACAAAUAAUAUUGAAACUCUUGAUGACUUGUGAUGCCCCAACUUCCCAGAGAGUCACCCAUCCUACGACUACUUCCGUUCUAACAUACUUAACUCUCUUAACCUCUUGGAUCUAUUCAUAAUCCAAAAUACUUAAGCCGGGUUAAGAAUUUAGUCCUAUUAUAUUUUAUAUAUAGGACUAUCUGGGGUCUCACACGACUAAUAUCUAAUAGUGCAAUUAAAUUCAAUAGAAUUUUUAACUUAAUUAACUAAAAUACGUUAAAUUAAAAAUUAAAAACUAAAAGUGAACCAAUAGUAUAAAAAAGUAGAACCAUACUAUUUUAUACACUCUGCAAGAUGAGAGAUGUUAGAUAUGCACUGAUGUAAAAGUAGAAUUUAUCAAAAAAAAAAGGAAAAUUAAGGGGCCCAAUUUGAAAUUUGCAAUAGUUGAGGGGGCCUUGAUACAUUUCAAAUUAGUAAUGAACUUACACAUCCAUUUUAAGAAGCCUCACCCCUCACCUGUCCUGUCAUUCACAACCUAUGGAGCAAAAGAAAGUGAUAAGGGGGGACCAGGUGUUUCUAAAUGAGGUGGGAGUAUGUUUAACAUCUAUUGCAUUUAUCUGUGAAAAAGGGUACAUAGGAUUCUAGUAGCCUCAUGCUAAACUCUAGGAUGCAUUUGUAACUUGAUUAAAGAGGUAAAAUAUUACUUCUAUAAAUUUUUAUCUCUAAUAACAUAUUUGGCAUGGAGAAAACUAUAUAUAUAUAUAUAUAUAUAUAUAUAUAGUUUUCUCCAUGCCAAAUAUGUUAUUAGAGAUAAAAAUUUAUAGAAGUAAUAUUUUACCUCUUUAAUCAAGUUACAAAUGCAUCCUAGAGUUUAGCAUGAGGCUACUAGAAUCCUAUGUACCNCUCUCUUCUUACUUUAUAUCGUUUUUAUUUUCUCGCUCCCGAUUUUGCUCUUUUUAUUUUCUCUUUUCACUUUCUUUCUCUUUAUUUUCUCUCUCAUCUCUUUUCUUACGUUUUCUCUUUACUUUCUUCAUCCGUAUCUUCGUUCAUCGGACGCUUUCUCUCUAGCCAUUCCUUUCUCUUGCUUUCUCUCAAUAUAUUUUGCUCUUUUCUUAUUUUUCUCUCUUCACUUUCUUUUUCUUCAUCCUUUUCUCUCUCCUCAUUCCUUCCUCUCUUUUUAUUUUCUCUUUCUUUAUUUUCUCUCUCGUUGACUCCCUCUCAUCCCUUUCUCCUUACUUUCUCUCCUUUCUUUUUCUCUCUCUUCAUGCAUUUCUCCUUCCUCAUUUUCUCCCCCCUCUCUCUUUUAAUACUCUUUCUCAUCCCUCUCUUCUUGUUUUAUUUUUCUCCACUGCCUCACUCCUUAUCUGUUUCUCUUUCUUUAUUUUUUCUCUCAUCCCUUUUUUUUUUUUCGCUUCACUUCUCUCGUUCCUUUCUCUCUCAUCGUUUUUUCUCCACUUAUUUUCUCUCUUAUCUAUCUAUACUUUUGUUCAAGAAAUAAUCAAACCUCUACACAAUUUUUUGUUUGGGAAAACUUCAAAUACCACCCCUGUGGUUUCAUACUUUCACUUUAGUACUCUGUGGUUUAAAGUGUAUCAAUUGAGUAUACUGUGAUUUUAUUUUUUUCUUUUUAUUAUCAAUUCCACUAAUUUUUUUAUUAAAUCAGUGACAAAGUUAAAAUUAAAGAAUACUAAAGUGGAUAUUCAAUAAACUUAGGUGGGGUAUCUGAAGUUUUUUAUAUAUAAUUUAACAAAAUAUUAAUGAAAAAUCUGACGAAAAGAUAAAAAUAAAACUACAGUACAGUAACUUUAUACACUUUAAACCAUAGGGCACUAAAGUAAGAAAAUGCGAAACCACAGGAGUGGUAUUUGAAGUUUACCCAUUUUUUUUCUUUUACUGCAGCAAUAUUUACUCCAUAAAAUGUUAUAAUGAAAAUAUUUGACCUUACAACAUUAGAUGCAUUCAUCAUUUUAGGGGUUUUAUGGUUCAUGCAAUUGUAACUGCACUACACUUAACUAUAUACAAAUUCAAGGUGUUUGGUUUUAUGCAUUUAAAUCUGAUUAAUGCAAAUAGAACUAUAUAGGAGGCUCAACUGCAAUGCUUAAAACUAUGCCUAAAUCAGCUGUAGUUUCAACUAUAUCAGCUGAAGAGAGUAAUUUUAAACAAAAGGGAAACUUGCCCCUUUAAUCACCUUUUAAAUAUAUAAAUAUAUAUAUUCCAUAUAAAAUGAUAAAAUUUUAUAGAUUUCUCAACUGCAUGCAUCUAAUAAAUUAUUAAUAAUUGUAUAAUUUUUUACUAUAUUCAACCAGACAAAAUGUUAGUGUGGUUUGUAAUAGUGGAUAUAAGAAAAUAACUUGAAGAAUUAAAAUUAAAAUUGAAUGAAUGAUUGUGUUUCCUUGGUGAAUUAGUUAUUUUUAUGAAAAAAUAUUUUUUUAUUUAAUACAAAGAGAUGUGUCUCUUUACGAAGAAAUAUGUUUCUUCACAAAAAGAUGAACCCUUUGUAAAAAAAAUGUCUUUUUAUUUGUAAAAAAAUAUGCCUUUUUACUAUUUAUGAAAGGAUAUAUUAUUUUUGAAAAGAUAUAACAUUGAAAAUUGUGACAUUUCAUCGUAACCUUUCAUAUCCUAUAAAUAUAAGAUGUUUGAAAGCUUCAAGAGCAAUGCAAUAAAUUCUUUCUCCUUUCUAAUUUUUAACACUAAUUCUUAAAAAAAUUCUUAAGAAAAAAUCUUCAAAAGUACUAUUUGUAGUCUUUCGGUGAUCUUGUUGUAUUCUAAAGGUGAUUUGCUGGUAAUCCGAUAGUAUACAUUUGAGUGGGGAUAAAUAUCACCUUGCACAAAGUGAACCUACACGCCUCAAGAGCAUAAUUGACUUGUUCUUCAUUUAUAUUCUCAAACACAAAAUGUAUAUAUUUAUAACUGCUAUAUUUUUAACUGUAUUAAAACUUUAUUAGAAAUUAAGAUCGUAUCAUCUGCCAUGAUUUCAAUUUCUAAACCUAAAUUGUAGAUGGCGAUUCUUGCCUGUUGUUCGUCUUCAUUCGCGAUCUGCAAGAGCUAGAGCGGAACGUUUCAAGUCUAAUUUCCUUAUCCCCAGAAAUGUAGCCGUCACAGAAAAUUAGGAUUAGUGUUAAACCGAGAUUCCUGUAUGUUACAUAUUUAUAUACAAGUUGAUAUAAGGAUGUUAAAUCAUAUUCAUCCAUCGAGAACGUGUCUAGAUACAUCAUAACCGUUAGAUCUACUGUAUCUUUAUAGAUCGACUUGAAUAGACCGAUCAUAUCUUUAUAGAUCGCCUUGAAUAUAUCACGUGGGCCACAUCUAACAUAUAUAUGUUCAACUAUAUUGUAUUUAUAUUUAUGUGCAACCAACUGACUUUUAAUGGAGAAGCAUUUAUCAAAAUAAUAACUAACCUCACCACAUCGCUCAUGCCUUAAUUAGUAACUAGUGUAGAGACCCGCGCGAUGCAGCGGGUAGAAAUUGUCAUAGUAAAAAUUUAUAAAUUACAUAAACAAACAAAAAUAGAAUUAUCAUAAUAAAAAUUUGCUACUAAAUAAACAAACAAAUAUGUAAAAAAGAAACCGUAGGAUAUAAUCACAUCUAAUUGGUUAAAAAUGUAAAACAAUACAUUAAAAUUUAUAUGUAAUAAUUCAUAUGCUAAUUUAGAGCUGAAUAGAUUUUUUUUUUUUUUAAAAAAACCUUUAGUAGGGUAGGAUUAAUAAUUUUUUUUUCGUCUUUGGCAGAGAUGGGAGUGGGGCGCGGGGUGUGAGAGGGAGAGGGAGUCAUUUCGUCCUUAUACUCCAAAUAAAAAAAUCUCCUAUAGUAUAUAAGAAUAAGUGUACAAUUUACCUAUUUUUACUGCUAAUGUGUUUAAGACAAUGAACAUGCCCAUUGACUAUAUGUCAAAUCCAUUUACCUACACAAAUUAAAAAAAGUAAGAUUAAUUACCUUGCUGAAUUUGUUUCCUUUUUAGGAUAGGAAGAUUUAUUCCCAAUUAGUCCAUUUACCUACACAAAUUAAAAGAAGUAAAAUUAAUUAUCAGACAUAUUGAAUUUAUUUUUUCUUAAGAAUAGAAAGAUUUAUUCUCAUAUAAAAUAUCAUAAUAUACUUUUGGAAAAUGUAUUUGCUCAUUUUAAAUAUAAAUAUGCAUAAGAAAAUCAAAAAUAUGCUUGGCCUCCGCCGUUGUGGUGAUCGCCUUCGCCGCUGCCGCCUAUGGCUCCGUCACCGUGCUCUUUGUCCUCUUCUACGAAAACUUAUAGGUAAACGAAGCCCACAUAUACCUCGAGGCUCGAGUUCGUCGACUUCUAUGAGAGUAAGUAUCGAUUUCUCCAGCGUAACAGCGUCGAAGAGGGAAUCAUAGGGGUCACGCUCCACAGCCGCCGGUGGCACUACAUAGGCGGGAGGAGGUGAGGGCGCGGAGGUGGAUGAGGUGAAGAGAAAGAGAGAGAAUGGGAAAGGAGAAGAAAGAGGGGUAAAAAAACGUUCUCAGAAGAUGGAGAGAUGUGGAAGAAGACUUAAUGAAGAGAUGGGAAGAUGGAAAGACACAAAACUAUUCAAUAAAGUAUUGGGGAUUAAUAUUUGUAACGUUAUGAGAAAAUGGAGGGAUGUGGAAGAAGGCUUAAGAGAGAGAUGGGAAGAUGGAGGGAUACAAAACGGUUCAAUAAAAAAUACAAAAAAAUUCAAGAAAAAAGAAGGUUGUGCCACCUCAGCAAAAAGUAUUGGGAAUUAAUAUAUGUUUAUAGAUUAAUAUUUGUAACGUUAUGAGAAGAUGGAGGGAUGUGGAAGAAGGCUUAAGAGAGAGAUGGGAAGAUGGAGGGAUACAAAACGGUUCAAUAAAAAAUACAAAAAAAUUCAAAAAAAUUCAAAAUAAGGAGGUUGUGCCACCUCAGCAAAAAGUAUUGGGAAUUAAUAUAUGUUUAUAGAUGAGCAAUAACAUUUUUAACAAAUUUUAUCACGUAGUACAGUAGGUGUACUUUUACCACUCAUUCCUAUUUUAAUAAUUUUUUAAUUUUAUAACUUUAUUUUGGGGCUUUUAUAAACUAGGAUGGCGAUUAGAUUACAGGUUACAAUGUAUAAACCCAAUAAUUAUUAGUUUGGAAUGGCACCUACUUUUUUUGGAGGGGAGGGGAAUGCUAAAUCUACCAUAGAAAAGGAUCGUAACUUCUUUUUUUUUUUUUUUUGAGAAAAAAGUAGCAAGCUACCUGCUUCAUUCAUUAAGUGAAAUGAACUAAGCGUACAGUGUGGAAGCAGCUAGGGCCUCAGAAGUAGCGACAAAAGAGUAAAAUAAAGCAGAAAGGAGAAAGGGAAUAAAGACAGAAGAGAAAAGAAAAAAGAUGGGGAAGGCUGGUGUCAUCGGCUGAGCUCGAUCCAGGAAUUCGUCAGUAGUUUGAUGCGUUCUAGAGUUUGGAUGACGUUUGGGGUCUUGGAAUAGAAAAUAAAGUUGUUUCUUUCCGUCCAAAUUACCCACCAAAUUGCCACCAGUGUGGUUAGAGCUUUUGAUCUAUUUGCAUUGUCAAUGAUAGCAGCUAUAUUGGUCCAAAGCUCCCGAACAUCCCACGAAUCCCUAGCAGGUACAGCUCCCCGGAGGAGAAAGAAGCGUGCGAGGACACAGUUGCUGAAAAGGUGGUCACAGCUCUCCAUUGAACAUACACAAAAAACACAGUGUUCAUCAAUCAACAUUCUGUGAGUGAGCAGUCUAUCAGUCAUGGGGAGUCUCUUGCGUAGUAGCACCCAGAUGAAGACUUUGAUUUUAACCGGAAUUUUUAUUCUCCAAAUUUGUUGGUUCAGCAGAACGUACUGUCCUGCGUUGUCAAUAAACCUAUAUAGGGAUUUAACCGUAAAUAGUUGGUUGGAGGUCCACCGCCAUCUGGGCAGGUCCGGGCCUGGGCUAGGGCAACAGUGGAGUAAUAGAUCCUUAAACUGGUUGAAUUGUCUUAGGUUAUCGGGGGAUUGAGACGCCACAAACCCUCUGCAGAUGAAGCGUCAUCUCCAACCAUUCGAGUUCCAGCAUGGUAACUUCUACAAACUCUCAUCCAAACGGUUUUCAGGUUUACCAAACCUUUUAAAAUUUUUAGUUAAAGAAAAAAAAAACAAAUAGAGAAAGGGAGCUUCUGGAUAAGAAAAGUUAUAGAAUUAUAACCCACUCUACAACAAAAAAGAAUUUUAAUCUAUAUAACUCAUUCAAGAGGUUGUAGAGUUUACCAAUCCCUUUUGUGUUUGUAGUUUUUAUUUUUGUUCAUUGAUAAGACAAUAGAAAAAAAAAGGGAGCUUUUUGAUCAGAAAAGUUAUUGGAUUAUAAUCCAAAGUGAGUUGUACACUUAGUACUCCUUUACUUUUUUUGUUAAAAAUAUGUGGAGACCCCUCAACUAUAGGCUAUUCUAAAAUAGCCUCUACUAUUUUCUGGUUUGAGACUUUCUCAAAUUCUAAUUUUCUUUUUCUUUUUGGCAUUUUAUACUUAACUAAUAAGUUUAAAAAAAAUUAUCAAAGUUAAUAACUCCAUUAGUCAUUAAUAAUUAAUUGAUCUAAAUUUAUGUGCUAAAAGUGAUUAAAGACACCAAAUUUAGUAAAUUAUCAAAAAAAAUGAUUAAAUCUCUAUUUUAUUUUUGACUAAAAUCACUUAAUUUUAAAUAGAAUCCCCAUCAAAUGAAAAAAAAUAAAAAAAUAGUUGACAGACCUAUUUCAAAACGCCCUAUAGUUGAGGGGGUCUCUAUACAUUUUUACCUUUCUUUUUUUUCUUUAUUGAUAAUUCUCUUAACUUCUUUUUAGAAAAAUUGAAUGAUUUUAACAAAAUAAAUUAGGAAUUUAGUCAAAUUUAAUAGUUUAGUUUUUUUUAACAAAAAAAUUGAAGCGCUUGACAAUUAAUAGUUGAGAACUAUGCUAAGUUAUACACACAAAAUGCGGCUGUAAAUCUUAGCCAAUAUUAAGUUCCUGUAUUGUUAUUUUUUUAAUACUAAAAUUUUUAAAAAUAAAGUCAUUCCACCUAAAAAUAAAGUCACCAAAAUGUUUAUUUAAAAAAAAUAAGAAGAAAAGAAAAAAAAAAGUGUAUAGAAAGGGCUUUAAUCAUAUGCUUUUGUGAUCAACAAUAAAAAAAAAAAACAGUUAGCACUCCUAAAGGAACAUAUAAAAGACAGUUAGCACUCCACAUAUAAAAGACAGUUAGCACUCCACAUAUUUUUGUGAUCAACAAUAAAAAAAAAAAACAGUUAGCACUCCUAAAGGAACAUAUAAAAGACAGUUAGCACUCUAGUGUAUAGAAAGGGCUGGAGAUGGCGUUUCAUCUGUACAGGAUUCUUAGCCUCAGCCUCCCCGGGAAAUAGAAGACAGUUAGCACUCCUAAAGGAACGCCUACUUCAGUUCUCCCUAAGCACAAGACCGGACUCACUUAUAUGGAGGUGGACCUCUCACGGCAAAUUCACUGUUAACUCAUUGUACAAAUUUAUCACCUUCGCCGGACAAAGUGAGCCGAUCUAUCAACACCUGUGGAAACUUAAAAUCCCGGUUAAAAUCAAAACCUUCGUCUGGUUGCUCCUGCGCAAGAGGCUGCUCACGGCUGACAGAUUGAUUAGGCGAGGGGCACAAUUGGACCCUUCCUGCGUCCUUUGUGCUGCCUCCCUGGAAUGUGCCGACCACCUUUUCUGCAACUGUGUCUUCGCCCGUUUUCUUCUUCGACAACUGGCAGGGGCACACAACUUGGCUUCGGGCGGGGACGUAGGAGGACUUUGGAGUCUAAUUUCAAACACCCCCACGCACGCUCUUUAAGAUCCAAAGCGCUAACCAAGUUGUGGCCACUUCUGGGUCCUCUGGACUGAGCGAAACAACUUCGUCUUCCGUUCUUAGCCUUCCAACGUCGAGAGAGCUUUGGAUAGAGCCUCACCCUGUUUACUGACUGGAGCUCACUCAUGUAACCAAUUUUCUCUUCCCCACUUUCUUUUUUAUAACUUCUUCCUUUUUCUUUCACCACUUUUGUCUUGUUUCUUAUUCUUCGAGUUCGCUUUUUGCCAAGGAAGCCUUAGCUGCUUCACCUAUGUAAGCUUAGUUACCUUAUCCUAUUGAAUGAAGCAGGUAGCGUGCUACCUUUCUCUCAAAAAAAAAAAAAAAAACAAUAAAAAAAAAAAAAAGUGAAAAGACCGUUGAGAAAUAAAAGGAACAUAUAAAAGAGCCAUUCCUCUUUUGCGUGAAAUAAGGGCUCCUCAUAAUAAUAAUUUAUUAGUGCUCCCAUGUGCUAUGUUAAUUAGUCCCAUAAUAACGGUUCGGUGUACACAAACCUGUCCCACAAAUCAUUAUUUUGACAAGUACUAGAGAGGGAACUUCAACAAUUAGAAAGAAAUAAAUAAAUGAGUAAAUUACCCUUUUGGUCCUCAAACUAUGAGGUCCGUAACACUUUGGUCCUCAAACUUGAAUUCAUUAUAAUUUAUUCGCACUUUCUGAAUUGCUGCAAUCAAGUGUCACGAUCAAUUUAGUUGACUAAAUAUUAACAAAUUGAUGAUACAUAAGUGACGCAGAAGUAUAAUUAAGAUGUUGCGUCAUUUUUACAUCAAAAAAUUAUUAAUAUUCAACAAGCUAAAUUGGAUUGUGAGGUUUGAGUGUGAUAACUUAGAAAAUUCGAGCUAGAAAUUAUAACGAAUUAAAAUUUUGAGGACCAGUGUAAUGUAUUCUAAAUAAAUUGCGAUUAUUUUCUUAGUAUAUAGGAAUGCAAACGGGACAGACCUAGAGGUGUGAUUCGUCCAACCUAAAAAUCCGUCUCCUUAAUUUCAGUCCCCCAAAUCCACCCAGCAAAUAUUAUUUUUAUUUUUUUAAUUUAAUUUAAGUUAAAUAUAAUUAAAUUUUUAUUAGUUUAAUUAAAAUAAAAUUCUAAAAUAAUAAAUUAUUAUUAAAGUAACUAUCUUUAUUUUUCUUUAUUGUCCCGCGAAGUGGCCCAUGGGCCCCUAAACCACAUAUAAUUAAAUUUUCACUAUUUUAAUUAAAAUAAAUUUUAAAAUAAUUAUAAUUAUAUUAAAGUGGCUAUCAUUAUUUUUUUUAAAAAAAAUUGCCCCACUCAUUAACUCUUCUACAAGUUAGUUGUUAUCUUUUAAAUUACAUUUAUAUUAGAAAUGAAUAAUACUUAAGACUCUAAUAAUAUUUUUAAAAAUUAAAAAUUAUUCCAUAAUUAAAAUAUUUAUACGGGGCAAAUUCAGAAUAGGACAUAGCGCGGGAGAUUCAUUGUUGAUCAGUUUGUUCACCGUCUCCUGCCACUAACCGUCUCAAAUUAUCAAAAUAAUUUUGUUUACGUUUCCGAAUCCAUUUAUGUCCUCUAAUUUACUGCCCUCGCUGGAGACGAAUCAGAGCGAGAGCUCCACCAACCCGGACUAGUUUGCAUCGAUGUUAGCUAGGUUGGCCAAAAGCUAACCAAGAUGUUAGGGGGUUCAAACCUCUCAUGUGUCCUCGGCUUUGAAUUUAACAUAAUAGAUUAUAUAUUAGGAGUAGGGCUACUGUACUAUUAGAAGUAUAGCAGUUCUUGUGCUUCUAACUUUCUAAUUACAUAUCAAUUUUGAUGGGUAAUUAGGAUGAGAAAAAGAAGAGAAAUUGGUGAGAAAUUGGGUGUCUCAAUUUCUCUUCUUUUUGAAUUUCUCUUUAAUUUCUCUUUUCUCUCUCAUCCUAGCCACUCAUCAAAAUUGAUGGGUGGUUAAGAAAGUUAGAAGCACAAGAACUACUGUACUCCUAAUAGCACAGUAGUCCUACUCAUUAUAUUAGUAUGUUGUAUGUUAGAUACUUUCUUUUGUUUAAUGAACUAUAUUAAUUAUAAAAAAAAUAUUAUCUGUACCUUUAAAAAAAGAGCAUAAAUAUUACAUCCCUUGUUCAAAAAUUUUAAAAACUCUUUAAAACUUAGUAUUUUAAAAGAAAAGGACAAGAGAAUGGCUUCAUAUGGUUACUAGGAUUAGAGGGCGUAAGAUUUACACCUAUUUUAGAAUUUACACAUAAAAUUGCUCUAUUAAUAAGCUCCUAACUACUUUUUAAAUAAAUAAUAGAACAAAAAAAUUUCUAAAACGGAGCUUCUAUAUUUGGGGAUCAUCAUCACUAUUACGCUGCCUAGCGCUAUAGAAGUUUUAAAAUUCAAACAGUAUUUUCAUAGCAUAAUUUUUAUAUAUUGACACUAAAUUUUGAUAUCGGGAUGAAAACGAAUCUUAGAAAGAUACGCAAGACCAAAAAGAAUAUCUAAAAGCUUAAACUGAUAAAGGUGUGUAGUGUUCCUAAGCUUUGGAUAGAAUUGGCUUCAGUAUUAGUGACUGGUCGACAUCUCUGUAUAGUGUCGGACUGAGUCGGAGUCAAUUCUACGCGAAUUGGAUGCAGAAUUGGACUCGGCGCACCCAAAUAGGCAAAACUAGAGUUUUGCCAGAUUUGGGCGCCCAGAACAUGAUUUAUGUCGCCCAGAACUGAGUGUUAAAUUUAACUGAAACUGGAGCCAAUUCGAAUCCUAUGUUCCGGGCGCCCAGAAGUGGGUCCGGAAAUUCUACAUCGUGAAUAUCGUUUGCUUCGACGCGUGGCAGGGUGGUAGGUGAGGUCCGCCGGAGCCGUUUACGGGUGCAGCACACCGCGAGCGGAGAAUUCGAGAAGGAUGAUUUGUGCAGCCUGGAUGUUUCGGUCACCCAGAACAUGGUUCCGGGCGCCCAGAAAUGCCCAUUUCAGCAGGGACACCGGAUUGCAGCUGUUUCUCUUGGGGCUAUUUUAUCCCUCCAGCACCCUAUAAAUAUCUAGUAUACGUCCCCUUUGAGCUCUUUUUACCUGUUCUUCACAGAGAACUUAGAUUUUUCUCCUCAAUCCCUCCAAUCUUUCCAAAUUGCAUCAAGAUCCACAUCUCCAAGAGUUGCAAGGUGCUGAUCCUGUAGUUUUUCCAGCGACGACCUUCAGUGUUUUGGCUCGUGCGCAACGUAGGGAUAUCGGAUUUCGACGAAACUUGGUUUGCUAGAUUCUAGACUUUCAAAGGAAUCCAUGAAGCCUUGACUUGCAGAAUUUGGUGAAGAUUAGUUCAGUCGAACUCAGAUUUUCCUCUGCUGCUGUUGCUAUGGACAGAAUUGCAAGUUUUUGAGUUUUCUUGGGGUGAACUUUGGAAGCAGGGGCUUUGUGGAGUUGAGUCACAUCCCCUAUCAACCAGUACUGGAAUUGGGACCAUCUUUACCUGAUUUGGAGAUUGUUAGGUGAGUUUUGACAUUGGAAUUGAAUAAAUCCUAAGCUUAAGUACUGAAAUUGACGAAUUGUAAUGGAUUUUGGGUAAGUUGUAAUGUCCAGGUUUUGAGGGGAUUGUUGCUGGUUUGGAGGUGUUUUCAGCUGUGCUACUUGUGAUCCGAGACCGUGUUGCUGCCAGAGGAAUCGCGUUUGAGGUGGGUUUGCAUCGGAUUACUCCUAAGUAAUGAGUAGAUGUAUAGCCGACAUGUAUGUUUUGUUGUUCGGUCUACAAUGUGAUUAGAUUAAAUUUAGCGAUAAGCUGUGGCUGUAACCUGAAUUUAAGCAUGCUAAAUAAGUGACAUUUACACAUGUUGAGUUAGGAGAAAACCUGCGUUUUGACCCGUCAUAUGCUUAAACUAUCAGAUUUAGCUCUAGGAGUCGUGGUCUGACUGUAUCGUUGCAGUAUCAGUGCGAUAGAUAGCUGGGGUAGUUUAGAAGGCAUUUACGCUCGUGCUGGGGUGCCGAGCUUAUUUUUCAGCAAAGUCUAGACUGUUUCGGGUCGUUGGGUGCCGUCCGGGUUGGCGGUGGAUCCAGAUUCUUAUUUUGGUUAUAGAUUGUGCCGAGGGCACGUGGGUUUGGUUUGUAGACCUGUUUUGACCCUGUUUACAUGACUUUGGCUAGUUGGAGCCUGAUUGAGCUCGACAGAGAUACGCUGCAUACUCGAUUCGGUAGCUCCCACGAGUGCCACUCCGGAGACGGGCGUUGUGCUUUCACGUUGGUGUCGCUCAUGCCGGUUGGACUUGCUCUCCACGGACUAGUAGUGUGGAGGUAGCUGGAUAGUCACAACUGGGUAGGGACGGGUGUGUUCAGAGUCUCAGGGACGGGUAUGCUUACGGUCCCGAUUGGAUUGAGUCAGAUUUGACAUUUCCUACAGUUGGUUAGUGUAGAGCAUGAUAGUGUAGUGAUCCAUAGCGGUAGAUUUCAUUCUUGCAUUUACUACUAUCUUUCCUCCCUUCUGUAGAUUUAGUGGGUGGACCGAUAUUGUUGAGGGCGGCACCCACUGAGGACUACCUGUUUUUACAGUAGUUCUCACGCCCUGUUAUUACCCUCUGUUUUUGCAGAGCCACCGUCGUCGGCUGCUGCUGUCGCAGAUCAGGAUCGAGGCAAGGGCAUCACGAGUUAGAGCCUUACCAGACGUGCCGAGCUAGAGGUACCCCUACUGAAGGCAGAUGUUUUGUUUUGAAUUCAUGUACAUAGUAUACUUAACUCGCCAGUGCGAGUAGCUCUGUAUUUAUGGUAUUGGACUAUGUAUAUGAAACUCCGUUUGUUUAGCUUCUGUUUACUCUAGCAGCUCUAUACUACUGUUUGUAGUAUUGUAUGGUUUACAGGUACAGCUGUCGCUUCGUAUAUAGGGGAAAUUCCUUUGUAUACGGCGGGUUUGUCGGCGUGCCCGGGAAACGUGUAAUCCAGGGCGUGACAAGGUGCCUAAUAUGACUUGAACUUAGAAUCUUCUACUUUGAUACCAUAUAAGAUUAUAUGAAGUAACUUUCUUUUCCAAAAAUUUAAACUAGUAGAGAAUUAAGAUUGAUUCGAUUUCUCUACUCAUAAAUUAACGCCGACUAGUCAGAUGCACUGGCUAAGCGACCGAACUCUCCUCUUUGCAUCUUCCAAGUGCAUUAACUAAUCCAAGACUACCCACCAUUUAGUGGGGUGGACUCUAGUCGAAUGCACUUGUGGAUCAUAAUCAUUAACUAACUAUCCCAAAAGUACGUGCUGAUAGAAAGGGCGCACCCAUCGUACUUAAAAGCUCAACCACAGCGCUCGCGUGUUCCAACCCGACUCAACCCAUCUGAAUGUUAGGUUUAUUGUUGGGCCUCCUGCUGUUUGGUCUCUUGUGGACCAUAGUCUCAGUCAACUUAUUAAAUUCACUAAAUUCAACUUAUUAACAUCUUGGAUCUAUUAUCACGAAGUAGAAAAUCAGCCUUAUUUUAGUCUAAUAAUAAAUAGCCAACAGCAUGGACUAAUCGAUGUAACUUUCUUGUCUAUAAUACCUCUCAAAAAAAAAAAAAAAAAAAAAAAAAAAAAAAAAAAAAAAACUGAUUGAAGACAGCACACCAUCCAAUUAUUAGAUCGAAUUCAGAUGCGCGCGCCCUCUUUUUAUAGCUCAGUGGAUCUUAACUAAUGUUGGUUGAAAUUAGUGUCCAUUUCCCACGACACAAGAACAAUUUUUUCCAUGCCAAAUUUUGGAAUUAUUAUUAGAAUUAUUAGAGGACGAGAUAGAUGAUGUGUCAAUUUCACCAACCAAAAUUUCUAAUCAUCAUCUGAUUUUGUGCGUUGAAUUUUUUUUGCAAGUUUGAUCUGAGCCCAAAUUUGAUCAAAGGUGGUUUUUUCUCCUUUUUUUUUUUUUUUUUUNAAUUAAUGAAUGCAUGAAGGGGAGGGGGGACCCUAUUAAUUCCUUGUCUAUGAGGGCACAGUGCACAAGUUGCCCUCCUCGGUUGUCCACCAAUCUCUCUCUCUCUCUCUCUCUCUCUCUCCCAUUAUUAUUAUUAUUAUUAUUAUUAUUAUUAUUAUUAUUAUUAUUUAUAUUUAAGGUUAAAAUUUUGACCCAUGAGAAUUUUAGUAACCUUAAACCCUGAACUCUAAUCUCAACUAUAUAUAUAUAUAAUUGAUGCUUACAUUCUAAUUUAGCGUCUCACGGGUACGUUAGGUCUCUCUCUCUCUCUCUCUCUCGCGUGAUGUAAUUAACAGAGCUGAUUUUGAUAAUAUCUCGUUGGAUUACAAAAUUAGUAAUUUAAUUUAAAACUUUAGGUUUUAUGUAUAAUCUAAUCUUAGAAUUAAUAUUCAAAACAUCUUUGACAGGAUAUAUACACAAAAUAAUCCAUCAAAUUACCAAAUGUUCUGCCAAAAAAAAUAAAUAAAUAAAUAAAUAAAUGUUACGGAGUACUCUGAAGAUUAAUUCUAUGUUAUCUCUCAAAAAAAGAAUAAGAUGUAUGUUCAUUUUACAAUUUUGCCCUCGUGGUCUCAAAUAUUAACAUUAAGCCCUACACUAGGGAUGCAAACGGGGUGGAUCUGGGGGCGGGAGCCCCGCCCUGCCUCUGGUCCCGACUACAAAAAAUCCGCCCCGCCUCCCGCCCCGAAUUCGUGACGGGUUGAAAAUAGUUAUCCCAUAAUCCGCCCCGUCUUAUAACCCACCUUCCGCCAGCGCCCCGAAUCCGCCCGCCAAAUAGUAUUUGUUUUAUAAAUUAUAAUAUUAUUAAUAUUUUAUAAAUCUAAAUCAACAAAAUUUUUAAUAUUAAUUGAUAAUAUUAUCAAGUUAUAUGUAAUUAAUAAUAUCAACUAUAAAAAUCAAAAAUAUCAAUCACAACUCACAACAAAAUUCAAAAAUUUUAAAUACAUAUAUAUGGAAAAAUUUUAAAGACAUACAUUUGGGACGAAUUCGGGGCGGAUCAUUCGGGACGAAUUCGGGGCGGAUCAUGGGGGACGGAUUCGGGGCGGAUAAAAAAUUUUCCCGUUUCCUGCCCCGAAUCCGCCACGGAUCAUAAAAAUUACCCCGUUUCUUGCCCCGAAUCCAUUUAUUUCCUCCCGUUUACUGCCCCAUUAGGGGCGGAUCGGGGCGGGAGCUCCACCACCCCAGAUCCAUUUGCAUCCCUACCCUACACUGAUUCAUUUAUUUGGUUAAGUUAAUUAGGUCUGUUUAGGUUCUUACCUAAAGAAGGAUUUAGGCCCUAUUUGGAUACCUCUAAAAACGUAGUAUAGUUAAACUAUGCUACGCCGGUAGGAAAAUAAUCCUAUGAAGCGUUUGAAAGAAAAAAAAAUAACGUAAUUUUUGGAGUAUAGUUAUACUAUAUUCCAAAAAAUUUAGUAAACUUACAAUUCACUUUAACCAAAGGAAAAAAAUUCCACCAUUUUGGGCUCCUAAAGAUGUAUCAAUUUCUAAAUUUUAAAUUUCAACAUAAAUUUUAGAUUUCAAAAUUUAAAAUUUUAAAAUUCAAUUUUAAUUUUGAUUUUAAAUUUCAAAUUUCAAAUUUCAAAAAGUUCAAAUAUCAAAUUUCAAAUUUCAAAUUUUAAAUUUUAAAUUUCAAAUUUCAAAUUUCAAACUUCAAAUUUCAAAUUUCAAAUUUCAAACUUCAAACUUCAAACUUCAAAUUUCAAAUUUCAAAUUUCAACUUUCAAAUUUCAACUUUCAAAUUUCAAAUUUCAAAUUUCAAAAUUUCAAAAAGUUCAAAUUUCAAAUUUCAAAUUUCAAAUUUCAAAUUUCAACUUUCAAAUUUCAAAUUUCAAAAAGUUCAAAUUUCAAAUUUCAAAUUUCAAAUUUCAAAUUUUAAUUUAAUUUUUAAUUUUUAAUUUUCAAUUUUCAAAAUUUAAAUUUAAACUUAAAUUUUAAAUUUUAAAUUUAUAAAUAUGUAAAUUUAUGAAAUUAUUAAAUUUAAAAUUUAAAAUUUUAAUUAUAGAUUUUUUAAAUUUCAAAUUUUAAAGUUUAAAUGGUAUACUUUAAAUUUUAAAAUUGAAAGUUUCAAAUUUCAAAUUUUAAAUGUCAAAUUCCAAAUUUCAAAUUUCAAAAUUUAAAACAUAUAAUCUAAUUUAAUUUUUUAAUUUUAAAUUUUAAAUUUAAAUUUUAUAUUUUGAAUUUUGAAUUUUAUUUUUCAAAAUUUUAUUUUUAAAUUUUGAAUUUUGAAUUUUGAAUUUUGAAUUUUGAAUUUUAAAAUUUUAGAAAUUUAAUUGUUAUAAAUACUGUGGAAUUAUAUGAUCUGUAUCCAAAUAGUUUAAAAAUGAAGCUGUGAAAUUUUUUUUUAGAAUUCCGUAUUUCAUUUAGACCAAAACCAUAGAAUAAAAAUUCUAUGGAGUUUUUUUAACUAUGCAUCCAAACAGGGCCUUAGGCUUUAUUUAACCACAACUUGGUAGGAAAAUUUUCUCUCUACUAGACUAAGCUAUUAAGAUGAAUAUUGGAGAAGGAAACAAUUAAUUCAACAUAAUGAGAGUACCCUUGUUGUUGUUUUUUAAAAAGCAAAAAAUUGUUAAAUGUAAUAAGUGUAUAAAAAGACACAAAUGUCAAAAUAUACUCUCAACCAGCUGUAGUCUGCAUUAAGCGAAAGUAAUAGUGUGGACCUUCAUCCUCCUUGUUUCAUUUUUUUAAAAAAAUUUGUUAAGUAUAAAAGUACGAGAAGGUAUUUUCAAAAAUAUCAGAAUUGGUAGUCCCAAAGAUUAUGUAAAAAUGCACAUUACACUUUAAUUAUAGCGAGUAGACUAUCGCGUCACUCACCAAAAGUAAUGAGAGAACAGGAGUGUAGGCACAGAUAGAGAAAAUUGCUCAGUGUAUAGAAAGCAGUAGAGGAUGACCUAGAAGAACACUAAAAACGCAGACAUCAGCUCCUCCGCAUUUACCCAAAAAAUAUAUAAAUACAGUUUUUUGAAACCAACCUUCGAAAUGGAGGCUAGCCGCUCAAUGUAUAGGGAGUAUUAGAGAAGGACCUAGAAGAACACGAAAAGCACAUCGUUAAUUGCUUUCCAUCUAUUAAAGGAAUGUAUGAAUACAGGUUUAUCCAAUACUUCUUGUUAGCUAAAACAAAUCUUUAAAAUGGAGGCAAGCAGGUUGAGCUCUCUCUGUAUAGAUGUAGACAUAUUUAUAAGCAAUUGCUGAGAGAAAGGUGAAUGGGGUAGGUUGCCUUCAUGGCCUUCUGUACCACCAUGGGAUGAGAGAGGGAGGAGGAGGGAAAACGACGGUGAAAUAGAGAGAGGGGUAGGGUCCCCAUCUUAGAGAAGGGAUGAGGGCUAGGGCAAGUUGGAUAUGAGAAUAGGCUACGAUGAUUGCAAACCAUAAACGCUAUGGACAUCAGGCAACCCACCUCCGGUGGCGGCGAGAAUGGCAGCGAGGAAGCGAGGAACGGGAUGAAGGAUCAGAAGGGGUACGAUGCGCAUCGCAAACAGAGGGAAGGGGUACGGCGACCACCACCAUACCUCGGGGCCUACUGACACACCAUCGUAGCGUACGUACGGAGGGGGAAAAAUGCCAUGGUAGAGUGCAACAACCCUCCGCGCCCCGCGGGAUCUGCAGGAGCUAGGUGUGCGACAGGGUAUGUGCCACAGCACUCUGCAGAUCUGAGCCGAUCUAAAGGGGGAAGGAGGGGAGGGGGGUGAAUGGAUCGUGAGAAACGGAGUACACAACACGUAACCCUACUGAGAACUCAAGUUUUAACAGAUCUAUUGAUUCUUGGAGCUUUGUAAUUUAUUAUGGUUCAAACCGCAAAUAUACAUUAUUAAUUGGCUAAAUACAGAAAAUCUCUAUGUAAAUACUUACUUUUUUAUUUUCUCUCUAUAUUUUGCUUUUCAAAAAUUUUAAAAAUAUUUCAAAAAGUUACAGUGUUAAUAGAGAAGGCGAAGUGACCAAAUUAUCCUUACUUAUUUUAUAAAAAAAUAAUUUUAUAAUAUAUUUCUAUCAUUUUUAAGGAUAUUUUUUUAUAUAAAUUAUAAGAAAUUGACGGAAUAGUAAUGGAACCACAAAAGAGAGGGGCUAAAUACAUCUACUUGAAAUUUUGAGAGGCAAAAUAUAAGUUUCUAAAAGUCAGAAGAAAAAAAAAUAUUUAUAGGGGAUUUUCAAUAUUUUAGCAUUACUAAUUGAUUAAAAUUAGGGAUAUCGACAGGUCGGAUUCAAGGUGGAUUUUCAAAAAUCCGAACUCGAAUCCCACUCCAAACCCAAAACCCAACUCCGCGAUUUUAAAAAUCCAUAUCCAAACCCAACACAAUAAAAAAAUCGAACCCAAAUCCGAAUCCGAAAAUCUGACCCCAAAAUAUUAUUUCUCUUUUCAAUAUUUCAAAAUAUAUUACAUUAAAUUUAAAAUUUUAAAAUAUAAAUUCAAAUAUAACAUCAAAUAUAUAUAUAUAUAUAUAUAUAUAUAUAUAUAUAUAUAUAUAUAUAACGUAAAAUAAAUUCUCAUAUCCGAAUCCAUACCCGUUGGGUUUUUAUUUUUGAUAUCCAUAUUCGAAACUAUAUCCGUUUAGUAUCAGAUAAAUUCGUUUUGUUCAUAUUCGAAUUCGAAUAAAAUUUUGAAUAUCUGUACUUAUUGACAUCCCUAAUCAAAAUGCAGGUUUGCCUCAUGCUUUAGUAAUUAGGAGCACUCCUAUAACAUAGUGGUAGAAUUUGUUUCAAUAGUUAUAUAUUCAGAUAGUAUGUCUACAAAAGUGGCAAUUAACCCAAUAAGUUAAUAACCAACUAUCUCUAAUGUAAAUAGCAAAGGAUUUAAUGAUGACACCGAAAGUCCCAAUUUGGAAGGCUAAUUAUUUUACAUUUUUCGUUAAAUUUAUUUUUAUAAAAAAUAAAUGAAACAAUAUCAUAUUACCUUUCUCUCAUUUUUAUUUGUUUUUGAGAGAGACCUUCCUUAUCUCUCAUAUCUAUUAUAAUUUGGCUAAAAUAUAGAAAAUUUUUUUGUAAAUACCUGUUUCUUCAUUUUUCCUUUCUAAUUUUUAAAAAUUUAUAUUUUAUCUUCUCAAAAUUUCAAGUUAAUGUAUAUAGCCCUCCUUCGUCAGGUUCCGUCACAAUUCUAUUCAUUUUUUAUAAUUUAUGCCGAAAAUAUUUUUAAAAAUGAUAUAAAUAUAUUAAAAAUUAUUUUUUAACAAAAUAAGUAAGGUGAUCAUUUUGUCCUCUUUAUUAAUAUCGUAACUUUCUGAAAUGUAAAUUUUUGAAAGUUAGAAGAAAAAAAUAAAAAGGGGUAUUUAUAGGGGGUUUCUCUCUAUUUUAGCUUUUAAUUUUGUUGUUUUUCAGCUCUUUUUUGAAAUAUUUCUUACUAAUAAUCAGCUUUUUUUUUAUUUUAAUCCGGCUCUGUUAUCACAGAUCCAACAAUCUGUGGUUUCAAACUUCAAAUACCACUCAUGUGGUUUCACACUUUCUCACUUUAAUAUCUUGUGAUUUAAAGUGUAUCAAUUUAGCGUUCAUAGUUUUAUUUUUAUCUUUCUAUUAUAGAUUUCACUAAUUUUUUUCAUUAAAUUAGUGACAAAGUUAAAACUAAAGGGUACUAAAGUGAAUAUUCGAUAAACCUAGCUAUAGUAUCUGAAUCUUUUUGUAUAUAAUUUAACGAAAUAUUAAUAGAAAAAUUGACGAAAAGAUAAAAAUGAAACUACAGGAUACUAACUUAAUACACUUUAAACCAUAAGAUACUAAAGUGGAGAAGUGCAAAAUCACAGGGGUGGUAUGUUUACCCAAAAAAAAAGAAAGAAAAACUUCAAAUACCCCCCUUGUGGUUUCACUUUUUCUCACUUUAGUACCCUGUGGUUUAAAGUGUAUCAAGUUAGUACUCUGUGGUUUCGCACUUUUUCACUUUAGUACCCUGUGAUUUAAAGUGUAUCAAGUUAGUACCCUGUGGUUUCACACUUUAUCACUUUAGUACCCUGUUGUUUCGAACUUUAUCACUUUAGUACUCUGUGGUUUAAAAACCACAGAGUACUAACUUGAUACAAAAAUAAAACCACAGGGUACUAACUUGAUACAAAAAUAAAAUCACAGAGUACUAACUUGAUACACUUUAAACCACAGGGUACUAAAGUGAUAAAGUGAGAAACCACAUGGUACUAACUUGAUACACUUUAAACCACAGGAUACUAAAAUGAAAAAGUGUUAAACUACAUGGGGUUUUUUGAAGUUUUCCCAAAACAAAUGAUGGGCCACACUGCCAGAGCAGUCAAAAGUCACUUUUAGGGUAGUUUUUUCCAGAAGUGCUUUUGCCUUCGGCUGUUUCAGGCUUUGAAAGCUGCAGUGUUUAACUCCAUCAUUUCAAAAGAAAUGAUUCUUCUUAUUUAUUUAUUUAUUAUUAUUUUUUUAACCUAUAUUGCGCUGCCCAGGAUUAGUUUUUUUUAUUUUUUUUUUGAGAGAGAAAGGUAGCACACUAUUCACUUCGUUUAUUUUUUAAAAAAUAAAUUUAGCUAGAAAUAUGAAUUAAAUAGGAUUCAAACUUAGGACUUCGAAUACUAAUCACCAAAUUUUUUGCCACUUGCGUUAGAAAUAGUCAGUUGCCCAAAAUUAGUUCUACACACGGAGCUUUCUCUUGUUACCCAUCUCUCGUGGAUUAGUUUUAUUAUAACAUUCUAGAAGCGAGAGGUGGAGGUAACGUUACACUAAGCAUGCAUUGCAGUGUACACCUACAAACACUAUAAUAUUAUAGGAUUUAUUUCAUACAGGUCCCUGCGAAGAUAUAUCAAAUAUUAAAUAUAUUUCUACAAAAUGUAAUUACCAGAUUUGUCCCUUCCAAAGUUCUCUGAUUUGCAAAUAUAUCCCUCCAAAAAUUCUGAUUCGUUCAUAUGUCCCCUAUCGUUUGAUUCACCAUUAGUUUUUUACAGUGGGUGCGUAAAAAUGACUAUUUUGCUCUUACAAAUUUGUCUUUACAAAAAACAACCUUCUUUCUCUCUCUUUCCUCGCCUUUUGCGAACCUAAUUUUUGUCGCAACCAAGGGUCUCGCCUUCAACAUUGCCGCCACUAUGGAUAAAUAGAAAGGGGUGAGAAAAAUAACGGGAUGCAAUAUUGGAAUACAAAUUAUAUAUAUAAAAAGUAAAAAGGUCAACCCCUUGCUAAUUGUGUUUAGCUUUUUUAACUCAUGGUUAUUUAAAUCUUGGUAACAAAAGAAUAUAUUUGCAAACGGGAGGAUUUUUGGAAGGAUAAAUCUAAUAACUGGUAAGAUUUGUAAGGAUAUAUGUGCUAUUUGAUAUCUUUGUAGGGAACCAUAUGCAAUUGUCGCAAUAUUAUACUAGCCUCCAUAUAUUGUAAUCAACUUAAUUACACUAUUCUGCACUGUACUUUACAAUUUUUUUUUUUAUAUUUGCUAUAUUGUUGUUGAUGCCAAAAAAUUAAUAUGCCGAUCUAACCCACGUAUGAGCCAAAGAAUAAGGACAUAUGGUACACCAGGAGUCGGCAAUAAGACGCCUAAAGGUUGAGAGCGUUUAGGCGGGAACGGUUGAGAAGUGGGGCGUAACUUUCAUGAGAAGUGGGCGUAACUUUCACGAUCAUGGUUACAACCACUCUCCCCACUACUUUCAACCCACCAAUAAUGUGGGUUGAUAUUACUAUAAAUAGUAAUUUCGAAGCCUGCAAUAAGGGUCUUUCUCCCCCCUGAACGAGAAGACCACCUUUAUUUCCUCUGCAAUUUUAUCGCUUUUUUAGGAGUAGUCUACAUGUAAUCUUUUUUAUCCACAUUUACUGCUUUUCUAGGAAUAGUUUUUAAGUUAGAUCUCUAGAGUCUGUAUGCCCCACGGGCACACUCUGUUGUAAACUAGAUUUUUAGAGUCUGCAUGCUAUCCGGCACACUCGACCCCUGUACUUCCUUCCACUCAAUAUAAAGUUAUUCGGCUCCUCUAGCUGACCAAUUCUCACAUUUUCUGUUAGUUCGGCUCUUCUGCCGUACUCAUUUCUCGCUCGGUCUGUAAAUUCGGCUCAUCCCGCCGAACCGAGUUUACUUUAAAGAUUUUCGAACCCGGUUGAUUUGAUCCCUUGUUAGCCGAAUCGCUUGAUCGUUCGAAUGGCGCAAACUUCAAGGGUCAAUACCAUAAGCCGUUUCCAUCCCGAAACGCUUCCAAUUCUACAGUAAAGGUUUUCGAACUCGGCUGAUUCGAUCCCUCAUCAGCCGAAUCGCUUGAUCAAGUUGAAGGGCGCAAACUUCGAGGGUCAUUAAUCGUAGUCGUUUCGCUUCCCAACGCGCUUUCCGAGGAAGACCUAUGAUCGGGUCAAAGAGGAUGGAAUUCGGCUCCUAACAAUUGUAUUAGUUUUUUUUUUCGAGUAAACAGGGAUGAACCCUAUUUGGGAUACAAAAGAACAAAAAGCGAAGUAAACAAAACAACAACCCCUUUUGGCAGUUCAUGAUCCUCUACAUAACUAGCUCAGCAAAACUGCAGCUCCAAACCAAAAGCUGCCAAGAAAAGUAACAGGAACACAAAAUAGAAAAGCUUAAAGGGGAAAAGACUCAAUGUUUGGCCAAUGUCAGUGAUUUCAGCUCGUGAACACCAAAGUCCAAAGCUUGACCGGCCGGGUCGUGGACCCCUUUCCCCAGUUCAUCACUUCGUGUUGCCCGGUCAUUGAAAAUUCUCAUAUUUCGCUGCUUCCAGAGUUCCCAUUAUGCUGCCGCAAAGUACAAAUCAAAGAAAGUUUUUGGCCGCCCCCUCAAUGACCUUCUAGAGCGAUUCCACCAGUAGCUAGGUCGCCAGAAAGGUUUGACAGCAACAAUUGCUGUGAGUUUGAAGCACCAUGAUCGAGCCGAUUCCAUACAGUUCUCGCAUAGAUGCAGGAAAAGAGUAUAUGUUCUAGAGUCUCUACAUUGGCUGAGCAUAAUACACACAACGAUGGGCCAUACCAGCCCUUCCUUGCAAAAUUGUCGGCUAUAAGAAUUCUAUCCCGUGCCGCUAGCCACAGAAAUACUUUGACCCUUAGGGGUAUCAUUAGUUUCCACAGGUAAUUGAUUUUGCAAUCAAUCACUCUCCCAAAAAUAAGAAAGUCAUAAGCACCCCGAACCGAGAACAUACCGUUAGAACUCCAGAGCUAGUAAGCCGAGUCAUCCGAAACGGACAGUGCGGUACUUUGGAUCAAUAUUUCAAAAUGCUGUUGCUCUGCUUGUUGCUCCGGAAGGCAGUGAGAGGGAUCGAAAUCCAGGUUGGCACAAUCUGCGAAUCAGCGAAACGAAUUAUUGACCGAGAGAUGUUUAAGGCUUGAAACGGCAUACAGGUUUGGAAAUUGGGUCCGGAGGGCACAAUCUCCACUCCAUCUAGCGUUCCAAAAGGACGUCACCUUACCAUUACCGGCAGAAAAUGAGACAGAAGCGACGAAGGGUGCAGCGGCGCUAAGAAAUCCUUUCCAAAUCGGGCUGCAAUCAUUGUAAGGAAUACGAUCACUGUGUGAUGGAGGCCUAUGCUUAUAAUGUUUUUGCAAUAGCAAUUGGACCCAAGGCAGGUCCUGGGAAUUGUAGAAACUCCACAGGCUCUUCAUUGAUAAAGCUGAAUUCAUAGAUUGUAGGUUUCGAACGCCCAUUCCACCAUAUUGUUUAGGGCGACAAACGUGUUCCCACUUAACUAGGCAAUGAAAGCCAUUACUUAACUUUUUGCCCCUCCAAAAGAAAUCGCGCCGAAUUUUGUCGAUGGAUUUUGUGACCCAAGAUGGUAAGAGGAAGGAAGAGCAAAAAUAAGAAGGAAUGUUACUAAGAACCGAAUUUAGGAGGACAAGGCGACCACCCCUUGAGAGCAUGAGACCCUUCCAUCCGGUGAGGCGGUUGUCGAUAUUCUCAAUGAGAGGCAUGUAGUCAACUCUGCAUAGUUUCUUCGGGGAUAGAGGUAAACUCAGAUAAGUUAAAGGAAAAUCUUUUGAGGAGCAACCAAAAGAUUUUGCCACCAUCGCCGCUUGUUCGGUUGGCAAAUUGAUCGGGAUGAGGGUACUAUUGUUAUAGUUUAUCUUGAGUCCCGAGUUGGUAGAGAAAGUAUCGAGAAUAAUCUUAAUAGUUGCCGCCGACCUGGUUGAACCAUCGAAAAAAAGCAUUAUGUCGUCAGCGAAUUAUAGUGUACGAAGCUUAACAUUCCCGAUUCCAAUGGCAGAUAUGGAAAGGGAGGUAACUGCUAAAUGGAUCAUUCUGAAAACCACAUCAACACAUAGAAUAAAGAGGAGAGGAGAAAGAGGAUCCCCCUGGCAAAGCCCACGCUUGCAAGAGAAAGUCUUGCCCGGGAUGCCGUUGAGCAAGACUGCCGUAUUAGCAUAUUGCAGCAGAGUUUGUAUCCAACCUAUCCAUCGGCUACUGAAGCCCCUCGCCUUGAGGAGGGAAAAAAGAAAUUGCCAGUUGAUGUGGUCGAAAGCCCGCUCAAAAUCGAUCUUGAAGAGUCCUGCCCGUUCCUUGGAGGAAUGUAGAUGAUGAAUGAGGAUGUGAGCGCUGUUAAAGUUGUCAAGAAUAUAGCGACCCUUAAUGAAAGCUGCCUGAUAGGGGUUGAUGAGUUGAUCCAUAAACACUUGGAGUCGGAUAGCUAGCACUUUCGAAAUCAGUUUGGCCAGGCUAUGCACAAGACUGAUCGGGCGAUAAUCAGCAGCUGAGGAGGCCUUUUUUCUCUUUGGUAGAAGACAAACCCAGCCGGUGUUGAUUUCCUGCAAAUUAGCAGAGCCAUGGUAGAAACAAUUAAAAACAUCCAGAAUAUCCUCUUUAAUUAGUAGAGCCAUGGUAGAAACAAUUAAAAACAUCCAGAAUAUCCUCUUUAAUUAGCAGAGCCAUGGUAGAAAUUAGGUUCCAAAAACGUUGAUAGAAGAUCAUCAGAAGUCCAUCCGGCCCAGGUGCCUUCUCUGGAGCACUAGAGAAUAUCGUCCUUUUCACCUCUUCCAAAGUAAAAGGCAAGUGGAGACUAGAGAGGUCCACGCAAUCGUCGCUAUAGAUCAUCUGGAGAUUGAUAGAGUUGGAAGAGACCUGUUCAACACCCAGCUGAUUGGAGAAGAAAGAAAACAAAUGAUUAGCAAGGGGCUCGGGGGAGGAGAGGGUGGAGGUUCCAUAAGAAAGGCGAGCAAUGUAAUUUUUAUUCCUGCAGUGGUUGGCUCUGAUAUGGAAAAACUUGGUGUUGGCGUCCCCAACUUUUAACCAUUGCACUCUGGAUCUUUGCUUCCAUUUUAUUUCUUCUUGCAGGCAUAAUUCUUCAUAUCUCACCUUGAGCAUCAGCCUAAGGUUGCGUUCCAGAUCACUUAAAGCCCUGCCCCUCUUCCGCUCGGUCCAGCCACUCGAUCCACCUUAGACAGCGGUUGGCCUGAUCUAAUUGCGCUGGAGAUCGAGGCCCGCACUCCACGACCGAAGGGCAGAUUGGAUACCUUUAAUUUUAGAAGAAAAACGAGUUACAGGAUCAGCAUUUGUCACAGGCAAGUUCCACGAAUUGGACACCACCUCCUCUAUAGCCGAGUAGCGCAGCCAAAAACUCUCGAAUCUGAACAAGUUGGAAGAAGGUAAGAAAGUGUAAGCUGACAGGAUCAGGGGCGUAUGAUCAAACCACGGUCGAGAAAGAGCUCGUAGGGUGGAACGCGGGAAAGAAAGAUGCCAGUCUUUCGAAACGAAGGCGCGAUCAAGACGCUCAAGUGUAGGGAUGCCUUUGCCAUUAGUCCAGGUAAAUGUUUUGUUUAGAAUGGGGAGGUCGAUCCACCCGAUCUCGUUCACGACUUCUCUGAAAUUAAGGAUGUCACCAGCGGCCGAGGGCAAUCCAUUUUUGUCAAGCACAGACAGAAGGACAUUGAAAUCGCCAAGGGCCGUCCACACACCUGAAGCAAGUUCACUGAUAUUCCGUAGCUCCUAAAGAACUCGGCUUUAAGAGUAGCGAUAGUUGGGCCAUAAAUGUUUGAAACCGUGAACAGCUUUCCAUCAACUUUUCUGUGAAGCACCACAUUUAGCGAAUAGAGACCAGCCCACUCUUGUACGCAUUCGAAGAGAGAUGGAUUCCAAGCCGUUAAGAGCCCACCUCUAGUCUCUUCCGCGUCCAAGGUUCUGAAUUCACGGAUGUGAAAGCCGCAAAAGGAGCGAAAUUUUUUAAGGGAGGUAGAAGAAAGUUUUGUUUCUUGGAGGCAGACAACAUAGCACUUACAGUUACGAAUAAAAGACUUGACAAUGGCACACUUGGUAGGGUCAUUAAGGCUCCUAACAUUCCACGAUAGAAAACAAAAAGUUCUAUUCCUAACCAUAACGAGGAAAAACACACCCCAAUAGACUUCCAAAGAGUUACACAUUAUUUGGAUUUGCACCCCUGGAGCGACCCCCGACAUUCGGAAAGGAAGUACCCGCGCCUUGGUCAACAAUCCCGUAGGAGGUCUUGAUCUGCUGUAUCUCCUCCGGGGAAGGGGGAGCACAUGAUCCCUCGUCCUCGCCGUAUCCUCAUUGCACCCCGCAUCCUCAGCGCACCCUGCAAGUGGUUCAGAUGCUGCAGGGUGCCACCUAUCUGAGGCCUGCUAAGGAGGGGGCUGAAGGAGUGGUCCGAUGGAGAGGAGGCUGGGGAGGGGGCUGAGGCUAGAUAAGGAGGGGGCUGAAGGAGAUGGUCCGUCGAAGAAGAGGCAGCCGAAGAUGAGGAACUGGUAGUGCGGGCGACCUUGGCAGCAAAUUUCGUCAAUUUGAAUAUUUUGCACAUGAUCUCCUGAGCCUUCAGCACUGCAGAUUUCUUUUUACCUUUACUCUUUGCUGCGAGGCGCAAGCUUCGUCGGUAACUCAGCAGGUUUCCUGUAGCGAGGCGAGGCAGCCUGAGAGGGAUGGGCUGAAGACUUGGGCAAGUGUCCACAACCAGCGGGUUCAGCACACUCAAGUCAAGGCUGGGGUUGGAAGGAUCCGCGGGCCUAGGGUCCGAAGCCAAAGGGUUCAGCAAAAAUCUGUUCGGGGCAGAUUCGGACCGUACCAUGUGCCCGGGGUCCACGGGAGUGAUAACAUCGAUCAAAGGCCUGGGUUCAUUCGGGGCGGGUUAGGAUCGUUUCGUGGGCCCAGGGUCCACAUGGGUGAUAUCUUUGAUCAGAGGCCCGUGCUCCACAGGGGUGAAAAUUUCAGCCAAAAGCCCACCCGGAAUAGGGCUGGGAGUUGGCUGAACCACAUCUGUUUCCCCAACAACCACUUGUAGCUGAGAAAGCUGGGCCGAACUAGAAGCCAGCUGACUCCCAGGGACAAGCGUUUCAACCCGUACUGAAUCCAGCGGACAAUCGGGACGAUCGCGUACCUCUCUGACACGAACUAGACCUGAGGCGGUAGCUUGAGUGUACGGUUGGAGAAGUUGUUUGCCCUUUGAUUUUGAAUUUGAAAAGCUCCUUGGAGCCGGCCGCCACUCCCGCCGGCGAUGUUCCGAUGCGUGCUGAGGACAUCGUUGAGAUGGACCCUGAUCCUCGAAGGCGGGAACAGAGCUAAAGACGAUUUGCCUAAUGAAUCGCUCUUGAGCCUCAAUGGUGACAAGGCCCAGCCGGUCGUCGAGGUCCUCACCAAGAAAGAUGGGGUUGGCUUCCUUGCACGAUUCAACCUCGAUGGGAACUAGGAAGCGCUGAUCCUCCACCAUCAAGUGGAUAGCCUCGGGGAUGUUCCGAACAUGUUGACAACGAAUCUUUGCUCUAAAGAACUAAACGUCGAGGAGUCUCUCAGUGAUGGUGUCAAUUUCCCAGAGCUCACCAAAGUUGCAGACUGCCGCUUUGACGUCCUCCUCGUUCCAGCAAAGGAUCGGCCAGUGGUGCAGCCGGAUCCACACCUUGUGACGUAAGUGUCCCCUUUCCUUCUCCCCCACCUCCACCCAGUUGGAGAAGUGGAAGCAGAUGCCCUCAAACCAAAUAGGACUGCGACCAAUGGUCGACUCCCUCGCCACCCAAUUGGGGUAGAAACCGGUAUUAGUUUUUUUUAAUAAAAGCACCACUUAACUAUUCUUUUAUUUUUUUUUCAAUUCCUACAUGAUAAUUAAUAAAUAUUUAGUUUUAUAUGAAUGCCGGAUUAAAAGUGACAGAGCAUAUAUUCAACUCAAUUUGAUAUAAAAAAUAAAAAUAUAUAAAAAAGGUAAAAAUAAUUGAAUAGAAGGUUUUAGUGAGCCUAUCAUGGAGAUUUAUUUUAUUUUAUUUUUAUUAUUUAACUAGCGUCUCUUAAUAAAGUUAUUAGAUUUUGUCUAAAUUCAACAAUAUUUGUUAACAAUAAUGUAGAAAUUGGUGAGACAAAGAAGCAAUUUAGUAAUAUCUAUGAGAAAAAAAUAGUACAAGAUAGAAAAAUAAAAAUAAAUCUAAAAUACAGUGUAGAGAUUGAUAAAUUAUAAUAAUACAAUAGUAUCUUUUAGAAAAUAAAUCGUAUAAUGUAGCAAAUGAAAAUAAUACUCAAGUACAACAUAUUAGAGUGUAAAUAAACAGUCUCUACUAAAAAUAACAAAUAUAAAAGAGAUUGUUUAGUUACAAAUAAUUGUUAAUGCACUACAGUUAUAACUACAUGUAAAUGUAAAUUCAUUGUUCGGUUUGGUGUAUUUGAAUUCAACUGUUGUAGUUGAAACUGUCUGAGGAUGACCAACUGCAGUAGUUGGAAGCAGUUUAUUAUUAUUAUUUUAAAGAUCAUGCAUCUUUAUCGAAUAAAUAAAUUUGAUAGCUAAACCCUACAGUAAAAUUCUUGCUUUGCCCCUAUACAGAACAAAUGUAUAAAUAAAGAGUUGUGUGAGGGUAAGAUGGGAGGGAGUGAGGGGGUCGCGUGCACCAUAUCAUUUUGUAUUCCGUACCAUCUGAUUGUCCAUUUUAUUUUGAACUCUAUUUGACGCUUUACAACUAUUGAUACUAAAAAUAAGUCAUGUCAAACAAAGCGCGAAGAGGACUUCGGUCGAAAAGUUUGCCGAAAAAUAGCCAAUUCGGCCCUCGAUGAAAGUACCGACUUCAAUGAUCAUGAGGCAAGCCCAUUUGAAUUAAGUAAUUCAAAAUUUUAAUAGAUGCGAUCAAAGGCUAGGAGUUAGGGGGCAUUUGAGAAAAGAAAGUUGGUGAACCCUGGGAAUUGCCACUAGAUAUUGCAGCGAUGCACAUAUAAAAGGGCGAAGCAGCUAUUGUGUAGGGAGUGUGGGGAUCAUGUGCACUAUGUCAUGUUGUAUACUAGACCAUCUUAUCUUGAACUUAACUUGAUGCUUUACAACUAUUGACGCUGAAAGUAAGCCGUGUCAAGACAAAGCGUUAAAGAGGACUUCGCUAGGUAUGUUUGUUGAAAAAGUCAAUUUGGCCCUCAGUGAAAGUAUCGACUUUGGUAAUAAGAAGGUAGUCCCAUUAGAAUUAUGUAAUUCAAAACUCAAAUGGGUGCAAUCAGGGGGGAGGAGUUAGGUGAUUGAGAAAAAAAAAAAAAGUUGGCGAACUGAUGGAGUUACUCCUAUGAUCAUGAUGAUGCAUUUAUAAAAGGCAAAGGCAGCUUUUAUGCAGGGAAUUCGAACAUCAAUCUAGACACCAAUCUAUAUUGAGGCCUAGGAGUAGUUGUAACGAAAUGUAGGAAUAACCAUGAUCUAAUCCAGAAGUAGACACAAUGUAAUCUCCACCACCACUCAGUCUCCGACGACAUUGCCCUCGAUGAUACACCAUUCUCAUUCUUACCAUCGCUAGACCACUCAGCCCUCAGCAGUGAACCUGCUCUCCCACAAUGUGUGCCUCCACCCAUGUGAACCUAUCCACUCUCAAGGACCACCACCGGAUAAUGAUCCUGCAUCAUACCUUUAACUGGAUAGUAGUUGAAGCUUGAAAGCCAAAGCAUCCAGCUUCUACAGUGUGGAACUAGGUCUCCAUAAUUGACCUCACAAAUAUCAAGCAACAGCAGAAUGAGUCGUCAAAUCCUAUUUGGCGUAGUUCAAAGUGGCCUGAAGUCAAUGCUAUUGUCUGCCACCACGAAUGACGCAUCUCGCACGGGAAAUUUUUAUCUUUUGGUUCUCCCGUGGGGUAGUAUUCAUGAUGUAGAUUAAAAUAUGUGUAUGUAUGGUUAUCAGGUAUUGCGGAUCCAUGGCUUCUAANGAGAUAAUGGAUGGUUGCGAUGGGAUUGUGGGAAUAUUGCGAAUUGGUCCUUUCCCUUUGCUCAUAUUACACCUUAGUCAAUAUAAUAAAAUAUUAUAUGAUUAAAGCGGAGCAUUUUGUAAAUACGUGAAAGGGAAAGGGCUAAUAUGCUAUUUUUAAUACCCGUUCGUAUCUACAAGAAUGUCCCACUUUUCGUAAUUUAUGCUCCCGGUGCAUGAGAUAUUUUCAAAAUUUAAAUUUUAUCCAUGCACCUGGUGCAUGGAUAAUCUCAUAAACCAUCACUAUUUUUUAUUUCUUUCUCUCCCCUUUUUUUUCUUUUUCCUCUUUUAUUCCUCUCUCUUUUUUUUUAUGCUUCAACAGCUAUUUGGGAAUCUCUGAGGCCGAAUACUCGAAGCUCUAGCCUUCAAUAGACUACAAAUUUGAUUGUGGGAUUAUUUUUGUUGGAAAUAUUAGGGCAGCGAAAACUUACAAACCGGAUUGCCAACAUAUCCAGAAACCGAAAUCGGAUUGGAUUGCUUAUUUUACAAGCCUUCUUGGAUCGUCCUUGUCUCAAUGCUUCUGGAUCUCCCACGUUUCUCGCCUUCUCCCAUGCGUACGCUUUACAAAUGCCAAUCGAAGAGGGCUACCAGAGUCCUCUUCUAUGUCCACACUCCAAAACCUCGGAAACGUAGGUGGAAAUCCCAAAGAGGAAGAAAAGAGAGAAAAUUUAUCAUGGAUUCUUUCGAAUUAGAUCGUAUUCGAUCGUCACUUAUGGGAGAGAAAAAAGGGACGUAUUAAUAGAAUAACGGAAUCCCUAGAUAUCCUGAAUCUCACAAAGAGAUUAGGAUAAAGACUAGGAUUAGGAUAUCCAUAAUAGAUAUCCACUAGAAGAUAUGUUUCUUAACUAAUAAGAAACAUAUAAUUUAUUCUUAUCCUUAACUUAUUAGGAUAAAUCUUAAUCCACAUCUUAAGUGGAUCAGGUUAAAUUAAGACCCGCCAAUGUGGACACACCACAUGGCAACAAUCUCCCACUUGGCCACAUUGGUCAUUUCUCUCUCACUCAUUCAUCUCUUCAUACGGGUAAUUGAGCAUGUGACCUGAUGAAAAAAACACAUGCUGGAGUGGUAUAUUAAGUCACCACCCAACUAACAUAGCACAUUACUGACUUAAUUCAUCUAUGUCCUAGACGUUUCAACACACACCAGAUCAAGCAUCACAAAGUCCCUCUCCUGUAAUAACAGGGCUCGACCCCACAGUUAUUUCUCGUACUUAUGAUUAUCUCAAGUAACACAACCGAGAUAACCGCCCGGGCAAUAAGUCACAAGACUUACGUGGUGUGUUAUCGAAACAUCUUCCUUAGCCCCUCACGUUAAUCCGUAUUGGUCCAAGCACUUUACUAGACAUACUCCGCGAGAUCGUAUUUUCUCAUGACCCCGAAAUACAUGCUAAGUUAGUUGCUUUUGACCUGCACUUCAUAACGUAGUUCUAAGUCAAUGGCACAAAAGGGUUAGUGCUCACACAGUGACAUGGAGGGAAGAACUUAUGUCACUCUACUAACUGGUCGACAAGCACAUACAGUAUAAUAUGUAUGCUAUGGCGGAGCUCCCACUUAAUGGGUCAUGUCACGCUCUGAAAAAAAAAAAACGCCAUACGAACCUUGGUCUAGGUACAAGUAAGGUAUCUAACCACCACAACUCAAGCCAUCUAUCUAAGCUGAGCACUUAGGUUCGGCUACUAUUCAGGCUCGAAAUGAAAUUUCACAGAAAAACUUUCAUAUCCAACUCUUUAGAGUCUCAUCUUAAACUAAUUAAGGCGACUUUUAAAUUAUAUCAACACUUCAUUCAUAACGUAUAUGAACAAAGUAAUCAUAUUUAGUCUCAUCUUGCUCACUACCUAGGUGCUAGGGCGGUCACCCGUGUGAGUGGGCCAAUCUGAGACUAGUGAUUUAUCGAAUAUGUGCCUACUAGUAUCAAUUACGCAAUCAAAUUAAAAGGAGAAAAACAUAUUUUCAUUAAUAAAGCGUAAGAUACAAAAUAAUGUCUAUAUAUCAAAACCUGCGAAGACCCAAACUCCUAACGUGGGUCUGGAACAUAUCCCUAGCUAUCGACUUGGUCAAUGGAUCAGCCACCAUCCUAGUUGUGGAGAUAUGUCUAAGAACGACCUCGCCUAGCCUAAUCAUGUUUUAUAGAGUACGGUUCCUUCGCUCUACAAUACUAUUUUGUUGCGGAGUACCAGAAAUAGUGAGCUGUCUACUAAUGUCUUUUUGCUUACAAUAAGUCUUGACUUGAUCAGACAAGUACUGACGACCUCAGUCAGUGCGAAGCACCUUUACACUUCUUUCUAUUUGAUUCUCAGCCUCCGCAACAAAACGUUUGAAGCAAUCUAAAGCUUCAGAUCGGCGAGAAAGCAAAUACGUACACAUAUCCAUAAUGGAAAUAAUCAUCAAUGAAUGUGAGAAAAUAGCACGCACCAUGCCGGGCCCUCAUAUUCAUUGGCCCACAAAUGUCUGAGUAGAUAGCUCUAAAGGAUGAGAGGCACGAGCAGCCUUACCGAAAGGCUUUCUACAGGCCUUCCCAGCCAGACAAGACUCGCAUACAGAUAGGUCAACUUUGGCGAGAGACCCCAAAAGGCCUUCUCGAGCCAGUCUAUUCAUUCUAUCUUGACCUAUAUGGCUUAAUCUGGCAUGCCAUUUAACGGAUUCAUCACAGAGAUUAGAAGAAGAAGAAGAAGCAAAUGCAAACCAAUCAUCCUCCAAAUCUAAUUUAAAGAAACCAUCAACUAAUGUAUCAUAUCCAAAUAAAGUACCACGAAAGGAAUAUCUAGGCGGUCUCUGUCAAAAUGGCUCUACAAAGCUUUCCAACUCCACCACAGGGAGCUUGAUGUCGACUCUUCUGCGCUCCAUUGUUGUGACACUUCUUGCUCUUCGGUGCGAUCCCACCGCGAGCGUACAACAAGAGCGAUGGAACGGUUUACUUCCAAGCGCUCUGCCUCGAGCUCGAGAUAGCACGAGAUGUCAUUAAACGUAAUAUUCUCGCUGUACGCCAUCAGGAGCUUCAUUUGGGACCAUUCAUGAUCAGGCAGUGAACGAAUCACUGCUAGAACUUAUUACUCAUCAGUGAGCACGUUUCCAGCAGUCUUGAGGUCCCGAAUCAUGGUGCUCAUCACACGAAGGUGCUCAGCCAUUGAAUGCUUCGGGUCUUUAAUAUACUGUAGAAACUUGAGAUUUAAGGCACGUAGCCUCAUAGAUGAAGUUUGACCAAAAGUAAUCUUCAGAUUGUCCCACAUGUCCUUGGCAGUUUCAAAGAUCUCAAACUGUCCAAUGAGGUCGUCUUGCAUGGCACACAACAAAGUAUACCGAGCAGUUCGAUCCUCCUUGAUCCACUUGUUAUAGAUCUCUUCUCAUGCUCAGAAGUUGUGCCUUCGGCAAGCAUGACUCGUUUGACAGAGAGAGUUUCAAGAACCUCUUGUUCAUUAAGCAGGAAUUGCAUUUUUCUAUGUCAAAUAUCAUAAUUCUUUCCAUCUAGCUUAUCACCCCAGGUGAGAUCAGCUAAGAUGUUUUUGGAAGUCAUUUCACUACAUUCAAAAAAAAAUAAGUUUAGACAUUAGGCACAUUUCCAAAAAUUAACAAGAUUGAAACACUAUCCUCGACACAACGGGAUCGAAAACUAUGCUAUGCUCGUAAUCAUCACCCAGUGUUGGUUCAAAUGUUACAAUCUCAUUAAUUUUUCUAUUAAUUUUGACCUUAUCCAAAAAUUGGAACUCAUCCAUUUUGAAGAACACAUCCUUUUCUUGAAAAAUAUUUAUGUAAGGAGAACUUAUCUCAUAAUAUCAUCACACAGAUAAAAAAAUAAGUAUUUAUGCCAAAAUUUAAUUUGAAAAAUGUCGAUGCUGAGCAAAACACAUUCUUUUACACGGCCUUAAUUAUUACAUCACUUUUUGUAUAAUAAAACCUACUACAUCACUACAAGAUGUACAUUAGAAAAAGAAUGUUCUACAAGAAUGCUGCACAUGUCAAACUCGUUUUUCCAAAAUUAAAUUUUGUUGAAAAAAAUACAGAAAUAACAUAAAUACGUAUAUGCCAAAAAAAAAAAUUAUACAAUCACAUAGGCUACAUUAGCAUUUAAAAUUCACCCACGUAGGAUAAAUUAAACAUGCAUGUUAUACAAAAAAAAUAUCAUGCAUGUUAUACAAAAAAAAUAUAUGUAUCCCAAAAAAAUAUAACCACGCAAGAAAUAAAAAUUUUACCACAUAGAAAAGAUUUUUAUUUUUUUUUAUUUUAAUGGGAAAAAAAUAAAAAAAAUACUGUGUGAGCACAGUCAGGCCGAACAGUGGCUGCGUCCGUAUGUACAUCGGGCCGGGCCGGGCCACAAGCCCGCCCGAGCCCUUGCGGUGCGCAGCGGGUCGGGCCGGGGCCAGAAGCCCGCCCGAAUCCCACAGGGGCCGCGCCUCUGCACGCAACAUGCCGGGCCGGGCCUACAAUCCCGCGCGCGCGGCGGGCUGGGCCAGGCUUGCAAGUCCCCCGCACUGCGCGCGGGUAGGCGCCCGUAGCCGGCCGGUCCGCGUGGUGCACGCGUGUAACACACUGGACCUUUGCAAAUUGCAAGGUUCGAGUGUUUGAUCAGUGUUCUAAGUUUUUUCAGAUAUUCUGAAGGGUCGUUGACAGUGUUCCGACCUAUGGCUGUACCGAUACAGAAAGUGUACCGGUACACCUUGAUGGUUGUACCGGUACAAAUGUGGUGAUUGGCCAACCCGAGGCUCGGGUUUGUGUGUUCGGGGGAUUUGUACCGGUACACUUUUUCGUGUACCGGUACACUUAGGCAGACUGCAAAAUGACAGUUUUUCGGGGGUGUAUUUUUAUUGUGGCUUAUCUAUAAAUACCCCCACAGCCCCCUAGCAGCUCUUUUGAGCCCUAGAACCUGGAGGAGCUGAGGUGAGCCCUCUCUUUGAUCUUUUCUCCAUUUUGGCUUAGGUUUAGCUAGUUUUGAUCCUCUUUUCUUCUUCUCUUUGCUAUAUGUUGGGAUUCCACCAUUGGAGAAGCUUUGUACUCUUGUUGGAGCUUGGUAGAGGAUCAAUCUUCAGCCCUAGUGGAGUCUAGUUUUGGUUUGGAGCACCUUGUGAGGUUAGUACUCUUGAUCUCUCUUUUGGAUCAAGUUUUGGAGGAUUUUUGUUAAAUGAAACCUAGAAUGGAUAUUAGGGUUAGAAAUGAGGAUUUUUUAUUAGUAGCUUAUGGAACCAAAUUGAUUGGUUUAGAACCUUGGUUUAGGUUGGAUUUGAAGGCCUCUACCUCCAUUUUGGAGAUCGAAAGAGGUUCCUUCGCAUUCGGUGAGUUUUUCACCUUUUCUUGAGUUGGUUAAAGAUCGAACUUAGGAUUGUUCGUAACAUUCGUCUAUCUCUCUUUUCCUUACCUUUAGGGUGCGUUUGGUUCGAGUUAUCCUGGCAAGAUUACAGGCAAUCCUGCCAGGAUAACUGUGUUUGGUUAAUCCGCUAUGUAAUCUAUUCGUUAAUGUAGCAUUACAAAUCGAGCAGGAUUACAUCGAAAAUAUUAACGGAAGGGGGGUCGUGUAUCUUGUAUUACUGAAACCCGUUAAUACUACAUAUUAUGUAAAAUAACAAUUUUACCCUCCAACAACCCCAAAUCUAAUUAACAGUAUUAUUUUCAUCUCUCUCUCGCCUUCCCCCCGGCCCUCUCUCUCGCACGCCGCUUUCUCUCGCUCGUCUCUCUCUUUCUCUCUCUCUCUCUCUCUCUCUCUCUCUCUCUCUCGCACGAACACCUAUCAUCUUCUAUUGCGUCGUCCUCCCAAGUAAUCAUCACGAUCUCCUUCCCUCCAUUCGUCAUUUCCGCAAAAAUAAUAUUCAAAUGACCACAACAAGGGCAAUUUUGAAAAAAACUAUACUUUUAUGUCAGGAUUACUAAAUUUUAUAAACUGAACCAAACAUAUUAAUGCUAUAAACACUGUAAUCUAGUAUUACAUUACUGUAUUAAACCAAACGCUCUAAUGCAGCAUCAGUAGUAAUCUCACGCCGAAAUCCAAGAUACCUGGAUAUGUCGAGAUACUUUGUAAUAUUACAUAACUCGAACCAAACGGGCCCUUAGGGUGCUAAGAGAGUAGCGGGCACCUUCGUCGGCGCAAACGAAAGGCAGCCAAGAGUUUCGAUGGGUUUGACUUCAUGGAAUAGAGGAGAAAUGUCUCCUAUGUGAUUUAUCCUUAUCGUUUCAUCGAAAUGCAUGUAUAUUCAUGCUAGAUAGAUUUUUUAUGAAAUUUAGAGUACUUAAAAUGCAUGUAUUAUGUAUCAUGAAAAUUCAACUCUAUAUAGUUAGCCAUAUGUGUAGUAAGCAUGCAUGUGAAAAGUAUUCUUUAUUGCAAGUUGGAAACAUGUCUCAUGUGAUGAAAAUGAUUAGAAUUAUGUACUCUUGAACAUAAAACUCAUGCUGGGACUUAGUGGACAAAUGUGUCAUAAAGAGGCACCCGAACUAGUAAACUGUGAAACUGCAACAUAGAGACAUAGUGAUAGGCCAUUGUGACAUCGACUAUAUUCCAUGUUUUAGACAUGAUGACAUAGUGAUAGGCCAUUGAGAUACUUGCUACAUUCUAUGUUUUAGACAUGAUGACAUAGUGAUAGGCCAUUGAAAUACUCGCUACAUUCCAUGUUUUAGACAUGAUGAAUUGGGACUUGAGACGGACUUUUACGCUUGCUUGCCAUUAUGCUCAUUCGCACAUGCUUGUGAGGGUCGCUCCCGACAAGCCGGCACUCCGGAGAUAGCCAUCGCGACACAUGCUCGCCCGUGUGGGAUUGGGCGCCGAAAUGGGAUGCCGUGGGGGAGGCUCAUUCCUAGAGUGGGGAUGUUGACUACCAUGGGGCCAUUAGGCACGGUGCAGGCCGGACCACCCACAGGUAGGUCCUACAUGAUUGGAACAUUGGUAACUUAGCAUACCGAGAGGACAUUGACUAGAAUAGUAAACAAUGACAUUUUACUAUUUAGCUUGUGGACAUUAUGUUAGUUAUACUCUUGUACAUUCAUGUUACAGUAGCUUUAUUACUUAUGCAAAUUCAUGCUAAGUAGAGAUAUCAUGUUAUAGCAAGCUUUCAUGUUAGUUGUUUAUGGUUCAUAUCAUACUUGUGUUUACCCUUUCAGCUUUUGGGCCUAGUGGUGCAUUUCACUGAAGUCAGUAAUUACCCACUGAAAACUAUUAUUUAAUAGUCCUCACGCCCUCUGUUUUACGAUUUUCUUUCAAAGCCUUCAGCACCGGUGGAGGCACGGGAUUGCGACAAGGGGGUCGCGUAGCUAGAUAGCGGAGCUUGCUUUUGCUCUUAGGUUGUUUACUCUCUUCUUGUUUGCUGUAGAGAGAGUGAGAGGUUUUGGUACCAUGUAUAGAGACCACCAUUGUAUUACUCUUAGCACUUGUAUGUGAAUUUCGGAUGUACUACCUUAUGAUUUUAUUUUUAUGGAGUUUAGUCUCUUGUCUACUCUUUUGUUGUAGAAUCUAGUUAUACUUUGCUUUGAUACUCCUAGAUGUUCUUCUUCUAUUGCUUUAUUUAUCGUUUUAUUGUAGACGCCUUAUAUGUUUUAGACGUAUGGCGGGUCUGGGCACGCACCGGGCCGGCUUCCGCUGGGUCCCGGGGCGUGACAGCGUGGGUGCGCCUCCCCGUGGACCCACUCCGGUGCCGGUGACGCGCGCGCCCCUGAACGCUCAGGUCGGGCCGGACGGCGUGGGUGUUCUCGCGCCGGGCGGGACGGUAACCGCGACCUUCUGGACGCGUAUCGCCUGUGCAUACGCCCUCGGGCGGCUCGCGCUCCCUUUCGUCCGCGCGUCGCCCGCGCCCGCGCGUGGGCGCUCGUGGCGCGCCCACCCCGGGCGACGCCCGCCCCUGCGCGUGGGCGCUCGUGGCGCGCCCACCCCGGGCGACGUCCGCCACUGCGCGUGGGCGCGACAGUGCGGGACCCUGGGUCACCUUCGGGCGGGGCGGGCGUCGCCCGCCCCUGNNNNNNNNNNNNNNNNNNNNNNNNNNNNNNNNNNNNNNNNNNNNNNNNNNNNNNNNNNNNNNNNNNNNNNNNNNNNNNNNNNNNNNNNNNNNNNNNNNNNNNNNNNNNNNNNNAAAAAAAAGAAAGAAAAAUUGCAUGUUUUAUGAUCAAUUUUAAGAGAAAACUUAAACUAAUUUUGUUUUUCUUUUCUUUUUCUUAUUAAAAUCGAUUUCACACUGAAACCAAAAAAAAAAAUUUGUUUACAUAAAAGAUUGAUCAACGAAACAUGCGAUCUAAAAACACGCAUCACAAGCAUGAUCAAAGGCGAAAAUAAGCAUAUGGCUCCGAUACCAAUUGUUGGAAAUAUUAGGGCAGCGGAAACUUACAAACCAGAUUGCCAACGCAUCCAGAAACUAGAAUCAGAUCGAAUUGCUUGUUUUACAAGCCUUCUUGGAUCGUUCUUGUCUCAAUGCUUCUGGAUCUCUCACGUUUGUUGCCUUUUUCCAUGCGUACGCUUUACAGAUACCAAUCGAGAAGGGCUACCAGAGUCCUGUUCUAUGUCCACACUCCAAAACCUUGGGAACGUAGGUGAAAAUACCAGAGAGGAAGAAGAGAGAGAAAAUUUAUCGUGGAUUCUUUCGAAUUAGAUCGUAUUCAAUCGUCACUUAUGAGAGAGAAAAUGGGGACGUAUUUAUAGAAUAACGGAAUCCCUAGAUAUCCUGAAUCUCACAAAGAGAUUAGGAUAAGGACUAGGAUUAGGAUAUCCAUGAUAGAUAUCCACUAGAAGAUAUGUUUCUUAACUAAUAAGAAACAUAUAAUUUAUUCUGAUCCUUAACUUAUUAGGAUAAAUCUUAAUCUACAUCUUAAGUGAAUCAGGUUAAAUUAAAACCAGCCAAUGUGGACACACCACAUGGCAACAAUUUCAAAAGAAUGAAAUUCGCAAAUUUGUUCUAAUUCGAUAUGUAAGUUGCUCAAUAUAAGAAGUUCUGAAAUCACUGAGAAGAGAAGUCGAGGUACAUCAAACCUCGAAUUGUCUAAAAGAGCAAUAUCUUAUACCUCGAGUACAAGGAGGUCGAAGAGAGUAAAGAUGGUUCUCUUUUUUGAACCACAUGGGCUUGGAGGCCAACAAUGGUUGUGAAAUUGACGAACAUUGGAGUAAGGAUAUCUGGCCAGAAAAUGAAGAAAUUGGUAGAGGUAGACCAAAGAAAGAUACAAUACGGAGAUAAUAAUUAGAUUUCAGGACCACCUUCAAUAGUUGGAUAGCAAUAAAUAUAUCACUGUCCUUCUAGAAAUCGCCCCAAGCUUUUUCUACUCAAGCUACCUCUUGAAGGAAUUCCUUAGAAGAGGACGACCAUGAUUGGGGAGAAUGUCUAUGGGAGCCCCUAGGAGAAAUGCCAACAAGACUAUUCGUGAAAGUGACGAUGGGAUCUAAAUUAUGAAAUAGUUGGAGGACAUCCAAGAGUGACGAAGAGGUAAUGGAGGGCCCUUGGAUGUUUGAGAAUCUAACCAGGAAGCAGAUGAAGAACUUCAUGUCUGACGAUAGGGUCCUUAAGGAAAGAGUCAUCGGUAGGGAUGGAUGUGGAAGACAAAGCCAAAAUGAGGAAAAAAUGAGAAAUGAGGAGAGUGGCAAGACUUAAGAAGAAAACGAAGAAGGGAAGCUAUCUCAGCAGACAAGACAAGGAUUUUAAUCGAAAGAAAGUGUGCGACGCAAGCCAUAUUUAUGUCGGUACACCAACCAAUGACAUUUGAGUAAGUGUCCUACGGUGUGAUGGAUCACCUCUUGUCAUCAUUGUAAUGAUGGGAAUGAGUUAAAUGCAUGCCUAAAAUCCCAUAGUAAUGGGUUGUCACGAGUCGCUGUGAAACCCUAAAUAGUGGUAGCGAGGCUUUCAACGAUUUGUCCCAUUCACAAGUAACUGCUGAGGGGGACAAUUGUUGAUAAUGAAAAUAAGUUGCAUCAAGACGAAGCAUCAAUAAGGACUUUGAUAGGAAAGUUUGCUGAAGAAUACUCAAUUUGGUCCUCAGUGAAAGUACCAACUUCGGUAUCAGAAGGCGCGCUCAUUUGAAUUAAGUAAUUCAAAAUUCAGAUAGGUGCGGUCAAGAGCAAAGAGCUAAGGAGGCAAUUGAGGAAAGAAAGGUGGUUAACCAUAGGAGUUACUCCUAUGAUCAUGAUAAUGCACCUAUAAAAAAGCAAAAGCAGCUAUUGUGCGGGGGAUCCGAACAUCAAGCGAGACAUGUGUGAGACCCCAAAUAGUCCUAUAUAUAAGAUAUAAUACGGCUAGAACUCUUAAUCCGGCUUAAGCAUGUUGGGUGGUGGCAAGACCCAAGAGGUUAAGAGAGUUAAGCGUGCUAGGACGGGAGUAGUCCUAAGAUGGGUGACCCCCUAGGAAGUUGGUGCGUCACAGUUAGUAUCAGAGCCAAUUACCAGCCGAAAAUGUGAGAUGAGUCUCAGCUGAGCCAAAAUUGUACAGUGGAGAGAGCAAGGCUCUCAUACUGUUGACUGUUGUUGGUAGAGCGCGGCUCCCCUACAAGGUCGGUUUAGGCUAGCGAGACGAGUCUCACAUCGCCUGGUACUUGUGAUUCUAAGCCUGACGAGGACGUUAGGGCUUAAAGGGGGGGAGAUUGUGAGUCUCCAAAUAGUUCUAUAUAUAAGAUAUAACAGGGCUAGAACUCUUAACCCGGUUUAAGCAUUUUGAGUGGUGGCAAAGCCCAAGAGGUUAAGAGAGUUAAGCGUGCUAGGACGGGAGUAGUUCUAGGAUGGG
RNAcentral lists this long non-coding RNA (224079 nucleotides) under Ananas comosus (pineapple). Its description in RNAcentral is "long non-coding RNA (ACOM_LNC017585)". Lineage: Eukaryota; Viridiplantae; Streptophyta; Magnoliopsida; Poales; Bromeliaceae. The record is from RNAcentral.